RNAcentral lists this long non-coding RNA (215039 nucleotides) under Coffea arabica (coffee). RNAcentral describes it as "long non-coding RNA (CARA_LNC001183)". The record is from RNAcentral. Lineage: Eukaryota; Viridiplantae; Streptophyta; Magnoliopsida; Gentianales; Rubiaceae.
GCUAGUUUAGCAAAUAUGUAGCAUCCUUAAUUUCAUUAGUGAACUUUGUUCGAAAUAUUUGUUUAAAAUAUUUAAUCAACAAUUACAUGUGUGACUAUGCAAAUUCCAACUGCGAAGCAAUAUAGCUUUUUACAAUAAAAACUAAGGUAGCAUUCUAAAAUUUUAACAGAUAAGCAGAUACAUUAGAUACAAAUAACUUAUUAAAGCAUACAGAGUCAUUUUUUUUUAUGGCAGCCUCAUUCAAAAACCAAAUAGUAGAAAUUUAUAAGUCACUUAUGCCUACGCCAUAACUAAGACAGCUUAUCUUUUUCAAUUAUUUCCAACUGACCAAAAGAAUGCUCUUAUAAGGCUUUAGGAUAUCUCAAGAGUCAAGACCAAAAGUUAUACAUGAAUUUGUAAGGGUAAACUUAUGAUAAAAUGUCAUACAAAAGAAUUAAUCCAAUAAGAAAAACUUAAAGCUAUAAAAUGGAUCAAAUAAGUUGAACAAAGCCUCAUUAAUUCUUUAAGGAAAAAUACGACUUUUUAGUAUAAUAUUUCAAUCCUUUCCUACAAUUGUUCUUCUAAGAGCAUUUAAGCGCAUUUAUCAAGUUGCACUCAUCAUUAUGCAAUAACUCAUCAAGUUAUAGCUCAUGGAGUUGAACUUACUUGGUCAUCAGCUGGCUAGAUGAAGAGCGGUAUAUGAUAACAAUUUCUAAACAUAUGGACUGAAAAUUGCAGUAUGUAAAGAUCCUGUUACAUCAUUUACCACAAAUCCCAAGCGACGCCUAUCAUAUUUUGCCAUUACCUGAAGCAAAUUAGAAGUUAUAAUUGUUGUAAAUGAUUUAUUAAUUCUAGCAUUAGAAAAGUAAAUAAUAACAUUUACCUCGCUUCAACUCCAAUUUCUUCCUUGCAUGAUGGACAUCUAAUGGUACAUUCUAUCUCAAUAUGGAUAGAUUUUUGGGUCUUAAGCCAAAAGUUUCUGAGAAAAAAUCAGCCAAAACUUGACAUUUUUAGCAAAACUAAAUUGAAACUCAGAAGUCUUAAAUCAACAUGUACCAAAGCCAUGGUUAAACAUGCAAGUUCUAUGUCUUUAAAGCAAUGGGUGUUAUUAUAGGGUACUAUUAAGUUCAAGCCUUCACCAUAAGAAUAUGAAUUUCAAUUUGAAUCAUAAUGAGUUCAUAAAGACUAUCCUUUAAAUAAUGAUAUAAGAUUAUUAAACAAAUUAAUUGGACAAUAGUGGUUCUAGUUAUCAUUUUAGCAAUUUUGCCUCUUAGGCUCUUGUUAUCAACAAUACAUAAACCUUUCUGUUUUGUUACUCCAACAAAACACAGUGAACUGGAAAUUAACAAAAAUUUAAGAGUUUAUUUAUUUCCUAUGAUGUUAAGCAGCAGAGGAAAGGAGAAAAAUUUACUUAGCAGCAGGGGCUGUAGCAUGACCAUUAGCAGUAGAAACCUGGGGCUUCUUCUCUUGAGCUGGCUUAGAUGCCUGAGGGAUAAUUUCUUUUCCAACACCAGAACCCACAAAAGUUUGCUGACUUCUGCUCUCAACUCCACCAGCUCCAAUACUCUUGACAAGCCCAUUAGCACUCCUAGGAGAGAAUAAGCCACCGCAUUAGCCAAGUUUAUCUCAAAUCCAUCAUUCCCAGAAUAAAGUCACUUGCCAGAAUCACCGUUAAUGGUGUCAACAAUGUCCCCCUUGGUCCCUGAAAUUAAACUCUUAAGUACACCAAUAUGUGCAGAGAUAAGAAACUAACAACACAAAAUUUCUAGGAUAUGUGCAUAUGAUUUAUCUAAGAUAUGUCUAAGAUGUAUCUUAGAAAUUUUAUAUUAAACUUUGGAAUACAAUACAUAUGAUAUAUCGAAGAUAUGGGUUGGGAUAACAAACUAACAAUACAAAAUUUCGACUUCUACAGUUGGAAAUUCUCAAUCGUAUGCUAUAUUACAUCGGCAUCAUCAGAAUUUAUGUGGUAGCUCUUUACCUGGACAAACGGUAACCAUAAGUUUUUUAAGUUAUUAAAUGAAGAUGAAGUGUAAGACAUACUUGAAUCGGCAACUUCUAUAGCACAAAAAAUUGUAGAUCAAUGUUCCAACUACUAAUCUACUAAUAAUUAACUUCUUGAUAGGAUAAUUUGUGCCCUGAAAAAAAUGUUGAAAAGGAAAGAUAAAGUGCCAUAAAAAACGUAGAAGGAAUUGGCCGUAGAGAAAAAAAUGAUAUAGACCGGAGUAGAAUUUACCUGUGCGAUCAUUCUCUCAGUGUUUUCUCUGCUAUCCCAAGUUUCACACAAACAUUUUAUCAAACACUUUUGAUGGCCAUUGGUCUAUGAGAUUUCACAAAACCUUGACUUGCUUGAAUAGCUGUAUUUGCUAGAUAAAUCAUUGCAACCAAAAGAAACAACACAAAAGAGAAAAAACCAUCUCGAAUAUCAGAACAUCAUCUAAUAAAAAAAUAAGAGAAAAAGAAAGAACAAAAUGAAGAACAUCUGAUACAAAAAAAUUUAAAAAGGAAAAAAAUAAAAUGAAGAAAAAUUCAUUGACACAUAUAUUCACAUUUAGCAAAAAAGAGGAAAAAGAAAAUUUUUGUACUAAAGUUAGAAUAUCAUCUAAUAAAUACCUAAAGGGUGAAAAUAAAAUUCAGAACCAAAAGGGAAAAGAAAUAAAUUCUUACUUUUCCUACAGCCCUUUCUCCAGAACUCUUUCUUGUUGGAGUUCUCUUUUCUUCUCCUCUAUUGUACGCAAUGUCACAAAAUGUAACGAAGGAGAAAAAAGUGCCAAAAAUUAGACUCAAUCUAUGAAACAAUUGGUGGUUUCCAUGGCAAUAAUUAACACUAAUAGGUUAGCCAUGUGUAUUCUACAGUGGAGAAUAAGAAGGAUUUGGUGAAAAAAGAUACGGAGAAAGGAAGAAGCUUACCUGCUUCUUUGUUUUUUCUAACCAUGCAUAGAAGCAGUUCAGCUACUAUUCUUGAUUGUGUCUGAUGUACAAAGGAAAGGAAUGGAAAACACAGCCAAAGAUAGGAGAAGAAUGGCAGGCAAAAAGUCACAAACAGCCUAAAUAGUUAGUUACUGUUUUGAGAGCCAUUUUUUUUUCACUGGACAAAGUAGUAAUUUUACAUAAAAAGACACAAAUGCCCUCAAUAGUGGUAUACUAUUCACAGAAGUAGUCAACAUUCUGAGGCCACAAAAUGGAAAAAAAUUUCUCCCCAGUAGACUCCCUCCCUAGAGUCAACCACAUGGCUCAGUGUAGAAGAUGUCUUACGUGGUAGUUUGGGAAAAGUAAACAAUGUAAAGUCCAUAGACAAAGCAAAAGAAAAGGUUCAAAAUUCAUCCAAUGUGCCACGUGUUAGUAAGAGGAGCUGCUACAGUAACAUUGGCCUUUUGCUUGCUUUGCUGAUUACAUCCCUUCAGGUCAAUCACAAUGCUUAUAACUAACUUGCCUAAUGUUUGAUAGAAUACUGCUUAAGUUUGCUUCCUAUUUGUAAGCUUGAUCAAUAAACUAUUAGUAGUUGCUUGCUAUUUGUGACGCCCACACUUCUCCCUAAGGCGAAUCAAAGGGUAUCCGCGGGACGCCUGCCCAGCUCUCGCCAGGACUCACUACAAUCCAUCAUUCAAAAGCUCGAAAUAUUUUAAGUAACUUCAAUAUAUAAUUAAAGUAUUUCAAAUAUCUCACACUUACAAUUAUGUAACUUUCAAGUUUAAAUACAACUCAACGGAAAAUUGUACAAUAGCCAUCCGUUAUAAUAUAACUUAAAGUUUUCAAAAGAAAACAAUCUAGUACUACUCACGAGCACCAUUGGUCUCGAACCCUGUAAAAGAAAAUCACAACGUGGGAUGAGCUACACAGCCCAGUGAGGUUCCAAGACACUCUAACAGUUCAAAUAAAUCAAGUAAGUUGGGCAUAUCAUAUGCAUGAUUUAAUGUUACACAAUGGCGUGUUAUCAUGAGGUGAUAAUCAUUGUACGGUUAAUUUGAGACAUGUAUCAUGGUAUGAUACAUUUAUUAUGAGACAGUUAUCAUGGUUCAAGACAUUGGCAUGUAUAGUUCACAAGUGAUUGGAGCUUAUUACAGGUGCGAGUAAUUAUAAGCAUGUUACAGGUAUGGAGCAUUAACAUGAAACAGGUAUCAUGAUAUGAGUACAUUGGACAGAUAACAGGUAUGGAGCAUAACACAGGCAUGGCUCAGGAUUUCAUGUUGGCAUUUUAGCGUGAAACAAUUAUCAUGACACAAGGUAAAUAUAUACUGUAGGAUACGGUGUUCCAGUGGAACUCUGUCGGUCAUCUGCACCUUAUGACUUCCGGAUCCCCUCGGUUUGACUGGCCAUCACCUUAUCCCUCCAGUGGUAAUACUCGAGUUUACUGAAACGGUGGCCCAGGGUUCCAACCUACCCGACCGAGCCCAGUCCUGGCUCGAGUAGGUCAGUAACCAAGGGCAGGGCCCAAGUUCAGCUUAGAGCUUACAACAUGCACAAGUAAUCAAGUAAUCGACGUACGGUAAAAAUUUAUCAUGUUUAAAGGUCGAGUGAGAUAAAGUACACACUCGCCUUAAAACAGUGGCCCACUUCAUAUGAGCAUUUAAUUUAUGAUAAUCAGGUAAUCAGGUGGUCAAGUAAUCAAGUAAGUUCGUGAUUACGCAAGCAGAUAAUCAAGUAGGCAAGUAACCAAAUAGAUUAGAAAACGGUAAGUAACACGUUAACGGUAAACGAUAGUAAUUACGGUUAAUUGGUAGACAUAUGUCAUUUUAAUAGGUCGCCAUUGGCCGUUUUCCACUUUUACCACGUAAGAGUCGAGGAGAUUCACUCUAACCGACUUAUGCUGCCAUAGCAUAAUUAAUCAUUUAAACACAUCAUGUAAAUAUGCUCUCCAAGCAUUUCAUAUCUAGUAUUUCAAGUAAUCACAUAAAUAUGCUCUUCAAGUGUUUCAUAUCGAAUAGUUCAAAUAUACAUACUUCAGGUAUUUCACGUCGAGUAAUUCAAGUAUACCUUAUUCAAAUAUGCAUGAGUGUGGUAAAUACUUAACAUAUAGCACUUAACACUUAAUGACCAUGGGUUAAGCAUGUCAUAGACUUAUUUCAAUUACAUAUUCCUAUAUGGAACACUCACCUAUUGCAACAAGAGAGUAAAUACUCAAACAAGUGUCUAGGCGUCCACUUCUAGUUCCUCUUGAAGGUCCCCUUGAGCGCCUGAGCAAAUAACCAUUAACUAUUAUACACUAUCACUUAGAACCCCUACUUAUCAAAGAAGGUUGUACAAUCUAAGGAGAAUUCAUGAAUUGGCCCUUAAUUAUUAAUAAUCGAGGCUCAAGAGUAAAGUUUUAAAGUCUAAAGAGAGAGACUAACAUUUUCCAUGAAAUCGAGUUCAAAAUGUUCAAUCGAUAUCAAGAAAAGAAGGCAAGUUCCAAAAUCUCAUUUUCUAAGAAAUUGACAAAUUUCAGCUUUGGGUGUCAAUUUUAGAAAAAUCGUAUCUUGCACUAUGUAGGUCCAUAAUUAGAAAGCUUGAUACCGUUGGAAACUUCUUCAAAAGCACUAAAAGUUCCUAGAGAUACUUUUCCAUGAUUCCAAACGGAAGGUAUUCAAAAAUUGACUCAAAGUUGCUGCUUGGGACUAUUAAGACAGUUUCGGGUUGGUUUUUGACCAACUUUGAAAAUUCGGCAAAAUUCACACAAUACGAACUAGCCUCCGAAAUUUAGAACUCAAUUAGAGUUACAAUCAAAGUUUAAAACAAAACAAACAGAACAAGAAUCAAUGUUUUGAACGCCAAGAUAUAGCAGCUCAAAGUUGGCUAAAAAUUCCUCCUCGAUCAAGAAUUUCCAGAUUUAAACAUGAACUUUGGACUUCAGUUGGACAUUGAAAUAGACUCAGAAUGGCACCAAAAUUAGCAGUAUUACACUACCAUAUAAAAGCUAUUCCCUUGUCAAAUUUCAUAGGAAAAUUCAUUCGGCAAGUUGGUUAACAAAACCAUCAAAGUUUCAAGAAUUUUCAAGGCAAAUCUGCCUUGUACUUCAAAUUUUCUUUUCUAAAACCUUUGGCCAAUAAAAUGCCUAAAACAUGUCUCAUUUGUGAUAACCAGGUCUAAUAAGAAUCCAAGAUACAUUUGGUAGGUGAUUAACACCAAGAAUUUCAAAAACAACAAGUCCCAACCAAGGGUUAGGCCUUUACUAGCCAAAAAGAGGAUUUUUACUCACUGCAUCAGUUUCGAAAUAUGGACACAACUCACUCAAUUCAACUCGGAAUUGAACGUGGUUGGUGGCGUUGAAAAUAUCUUUUAGAAAUAUAGAAUUUCUCAGAAGAAACCAUUUUCAAAAUCUAUUCACAAGCAACUCAUUUUUGAGCAUCAAGAAGUAAUUUCUGUCCUGUCUCCUGGAGAGCAACGAAACAGGGCAGUGAUUUUCAAACGAAUGGUGUGGCUAACUCAAGUGGAACCAGAACGUGCAUUUGAUACCAAUGGAAAGCUGGGAAUGUCUAGUUUCAAAUGCCACUGACGGCACUCAAUUUCGACAUCGGAGUACAGAGUUAUGAACGAAACAAAAUGACUGCCUGGGCAAUACGGGAUUCAUUUUCCAGUUUUGCUAACUUUGGAAAUCAACUCAUUUGACCAACCAAAUCAUGUUAUUUUUCAAUGAAAUUUUGUACACACUCACAAUAACAUGUAAACAACAUAAUCAAGUCAUUAGAACCUCAAAAUUUUGCACAAAAAUGGCAGGACAGAGCAGGGGGUAAAACGGUCACUUUUGUUCCAAGCACCUCCUAUGAUUUUCUACCAACAAUACAACAUUAAUCCACUAAUUAAAACACUAAACCACCAUUAAUUUCAUAAUCAAUCAUUAAAUCAGUCUUUCUAUCAAAGUGGGAGUUUAUAGAGCCACUCACCAAUUUUACAACAAUUAAAGCUACCCAUGAGAAUCCAAGAGCUCAUGAGUGUAAUCUAACUUCCAUAAAUCAAGAAUUAAGAGGUUGAUCGUUCAUUACCUCUCUUGAUGACUAAAUCAGAAUUUUUGGUCACUUUGAAGCUCAAGAAAACCGUGGAAAUGAAGCCCCUUUUCUAGCUUAAGAUGAUCACCAAGUGAUUAGCUAGGUGUGGUUCAAUUUUGGUGGAGUUUGGUGGUGUUUUGUUGAAGAAAUGAAGAUGGAAUUUGAAGAGCUUUGAGUUGUUUCUUUUGUUUCCUUGGCCGGCUGUUCCUGGAGCAGAAAAAGAAGGAGUUGCACGGCACUUUAGAUGAUGAAUUGAAGGGUUUUGAUCUAGUGUGAUGCACCUAUGAGAAGCUUAAGAAUGUGUGGCCCAAAAUGCUCUAAAAGUCAACUCUCCUGCGUUUUGUGCUCGAUUCCUCUUGCAUUUGUUUCACUAGUGCACUAAAUCUCUAAUGCACUUGUAUUCAUAUUAAUAUUAUUCACUCUUACUUACCCCUAACUAAGGGUCUAAAGUUCUUCAAUUAAAUCGCGCGUAAAAACGCCUACCUCCAAUUUAAGUGCGAUAAUACGAAACUUCCGAGAAAUUCUUAUAACGAUAGUACUAAUAACUAUCACUUGAGUAUUUAAAUAUUAAAAUACCUAAUUUAGGUCCAUUACAUAAAUCUCCAAUAUUCCAAACUUAUUGUACUUUCAAUCGGUCAAGAUUUCCAAAGACGUGUUCACUAUUUUCACUAAACAAGCUCCAGGAAAUUAAUUUUUGAAACAAGUCACUUUAAAAAUAUAAUGAAACUAUAUUUCCAUGUAAUUAGGUCUCAAGAGUUUAGAAAUAAUAUCAGAGUAAAAGGCCAAAUAAAAUAAUUAAAUAAACUAAAAAUAGGAGAUUAAAUAAGUAAAUUUUGCGAGUCCUCACACUAUUUGAAUGAGUCCUACAGUAGCUGAACUGUACGUGAUUAAUAUGAUUCACGUUGGCCAAUUGCUUUCUUUUUUUUCAUACAAUCCAUCCUCAAUGACUUAGAACCAAGUCAUUUACCUAACUAUAUGCGUUGCUUGCUUCUAUACUCCUCCCCCAGUCUCAUGAUGAAGGUUAUCUUCUACAUUUUUUUAUGUCCAAAAAAAAGAAUAAACGUUUUGAAAUUUAUACAAACGUAACUUUUUCAAAUUUCGACACACCUUUAUUAUGUGAAUAUUCUAAAUUUGAAAGUUACAUAUACGAGUUCAUCCAAUACCACCUAAUCUAGUUACAAUAUUACAUGUUUUCAUAGAGUGCCUCAUUCUCCAAAAACAUAUUAGGACGGAGAGAAUAAUAAUUUAACUUUGAGUAUAAUAAUGUGGCUUUCAAUAAUCUUGGGGAUUUUGAAGUAUACAAUCAUUAAUAUUUUAGAAAGUUAUUUUUGUAAGACUUACCUCUUUUAGAGGCAAUUAUUACCUAAUAUAGAUUCUAGUGAUUGAUGUCUUUAUUAAUUGAUUGAUAUUUUGUCAAUAAUUAAUUAGUAUCUCCUAUUAGAUAAUGAUUGUGAUUGAUAUUCUAAUUAAUUGAUUGCUAUUUGAUUAAUAAUUAAUUAGUAUAUGUUAUUUGUUAAUGCUUGAUUUUUAUCUUCUGCUAAUUGAUAUUUUAUUCAAUCAACUAAUCAAUCAAAUCAAUCAAUUAGUCAGAAAGGAUUAUGAAUUAUGGCAAGAUUUUCUUGAUAGAAGAAAACUCUAGGAUUUUGAUAUUUAUCAGUAAGGGUCCCUAACUUAUGCUAUAAAUAGCUUGUGGUAUUCCAUCAAGACAAUACUCUCCAGUUAAGCAUAGGUUAGAAGAUUCUUACUCUAAUUCCUUCUUCUACUUAUCUCUUAUUCUACACAUCUACACAUUUUCUUUGUUAGUAGAAAUUGUUUAUAUAGAGAAGAAGAAGGCAAGAAGACAAGGAACUAUUCGGAUUUAAUCCCUGUUUGAUAACAAUGGUUUGAGGUAAAUCAUUUAAAUUUUCGCUACGUAGUACAACUUAUUUAAACCUACUUGUUUAACAUGUUGUGUUAGAGCCAGCUUCUAGCUAUGUUGUUCAGCUUAUUAAUUCAUAGCUUAUUGGCAAUUUAAUAUAAGUUUUAGAGAUUCGUAUCAAGUUUAAAUGAAUCGAAUCUAAUUUGCCACAGGAUCUAUGGCCUCAUUUUCUCAAUAAUUGAGAACUAAUGACUAAUCCCAUGAAUAUGUAUCAUUCGUAUGAUACCUUCUUUGGCUAUGCAAUUUAUCCAAAUUUCUUCCAAUAAUCUGGUAUAAUUUGCAAGUAAUUUGAAUGCUUCUUGGACUUACAUAUUUGUGAUUAUGAGCAUUAUAUGCAUUGAUUGUUAUUAUCAAUAAGUAUAACAAUUUGAGAAAUAUAUAAAGAGUUGUUAUUCAGCCAUCAAGUAUGUAAUUCAUUUGAAUCUUACCUACGUAUAUUUAAAUUGGUUGAACAACUAUAUCAUAUAUACUGCUUGAUUCAUUUUGCAUAUCAAGUCAUGUUCUUGUUGUAUUGAUAUACUGCAUUAGUGCAUAUGCUAUUAGAUUUGUGGCAUAAUCUCAAGACUCUAACAUGUUGUAGUAAUCAAACAAUCAUACAUUUAAGAAAUUUAUAAUCACUAAAGUUAAAAGGAUUAGUAUUAUAUUAAUCUAUGGAAGAUGAUUGGUUGACCUUAUAUGAAUAGAUCUACAUGCUUAUUGAAUUUCUAUUACCUUAUUAUGAGAUAAGUAACUAAAGGCAUGACUUUACAUUGGUUAUGGAUUUAUUUCAAUAUCAAUUUUGUCUUUAUAAUCCUGUUUUUAUUCGGAAUUAUGUAGUAUUUUUGUGCAUGGCACUUAUGUACAUUUAUUUCAUAUUAUUAUUUAAUUAGAUGAUGUCAACAUUAGUAUUGUUGACUAUGUUUGAAUUUCACAUAAUUUCUUUUAUAAAGUUUUCUUGCAUCUCAGUUAUUUGAUGCUCGAUAUAUUUUAAUCACCUAAAGAUUGAUGAUUAAAAAUGAAUAUAAAAAAGGAAAUUAAAAAAAUUCGUUCGUCAAAAUAUGGAUUGUUUGACUAUUUUGAUGUCUUAUAAAAUUUAACACACUAUAUAUUUGAGAGUAGUCAUAGCAUCUCAAACUUUGGUGUACUACAAUUUUGAUUACAAAUAGUUUAGUGAUUAAAUCAAGGAUUUUUAGUCAACAAGUUGACUACUUAUUUAAACCUUGGCCUUGCUGCAUCCGCAAUUGGGCAGGAGUGGGAGUUGGUUUGUUUGAGACUUGAAUGUAAUCUGCACUCUCUCAUGGUAUGUUGAUGGUUGGAAUCGACAUGCAUAUGUGUACUUAUGUUUGGUCUCAGCACUCAAGAAGGGGCAAGAGGGUGAUCCCGAGCCGAAGUGUACAAUUCUCACUAAGUCGGUGAGUGUUCUAAGUACAUGUUAGGACUACAUGAUUUACUGGAAUGAUGCUUAAUGUGCUUGGUUGAUUGCUACUGCUUAUAUCUUGAACUGUAAAUGAAUAGGUAAAUGUAUACUUUAUUACACUCGACCUAACUUGACUAAACUCUUGUUAUCCUGUUUAUAAGUAAACUAAUAUACGUGUGCAUGGCUUGAAAGUUGUUUGGGUAUGUUAUCCAAUCGACUAUACUGAGUGCUUGGGAUCCCAAAUCCUAUUGGCUAAUUAGUCGAAUCAACCCAGCAAGGGCUUAGUCGAGUAGAUUGACGAACCAUGGAUAGUGUUCACUGUUUAUUGCACUGGAUUCGGUAUACUCGAGUAUCACGUCUUCUAUUGUUUUAUAUUUGGCAUUUAGUCUCAGUAAGGGAUGAUCAGUGGAUGGAGACUGGAAUUAAGCUAUGAUCUACAUACAUUGUUUAUUACUGAAUUUCAAUAGUUGACGAAGUGUCAACAGACUCAAAAAAUGCUGCUGCUGAACUGGCUUGCAAGAGUCGAUUUUAUCCUUUUAGUUGCAAGUGAAAUACUGAACGGAGGUAAGUGCUAUGUCUGGAACCUGGCGGGAGACACCUCUAAAUCCGUAUCAAUACCCGUAUCCAUUUCUUAUUGCGUUAAAUUGUUUCUUUGAUUAUUUUAGGUAAUGGUGCUAAUUUGAUAGAAUUACUUGCUUAUUUAUUGACCUUAUUCUUGAUUUAUCUAGAUGUUGAUUCUUUUAUGAAGCCUACGAUUGUGACAAAUGUGAAAUUUGUGGUGCUUUCUGUUACUUGUUUGCUGAGAACCUCACCGGGCAUACACUCAUUUUGAUAAUUGUUUUCCUUAUAGGGAUGAGAGACAUCAAGGACAGCAAUGGUUUCAUUUGAAAUCUUGAGCUUGUAUGUUGACAGGCAAACUGUAUUAUGGAAACUAGAUGUUUAAUCCCUUCUCUUUUGGCUUGUACUUAAGUUUGGAUUUUAGAGGAUUUGAAGAAUUUAAAUAUUAUUGGGAUGAUUUGUAGAAUUUAGAUGUUAUAUUAGCGUACCUCAAUGUUAUUUUGGCAUACUUUAUUGUGAUUGAUUGAGACUUGUAGCGAGUGUUGGCGAGAGUUAGGCAAAUAGUCUGCUAAAUCCUUUGGUACGCUUUAGGUAAGGUGGGGUCAUCACAGAAACAUAGACAAAAAUACAAUUAUCUCCAUGUUGGACUUGUGCAAGUGGUAGCUGAACCUCUAACCCAAGAAGAACUAAACACAUCUCUAUAUCUCUAUCUCAAGGAUUGUAGAUUUUUAAAUUUCAAUGACUUCUUGCUUGAAAUUGUGGAAACAAGCCUAUGCGAAGGACUAGUUUACUUUGACUAUUUCCCGAACUUCAUCAUGUCUCUCCAGGAUAGAAAUAUAUUGGACACACCAAUAUUAAAUUUAAAAAUAGCUAACUGCAAGACCAAAACUAGAUAUCAAAUGUUACUAUUAUAUACAGGAUUCAAUACAAAGUAGUGAGCUCACCCUUCAACACAAGAGCUCUAAAAACAGUAGUGAAAGAAGAAAUAGUCCUCUUCCAAACAGAUCUUGCUAGAUCUAGAAUAUCUAUCCACAAAUCCAUCACUUGGGAUUAAGUAUUCUUGCUAGAUGAUUGAGUAUUGCCAGAUGUAGCUCCUAUAGUACCAGCCCCAAUAUGACAAUCCCAAGCAUUAAACAAUUUUGGGCUAGAGCUGUUUAGAUCAAGCUUGAUAGAUCAUACAACUUUAGGGCAUCUUCAGUUAGUACCAUAAUUGAUGCUCCAGUCAAAUAUUCUACCUCAGGAAGACGAUUGGUUUCCUCUAUCCAGAAUCUAGAUCUAUGUCCAAGAUUCCCCAAGCCAAAUAUACUAUCCAAACAAAAGCCCCUUUAAAGUCAUGAGAACUUGUCUGAUGACAACACAGAACAUGGAGGCUUUCCCAGAUCUCCUACAUAUUCAACCAUGAUUGAUAAUCCUGUAUUUGGAGAAAUGAGAAUUCUCAAUGCCAAGUACCACAUAGACAAACAAACUCUCAAGGCAAAAUUCAAUGCAAAUCACAAACUCUCAGUCCAAAAGGCAAUGGUUUGGAAAUUUAUAGAUGAAUCAAAACUAUUGGAGCACUGCAAAUCACAACUUGGAGAAAGACUUUGAUGAGAAGAACAUCUCUACCAAGGCUAGGCCUAUACAUAUGAAUCGAGAAUUAUUGGAACACUGCAAGUAGGAGAUAAGUGAUCUAUUAGCUAAAGGAUCAUUAGUCCUAGGCAACGUCCAUGAAAAUACCUUCCAUUCUAUGUCAAGAAACAGUCAAAAAUUGAAUGAGGAGUUCCACAUCUUGUAAUCAAUUACAAGGCACCUAACAAGGCCUUUUGAUAGAUCAGAUAUCCAAUCCCAAAUAAGAUUGAUCUUCUCCGACAGCUCUACUCUACAAAAUCUUCUCAAAAUUUGACUUGAAGUCAGGAUUCUAAAAGAUACAGAUCCAUUCUUCAAAUAGUUAUAAAACAACAUUCAUUGUGCUAUUCGGGCAUUAUGAGUGGAAUGUCAUGCACUUUGCUCUCAAAAAUGCCCCUAUGAGUUCUAGAGAAUCAUGAACACUAUCUUUAAUCUUUAAUAUACCUUUAUCACUGUUUACACUAGUGAUGUCUUGGUUUCUCGAACAACAUAGAUCAACACUUCAAACAUCUAAAUACCUUUUCUCAUAUUAGUCAAAAGAAUGGAUUGGUAGUCUCUCAGAAAAAGAUUAGCCUUUUCCAAACCAAAAUCCGAUUCCUGGGCCACUACAUUCAUCAAGGAACUAUUAUUCCAGUAAAAAGGCCAAUCGAAUUUGCAAACAAAUUUCCUACUCAAAUCCUUGAUAAACAACAGCUUCAAUGGUUUCUUGGUUGUCUCAACUAUGUUAUGGACUUACCAUAGACCUCAUCAAUUUAGUCAAAUCCUUAUAUGAUAGACAUAAAACCUCUCUGCCUUCAUGGACCUAUGUCCAUACUAACACUGAUAGAAAAAUUAAAACCCAAGUCAAAUCCAUUACUUGUCUCGCUGUUUCUGAUCCAACUCCACCCAAAAUGGUCGAAACUAACGCCUCAAGCAUUGGCUAUGGUGGUGUUCUAAGCAAUUAAAAGUUAAUAAAGAACAACUAAUUCCUUUUGCUUCUAAACAAUGGAAUAGUUUGCCAUGCACAUGCGUGCACACACACACACACACAUGUAGCAAAAUAUUUGACAUGAUUCAAAGAUGGAUUGGAGUUGACAAAACAAACAAGUGUAGCUUUCUAAGCAGAAAACAUGGCCUAAAUACAUGUGGCAAUCCACAUUUUACCCUCGUUUUGGAUUGAAGUAGAAAAAGACUAACAAAAUACUAGAAAAGCAAAAUCGUAAGGCAAUACGCGACCCCUGCCCCCAUAUAUUGACCCUGCAUAUUCAUGAGAUGACUGUGCAACUUGCACAGCCAUUUGCUCAAUUUUCUUACACCUUUCCAGCUGAAUUCCAGAUUGAAUUUUGGCUGCAGCUACAAGAGGAAUAUUGUGGAGCUUAAGGAGAAAUUUAACUUUAUGCCAUUACAAUUUUUCCUAGCUUUUUCUUCUAUAAAAACACAUUGUAUUGGAGGAUCAAGGGGAGUGAUAAGAUAAUCUUUAAAGAUUUUGUAGGGCCUUAAGAGAGGUAGAAGAAAAAAAUUGAGAGCUUGGUAGAUUGAAGUAAAAGUUGUGAGAGGAAACUUGUGGAGCUUAUUUCAAAAUCUUGAAUAAGAAUUUAUCAUUGUUUACUCCUUAAAUUCUUGUUAUCAAUCAUGCCUUGUUUCAUGAGUUUACUAUGCUUAAAUAUGCUUAAUCUUAUGUCUAGCUCAGCUACUUUCUCCUAGGGUGAAGAUGAACUUGUUUGUAUCAUGAUAUGAAGUAAUUAGUGAUUGAUUUGUGCCAUCUUGUGAACUUGUUAGUUCAUGUCUCUAUGCUUUAUAUUUGUAGUUAUUUGGUCACCAACUAUUAAUCACUUAUUAUGCAUUAAAUGUUCUCAUGCAAGUGUAGGUCAAGAUUCAUGAACCCUAAAGAUCAUGUUCACGAAAGUAAGAGAUGCAUUCAGGUGGAUUUGAUUUUAACUACUUCAUAGAUCUUAAUGAACUUAUAUUAAGUUAUCUCAUUAUGCAAAUAGGUGAAGACUUUGUGUAUAUUUGGAUAAUGGCUAGAGAAUUAUUCAAAUAAAAUUGAAAAGCAUCCUUGAGAAGUCAUAAGUUAAAGGCAUAAAUCAACCGAAUUAUUUCUUGAUCUUGAGCAACAAGGUAUUCGCAAAUCCUAGGAAGUUCUUCUACUAAUUUCUCCAUUGUCAAGUUAUUAGUUUUAAUUAGUAUAAUUGGUAGUAAAUUACUUUUAUUUCAUUUCUUGAUUGUUUAGAUCAUAGAUUAAGUUAAAAAGCCUUAGUAAUUAACUAAUCUCUUAUGGAAUCGACCCUAAUUAUCACUAUAACCUGUAUACUUACAAAAUAUCAAGGUAAUUGGACUUAAUUAAUUAGAUAAUUGUGUUUAAUUAGUUGAUUUGGCAAAUAUCUGGUGUUUCAAUGAAAUAAGGAUAAUUUGAUAAUCCUGUAGUAAGUAUAGUAUAUAUUUGAUUGCAAGAACACUUACCAAUUCCCCAUUAAUAAAUUUGGUUAAAGUUACAACCUGCUCUGAAAUUCAAAACUUCUAUUCCUUUUUACAAAUCAAAGCACAAUUUUUUAGAUCAAUUUUAAAUAUAGUCAAUGACAGCAAGCACAAGAAGACGUGAAGAAUAAAUCUUCUUCAUGUAAUGCAUUUUCCAGAAAGUUUCUUCAUAAAACAUUUCAUCGAAUCAAAUGGACAGUACUAACGGUUUGAACAAUGAGCAAGUUAUGGAAAAGCUUCUACACAUGCAAGUUGUGAAAAACAUGUUACACCAGCAAAUGAAUGGUACUUGCAUACGUGAAGCAGUGGCUCACAGUUGCCCAAAACUUAUCAUCAACUCUGAAAUCAGCUACAUAAAGCAAGGUCCGAAUCAUAUUCUGAGCACAAUUGCACUGAAUACUUCCUAGACAUAACACACACGUUGCAGCUCAAAAUGAAGCAGUCACUCCUCUUUCUUUCAUUUCUUCUCUUGAACUCUUUCCUUUCUUUUGCUGCUGAAAAGCCUAACCCAGUGCUCGACCAUGACGGGGACGAAAUCCGCGCUGGUGUCGAGUACUACAUCGUGUCCUCCAUAAGGGGUGCUGGCGGUGGCGGCGUAACUUAUGGCAGGAGCAUCGGCAAUGAAAGUUGCCCUCUGCCUGUUGUUCAGGAGAAACUUGAUCUCUUACGAGGCCAUCCAGUAACUUUUACACCGGUGAACUCAAAAGAAGGCGUGGUUCGUGUUUCCACUGAUUUAAACAUCAAGUUCUCUAAAGCAGCACCUGUUUGCAAUGAAUCAAAUGUGUGGAAGCUUGAUUUUGACGAAGAACUUGGACAACACUUUAUACUGACUAAUGGAGUUGAAGGGAACCCGGGAUGCGGAACCAUACACAAUUGGUUUAAGAUUGAAGGGCCAUAUCAUAAAAGUUAUAGGCUUGUUUUCUGUCCCACGGUUUGCAACAUCUGUAAUGUGAUUUGCAAAGAUGUUGGCGUCUUUUCUGAUCGACGACUGGCUUUGGGUGGCACUAGGUCUUUCACGGUUUUUAUCCAAAAGGCUCGAAGCAUGAAAAAUGCAGAUAUUCUUAAGUCCAUUUCCUCUGCUUUCCGUUUCAAGUAAGCGCUAUAAGGAAGCCAUGUAUCGUUUAUUCUCGAUUGAAUAAUGUACGACUCUGUAUGAGUUUCAACUCAUAACAUUAAAAUGGUAAAUAAAUGAGUUGCUACUUUAUUCAGCAUUAAUACUUGUCAAUUGUCAUCCUUACUAUUCAGUAUGAUUGUUGUUUUCAUUCCCAUGUUAACAAACUUGAGAAAUUCAGAAUCCAAAGAACAUGCAAUGUUAGAAACUUCCAAAAAUGUCACUCAAACUAGAAGAUUAUGUGGGAGAUACUCGUUAGCAUUUUCCGUGGGAAAAAGUUUUCUGCAUAUUCAUUUGUACAAAAUGGAAAGUAAUUUACAAUCAACCCAAGGGACAGUUAUAGACAUUCCUUCAAAACAAAAUAAAAAGAGUUAAUUACAUUUACCUUCCUUGAGAUUGACCAAACUACUUACCAAACCAUGAGGUUUAGCAAUAUUAUGGUCUCCCCCUAUCACUAACUAACACCGUCUAUGCACGACAAAAAGAUGCUGUAAGAUUACAAAAAUACCCUAUGCGUUCAACAAAACAACAACAAACAUGAUAAACAAAUCACUAGUAGAUAACUAAAUCUGACCAAAACAAAAAAACAAUAGAACAAGUAUGAGCAACUAAAUCCUCAGCCUGCUAAAGAUAAGAUAAAAAAGCCAAAAGAAAAAAGACUAAAAAAAUCCACAUCCUCAAAAAAGGAAAUAAAAAAAACCAAAGACCUUCUCCUACCACUCUCAGCUUUCUCCAUAGCAACAGAUUCUAGCACCAUUACUUUUCUUCACCCAAUUCCUACUUCAAUAUUUCCUCCAUUUGCUGAAUCAUCAACCGCUGACCCCCCCCAAAAUCCACCAUCAAGAAUUCUUAUCCAAUGGUCCCCUAAAUUUCCCACCCGCAAUCGCCUUCUAAUCCAUCAAAAACAACUGGAAAACGUGCUAGAACUGCAGUUGCCAUUGUUGUCAUGAGCACCACGGAGGCUUUUACAUAUACACAUGGUAAUUUAGCCUUGGGUUAUUCUGGUUCGGAUUUUCUCUAUGCAAUUGCAUAUAGUUAUCUUAUGCGAAUUAGAAGAGGAGAAAAAAAAUAAAUUGUGGGUUAAGAAGUAGGCAGAUCAGAGAGAAUGUGUAGAGAGUGGAGAAGAAAGAUGACAAGUUUCUGUGUUUUUUUCCAGAGAAAUACCAGAGCUAGGGCUGUUUUAUUGCCUAUAUUCGAUUUAGAAUUUUUUUUGGGACUACUCUAAUGUUCAAAUAAAGAAAAUAUGAUAAGUUUGAUGUUUUGUCAAUGAAAGUAAAAGCUUGGUGGUGGCAGAACCAACGAUUCUAGUAUUGAACGGACAAAGGAAUAAGAAUGGGGCUUUGGGUGGGGCAUGUGGUAAUAUGGGAAUUUGGAGAAGCUAGCAAUAUGUUUGUUAAAAUUAAGGGUCUGUCGGCAGGUGUCUUAACUGCUUCAAAUUCAUUAGAAUGGAGGAUCUUUUCGUAAUAUUAUCAAACCUCGGGGUUUGAUUUAUAGUUUAGUUAAACUACAAGGGAGGUAGAAGUAGUUAACCCAAAUUAAAACAGUAAUUUAGCUUGUUAUUAUUACAAGUUAAUCCCAAUUCCUUGCACGCCUCCGGAUACAAAGCCUUCCUUAUCUCAGCAUACACCUCCCUUCAACCGUUCAUCUGCCAGCUCAUUUGCUUUUUCCUCUGCAACUUUCAGUGCAUCCGUUCCGGAAUCUGCUACUUCUACAUUAAACUUCAAGUCUCUAUAAACAUUUACGGUAAGCCAGGGUAGCCAACCUUUGACUUAAUCAGAGCGCGAAGUAGGCUGUUAAAGUCAUCUGUUUGGCAAACGAACUUGCGAUGUUAGAGUUUAUUUGUUCAUUCUAAAAUAUAUAUAUAUAUAUAUAUAUAUAUAUGAAAAUUUCGUGUUAAAUUUUACAAAAUAAUUCUUAUUUUGAGACAUCCGAAAGGUGAAAACAUUAAUUUUGUACGUGGAAUGAGUAAUACAUAACGAUGACCACUUAGCUCUAGAACAGAGACAUGCACUACAAGUGCACUCUCUUAUUUUGCCAGUGGUGCCCGAGACAGUUCUAAGGCCACAUAGCCCAACUUGUACCAUCAGCCAUGUAUAAUUUUCCUUUCUCUGCAGAGUCUUCUCACAUUAAUUCUGGUUGAUUUGCUAGUUUUCCCCACACAGUAAUGGCGAUAGGCUGAGGCUCCACUAACGUUCAUAUCCUUCCACAAUCCUUCUUCCCCACAACCCCACAGCCAGGACAUUUUAACUGUGCUGCCAUCCGCAUUUACAUUUGGUCCCCAACUACAAGAAAUUGAUACUACAACUUUUGGGCAGAAUAAAAAUGUUGCAAAAUCUAAUAUGCUACAAAGAAAGUAGUAGAAGGAGCAUGAUGUGUCAAAUGUCUGAUUAUUUAACUCACAAUUCAUGCUAAAAUUAUACAUGAAUUACAGUACAUCGUGUGUAAACGAGGGCAUUAGAAGAGAAAAGUUCGCUCAUAUUAAAGAAGAUAAAAUGAAAAUCUUGAACCACUCAAUCAUUUAUGAUCAAAAUAUUUCUACAAAUAAAUUACUAUUUGUUAGAAUUAUUGGUCGUGUAUUAUGGGAUUGCCUAAAGUCAGAAAGUUGGUGAUAAAUAAGAGCAGUGAAAGAAACAGCAGAAGUGGUACAUGUGGGGUGGGAGUCUUAAUUCAUGGAUAAGUGAAAAAGCCAAAUUUCAUCAUCAUGAAUUGACUUGAAAAAGAAACAUGGAAGUGAAUGGAAUGGGAAACCUAUAGAAAAUUUCAUCAUUGUCAAAGGUUGUUGGUUUCAAACCCGAUUUGUGAAUACUUGAAGAAGGAAAAAAGCAAUGCAGUAAAAUAAGAUAAAUUAUUAUUUACCCCUUAUAGUUUUGCAUACAAUCACAUCACCCCUUUAAUGUUUUCAAUUAUCCACAUCCCUAUCUUGUUUAAUGUAAAAUGAAAAGUGGAUGGAAAGUAAUUCCAAUUACGACGAUUGACAUAGACACGCUCCAGAAAUGCAUGUGCUGAUAUUAUGCUUGAGUUUAUUUAAAUGGUGUAUUUUUGGAGAUGUUUGUCUAAAAUUUAAUGUAACUCAUCACAGUUGUUUUAAAAAAUAUUGGUGUUUAGUUUAAGGAGCAAUACGUUCAUAUCCUUAUACAAUCCUUGUUCCCUACUACCCCACAGUGUUAGGACUGGCCCUAGAAAAUUGAUAAAAGGAUUUUUGACAAUCCCAAAAGAUACAUAACAAAGCAGAAAUAAAUAAGACAAGAACAUAAGAAUUUAUGUGGUUCGGUCAAAUUAAUCUACGUCCAUAGGCGGAGGAGAGCAAACUUUCACUCUAAAGAAGAGAGUACAAAAAUUUUUAGAAAAUGUAUUUUAGACCCAAACUACCUAAUACUUAAAAUACAAGAGAGCCCAAUAUAUAUUUUACUUAAUAAAAGGUUUAAUGAACCAAAGGUCCAACUAGCCCAUUUAAAUGUGUCUUAAUUUGGUGCACUUAAUCGCAUCAAAAAUCCACUCUAUUUAUAGCCAACUAAGAGAAAAAACUCCCUUACAAAAAGCGAUGUGAGACAAAACUGCAUCUAACAAAUCUCUACCUUGACUUGUUCCCAAAAUCGACAAUAGUAAAUCUGCUUCACCUUCUCUACAUAAGCUCCUAUGGACCUAAAUCACCAACAACGAACACUAAUCAAGUCCAAGCACUGCUUGAAAUUGUAAACUAGAAGAGGUUUCGUGAACAUAUCAACAAGAUUCUCCUUGGUAUUAAUUUUCUGAAUAAGGACUUUUCUCUCAGCAAUAGUAUCUCGAAUGAAGUGAAACUUCACAUCAAUUUGUUUUGUUCUCUCAUGAUACAUCUGGUCUUUAGUCAAGUGAAUGACACUUUGACUAUUAUAGUAAAUAGUAAUAACACCUUAAGAUAGACUAAACUCGCCAACAAACCCUUCAACCACAAGACUUCUUUGAUUGCCUCAAUCACAGCCAUAUAUUAUGCCUUUAUAGUUGAUAAAGCGACAACAGGGUGUAAAGUACCUUUCCACCUAACUGUGUAACCACCAAUGCAGAAUACAUAAUUUGAAAGUGAUCUUCACUUGUCAAGAUCUCUAGUAUAAUCAGAGUCUACAAAACCAAUCAAAGUGUCAUUGAGUUUGUUUGGAUUGCAUUGAUUUCAAAUAAAAAAAUUUACUUCACAAAUUUCAACCACCUUUUUAUCUUCCCAAUCACCUUUUUAUCUAAUAUAUAUCACAUCACAAAAAGUGCUACAGUAAUUAUCUCAAAUAAAUUAUCCAAAUAAACUCUUAUCCAAACAAACUCAUUGUUUCUCCCAAACUCUAAACAACAGUUUGAAAUUCCUCGCAAGUAUCUGAGAAUCCACUUUACAAUCUGUCAAUGUGUUUUUUCAGGACAAGACAUAUAUCUACUAACAACACUAACUGCUUGUACGAUAUUUGAAUGAGUACAAAUCAUUGCAUACUAUCGACUGCACUGGAAUAGGGAACCCGUGCCAUAUAAUCUUUCUCUUCAACUGAUUGUGGUGACUAAGCAACAGAUAGUCAAAAAUGACUAGUAAGAGGAGUAGUCACAGGUUUAAAAUUUUUCAUGCCAAAUUUCACCAAAACUUUUUCAAGGUCAUUUUCUUGGACCAAGAAUAACUUUCCAACUCCUCGAUCUCUAUUGCCAAGAAUUUUUUUUGCUAUUCUCAUAUGUUUCAUUUCAAAUUCACUGAUUAACUGCAACCUCAAAGCAUGAAUUUCUGGCAAAUUCUUGGCAGCAAUAAACAUGCCAUCAACAUAAAAUAGCAAAUAAAUGAAAGAACCAUCAUCUAACUUCCGAAAGUAAGCACAACUAUCAUACAUGCUUCUUGAAUAACCACGACCUAACAUGAAAGUAUCAAUCUCUUAAACCACUGUCUUGGAGACUGCUUCAAUCCGUAUAAGGAUUUUUCCAAUAAAUAAAUAUAUUCUUCCUUUCCUUCAAUUUCAAAUCCUUGAGAUUGUUUCACAUAGAUUUUCUCUUUAAAUUUGCCAUGUAAAAAAGUUAUCUUAACAUCAAACUAUUCCAACUCUAAAUCAUAUAUGACAAUCAAAGCAUGCAAAACACGAAUAGAGCUAUAUUUAACAACAGGAAAAAAUACAUCAUUAAAAUCAAUACCCUAUACCUGACUGUAGCUCUUUACAACCAACCAUACUUUGUAUCUUACAUCUUCAAUCUCUAGAAUACCUUCCUUCUUCUUGAAGACCCAUUUGCAUCUAACAAUUUUCUUAUUUGAAAGCGGCUUUACAAGAACUCAAGUUUCAUUUUGGUGAAGAGGCUCAAUUUCUUUAUUCAUCGCAAUCAACCACUUAGCAGAAUCAUCACAAAAAACUGCCUCUGAAUAGGUAGUGCCAUCAGUUUUUUCUGCAACAAACAAAGUAUAUACAACCAAAUCUAUAUAUCCUUGUGGUGAUCGAAUAUCCCUCCUUGGUCUAUCUUUGGCUAUAGAAUAUUGCUCCUCUUCAGGAUUAUUCUCAUCAGCAGAUUCAAGUCCAUCUACUGGCAAUUAUUGAAUAGAAGAAUCACAACUACCAAUCUCAAGUUUCACCUAUUUCUACAUAUUAUCAUUUGCAUGACAAGAACUAGAAGAUUUCUUCUUGGAAGAUAACAUAGAAAAUUCAUCAAAGUUACAUCUCUACUGAUCAUAAUUUUAAAAAUUUGGGAUCAGGACACCCAAUUAUACCCUUUCACCUAGAAGCAUACCCAAGAAAAAUACACUUUUAAUUUGAGACUCCAAUUUUAUCAUUUACAUGCAUGUAUGAUAGAUACCCAAAAUUUGUAAAUUGAAAUAAUCAACAUGAGUACUUGACCAAACUUUCUUAAGAGUUUUGAAAUUAAGAGUUGCUGAAGGAGUACAGUUAACAGUAUAACAAGACAUAGAUAUCACCUCUGUCCAAGAGUCCUUUGUCAACCCUGAAUUAGAGAUCAUAUGCUUUACUCUCUUUAAAAGUGUUCUGUUCAUAUGUUCAACAACGCCAUGUUGUUGAGGCGUAUCUUGACAGUACGAUACUGAACAAUUCUUCAUUCUUGCAAAAUUUAUCAAAUUCACCUUCAUAAAAUUUCAUGCCAUUAUCCGUUCUAAGCUGCUUAAUCUACUACUUGUUUCUCAAUCAAAACUUUGCAUUGUUUGAAAGUGAGGUAAACAUCAUUUUUAUAUUUAAGAAUAUAAAUCCAAACUUUUCUUAAAUAAUCAUCAUUGAAAGUCAACAUAUAUUUGACACCACCCUUAGAUGGAACACGAGAUGGAUCCUAUAAAUAUGAAUGAAUAUGAUCAAAUGUACCUUUCUUCUUAUGAAUUGCUGGUAAACUGAAACUAACUCUUUUCUACUUCCCAAAAAAAUAGUGAUCAUAGAGUUUCAAUGAUCAGUAUUCUGACCGCAAAGAAGUUCCCUUUUGCUUAGCAUGUCCAAACCUUUCUCGCUUAUAUGUCUCAAACGUAUAUGCCAUAAUUUGGUGAUGUCAGAAUCAGAUAAACAUGAUGAUGGCAAAACUAUAAGCGGAUAGUAGAUCCCUGCAAAACAUACAAACUACUAGACCUGUAAACUUCUUUAUAACAACAAGAGCACAUUUAGAAACCUUCAAAAUGCCAUUUCAACUAUAUAUUUGCUCCAAGAGCCUCCAAGAUCCUCAAAGAGAUGAGAUUCUUUUUCAAAUUAGGAAUAUGUUUAACGUUAGUGAGCAUCCUCACAGUACCACCAUGUAUUUUAUUCGAACAGUAUCCUUACCUACAAAUCACAAAUGACAUUAUUAUCCAUCAAAACAAUUUCACCAUUACAAGAUUCAAAAGUGGAAAAUAAAUUUUUAUCGGGACACAUAUGAUAAGAGCACCUUGAAUCUAAAAGUUAUUCAUGUUUAGACCUUGUCCUUACAUUAAUCACAAAGAAAAUAUUUCCUUCAUUCUCAUCAGCUGCAACACAAGCUUCAACAGUUUUAGUGUUUUUCUCAUCAGAUUUCUCCUUUUGCUUUAAUAUUUUUCAAUUUAAAACAAUUUCCCUUAAUAUGCCCCAUUUUGUGAUAAUAAUUGCACUCCAAAUUUCUAUGUUUGAAUUUAGAUCUAAAUUUAGAUCUACUACUAUUAAAUUCUCUUUUCUCAGCUUUGCCCCUAGCAACCCUCCGCCUGACCUUCAUUAUUUCUUCCGAUAAUAUUCUUGUCUAUUUGCUCCUUAAAUUUUAAUGCAUAUUUAAUUUUUCGAUACGAAUUUAAAGGACUGGUGAAAGGAACACAAAGUAACAGGGCCUAAUUCUCAUCAUCAAUUUUUGAAUCUAUAUUCUCCAAAUCCAUAAUAAUAGAAUCAAAUUUUUCAAGAUAUGAGAGUACAAACGUACCUUCAGUCAUGCAAAGUAUAUACAAACUUUGCUUUAAAUAAAGCCGAUUCUUAACUGUCUCUUCAUGUACAAAACUUUAAAUUUGUCCCAUAUGACCUUUGUUGAAAUUAUAGUGGCUACGUCUUGUAAAAUCUCAUCAGAGAGAUUUAAAAUAAUACUGAACCGAGCCUUCUUAUCUAUCUCAGCAAAAUUUGUAUCUGUUACACUUUCUGGCUUUUUUGCAAUUCCCUAUAUCGUUAAAUCAACUCCGUCUUGAACCAAUAUGCCCUCCAUCUUAAGCAGCCACAUCCGAAAUUCACAUUCUUGUUGAAUUUCUCGAUAACAGUCUUUGUUAUUGUCAUUGUUGCCACAAAAUUCAAAGGCUCCGAAAAAAUUCUGAUACCAAUUUGUUAGGACUGGUCCCAAAAAAUUAUAAAAGUGUUUUUCGCUAUCUCAAAAGACAAAUAACAAAAUAGAAAUAAAUAAGAUAGGAAUAUAGGAAUUUAUGUGCUUCGAUCAAAUUGACCUACCUCUAUAGAUAAAGGAGAAGCAAAUUUUCACUAUAAAGAAGAAAGUACAAAAAUGCCUUAGAAAAGUAUUUCUAAACCCAAAAGACCUAAUACUUAAAAUAUAAGAGAACCCAAAAAAUAUUUUACUUAAUAAAAGGUUUAAUGACCCAAAGACCCAAAUAACCCACUAAAACUCUCUUGAUUUUGUGUACUUAAUCCGAUCAAAAGCCCACUUUACUUAUAGUCAACUAAGGAAAAAGGCUGCCCUACAAAAAGUGAUGUGGGACAAAGUCACACAUAACACAUAUCUAGUCUGUGCUGCCAUCUACAUUUACAUUUGGUCCUCAACUAUAAGAAAUUGAUGUUUCAACCUUUGUGCAGAAUAAAAAUCUUGCACAAUCUACUAUGCUACAAAGAAAGUCAUAAAAGGAAAUGCCUGAUUUUUAUCUCACAAGCCAUCCCAAUAAGUAUACAUGAAUUAUAUACUUCAUGUAUGGAUGAAGGCAUUAGAAGAGAAAAGUCUAGCUUAUACUAAAUAAGUUAUAUGAUGCAACAAAAUUUCAUCAUCAUGAAUUGGCUCAAAAAAGAAAUGUGGAAGUGAAUAGAAUGCAAACUUGUACAAAGUUUAGCCAGACGUGGUUGGUUUCAAACCCGAUUGUGAAUACUUGAAGAAGGAAAAAAGCAAUGUAGUAAAACAGGUAAAUUAUUAUUUACCCUUUUGUAGUUUUGCACCUUUUUUUUAUAAAUCCAUACAUAAGGGAGGGAUGACACCCCUAAUUUAUUAUUAAAAUACUAGAAAAAAUAAGGGGACAUAAACCAUAUCUCCAAAAUACAAAGCAAAAUUAAACCCAAAACGAGAAGUUCUACUCCCUUUUAAGGCCUUUGAUCGACACUUCCUAAUGGAAGGCAAACCUAUCUUGUCUAAUCUAUAAGCUCUCUGAGCCAGCAAUGAAACAUACACUGGUUGAUAUACUUAAUACUCGAGUCCAAAGCACCAACAAUGGAGAGAAUAUUAGAAACUUGAUUAACUUCUGGGAAACAAUGAAUAACUUGCAUGAGAUGAGAACUUAAUGCACAAAUCUAGUGUAUUUCAUGAUAUAUACUUCAUGGACAAGCUGCCCCAUUGAGUCCAACUCAACGUGAAAGUUUGUGAACUCGUGAACAAUACAUUGUUGAAGUCAAAUCAACAGUGCUUGAGUCUCUGAUUGAACACUCGUAGCAAUUUCAAAAUGAGAAGAAAAAGCAAGCAACAAAUCACCAUUGUCAUUCCUAAGCACACCUCCUCCACUGAGACUUGGAUUUCACUUCGAACAACUGUCUGUAUUCAACUUAAUUGUACCAAAAGAUGGAUCCAACCACCUAACAACUUUGUAAGUAAAUUGUUGUUUAAAGGAAGAGACUUCAGCAUAGAAGUGCUGCCAAGAGAUCGAAAGAAAAUUUUUCUUAGGAAAUUGCAAACUAAACAGCCCCUUAAUGUCCUCAAAUAUUCUAGAAGCAAUAGCUAAGAAUUCCAGCUAGAUCCCCUCAAUAACAUAAUAAUAAAUUACGUGCCUUCUAGAGGUGCCAGCAAAUUAGACCUAGAGUAACCUGAUGGACAAAAUCAAGAUACUUGUUCCAAUGAUCACCAUAUCACCAAGGCUACAAUAGUAGCUCUGAUUGAUAAGCCAACUUGAGACAUACCACAUAUAGCCCAAAAACUUUCAAACCUGAACUGCUAACUCACCUGAGUAGAAAAUAUGAUCCAGAAAUUCCACAUUUGAUUCCAAGCAACAAAAACACUUUGAAGGGUCAUGGAAACCAAACUUUAUUAGUGUUGAAUCCAAAGGCAACCUAUUGCGCAACAAAUAAAGCAAAAGGAAGGAAAUCUUCAAAGGAAUCAUUGGAUGCCAAAUCUUACUAAGCAUAAAAGAACAAGGCAAUUGAUCAUGAACCAAUUGGAAUGCAAACUUCAAAGAAAAGACGCCUGUAUAAUUUGGAGAUUAAACCAUUACAUCUUCAAGAUUAGAAUCAAGAAAACAAGUUCUCAAAAUAUCAACAAGAAUAUCCAGAGAAACCCAAUGCUAUAACAAGUUAACAUUUUGUUAUGACUGUAGACCAGUUAUUGGUUAUUCAUUGGAAAAUGCGAAUAUAAUUCUUUUAGGUAGUCAAAUGGAAUCUUUCUUGUUAGCUAGGCAAUUAUGUUGAGUUAGCAAAUAACUAACAAAGAAGGAAGAGAUAUGUUAUAUAAAGGGAGUAGAGUAGCAAGAUUGAAGGGGGUUGUUGAUCAUCAUUUUCUUUUUGGAAUAAUAUGUUCCUUUCUUCUUCUUCAAGUUACACUUUCUCUCUCUUUUUUCUCUUUAAUUCUGCUACAACAUAGCAGCAUUCUUUACAAUGGUAUCAGAGCUUCUGGUCCUUAGACUAGGAAGCUUGAUUCACUACCAUGGCAGAAGGUACAUGUCCCAAAACAAUUGAGGAACAGGUUAAGAAGCAAGAAGCAAGAUUGCAGACUUUCAUGCAUUCCACCAGUGAGACUCUUAAAUCCAUGGAAGAGAAGAUGACGGCUAACUCCAUAGAAUUGAAAGCUCUCAUAGCUAGUGUUGCAGCACAGAUUGAAGGAAACAAUAGGAAUUCUCAACAAGAAAGAGGAAUUCUUGCCACUCCCACAAGUUCUAUGCAAGGUAAUUCUAGACAAGGGUAGAUGAAUCAAGAUAGAGGAGAAAGAAAUGGCUUUAUCCCUGGGAUGCCCAAGCUAGAGUUUCCCAAGUUUCAGGGGAUCAAGUGAGGGAUUGGUCCAGAAAUGUGAGACUUUCUUUCAUCUUUAUGGCAUUAUGGAUUUGCAGAAGAUGUUUAUUGCAGAAAUGCAUUUGAAGGGAAAGCCAAUGUUUGGUUCCAGAGAUUCAAAAGAGAUAAAGGGACAAUGGCAUGAGAGGAAUUCAAAGGGGAUGUAAAUCAAAGAUUUGGAACCCUUGGUGAUGAGGAUAGGGUAGAAGAAUUUAACAAGCUAUAGCAAUCUUCCACAGUAAUGGCAUAUCAAGAGAGAUUUGAGGAGUUGAGGGCCAUAGUCCUACUCAAAAAUCCCGAUUUGAGUGAAAGUUAUUUUGUUUCAAGCUAUUUAAGUCGGUUACAAGAACAACUCAAGGCUUUGGUCAAGAUGUAUAAACCCCAGACCCUACAAGAAGCUUUUGAGGUUGUAAGAUGGCAAGAAAAGUCACUAGAGGUCAUUUUCAAGAAGAAUAAGACAGUAAACAGAUUCUCCCUACCUUCACAGUUGAGUUCCAAUGGAGGGUUGGCCAUGAACAGAUCUACUAUAGCCAAUGCAUCAUCCACCAGAGAGGGAGUUUCCAAGAAACCAGGUAAUUCUACUCAACAAUUUAAGAAAAUCACUCCCACUGAGUUCUAAUACAUGAAAGAAAAUAACUUGUACUUUACGUGUGAAGCCAAGUUUGGGCCAGGUCAUGUGUGUAAGAACAAAGGAAUACAUGUGUUUAUUGCUACUGAUUGGGAAAGAGAUGUAUAUGAAGAAGAAGUAAUAGAAUAUGAGGGAACAGUCACAAACAGGAUAUUGAAUUGUCCUUACAUUCAAUCACUGGGAAUUUAUUUUCUAGCACCACUAAAUUGGUGGGGAUGGCUAGGGACUUUGAAAUUUCCAGUAUGUUGGAUGGUGGGAGCUCUAAUUGUUUCCUUAAGAAGUCAGUUACUCAGAGAUGGCAUGAACUUAUCAAGCAAUACAAACCUUUUAAAGUCAGAAUUGCAGAUGGUUAGGAGCUUUGUUGCAGUUAGUCGAUACCAGGUUUCCAAUAGAAUAUGCAAGGGCAAAAGUUUUGUCACAAUGUAUACCUCUUAAAUCUGGAGCCACAUGAUCUAAUUUUAGGGGUGGACUAGAUGAAGGCUUACAGUCCCCUAACAUUUGACUUCAAAAAACUACAGGUCUCAUUCAGUAGAGAUGGUGAACUAGUGAAAUUACAAGGAGAUGAAGGCAUUGCAAAAACCAGGAUGGCUAAGGGGAAUGUGGCCCAAAGAUACACAAGGAAGAAGCUAAAGCAGGCAGCGUAGGCAUAUCUGACCAACACCACUCAAUUACAGGUAAUCACAACUCCAAAUAUUUUAGAACCUCUGUUGAUUGAGUUCCAAGAUGUAUUUAGUGAGCCCAAGCAAUUGCUCCCUAAAAGAUCAUUGACCAUCAAAUUCCUUUAAAAGUAUAUGCAAAACCCUUCAAAUUGGCCCCUUAUAGAUAUCCCCAUUUCCAGAAAAUAGAAAUAAGAAAACAAGUCAAGGACAUGUUGCACAGUGGCAUUAUCCUACCCAGUCACAGUCCAUUUGCCUCCCCCAUCCUAUUGGUUAAAAAGAAAGAUGGUAGCUAGAGGUUUUGCAUAGAUUACGGACAACUCAAUUCCUAACCAUUAAAGAUAAAUUUCCCAUUCCUAUCAUAGAUGGCAUAUUAGAUGAACUCCAUGGGGCCAAAGUCUUUUCCAAAAUUGAUUUGAAAUUUGGUUAAUACCAGAUUCGCAAGAACCCUCUAGACAUUCCUAAAACUGCUUUCAGAACUCAUUGUGGACUUUAUGAAUUUCUGGUAAUGCCAUUUGGACUUACCAAUGCUCCAGCUACAUUCCAAGCUCUUAUGAACUCAGUAUUUGAACAUUUUCUUAGAAAAUUUGUCUUGAUCUUCUUUGAUGACAUUCUUAUAUAUGGCCUAGACAUGGAAACUCAUAUCCUCCAUCUUAGACAAGUCUUGGAAACUUUAAGAUCCCACACCCUUUUCACUAAGCUCUCUAAAUGUUCCUUUGGACAAAAUCAAAUAGAUUAUUUGGGGCAUGCGGUUACUGGUGAAGGAGUAAGAGCUAAUCCUUCCAAGGUGGAGUGUAUGUUGAAUCGGCCAGAACCUACAGAUGUCAAAGCAUUAAGAGGGUUCCUAGGUUUAAUUGUGUACUACAAGAGAUUCAUCAAAAUUAUGGGUCCAUAGUUAAACCUCUUAUUGAUCUCCUGAAAAUGAUAGAUUUGCCUGGAAUAAAGAUGCUAGUUCUGCAUUUUAUGAAUUAAAACAUGCCAUGAGUCACACACCAGUUCUAGCAUUACCAAAUUUUCAAAACCAUUCAUUUAGAGACAAAUGCCAGUAACCAAGUUAUUAGAGCUGUUCUUAUGCAGCAAGGCCAACCAAUAGAUUAUAUGAGUCAGGCACUAGGAGCAAGAAAUUAGGCAUUAUUUGUCUAUGAAAAAGAGUUGUUAGCCCUGAUUUUUACUAUAAACAAAUGGAGGUAUUACCUGCUGGGGUCUCACUUCAUCAUCAAAACUGAUCAUCAUAGUCUGAAAUACUUGUUAGAACAAAAAAUUUGGACUCCCGUGCAAUAGAAGUGGUUGACCAAACUGAUGGGGUUUGAUUAUGAGACACAGUUCAAACAAGUGAAAGAAAAUGUAGUUACAGAUGUGCUUUUCAAAAAAGGGGAGGGAACACAAGAACUUAGUGCUAUAUCCAUCGCAAGGCCAACUUGGAUAGUUGAUAUAACUGAAAGUUAUGAGAAGGGUCCUAAAGCUAGAGAGCUACUUACUGCAUUAGCAGUUAAUGGCAAAGAAAUGCCAGAAUACUCAUGCAGUAGUGGAGUCAUCAAAUACAAGGGUAGGGUGUAUGUUAGGGCCUUUACUGAACUUAGGCAACAACUUACAGCCUGUAUGUACACGUCAGCAAUUCAAGGACAUUCAAGUAAAUUGGGGACUUACAAGAGAACUAAAACUUAUUUUUUCUGGCCUGGCAUGAAAAAGGAGAUGGAAGAUUUUGUUCAGAACUAUGAUGUAUGUAGAAGGAACAAGAAUGAGAAUUGCAAACUUAUAUUAUAACGGAUGGCUAUUGUACCCUUUUCCGUUGGGUUGUAUUUAAGCUUGGAAGCUGCAUAAUUGUAAGUGUGAGAUAUUUGGAGUACUUUAAUUAUGUAUUGAAGUUAUUUAAAGUAUUUCGAGCUUUUGAAUGAUGGAUUGUAGUGAGUCCUGGCGAGAGCUGGGCAGGCGUCCCGCGGAUACCUUGACCUUGUAAAAUAUCUUAACACCUUGACCUUGUAAAAUAAUAUCACUCAAUACAAAAUUCCUACAAGUUGUCAAAAAUAUAAUGCAUUUACCGCACUAGCGGGUCCCACGUCCAAAAUACGCUUUUAAUUUCUCAAAAACUAACCGAUACUAGAAAAAUCAUUUUAAAACUAUUUUUGCUCAAAACUUUAUUUGGGGAAUUUUUCUAAUCAAGAAAAUGUAGAAAAGGCGGGCGAUUAAAAAAAAAUAAACCCUAGAAAAUUAGAAAAUUUCCGGGUUCUCAAACUCAUUUUUUUCGGGGCGUCACACAACUAGCCUUCAAGUAAAAUUUCGGCAGCAUAUCCCUUGUGUUUACCUAUUUUCCAGCCAUCAUGGCUUCAUUAUUUCCUCAAAUCAGUCCCAACAUCUUGUACAAAAAUAAUCUCAUUCCCAAAAGCCGUUCACUAGGCUUAAUGGUAUUCAAGUACAAAAUUUAGCUAGGAAAUAACCGAAUAUGAAAGUCAAGCCCUAACUAUUCAAAUGAACACAAUAAGACUCGAUUACAAGUCAUAAACCAAUUCUAUAUACUACCAAAACAGGGUUCCCUAAGCAUACACAAACAUUAAAGGAAACCAGAAAAUUCGGAAAUGCAAUUAGCUUUGGCCUUGAAAAAAAAACAGUUUUUGUCCUCGUUUUACGGUAAUGGCACCAAUUUCACUACGAUUAUCGGAUGAGGGUGUAAGACCCACCAUCUCGAAGCUAAAAGACAGGGCUACAACAUCACAGAAGGUCACUCAACCCAGUUUUGAGUGCAAAUAGGUCAAAAAUGCAAGAUACUACAUCAAAAACGUAAAACAGAUUCACCAAAACGCAUUCUAGCGGAAACAUCAUAACUCAGACUCUCCAAGUCCAAAUCCAGAAAUUCCAAAACCAUCUGAAAGCUAAGGAACAGGGCUACAUUUCAUCAGAAGACCUCAACAACCAAUUCGGAAGCAAUUCCAGCCAAAACAACCAAUUACAGGCGCAAUUCUUGCAUUUGGGUAAAACCAGAACAGCAAUAGUAAUUUCGACUUUCUCACUCUACGCUACUCCGAUUGACCUGAAAUUUUGUAGGCACCUCUAAAAUGUCAUUCCAUACAACUGUCAUGUUUUAAUCUAAGGCCAAUUCGGCCUCUAACUAGGAGCUAUAAAUUCGGGCAGAAUGUUCCUUCAUGAACCCUAGGUUUUUCAAUUUUCUUCCAAAACAGAAAUUGGUUGCAAUUAAUCACUUUUUCCACCUUCUAGAUGCCUUAAAUAUCAUUUCCAAUCAUCAUACAUAGCCACACAAUCAUGCUUUUAUUAAAACAGAAAAAUCCCCAAAAAUAAUAAAACUUCAUCAUUUCAACCACAAAUCAAGAAAUAAUCCAUAAACUUGCAUCUUAUACUCCCACUAAGCAUGAUUUAAGCAUCAAUUAAAGGAGGAGGGUGGUUCUUCACAACUUACCUUAAAAACAAGAGAGAGAGAGCUAUAGGUCCUCCUAGCUUUCCAAAUCACUCCACCUAUCAACUUACUAACACUAAUUGAAGAGGUUUUAUGGAGUAAGUUCAAGUUUCAAUGGUUGGUUUUGAUGAUUUGGAGCAAAAUGGAAUCAAAACUUGAAGAGUUUCUUCCUUUCUUUUUGAGAGAGAGGGCCGGCCAACAAGGGAGAAGAAAUGAAGAAUUUUUGGUUGUUUUUUGAUUUCAUUAGUCAAUUGGUAAGACCAUGAAUAGUGGUCUUAAAGGUAGACCACUCAAAUGGUGACACUUGUCACCUUUUAUUAAAUAUCUGCCUAACUUGUCUCUCUCAUAUCAAUCCAAAUUGCAACCUCUACUUAUCUCUUAACACCCGGUAAAUUAAUUCCAGUAUCCAAAACUUAACCUAGUUGGCCGAAUGUUUCCGAACUUUUCGCACUAGUGGGUCCCACGUCCGGUAUACGCUCUUAAUUUCUCAAAACCUAUUCGAUACUAGAAAAAUCAUCUAAAAAUUAUAUCUGCUCCUUAAAUUCAUCUAGCAAUUUUUUUUUCUAAUCACGAAAAUGCGGAAAACAAGCCACGGAAAAUAAUAAAACCUAGAAAAUGGGAAAAAAAAUACGGGUUCUCACAUUCAGUAUUUUAAAAUACCCUCAGGACCAAAAGUGAAAUCAGUGGUUUCUCCUUUUUUCACUUUCUCUCCCCACUUCUGUACCAUCAGAUCCUCCUUUAGAGCUUCUUUAAUCCUCUCCAACAGGGUGGAAGUCACUUUAAUAUUGCCAAAAAUCACCUUAUGGCUCCUAAGGCAGGGUUUCCACUCGCAAACCGACUCGAGCAAAUUCCACUCUUUAAUCAUUAAGCUUGCAACCUGAGCUUUGCGACUUAGGGCAUCGGCCACUACGUUCGCCUUUCUUGGAUGGUAGUUGAUGGUACAGUCGUAAUCCUCCAGAAAUUUCAUCCACCGUCGCUGCCUCAUGUUUAAUUCCUUCUGUGAGAAGAGAUAUUUCAGGCUUUUGUGAUUGGAGUAAACCUCGAAGGUUACCCCAUAUAGGUAGUGUCUCCACUUCUUCAGAGCAAAAACAACUGCAGCUAGCUCCAGAUCAUGGGUUGGAUAAUUCUGCUCGUGAGGUUUUAACUUCCUAGAGGCAAAAGAGAUCACAUUUCGGUUCUGAAUUAAUACACAAUUCAGGCCUUCUCGUGACGCGUCCGUAUACACAACAAACCCGUCACCUCCGUUAGGUAAGACUAGAACUGGAGCCAUGGUCAAUCUCUUCUUUAACUCUUGAAAACUUGUCUCACUUCGAGCAUUCCAAAUGAACCGACCAUGUUUCUUUGUCAAGUCGGUUAGAGGACCGGCCAGUUUAGAAAAGUCCUUGAUGAAACGCCGAUAAUAUCCAGCCAGUCCUAGAAAGCUGCGAACCUCUGUGGGACUUUCGGGCCUCUUCCAAUUAGUCACAGCCUCUACUUUCGCCGGGUCAACGGAAAUUCCCUCAUGAGAAAUUACGUGCCCCAGAAAAGCAAUUUUCUCCAGCCAAAAUUCGCACUUGCUGAACUUGGCAUAUAGUUGAUGGUCUCUCAGGGUUUGCAAGACAAUCCUCAAGUGUUGCUCAUGCUCUUCAUGGGUCUUGGAAUAGACCAGGAUGUCAUCGAUGAAGACCACUACAAAUCGAUCCAGGUAGGGCUUGAAAACCCUAUGCAUAGGUCCAUGAAGGCGGCAGGAGCAUUAGUCAGUCCGAAGGGCAUAACUGCGAACUUGUAAUGCCCAUAUCUCGAGUUGAAGGCGGUCUUCGGAAUAUCCUCCUUCUUGAUUAAUAACUUGUAGUACCCUUGGCGGAGGUCCAGUUUCGAGAAGACCACCGCUCCCUGCAACUGAUCAAAUAGCUCAUCUAUGUGUGGCAGUGGAUACUUAUUUUUAAUUGUAAUAUUAUUCAGGCCCCGAUAAUCAAUACACAUCCUCAAUCCACCAUCCUUUUUCUUUACAAACAGUACAGGAGACCCACUUUCUUGAAUGAAUCCCUGCUCCAAAAGAUCCUGUAAUUGCAACUUUAGCUCCUUGAGCUCCGCAGGGUCCAUUCGGUAUGGUGUCUUUGAGAUAAGUGAGGAUCCCGGUAGCAAGUCUAUUUUGAAUUCAAUUUCUCUUUCCGGAGGUAAGGCUACUAAUUCAUCAGGAAACACGUCCGGAAAUUCCUUCACUAUGGGCACAUCCUCCACUUUCAACUUAUCCGUGGGGGUGUUAAUCAAAAGGCCAAAAAUCCUUGCGCCCCUCGACUUAGCAAUUUCCUAGCUCGAAUGCCCGAAAUCAAAGCAGAUGAGCCUAACCUACCCCUUAUGUCCAACCUUAAGGUCGCCUCACCAGGAAUACGAAAUUCAACCACUUUUGUUUUACAGUCCAGUUGGGCAUUAUACUUGGCUAACCAGUCCAUACCCAAUAUCACAUCAUAUCCCUUAAUAACCAAGCUUAUCAAAUCUCCUAACAAUCUCUUCUCUCCUACCCACACUUCGUAAUCCCUAUAAACCAUACUAGUAACCAAAUGUUGAUUCCCCGUAGGUGUACUAACUUCUAGGUCGUAUGGUAAACUAGCAGGUUUUAUAUCAAUGCCACACAUGAAAUCAGGGUUAACAAAGGAAUGAGUGGCACUAGGAUCAAAUAAAACUUUGGUAAAACGGUGGAAAAUAGGGAUCGUACCUUCUACGACCUCUGAGGAAUCCGGGACCUGUCGAGGUUCUAUUGAAUAGACUCGAGCUGGCACCUUAGGUUUCGCCUCAUUCCCCUUAUUCGGUCCCGUAUUGGUCUUGGACGUGGUUUGAGCUCCCCUUCCGUCUUGCGUUAAGAGUGGGCAGGUAGCAAGCUGGUGGUCUGCGCUUCCGUAACGCAGACAUUUACCUCCCUUCUUCCAGCAAUUGUCUUCAGAGUGAUUUGACUUCCCGCAGUACCCGCAAGGUCCACGGGACGCCGAACCUGAACCUUUUUGGAAGUUUCCACCUUGGCCUCUCCCGGCUAGGCCGCCCCUAGACUGAGCUCCUCUGCCAGAACCUGACUGUCGUCCACCUCCAGCUCCGCGUCCAAACUUGGAGGGAGUGUGGUGACCCCACUUCCCCCUAAGGCGAACCAAAGGGUUGGCGGGCCGUAUGCCUAGCUCUCGCCAGGACUCACGCAAGCAUUCUAACCCAAAGCCUUUCGAAGAAUAACCUAAUCUAUUACAAAACAAUUUUCCCCGAAUAAGAUCAUCACUAAAACCACAUUAACUUCAGAGAUAGCAGAGAUAAAAAUAGCCAAACGACGGCUCCUAAACAUUUCACGCGUUGCGAACUGCAGAAUAGAAUCGUACCGUCCCAACUAAGAAAAAAAAAAUUCAUACAACAAAAUACAACAACCAAGCCAAGCAUCCAAAAUUAAGUUUUACACAUUUUUCCAGCUUCAAGUGGCAAUCCAAAAUAAAAGUACAUUAUCCAAAUUUAACACACUACAGCCCACACAAAUAGUCAUAGUAUACAAAUACAUCCCAAAACGAAACAUGGAUAAGUUUCAAAGCUUUCAAUUUCCAGAACCUGUCAAGGAAAACAAAUAAUCGUGGGGUGAGCUAAAGCUCAGUGGUGCCCCAAAACAUGCAGUCACGUAAAUCAAACAGCGAGUAAUAACUUAACCAAAUUGAACAGUUAGGAAAGCGUAUAACAGCACAAGGUAGGAUACAGGGGCUCUCAGGAGCCAUUUUCCUCGCUUGAUCACCAUUCAUCGUAGUUGACCCUCCGUCAACUCUCACUACUUAUAGUCCAUGUAGAUCCACUCAUUUUAAUACCUAACCCGUCACCAUUCAUACCCCUGUCCCGGGCCCGCUCACCGACUAAGGACGCAGUAUACUCGAGAUAUACCCGUAGAUAAUUGGACGCAGUAUACUUGCGUAUACCCGUAGAUAAUUGGUCGAGGGAUUCACCCAACGACGUUAUUGUAGUUAGAUUCAUGUGUCGAGGGAUUCACCCAACGAUGUAACUGCAUUUAAUUACCAAGUCAGGAUAAGAGGCCCUCCCACCCUUAAGGUGUGGUACAUUCCCCUGCCUAGUGAUUUAGUACUUGGGAUAGGAUAAGAGGCCCUCCCACCCUCAGGUGUGGUACAUUUCCCUACUCAGUACUUAGCACAUGAGAUAGGAUAAGAGGCCCUUCCACCCUCAGGUGUGGUACAUUCCCCUACUCAGUGCUUAGCAAGUAUUCCAAGGUUUUAGCAUUUGAGAUAGGAUAAGAGGCCCUCCCACCCUCAGGUGUGGUACAUUCCCCUACUCAAUGCUUAGCAAGUGCAAGCAGGAUAUUUCAUGAAAAUAUUUCAAGCAAGUCACCACUCGAACGGCUAGUGCGAUAAAGUACACACUGCUCAUUUCGAUGGAUCAAAAACUAGUUUUGCAAAUUAUCACAUAUCGAGUCAAGAAAGCACUUUAACCAAGUAAGCAUAGAACAGGCAGGGACACUCACCAAGAGUGAAGUUCAGAUAUCAAGUUGGGAAUCGAAUUCCGCAUCCUCGCAAUAUCCUAGAAUACAAAAUUUUGAAACUAUAAGUUUCUAUUCAGUUUUUAAGCUUAUACACAUCGAGGUAUAUCUGAUAUACUACUAGUUUACUUUCCCUUAGAAAAAUUAAGAAUCCACUUAGGUUGAAACUUGACAAAAGUAGUAAAAAUGUUUCUUAUAGUUUUCUUUGAGAUACUUUUCCUUAUAAAAGGUAACUAGUAUUAUUUUCUUGAAAUAAGUCGACAACCUCUUAAGAUCAAAGCUAGAAAGAUAUAUUUGAAAAUUUCUUUAAAGCUAUGGUUCUUGCAAAAAUUAUCACCAAAAACUAUUUUAUCUAAAAAUAAGGUUUCUUGCCGAGCAAGUUUCUAUGCUUUUAACUAAAAUUAUUAAAACUCGUAUUUUGGAACUUUUCCUAUAGUUAACUAGCCAAGAACAAUUCUUAGAGGAAAGAAAAGGAGUAAAACAAGGCUAGAGUUUCAGAAACUAGGGAAAUCAUUUUCCAAAGGUAAUAAGGCUAGUUUAAACUUAAAGGAAGAAAUAUCGAGUUGGCAAGGUUGAGAAAAUCCCUACAUGACGUUUCUAACAUUAACAUACAGUGCUAGAUUUUUAUCGCACUCUACUAGAGUGAAGAUAUAUGUAAAUAGAUUGUUUUAGAACUUUUCUCAAGUUCACAGGACCAAAACGGAUUUCCUACGAUUCCGAUUUGUAAGCACGUAAUAAGUUAGAUCCAUCAAUAUAACAAACCAACAUUUCCAAUGGAAAUCUCACUAGGGCUUCGUCAAUCAUUAGCCCUAGGUUUCAAUAGGUUCAUAUCAAAUCAAGAAUAAAAUAAAUGACCAAGGCUUCAUCAAUCAUUAGCACUUGGUUUUUGGCAAGUUCAUAUCACCUCUUGAAUAAAUCAAAAAUGAAGGUAAGGCCUCCAAGAAAUCCCAGCAAUUAAAAUCCAUCACUCUUUAAUAGUUAUAACAUCAUUUAAAUGGCCAAGGGCUUCAUCAAUCAUUAGCUCUUGACAACCAUCAAUCACUUCCAACCACAAUUCAAUCAGGAAUUCAAAUCACAAAUAAGCUAAAUGUUCGAUCCAAGUCAAAACUCAGUUUCAUGAAGAAACAGGACAUUCAAGCAAGACAGCCUGCUUUGAGGAGUCACGGACAGCAGUACACAUGGAGGAAAAAUAUGAAAUUUCUACAGAACAAAGGUCCAUGACUCUAGUUUCAAAUGCCACUGACGGCACCUUAAUCGGAUUUUCCUACACCAAGAUAUAAGCAUUUUACUGAGACUGGUCAGGGACAUCCGAAAAUCUGAAAUUUCAUUUUUUUCACUUGUGAAAAACUCCUUUUUCUCUUUUAACACCAUAAUGUUUUUAUUCAAACCAUCCAUACAUUUCUUAUAGAAUUCCAAAACAACAUAUUCCAGGCAUUUCCAACCAUUAGGUUUCAAAGAAAAAUCUAAAAACCAAGCUGAGAUUCCAACUCAACCUUCGGCUAUCACAAACGAAAUUUCAGCAUUUAUAUACCAAUAUUUUUGGUUCCAUCUUUCAAUAUAUCAUAUAUUUCAUUGUUAAACAACUUACACCACUUAAAAUUUACAACUCUUUUGUAUUUCUAAACCAUUACAUUCCAAGGGAAAAAUAAAAUAAAUUUCCAGAAACCAAUUAAACUUUCCAAAGACAAACUGAAAUUUCUGGUUCAACCUUGCGGCUUCCAAAAUUUUCCAACAACUAAUAUACUUUAGAUCAAAUUUUCCCUUGGUUUAAACAUGGUGUUAGGUACUCAAAUUCAGCAUAUAAACACUUAGCUAGCUAUUAACGAUUUCCACUUCAAAACCGGAUUCACACAGCAACUAAAAUCAUCCAGGAAAAUCCAGAAAUCUGUCCAACUAGCCACGGUUAAACAUGCAUGGAGGAACUCUCUGUUUUCAUUUUAUUUUCUGGGUUAAAACAUGCUAUUAAGCUCUCAACUUCCUCAUGCAAUUACUUAGCUAGACAAUGAACAUUUCCAGUUCAGAAAUCGAGUUCAAACAACAGCCAUCAACAUCAAAAUUUCUAAAAAUUAUUCCAGCUUGGCUCGGAUGAACAUGCAUGUGGCAGAUUGCAUUUUGAUUUUAUUUUUCUGGUUUAAACUAAUCAAUUAACUACAUGCAGAGCCUAAUUAACUUGUUAUUAACUAUCUAAUUAUGGUUAUAAGCUCAAACAACAAAAUUAAACCAAAUCAGGCUGCAAUAAUCAAGCUAAGCUCUCGGCAGCUCCAAAGCUUGCACAUAACAGAAAUUCUCUUCUUAAAACUCUCAUCCGGCUGCCUAACAUCAACAUGCAUAUUCUUAGAUGGCUUAACCUUCUUGUUAUUAAUUGGUUAAACACUUAAUCGAGCUCAGAUUAUCACAGGAAAUUAGAAAUGAAGCUACAAUUCCAAGCCAGCUCCUCGGCAGAAACCUCUAGCCAAAACAGAAUUUUUGUAUGCUUUAACAACAUCAUCCGAAUGCACAAAUCAACAUGCAUGGUCUUAAUCUUCAAGUUUUCACUUAGCUAAAGACACUUAGGUGAUCAGAUUGCCACGGAAAAACAAAAAUGGAGCUGCAUUAUCACCUCAGUUUCUCGGCAGCAACAUUUCAUCAAAACCGAAAUUUUUCUAAUGGCUUGAUUUCAACAACCGACUACACAAUCCAUACAUGCAAGCUCUGAUAUAGCUUCCUCUACUAGUAAUCAACUUAAUUAGUCCAGAAAUUACCUCAGAUACAAGCUAAGCUCACACACGAAAAUCCAGAAUUUUCUUUCCUUCCUCUCGGCUUCAAGUGCAGGUCGGUUGGUCCUGAUUCCUGAGUUGCGGCUGGAGUGGUGUUGUGGUGAGGUUGAGUUCGGUUGGUUGGAGUUGGAAAUGGCCAUAGCUAGGAGAGGAAAAGGUGCGAUGGUCUCCUGGUCUCUUCCCUCAGCUUACGGACAGAACAGAAAGAAAGAAAUUGCAGCUUGCGGACAGCUCUUCUUGGUCGAUGAUUACAAGAUGGCAGCUCACAAGGUUGUCUCUCUCAUUUACUCUCGGUCUAAGGCAGAGGAAGAGAUGAGAUGUGGUUGUGGAGAGGAAGUGUAGUGGCUGCGGUGAAAUUGUGCAGAGGAAAUGGAAUUGGUUAAGAGGCGGUAUCUCGGUAUUAAGAAGGAAGAGGAAAUGGUUUGCGGAGAGUUUGUGCAGAGGAAAAUGAAAUUGUGGUUUGAGAUGUGAAAUAGAGAGAAAGGUAUAUGGUGCCGCGGUUUUAGGAGAAGGGAUUGAGUGUAAGAAUCGGUUGCAUAUCGAAUUGGAGAAAAUGUGAUUGGCCGAUAGUUGCGGUGAUUGAAAUUGCUGUCAGAGGGUUUGUUUGGUUUGCAUGGAAAUGUUGUGGUUGCAAGGGCAUUUUAGUCUUUUCACUUUGCUCCCUAACCUCUACUUAAAUUCUCCAUUCUAACUUAACUCCAAAAAUUACCCCCAAGCGUGAUUUGAAAGCCUAAUUAUACACUAGUAUACUUAAGCCAUUUUUAUCGAAUAUUUAUCGAUCACAAUUUAAUAUUAAGGUUCCUAGUAAUUCCUAACAUUAUUUAUCGAUUAAAUUAGUUAUCAUAAUUUCCAAUUAUUUAUUCUCAAGAAAUAGAGUUAGUCUAACUCGAAAUUUAUCAAUUUAGUAUAAUAAAGUCAAGUGGAAUAAUAAUUUAAUACAAGUGUGUCAGUUUACACAUAAAAAUGAUUUUUACGCACUUAUUGUGAAAACAAAGAAGGAUAAGAUGAUAAUUAUCGAAAUUUCAUGCCUUGAGUAAGUUUCGCAUACUUGUAUAAUAUUUAUCUAAAAUUCAUUGAUUUCGUCUUACCGUGAAAAAUUUCCUUUUUAACCUAUAAUGUUAGCAACUAAUUGGAAUUAAUCAUUGAGUUUCGAGUAAUUUAUUUUAAAGUAAUAAGAUUAAUCGGCUCAAGUAUCCUUAAUUUCGCAUAAGGGAAUUUAAGUAUUCUAACAUUUUAUGCUAAGGCGAAAAAUUUAAUCUAACUCUAAAGAUAUUAAUUUAGUCUAGCAAAACCAAGAAAUUUCAUAACUUAGGAAAAUUAUAUUAUUUUUCACAUAAACCUAUUUUUAUGUACUUAAUUGCGAACAAGUAAAAGUAAUGCUAGAAAUUAUUAAGGAAUAAAAGAAAUGCAAAUGAAAUAUGCACUGGCUUAUAUAUCUAUUUUCAGGGUUCUCACAGAGAGUACCUUUGUCCCCUUGUCCAAAGCUGCUUCCAGGAAAGCCCCGCUUUUUCGCCUGGAAGUUCUGGACUUGCAAUCGAGCACUCUCUACCCUUUGAGCCUUUUCUACGACCUCGCUAAAAGCAUUGAUUUGAGCCACUGCGAGGUCCUUCUGGAUUUCGACGUUCAGGCCCUGGAUGAAACGCCUGAUCCGCCGCUGCUCGGUCAUGAUCAACUCAGGCGCAAAUUUGGACAAGCGGGUGAAUUGACUCUCGUAUUCCGCCACCGAUUGAGCCCCUUGGCGAAGUCGAAUAAACUCAUAUUCCUUCCUCUCCUGAACUAGAGGAGGGAAAAAUUUCGCGUUGAAUUCCCUGAUGAAAUUCACCCAAAUCCUGGGCGUUUGUUCCCGUUCCCAUUUUUGUCGUAUCACGUUCCACCAGGAACGGGCCGCCCCUUCUAACUGGAAAAUGGCAAAAGUCACCUGCCGUUCCUCGGUGUAGUGCAAGGCCACAAAAAUAUCGACCAUCUUCUCGAGCCAUCUCUCGGUAACAUCCGGAUCUGGUCCCCCAAUGAACUUGGGCGGAGCAAACUUUUGAAAUCUUUCGAGAGCUCGAUCUUCGCUCUCGACAUGGUUGCCAGGGUUUCCGGGGUUAGGGUUUGGGUUCUGGCCUUGUUGCUGCACGACUUGUGCUAGUAGGUUAGUCAUUUACUGCAUAGCGGUAGCGAUUUGCACAUUGGGGUCAGGGUUAGGUCCAGUAGAGGUUUCCCCAGUACCCCUAUCCGGUGUGGGUUGUCUAUUUCCGCGCCCACGUCCCCGUCCACUACGUGUUCCUUCCAUAACUUUACUUGAUCUAGGCAAUGGUACUAAACCAAUAUAAAACAAUGCAUGUAAGUAACCCAAAACUUUUCCAAACAAAUAUAUACAUUCCAAACAAGGCAAACAACACACAUAUAUACAAGCAGUCAAGUCAAGUUCAGUAAAGUCGAGUACAAAACAUGGACAAUCCCCAAGGGAAUGGCCUCAACAAAAGAAAUAUACACGUAGCUAAUCUAACCGUACAAAAUGAUUAGCUAAGGCCCUUCUCCCUAUCCGCCCUAUGUACAAAACCAAAACUAUCUAAAACAAACCCUAGAAGUUAGGACCUAGACCGACGACGAGCUAUGAGACCUACCCGACGGAGUGGAUCCAACCCCAGUCUCAGGCCCUGCACAUGAGUCCUCGUCACUCACGCCCUCGGCCACAUCCGCGCAAAGGUUCAGGAUCGAGGUGGCUCGAGCCUUAACCUUGCGAGCGCGCUUGGUCUCGCGCUCUUGGGCUUCCCUAAGCUGAGUGCAGAGGUCAUCAACCCUAUCCUCUGCCUCAAGCACAUCGUACUUCAGACCCUCAAUGCGCUCAGUCUGUCUCUCAUUGGCCGCCCUAAGCUGGGUCACCUCGGCCUCAAGUCUCGCAUUCUCUCCGGCCAACUCCUUAUGCUCUUUCUCCAUCGCAAACACUAGAGCGUUAGGGUAGGCAUAUUUAUGUCGACACUCGCACCGUCUAAAGCAGUUAGACGGGUUCCAACGCACGAAGGCCCCUCCUGGCCGUAUCUGGUAUGGUAUCACUGGGAGUGCUCCACGAGGUCUCUCGCCCAGAGGACUAUCACUAGGCACACCCUGUCCGGCCAUCCUACACCAAAAGAGCAAUUAACCAUAAAUAAGCUUAAAGGCCAUAAAUAAAGAACCCUCACAUCGAGCAUUUCUAUUACACCCAGGCUAACUCAAACCUAGGCUUUGAUACCACCUGUGAUAGCCCCACCUUCCCCAAAGGCGAACCCAAGGGGUUAGCGGACUGCCUGCCCAGCUCUCGCCAGGACUAACGGUGCAGUUUCGAGCAAUCUAUUGCGUUCCGGAACUUACAAACUCGCGUAACCAAGUCAAAAUGACAAAAUAACCCAAAAUAAAAAAAAUGAAAUCCGGAGUCGGCCAUGAAUAGUAACCGACCCGUCAGAACCCAACCAAAUAUUAAAAACACAUAUACACUUGACAUUUUGCAAUUACAAGCCACAAUGGCAUACAAAAAUAAUCCAAAAGUUACUACAUGUUUGGUUUGCCAAAUUAAAGUGAAAAUGGCCCUAAAGAUACAUUUAGGGUCCCACUUCAUAUACAAUACAAAAGAGAUAUUCAUCUAGUUCAUUCAGCAACAAUCUAUCAAGAUUCAUUCCAAAAAGAGUCAUAUUCCUGUAAGGAAAACAAAAGGAACGGUGUGAGCUAAUUGCCCAGUGAGAUACUAUCACUUAAGCGACCAAGUUCAUGUAAACAUAAAGCUUUUCAUUUCAAUUCACCAAAAGUAAACAAAGGCACACAUUGAUGGUGGUGAUAAAAGGAUACGGAUGGCUCUCAAGAACCCUUUUUCCUCGUUUGCAUUUCUUGAUCGGACGUCAUUGACUCUCCGUCAAUGUUCAAAAAUAACCAACCGUAGACUCCACUUUACUUCCAUUCCUUCCACCUAACAUUCCCCUACCGGGCCCGAAAUCCAAACACUUGCAUUGUGGUAUUACUCGAGUAAACCGGAAUCGAGAGUCUCUCAUACUACAAGAUUCCAUAUAACACUUCCCCAAGGCACAUUAAUUGGCACGACCAAGCCCUCGCCGGCUCGAUUCAAUCAACGACCCAUGGGGUUGAGCUCAAGGAUAACAAUUGUAGUCGUUGGAUGCUCGUCCAAACGACACCAAGCCAUGUACUUUCAUUUCAUGUAGCAUUUCAUAUAACUUUCCAAUAACAUGAUAAACAAUAAGUGAGAGUGAUAAAGUACACUUUCACUUCAAGCAAUUAACAUUCAAAGCACCAAGUUCAAGUAUCAAAGCCAUAUAUUAACACACAAGUGAGUAGUACACUCACCAAGCUUGCAAAUGCUGUUUCAUGCACUUCCGUCACAAGAACGUCGUGAACUACCGUCACGCCCUAAAACAUGCAAACAAGUACAAUGAGACUUGAUAACGAGUCAUAAUCCAAUGCCAAAUAUGACCUCAAUAGGGUUCCAUAAGCAUACACACACUUUAGAGGAAACCAGAAAAUUCGGAAAUGCAAUUAGCUUUGGCCCUGAAAAAAAACAGUUUUUGACCUCUUUUUGCGGUAAUGGCACCAAAGGCACCACGAUUACCGGAUGAAGGUGUACGAUACACCGUUUUGAAGCUAAAAGACAGGGUUACAACAUUCCAGAAGGUCCCUCAACCCAGUUUUGAGUGCAACCAGGUCAAAAAUGCAAGAUACUACAUCAAAACCGUAAAAACAGAUUCACAAAACGCAUUCUGGUGUAAACAUCAUAACUCAGCCUACACAAGUCCAAAUCCAGAAACUCCAAAGCCACUCAAAAGCUUAGAAAUAGGGAUACAUCAGAAGACCUAAACAACCAAUUCCAAAGCAAUUCCAGCCAAAACAACCAAUUAUAGGUGCAAUUCUUACAUUCGGAUAAAACCAGGACAGCAAGGGUAAUUAUGACUUUUCUCAUUCUACACUACUCCGAUUGACCUGAAACUUUGUAGGCAGCUCUAAAAUAUCAUUCCCUACAACUUUUAUGUUUUACGCUAAGGCCAAUUCGGCCUCUAACUAGGAGCUACAAAACCGGGCAGAAUGUUCUUCACAAAAACCCUAACUUGUCAAUUUUUCUUCCAAACAGAAAUUGGUUGCAAUUAAUCACUUUUUCCACCUCCUAGAGUCAUUACAUAUGAUUUCCAAUCAUUAUAGAUAGCCACACAAUUAUGUUCAUAGUAAAACAGAAAAAUCACCAAUAAAUAGAAAACUUCACUAAUUCAACCACAAAUCAAGAUGUAAUCCAUAAUAUUGCACCUUAUACUACCACUAAUCACAAAUUAAGCAUCAUUAGAGGAAGGAAAGUGGUUCUGUAACGACCCCAUUUUCCCCUAAGGAGAACCAGAGGGGUCAACGGGCCGCCUGCCCAGCUCUCGCCAGGACUCCGUCAAUCACAACAGUUCUCCAAAAAUUACAAUAUAAAUCUCAAAUAUAUACAUCAAUUCUCCAAGAACUACAUAUCACAAACGCCGCGGAAUGUACACGUACGUCCAUUCAAGUCCAAUCAUUUAUUACAAACCAUAUCCACAAGCUAUUACACAAGAGGCGAUCCAAAUUCAAACCGUACAAGGUGUAAUUCCAUCCAUUCCAAUUCCCCUAGCCCAACAAUUACACAAGCGAUUCCAAAUCUAAACUAGACAAAUUACAAGCCAUCCAGGUACACAGAUAACGUAAUACAGCUCUUCCUUUGUUCGAAACCGGUACUCGCAUAAAUACAUCAAACACAUAAUGCAGUUUAUCCAAGACUUGACAAGGACAUAUAUAUACAUGAGAAAGGUUCAAUUGUACACUUCAAAAGUACUUGAAUGCAUUUACAUCAAAAUUUCAAGUUUUCGAGGAGCAACUCAAAACUAGCUACAUAACUAGCUCAACUCAUUUCAAAACUUGAGUCCAGCAGUGUCCCUGUAAGGAAAAGUAAACAACGGGGGUGAGCUUGCGCUCGUGAGGUACCAAAUGCACAAGUACAUGAUAUGGCCAAAUAACAUAUAUGCAUAAGUGCCUUCAUUCAAACAUCCAUUUAUAAGAGGAUACAUUCGGCCCUCAAGGGCCGUUUCCGAGGUCCAUACCUGAUCGUACUCGUUGACACUCCGUCAACCAUUGAGGAUAACCAAAAACCGUAGACACCACUUCGCACCAAUUCCUUCCACCAUUCACCCCCUAUUCGGGCCCGCACACCUCAUACUUUCAAAAGGUAAUACUCGAGUAUACCACAAGGUCGAGGAGAUAACACUCCACUCGCCUAUCAAAGACCCGAAGGCUCGUUAACGAAUCGCCCAAGCCCUUGCCGGCUCGACUCAAAUAACGGUCCAAGGGAAUGAGCUCAGUUUUCACAGAAAUAAUAGGGCAUUGCCCUAACAAAUAUCAAAUCACAUAUUCAUGAAAUUUCACAGUCCAACAGUAACAAUAGUGCAAGCAAGUGGUCAAGAGCGGUAAAGUACACCCUCGACCUAUUCAAGUCAUAUAACAAGUACAUUGAACCAUUUAAUGAUACACUCACCAAGCACGGCUCACGAAGCUUAUUCGGCAAACCUCAUUAUCUUGAUCAAGUUGAAAUCCUAAAACCAAAUAUCAAGUCAAGCAAAGGAAAAUUCUAACAUUAACAAGCUUCUAUUGCCUUUUGGCAUUUUAAUCACAAGUAAAGCUAUACCUAUCCGAUCAAAACAAAUCUUAUGGCGUUACGAAGCUAAAACAUAUGUCAACAUUUCUUAUGAAGAUUUCCAAGGCCAAAUCACACAUUUUCAGGAUCAAAUAUCGAAAUCUCGAAGAGGGCAGAAAACUGUCCGCAAAAUAGGGUCUAUGAACAGUCAAGGGUAUUUCAGUCAAUUCACAGGCUACAGUGGUCCAAACAAUCUGAAAUUUUGCAGGUAGGUAGUUAACUCAUAUAUCUACAAAAUUCAUGUUUUGAGCAAAAGCUGGUUCGGUCUAAAACACAGAGAAAAUGAUAGUCCAAGUUCAGUCUAGAAACAGGGGAAAACUGAAAUUACUCUCCUUCAACCUAUCUUUGCGUAUAACCAUCCCUAACCCCAAUUAAGGCCUAGAAAUCCCCACUUAACAUGAGACUAGUCUAUACUAAUCAUGUACAUGGCAAUUCCACGAGGACAAAUCAUUUCGAUAACGUCUGGAAGUACCACCAAACUUUCAAUCAUAAGAAUUCAUAAACUUAACCAAGAUUAACUCAAGUUCAAAGUAAUCAAAUGUUCUCUAAAAUUUGACAGCAUUUCCCCUUAAGUUUACACAUUUCCAACCUACCAUACAAAUACCCCAAUCAUAUAGCCAUUAACCACAAUUACACAUACGGUUCGUAAACGAUAAAACAUAUCCAAUUAGGGCCACAAAACCCUUUAAUCAAAACUAGUUAAAAGCUUAAAGCCAACCAUUAGAAAAACCCCCAAUUGAAACCCUAGAACCGGAAAUUCAUAUUAUAAGCGUAAAUUUUCCGCAAUUGAUCACCAUUAACGUAUAAGAGCUUCCAUUAACACCAUUUAAACCACUAAUCCAAGUCCAAUCCAAGACUUUCAUAUAAAAUCAUAAAAAUAUCCAAUAAAUCAGAAAAUCACCAUAAUUUCCAUAAACCCAUGAAAUACUCCAUAAUACAACACAUUUAAACAUCACAAACCCUAAAUUAACCAAUUUUAGAACCAAAAGGAACUUGUUUAUGCCACUUACCUCAAAUUCAAGAAAACUAUCAACAUAGAGCCUCCCCUCCAAAACCCAUCCAUCAAAAGCUCUAAGCCACCAUAGCAAGCCCAUGUGUGAAUUAUUGUCCAAAAUCAUUGGUGAAAUCACAAGAUUUUGGUAGAAAUCAAAACUAGAAAAUUGAAGAGUUUUCUCUCUUAUGAAGCUCGGCUGAACCAGGGAAAGAAAAUGAGAUAUUUUAGGUGCAAAAGUGAGAUAAGAAGGAAGAAAAAGGCAGCCGGUCAAAGCUGACCGGCUGUGACACGUCACAAUCCGGCCAGAAUCUGGCCGGAUUCGAGGCCGAAGCAAACUCAAUUUUUUUCAAAAUGGCCAGGCAAUCUGGCCAGCUAUCCGGCCAGAAACUGGCCGGAUUUCCGGCCGGAUUUGGCCCCCUUCAUGUUUCCCAAAAUUUUUUCUUCUUUUCCAAGCUGAAAACCUGUUUUACUCCACUCGUCCAACAAAAGAUCCAUCAAAUAAAAACCCUAAUUUUCGGGGCGUCACAAUCUCCCCUCCUUAAAACAAAGUCGUCCUCGACAUUCUACCUCAUAUACAUCUGGUCAAGAUAUCGUUCAAAAACCAUUCAAGCGUUAGAAUUCCAUCUAAUCCAACUUGCAUUCACCAGGUCCAAUUAGUCUUCCCAAAGUCGGUCGAAUACUAGGAAUCACUCCAAUCUCACUUGUCGUAAAUCAUGAUCCAGUAAAGCACGACUUAUCAAAUAAUCACUUAUCAAUUUCAAGUACUAAAUACACGCCAAUCCAACUUAUCAAAUAGUCAUGAUCCGAUAAGGAGUUAUCGCGUAGCCAGAUAAAGCAGGCAAAAGGCUUGAGAUCGGACGUAAAGUCCCAGAUAUCUGGAAGAAAUUCAGGGUAUAGCGAAGCUGCAAAUCAAAAACUCAUCCCUGGUGGUGCUGGACAACACAACAAGCUAGCACAACGGCUAUGCUUCACCAAAGAAUUUCAAUUCAGUAAGUUGGCCCCGGUGGUGCCGGACAACACAACAGGUUAGCACCACGGCUAAACUUCGCCAGAGAGCCUCAAUUCAAAAUUCCAUCCCUGGUGGUGCUGGACCACACAACAGGCAUGCCUCGCCUGAAGAAUGGCGGUGCUGGACAACACAACAGGCAAUGCCUCACCAGAGAGGUUCAGUUCACCCGCUACAAAAGAGUAGUAGCCGGUCUACAACCAUAUGAGUACGAAUAAGUUCAAGAGUAGGGUCAAAGCAGCGCCAAUUACUUCAGGUUCAUAGUGCAUGAGUACGAGGAAGUUCAAAAGCAGGGUCAAUUAUUGCAGGUUCAGGGAGCACGGUCACAAAUAAGAGUACAAGUUCAGGUUCAAGUGCAAGUUCAAGUUCAAGGAUCAUGAGUACUGGUAAAACACACUGGCCUAACCUCUGUCCAACUAUUCACAUUCUUAAGCAGUCAUGAAAUUCAAGUCCACCUACAGGUCUAAUACCAUAUAUUCAGUGAAGUUAGGUCCAUCAAGGAUACGUAUAAACACACUCGCCUAACGAGGUCAAGUCUCAAGGAAGUUCAAUCCAGUCGAUCUCAAGCAGCUGAAGACCAAUCUUAGGUAGUUCGAGGUCAAUCCCAAGUAGUUCAAGUAUAGCAAAUUCCAACACUUACCACUCAAGUGGUGCAACUUUUAUCCAACAGGAAUACUAGAAGAGAGAUACAAAACUAAAAAUUUCUCAACAAUUCUAGCCACUACCGAAAUCUAUCAAAACCCGAGCCACACACUUAUUGAACAAGUCCAAGUCAUUAUCUCACUCUCCUUAUUCGGUUUAGUCGUGAGUACAAUACAAAAUCUUCUGUGCUCUAACCUAUGCCAUCACAACUUAUCUCAAACUCACUUAUAAUUUCCAUUCACAUCGUCAUACAUUAAACUAUGUUCCAACCAAGAUUCAUGAGCAUUUCCUCAAGAAAAUGUCAAGUACUCUAAUACAAGAAUUCCAACUAAGAACUUCACGACUCAGAUCGUAUGGUAUUCAGCGAAAAUCAAAGUCAUAUUUUACAUAUACUACUUCCAGAAUUAGUGCCAAUGUCACCAAGUGGCACCAAGUUCAAUCGGAUCACAUGCCUUUACGAAAUUAGAUCCAAUACUUCCAUAACACAAGCUGAAACCAAAGGUUAUCCAUUCGAAGUUCAAAAUCUUCAAUAAACCAGCUACUAGUAAGAGCACCAUCAUCUCCAAGAAUAACCAAUCUUAGGUUCUAUAGCAGAGUCUCAAGUUCCAAGUUCAAAUCCAAGAAGUAAGCACAGCUUGCUAACUUACAUGUUAAAUAGAAACCAAGUCAAAUAAGCUCAUCAGUUAUUCACAAAUUUUCGAAUUCGAAAUUCAAGUAAAAUUCACCUUUUUACCAAAAUCGGAAAAUUACACAUUUUUAAAGCAUAUAUAUCGUAUUUCCAAUCAUCGCUUGCAAAUAAAACUAGGAAGUAUACAGGCAGAAAAUGCAUUUUAUUCAUUUGAUACUCUUUUAUCUUGGUUCAAAAUCAUCAUACGUGGAGUUUGGCCAGCAAACCUCGGUCUCUUAUUCCCCAUAGCCAGUACUAAUGAUUAUCUCAAUUCUUUCCACACUUACAAGUAUAAUUGCAAUUCAAAUUCGUCCAAUCUUUCACUACAAAACUCUCAUCCCAUAUUUUCCUUCAAUAUAAAUCCCAAGCAAGAAACUCCCAAAUAAUCAAUUUCUUUAACCUCUAAGAUACAAUAGAUCCUUGUUCACACAAUAUUCAAAUCAAUCCCAUAGUCAGGCAUCCUAAAUUUCAAACUUAGGAUACACUACAGAGAUCUGAAGCCUAAGCUCUGAUACCAAUUGUAACGACCCCAUUUUCCCCUAAGGCGAACCAGAGGUGUCAACGGGCCGCCUGCCCAGCUCUCGCCAGGACUCCGUCAAUCACUACAGUUCUCCAAAAAUUACAAUAUAAAUCUCAAAUAUAUUUAUCAAUUCUCCAAGAACUACAUAUCACAAACGUUGCGGAAUGUACACGUACGUCCAUUCAAGUCCAAUCAUUCAUUACAAACCAUAUCCACAAGCUAUUACACAGGAGUCGAUCCAAAUUCAAACCGUACAAGGUGUAAUUCCAUCCAUUCCAAUUGCCCUAGCCCAACAAUUACACAAGCGAUUCCAAAUCUAAACUAGACAAAUUACAAGCCAUCCAGGUACACAGAUAACGUAAUACAGCUCUUCCUUUGUUCGAAACCGGUACUCGCAUAAACACAUCAAACACAUAAUGCAGUUUAUCCAAGACUUGACAAGGACAUAUAUAUACAUGAGAAAGGUUCAAUUGUACACUUCAAAAGUACUUGAAUUCAUUUACAUCAAAAUUUCAAGUUUUCGAGGAGCAACUCAAAACUAGCUACAUAACUAGCUCAACUCAUUUCAAAACUUGAGUCCAGCAGUGUCCCUGUAAGGAAAACAAAACAACGGGGGUGAGCUUGCGCUCGUGAGGUACCAAAUGCACAAGUACAUGAUAUGGCCAAAUAACAUAUAUGCAUAAGUGCCUUCAUUCAAACAUCCAUUUAUAAAAGGAUACAUUCGGCCCUCAAGGGCCGUUUCCGAGGUCCAUACUUGAUCGUACUCGUUGACACUCCGUCAACCAUUGAGGAUAACCAAAAACCGUAGACACCACUUCGCACCAAUUCCUUCCACCAUUCACCCCCUAUUUGGGCCCGCACACCUCAUAGUUUCAAAAGGUAAUACUCGAGUAUACCACAAGGUCGAGGAGAUAACACUCCACUCGCCUAUCAGAGACCCGAAGGCUCGUUAACGAAUCACCCAAGCCCUUGCCGGCUCGACUCAAAUAACGGUCCAAGGGAAUGAGCUCAGUUUUCACAGAAAUAAUAGGGCAUUGCCCUAACAAAUAUCAAAUCACAUAUUCAUGAAAUUUCACAGUCCAACAGUAACAAUAGUGCAAGCAAGUGGUCAAGAGCGGUAAAGUACACCCUCGACCUAUUCAAGUCAUAUAACAAGUACAUUGAACCAUUUAAUGAUACACUCACCAAGCACGGCUCACGAAGCUUAUUCGGCAAACCUCAUUAUCUUGAUCAAGUUGAAAUCCUAAAACCAAAUAUCAAGUCAAGCAAAGGAAAAUUCUAACAUUAACAAGCUUCUAUUGCCUUUUGGCAUUUUAAUCACAAGUAAAGCUAUACCUAUCCGAUCAAAACAAAUCUUAUGGCGUUACGAAGCUAAAACAUAUGUCAACAUUUCUUAUGAAGAUUUCCAAGGCCAAAUCACACAUUUUCAGGAUCAAAUAUCCAAAUCUCGAAGAGGGCAGAAAACUGUCCGCAAAAUAGGGUCUAUGAACAGUCAAGGGUAUUUCAGUCAAUUCACAAGCUACAGUACUCCAAUCACUCUGAAAUUUUGCAGGUAACUAGCUAACUCAUAUAUCUACAAGUUUCAUGUUUUGAGCAAGAGCCGAAUCAGUCUUUAACAUGGUCAAAUGUACAGUACGAAAACAGGGCAGAAAUAAUACAACAAAAGCUGAAAUUACACUUCCAAGCCAAUCUUUGCAAAUAACCAUCACUAACCACAAUUAAGGGCUAGAAAUCCUCACUUAACAUGAGACUAGCCUAUACUAGUCAUGUACAUGCCAAAACAAGGAUGAAUGAACUUAAACAAAGCUUAGAAAUGUCACCAUUAUGGACUCUUAACAACCCAACACCCAAUUUACAAGAAUUUCCAUAAAUUUAAUCAAGAUCACACAACUUCAAAUCAAUCAUAUACUCUCCAAAAAUGGGACAGCAUUACCCCUUAAUUUAACACAUUCCCAACCUACCAUUCAAUACCAAAUAUAUAUCAAUUCAACUCCAAUUGUACAUACAAUUUAUAGUCUAGUAAAUAUACUCAAUUAGGGCCACAAUGCCCCUCAAGCAAGCCAACUAGAUGCUUAUAAGCCAACUAUUAGAAUUUUCCCCAAAUCGAAACCCUAGAAACCGGAAUUCACACCACAAGCGUAAAUUUUCCGCAAUUGAUCACAAUUAACGCAUAAAAGCUUCAAUUAACACCAUUUCAAUCCAUCAAUCCAAUCCUAAUCAUAACUUUCAUAUAAAAUCAGGAAAAUACCCAAUAAAUCAACAAUUCACCAUCAAUUCCUUCAACCCAUGAAAUACUUCACAAUAUAACACAUUUAAUCACCACAAAUCAUUAAUUAACCAAUAUUAGACCAAAAGGAAACUUGUUUAUGCCACUUACCUCAAAUUCAAGAAACCAUCAACAUAGAGCCUCCCCUCCAAAAACAAUCCAUCAAAAGCUCUAAGCCACCAUAGCAAGCCCAUGUGUGAAUUAUUGUCCAAAAUCAUUGGUGAAAUCACAAGAUUUUGGUAGAAAUCAAAACUAGAAAAUUGAAGAGUUUUCUCUCUUAUGAAGCUCGGCUGAACCAGGGAAAGAAAAUGAGAUAUUUUAGGUGCAAAAGUGAGAUAAGAAGGAAGAAAAAGGCAGCCGGUCAAAGCUGACCGGCUGUGACACGUCACAAUCCGGCCAGAAUCUGGCCGGAUUUCCGGCCGGAUUCUUGGCCGGAUUCGAGGCAGAAGCAAACUCAAUUUUUUUCAAAAUGGCCAGGCAAUCCGGCCAGCUAUCCGGCCAGAAACUGGCCGGAUUUCCGGCCGGAUUUGGCCCCCUUCAUGUUUCCCAAAAUUUUUCUUCUUUUCCAAGCUGAAAACCUGUUUUACUCCACUCGUCCAACAAAAGAUCCAUCAAAUAAAAACCCUAAUUUUCGGGGCGUCACAAACUCCCCUCCUUAAAAGAAUGUCGUCCUCGACAUUCCAACUCCUAUACAUCCGGUCAAGAUAUCGCUCAGAAACCAAUCAAGCAUUAGAAUUCAAUCUAAUCCUACUUGUAUUCACCCGGUCUCAUCCGUUUUCCCCAAGAUCAGUCAAAUACUAAGAAUCAUGGUCCAAUUCAACUUAUCACUUAUCAUGGUCAAAUACUAAUAAUCACUUAUCAAGUUCAAGUACUAAAUAUCACGCCAAUCCAACUUAUCAAAUAGUCAUGAUCCAAUAGGGAGUUAUCGCGUAGCCAGAUAAAACAGGCAAAAGGCUUGAAAUAGGACGUAAGGUCCCAGAUAUCUGGAAGAAAUUCAGGGUUUAGCGAAGCUGCAAAUCAAAAAUUCAUCCCUGGUGGUGCUGCAAAUCAAAAACUCAUCCCUGGUGGUGCUGGACAACACAACAAGCUAGCACAACGGCUAUGCUUCACCAAAGAAUUUCAAUUCAGUAAGUUGGCCCCGGUGGUGCCGGACAACACAACAGGUUAGCACCACGGCUAAACUUCGCCAGAGAGCCUCAAUUCAAAAUUCCAUCCCUGGUGGUGCUGGACCACACAACAGGCAUGCCUCGCCUGAAGAAUGGCGGUGCUGGACAACACAACAGGCAAUGCCUCACCAGAGAGGUUCAGUUCACCCGCUACAAAAGAGUAGUAGCCGGUCUACAACCAUAUGAGUACGAAUAAGUUCAAGAGUAGGGUCAAAGCAGCGCCAAUUACUUCAGGUUCAUAGUGCAUGAGUACGAGGAAGUUCAAAAGCAGGGUCAAUUAUUGCAGGUUCAGGGAGCACGGUCACAAAUAAGAGUACAAGUUCAGGUUCAAGUGCAAGUUCAAGUUCAAGGAUCAUGAGUACUGGUAAAACACACUGGCCUAACCUCUGUCCAACUAUUCACAUUCUUAAGCAGUCAUGAAAUUCAAGUCCACCUACAGGUCUAAUACCAUAUAUUCAGUGAAGUUAGGUCCAUCAAGGAUACGUAUAAACACACUCGCCUAACGAGGUCAAGUCUCAAGGAAGUUCAGUCUAGUCGAUCUCAGGCAGCUGAAGACCAAUCUUAGGUAGUUCGAGGUCAAUCCCAAGUAGUUCAAGUAUAGCAAAUUCCAACACUUACCACUCAAGUGGUGCAACUUUAAUCCAACAGGAAUACUAGAAGAGAGAUACAAAACUAAAAAUUUCUCAACAAUUCUAGCCACUACCGAAAUCUAUCAAAACCCGAGCCACACACUUAUUGAACAAGUCCAAGUCAUUAUCUCACUCUCCUUAUUCGGUUUAGUCGUGAGUACAAUACAAAAUCUUCUGUGCUCUAACCUAUGCCAUCACAACUUAUCUCAAACUCACUUAUAAUUUCCAUUCACAUCGUCAUACAUUAAACUAUGUUCCAACCAAGAUUCAUGAGCAUUUCCUCAAGAAAAUGUCAAGUACUCUAAUACAAGAAUUCCAACUAAGAACUUCACGACUCAGAUCGUAUGGUAUUCAGCGAAAAUCAAAGUCAUAUUUUACAUAUACUACUUCCAGAAUUAGUGCCAAUGUCACCAAGUGGCACCAAGUUCAAUCGGAUCACAUGCCUUUACGAAAUUAGAUCCAAUACUUCCAUAACACAAGCUGAAACCAAAGGUUAUCCAUUCGAAGUUCAAAAUCUUCAAUAAACCAGCUACUAGUAAGAGCACCAUCAUCUCCAAGAAUAACCAAUCUUAGGUUCUAUAGCAGAGUCUCAAGUUCCAAGUUCAAAUCCAAGAAGUAAGCACAGCUUGCUAACUUACAUGUUAAAUAGAAACCAAGUCAAAUAAGCUCAUCAGUUAUUCACAAAUUUUCGAAUUCGAAAUUCAAGUAAAAUUCACCUUUUUACCAAAAUCGGAAAAUUACACAUUUUUAAAGCAUAUAUAUCGUAUUUCAAAUCAUCGCUUGCAAAUAAAACUAGGAAAUAUACAGGCAGAAAAUGCAUUUUAUUCAUUUGAUACUCUUUUAUCUUGGUUCAAAAUCAUCAUACGUGGAGUUUGGCCAGCAAACCUCGGUCUCUUAUUUCCCCAUAGCCAGUACUAAUGAUUAUCUCAAUUCUUUCCACACUUACAAGUAUAAUUGCAAUUCAAAUUCGUCCAAUCUUUCACUACAAAACUCUCAUCCCAUAUUUUCCUUCAAUAUAAAUCCCAAGCAAGAAACUCCCAAAUAAUCAAUUUCUUUAACCUCUAAGAUACAAUAGAUCCUUGUUCACACAAUAUUCAAAUCAAUCCCACAGUCAGGCAUCCUAAAUUUCAAACUUAGGAUACACUACAGAGAUCGGAAGCCUAAGCUCUGAUACCAAUUGUAACGACCCCAUUUUCCCCUAAGGCGAACCAGAGGGGUCAACGGGCCGCCUGCCCAGCUCUCGCCAGGACUCCGUCAAUCACAACAAUUCUCCAAAAAUUACAAUAUAAAUCUCAAAUAUAUACAUCAAUUCUCCAAGAACUACAUAUCACAAACGCCGCGGAAUGUACACGUACGUCCAUUCAAGUCCAAUCAUUCAUUACAAACCAUAUCCACAAGCUAUUACACAAGAGGCGAUCCAAAUUCAAACCGUACAAGGUGUAAUUCCAUCCAUUCCAAUUCCCCUAGCCCAACAAUUACACAAGCGAUUCCAAAUCUAAACUAGACAAAUUACAAGCCAUCCAGGUACACAGAUAACGUAAUACAGCUCUUCCUUUGUUCGAAACCGGUACUCGCAUAAAUACAUCAAACACAUAAUGCAGUUUAUCCAAGACUUGACAAGGACAUAUAUAUACAUGAGAAAGGUUCAAUUGUACACUUCAAAAGUACUUGAAUGCAUUUACAUCAAAAUUUCAAGUUUUCGAGGAGCAACUCAAAACUAGCUACAUAACUAGCUCAACUCAUUUCAAAACUUGAGUCCAGCAGUGUCCCUGUAAGGAAAACAAAACAACGGGGGUGAGCUUGCGCUCGUGAGGUACCAAAUGCACAAGUACAUGAUAUGGCCAAAUAACAUAUAUGCAUAAGUGCCUUCAUUCAAACAUCCAUUUAUAAGAGGAUACAUUCGGCCCUCAAGGGCCGUUUCCGAGGUCCAUACUUGAUCGUACUCGUUGACACUCCGUCAACCAUUGAGGAUAACCAAAAACCGUAGACACCACUUCGCACCAAUUCCUUCCACCAUUCACCCCCUAUUCGGGCCCGCACACCUCAUACUUUCAAAAGGUAAUACUCGAGUAUACCACAAGGUCGAGGAGAUAACACUCCACUCGCCUAUCAGAGACCCGAAGGCUCGUUAACGAAUCGCCCAAGCCCUUGCCGGCUCGACUCAAAUAACGGUCCAAGGGAAUGAGCUCAGUUUUCACAGAAAUAAUAGGGCAUUGCCCUAACAAAUAUCAAAUCACAUAUUCAUGAAAUUUCACAGUCCAACAGUAACAAUAGUGCAAGCAAGUGGUCAAGAGCGGUAAAGUACACCCUCGACCUAUUCAAGUCAUAUAACAAGUACAUUGAACCAUUUAAUGAUACACUCACCAAGCACGGCUCACGAAGCUUAUUCGGCAAACCUCAUUAUCUUGAUCAAGUUGAAAUCCUAAAACCAAAUAUCAAGUCAAGCAAAGGAAAAUUCUAACAUUAACAAGCUUCUAUUGCCUUUUGGCAUUUUAAUCACAAGUAAAGCUAUACCUAUCCGAUCAAAACAAAUCUUAUGGCGUUACGAAGCUAAAACAUAUGUCAACAUUUCUUAUGAAGAUUUCCAAGGCCAAAUCACACAUUUUCAGGAUCAAAUAUCGAAAUCUCGAAGAGGUCAGAAAACUGUCCGCAAAAUAGGGUCUAUGAACAGUCAAGGGUAUUUCAGUCAAUUCACAAGAUACAGUACUCCAAACAAUCUGAAAUUUUGCAGGUAGGUAGUUAACUCAUAUAUCUACAAAAUUCAUGUUUUGAGCAAAAGCUGGUUCAGUCUAAAACACAGAGAAAAUGACAGUCCAAGUUCAGUCCAGAAACAGGGAAAAACUGAAAUUACCCUUCUUGAACCUAUCUUUGCGUAUAACCAUCCCCAACCACAAUUAAGGCCUAGAAAUCCCCACUUAACAUGAGACUAGUCUAUACUAAUCAUGUACAUGGCAAUUCCACGAGGAAAAAUCAUUUCGAUAACGUCUGGAAGUACCACCAAACUUUCAAUCAUAAGAAUUCAUAAACUUAACCAAGAUUAACUCAAGUUCAAAGUAAUCAAAUGCUCUCUAAAAUUUGACAGCAUUUCCCCUUAAGUUUACACAUUUCCAACCUACCAUACAAAUACCCCAAUCAUAUAGCCAUUAACCACAAUUGCACAUACGGUUCGUAAACGAUCAAACAUAUCCAAUUAGGGCCACAAAACCCUUUAAUCAAAGCUUAAAGCCAACCAUUAGAAAAACCCCCAAUUGAAACCCUAGAACCGGAAAUUCAUAUUAUAAGCGUAAAUUUUCCGCAAUUGAUCACAAUUAACGCAUAAAAGCUUCAAUUAACACCAUUUCAAUCCAUCAAUCCAAUCCUAAUCAUAACUUUCAUAUAAAAACAGGAAAAUACCCAAUAAAUCAACAAUUCACCAUCAAUUCCUUCAACCCAUGAAAUACUUCACAAUAUAACACAUUUAACCACCACAAAUCAUUAAUUAACCAAUAUUAGACCAAGAGGAAACUUGUUUAUGCCACUUACCUCAAAUUCAAGAAAACCAUCAACAUAGAGCCUCCCCUCCAAAAACAAUCCAUCAAAAGCUCUAAGCCACCAUAGCAAGCCCAUGUGUGAAUUAUUGUCCAAAAUCAUUGGUGAAAUCACAAGAUUUUGGUAGAAAUCAAAACUAGAAAAUUGAAGAGUUUUCUCUCUUAUGAAGCUCGGCUGAACCAGGGAAAGAAAAUGAGAUAUUUUAGGUGCAAAAGUGAGAUAAGAAGGAAGAAAAAGGCAGCCGGUCAAAGCUGACCGGCUGUGACACGUCACAAUCCGGCCAGAAUCUGGCCGGAUUUCCGGCCGGAUUCUUGGCCGGAUUCGAGGCUGAAGCAAACUCAAUUUUUUUCAAAAUGGCCAGGCAAUCCGGCCAGCUAUCCGGCCAGAAACUGGCCGGAUUUCCGGCCGGAUUUGGCCCCCUUCAUGUUUCCCAAAAUUUUUUCUUCUUUUCCAAGCUGAAAACCUGUUUUACUCCACUCGUCCAACAAAAGAUCCAUCAAAUAAAAACCCUAAUUUUCGGGGCGUCACAGGUUCUUCACAACUCACCUUAGAAACAAGAGAGAGGGAGCAAUAGGUCCUCUUAGCUUUCGAAAUAACCCCACAAAUCAACUCACUAACACUAAUUGAAGAGGUUUUAUGGAGAAAUUUCAAGUUUCAAUGGUUGGUUGGAUGGAUUUGAGCUAAAUGGAAGCAAAACUUGAAGAGUUUCUUUCUUUCUUUUAGAGAGAGAGGGCCGGCCACAAGAGAAGAGAAAAUGGAGAAAUUUUGGUAGUUUUUUUUUAUUUAGUCAAUUGGUAAGACCAUGAAUAGUAGUCUUAAGGUAAACCCACUCAAAUGGUGACACUUGUCACCUUUUAUUAAAUGCUUACCUAACUUGUCUCUCUUAUACCAAUCCACUUAGCAUUCUCUAAUUAUCUCUUCACACCCGGUAAAUUACUUCCAGUAUCCAAAACUUAACCUAGUUGGCCGAAUUUUUCCAAACUUUUCGUACUAGUGGGUCCCACGUCCGGCAUACGCUCUUAAUUUCUCAAAAAUUAUUCGAUACUAGAAAAAUCAUCUAAAAACUAUAUCUGCUCAUUAAAAAUAUCUAGAAAUUUUCCUAAUCACGAAAAUGCAGAAAACAAGCCAUGAAAAAUAAUAAAACCUAGAAUUUGAAAAAUACGGGUUCUCACAAUGACUGCUUGGAGAAUGACUCGGCCGAGGAAGAGUGUUCACCCACUCAAGGUGAAAUUGGUUGCUUGGUGGUACGACGAGUGUUAAUCGCCCGAGUCAAAGAAGAUGAGCAAUUGCAACGAGAGAACUUGUUUUAUACUCGAUGUAAAGUAAGUGACAAAGUAUGCAGUCUCAUCAUUGAUAGUGGAAGUUGCACCAAUGUCGCCGGUUUGUUAAUGGUGGAAAGCUUGGGGCUUCCUACGACUAGACAUCCACACCCGUACCGACUACAAUGGCUAAGUGAAGAGGGAGAAGUGUGUGUCUACAAGCAGGUACAUCUUCUUUUCUCGAUUGGCAAUUAUAUUGAUGAAGUUGUGUGCGAUGUUGUCCCUAUGCAUGCUACUCAUGUCAUUUUAGGAAGACCUUGGCAAUUUGAUAAGCAUGUUACCUUUGAUGGUAGGUCUAAUAAGUACACUCUAUUGCACAAUGGUAAACACAUGGUCCUAACACCCCUCACGCCUGCACAAGUAUAUGAGGACCAACUUAAAUUGCAACGAGAAUGUGACUUGGACCAUCAAAAGAGGAAAUAAAAAAAGGCCGAACCUGGAAAUUGCUCCACUUCAAAAAGUGAGCAUUCGGCCAAGGGCAAGGUCGUUACUCCGAGUGUCACAAACGAUCAAGCUCUAACUAGUUCGAACACUAGGAAGCAAAACAUGAUAAUUAAGGCUAAGGAUGUUAGGAAAUGUGUGAAUUUUGAUCAGCCUGUAUUGCUCAUGAUAUACAAACAUGUGCUUUUGAAUGUUGAUGUGCUCGAUAAGGCUUUGGCUUCGAGUGUAGUUGCUUUGUUGCAGGAAUUCGAGGACGUGUUCCCUGAUGAGGUCCUUGAUGGAUUACCACCCAUCUGAGGGAUCGAGCACCAAAUAGACCUGAUUCCUGGAGCACCAUUACCCAACAAACCCGCCUACCAAAUGGGACCCGAGGAAACUAAGGAGCUCUAAAGGCAAGUUGAUGGCCUACUAGGUAAGGUUUGGAUUAAAGAAAGUUUGAGUCCUUGUGAUGUGCCUAUUAUACUUGUUCCAAAAAAGGAUGGUACUUGGCAUAUGUGCACUGAUUGUCGAGCUGUUCAUGUUAUAACUGUUAAAUACCGUCAUCCCAUUUCUAGAUUAGAUGAUAUGCUUGAUGAACUCGAUGGUGUGAGGACCCGCAAAAUUCUCCUUGUUUUAUUUUAUUUUAUUCUAUUCUAUUUUUCCGCGUGUAUUUUCCUUGCUUUCAAUCAAUUAAUCAUUUAAUUUUCAGAGAUUUUAUAAGUGAGUAUCGUUUUUAAAUCAUUUAUUUUAGUAUAAGUGCGUACAUGUUAAAUUUGAGGUGCAUUAUGGAUGUGAGAUCCUGGAUUCCAAAUUGUCUCAAAUAAAUUAAAUAUGGAUAUUUAUAGUAGCUAUUGUGUGAAAAAUGUAUUUUACCAUGUGUUUUAAUUUUCAAAGAGUAUUUUACAUACCAAAAGUGAAAAAUUUAAUUGAAUCAUUAAAAUCCUACUUUCAAAACUAAACCGUUAAGUUUAAAUUAAAUUCAACCAAUUAGUAUUUUCGUGAUUGUAUGUGCAUCCAUGCAUGUUUAGUACGGGGGUUUGAGUGAUUAGUACCUUGGGUUGGUGGGCUUAAGUUAGUUUUAAUUAAACUAAGUAAACCAAUGGGUUAAUUGUGAGGACCCGAAAAAUUUCUUAUUUUUAUCGAAUAUUAAUGGUUUAAUUAAGUAUUUAUCCACCUGUUUUUCCCAAAUAAUUUAUUACGACCAUUUUAAAAUCCAUUCGUAUGGAAUAAUGUCUUGAUUAUGCUUUUAAAACGUCCCGUUAACAACUUCAAUUUUCGGAGGAUUGUUUAAGUGAGAAAUAAUGAACACGAGUGUUUCAAGGUGAUAUUGUAUUCGAGAGUAUGAUUAUCCUGGGGAAAUUAAGAACGGACAAUAGCAGAUUAAGAAAAGUUAAUCGAGAAUUAAAGGUGAAUAAGUUCUAAGUGAGCAUAUACUACUCACGCGUGGAUAGUUUUCCAAAAGACGCAUGGAUACAAAUUUAUUGGAGAUUUGAGGAGUUAAUACUCGACUCAUGUGAGGACUCGUAAAACUCCUAUUAAAACCCUAUUUUGAGCUUAUUUAAUUAUUUACUUGUUCAUUUAUUCCGAAUAUUAUUUUCUAGAUAUAUUAGACCUAAAUACAUGGUAAUAUAACUUUGUUAUAUUUUUAAAGUGACUCGUUUCAAAAAUUAAUUUCCUGGAGCGCGUUUAGUAAAAAUAGUAAAUAGUGCUCGGAGAUCUUUCCGCGUAGGAGCACAAUAAGCUUGGAAUAUUGGAGACUUGUACUAUGGUCCUAAAAUAGGUAAUCUUAUGAAUAAACACUCAAGUGAUAGUUAGUAGUGCAAUCGUUAUAAGAAUUUCUCGGAAGUUUCGCGUUAUAGCGUUAAAUUUGACGGUACGCGUUUUCACACGCGCGACUUUAUUUGAGGGACUUUAGACCCUUAUUUCGGGACAAUUAAGUGUGAAUAAUAUUUACAUAAAUAUAAAUGCAUUGGAGGUUCAGUGCACUAGUGAACCAAACGCGCGAGAAAAUCGAGCCAAAAACGUGCCAAACGAGCCUUAAUGAGAGUUGACCUUGGAGUGAAUUUGCACCACUCAUUUUAAUGUUCCCUUGGAAGCUAGAAUUGAUCACAUUUCACUCUCUCUUCUCUCCCAUUGUGCCGACCAGCCUUCUCCCUCUCUCUGUGAGAACCCGUUUUGCCCUAAUGGCAUGCCGCACAUAUAUUCUCUAGCAGCCUGAAAAACAUCCCAGCAAUGUGUGAAGAAAAACCCCGUGAAUCCAUCCAUCCAGCCGAACUUUGACCAUCAAGUUGGAAGACAGUAUUCUUAACUUCCUUUAACUAGAGCUCCUGAAAAAGUUGGUCAUUUUCUGUUUAGGCUACUAAAACUAGAACAUUCUGUAAUAAACUCUGAAUUGCUCGCUCAUCAAUCGUGGACGGAUCAGACAAGAGGGCUCAGGAAUAAUGAAUAGCCUCAGCACUAAUAUCUCCUUCAUUGAACAAAAAUUCCUGCGAAUUUUUGAUUCGGCAUAUAAAGAGUUUAGCUCUCUUAUCCAGCAGCAUGGAAUGGAAAAACUUGGUGUUAGAGUCACCUUUUUUCAGCCAUUUAACCCGUGCCUUCUACUUCCAAAAAACUUCUUCAUCUGCUAGACACUUAAGCAAGACGGCCAUUGCUAGACUCCAUUGCUCCCUUGUCUCUUUCGUAUCCUCCUCCUCUAGCCGAAUAUCCUUUUGUUGAACUUGGUUUUCCGCCUCCAAGAUAUUGUCAAAAAUGUUUCCGAAUACCUUCCUGUUCCAUUCACCUAGAGCUCACUUCAACCUCUUCAGCUUUUGCAUGAAAAGAAACAUGCCAUAACCUUCAACGGGCUGCGCCCAACUUUGCUUUACUACAUUCAAAAAAUCCGAAUGUCAAACCCACAUGUGUUUGAAUUUGAAGGCUCCUUUCCAUUAUAGUAAUCAGCAGCAAUCUUCAUUAAUAAGGGGCUAUGGUCCGAUACCACCCAGUUAAGGUGGUAGAGCUCCAAAUUAGUAAACUGAUGCUGCCAAGCUGCGUUCAUUAGAAUACUAUCAAAGUGCUUCCAUACUCAUUGACCUUGGCAAAUACCAGUCCAAGUAAAUCAACUCCCACUGGCCGUCAUGCAUGGUUUUCAACCCACAUGAAGAAAUGCAAUCCGUAAACUCGUUCAUGGUUGCUAUGUUCUGGGGAGUCUGGCCUAAAUAUUCACCUUCCUCAGUAAUUACAUUAUAAUCACUCCCCCACAGCCCAUGGUUUGGAAGCUAGACCCCCAGAAAGUGAAACCGAUCCUGACCAAAGACACCUCCUUUCUACUUGAGUGCAUUUAGCAGAGACAAAGGAGCAAAACACUACGCUUCGCCACGAUAGAUGAGUGAAGCCAAAUGUAUGAACUAUUCAAAAUUAACUAAGACAUUAAUUGCAAAAUCUGCCUUCCAUAAUAUCCAAAUCUUAUUACUUACAUUAUAAACAGGAUUUGGAUUUAAAUACUUCAAGUUGAGAUGCAUCUACCAUCGGUUCUAAGAUCACUAGGAAAGAGAUAGAGUGUAAUCUUAUUAGUUUUUUCAGACACCUGAUAGAAGUUCUGCUAGCUACUCCCCUAAUAUUCCAAAUGAGCAUAUUAAUCAUCAAAACAGUGGGAGGGAGAGCUAGCGGGGAUUGCUUUCAAAGACUGAUUAGUGACAAUGGUCUUUGGCAAAUUUAAAAUCGUUUCCUCCUACCUCACUUUACUGCUGCUUCCAUACCCAGAAUGGGAAAGAGACAGUCAAUUAUUUCCUUGAGCAUAGUAAAUUUUGCCAUGAUAAUGUGCCUUGGUUUAUCUGGUAGUGGGUCUUCCGUAUUAGAGAGGGAGUCCUAUCGAUGAUUACGACACUAGGCCAUCAAGGACUGAUGGUCAAGGAACUUUUCUACAAGAUUAUUUCCAUUCGACAUGUUGAGGCCAUGCUCCUUGUUGUAGUCCUGAGUAAUAGGAAUAGCCCCAAAGCAGAUAGAGGCCCCAGUACCAUGUCUGCUACGUUUGCCGUCUCCUUCUGAGGUACCACAUCUUCCUUAAGUGAAACAUGCUCGUUAAGGCUUAAUUGUUGUGCGCUGUUGACACAGAAAAACUCCUGGUCCAUUGUUUUCUGUUGUAUCGUCAGCCCAAAGCUGCUCGGCAAAGCUUCUAGUUGUUUAAUAUCAAUCUUUGGAAUCCAAAUCUUUUGUUUUUCGGGCUUCACAACUGGAGGAAUCUACCUUUGCUCAUGAGGAGCACCGGGACGAUGGUGACAUUGGUCCUUAUUGUGGCCUAGCUUUUGACAGAAAGAACAAUAGCUCAGGAGAUUUUCAUAUUCUAUUUGCUGCCAAAAUCCAGAACUGCCUUGUCCAAUCCAAAUUUUUCCUAGUAACUAUCCCUGCAGAUUAACUUCGACACAGAAUCUUGAUACUCCAAACCUGGAUUAAGUUGCAGUGGAGGCAUCAAUCUUUAGGGGGUCUCCAAUAAGGCGAGCAAUCGAGAAGAGCGGCCCUUUACUGAACAAAUGCACUGGCAAACGUGGGAGUGAAAUCCAAGCUGGAACUAUCGGUGUUUUCGAAUCCACGGAGAAGGAAGGUGUUUUCGAAACCCUUAUUUAAUUUCUUUUUCUUUGAGAAAUUAACAUUCACAUAACUUCAUUUCAAAUCUAAUAUUUCAUAAUGAAAAUUUGUAAUUUCAUUCCAAAUCUAUUAUUACAUAAGGAAAUGAAAUUACAAAAGAUGAAAUUACUUGUACAUUUUUCAUUCUAUUUGGAAUUUUUCAUUCCAAAUAUAUUUGUAAUUUCAUUCCAAAUUUCAUUACUUGUACACCAAUAUAAUAAAUUGAUAUUGACAAUACUAAAGAUGAAGCUUUUAAAUAAACAAAAGGGAAUUGAGAGAGUGUCUAAACAUAGAAUUUGUAAUUAGAUGAUCUAUUGACAAAGAAAUUACCAAUUUUAAUUCAUACAUUCUACAAGUUAUUAUUGAUAUCAAACAAAAUAAGUUUCAUUACUUUUCCUAAAUUUUGAAAUCUUUAUGAGAAAUAAUAGCAAGGUGCAGGUAAGGUUGUAGGAAAUAACAUACAAGUAUGCAUCUUUAUGAAAUUUCAUCUGUAUACUGUCUUCUUGUUUAAAAUUAUUUUUCUAGAUAAUUUGAAUAACUUGAACCAUAAUCUUGUCUAACAACAUAAGAAUGUUAUCUUUGCAAGCAAAUCAUUAGAGAUUAAUAAAGAAGGAAAAAUGGUUGAAUUUACUUUUAACCUUUGUUUCUAAGAUGUUUGAUUUUAGUUUGGUCUUCCUAAUCUUGAGUAAAGCUAACCUCUGUCUUGAGUAAAAGAAAAAGAAAAAUCAAAUCUAACAGACGUUGUUAAUGCCCACCAUUGAUUUAGGGUAGGAGUAACUCUUUUUUUUUCAACAUCAAGAAGAUAAUAUCAAUAUAGAAAUCAUGCUUGAGAGGUGAAAUUGUCUCAUUUUAUACAAGAUAUUUUACAAAUAAUCCUACUGGUUAUCUAUCCUUGCUAUGUUAGGUUAUGCCAAGGUACUGGUAAUUGAUAUAGUUAAUUGUAUAACCAUUAUCAACACUAAAAUGGGUAACAAUGACAUGCCUUGGAUAGGGUGAUCUUCCCCUCUUUCUAAAACUUUUUCUUUACCCCAAAGAAAGAAAAACAAAAAAUAGAGAAUCUAUAAUACAAGGUUGAAAUAAGUUAGUCAUUAUCGCAAUGAAUCAAUGGAAAAUGAAGAGCAAGUAUGAUUUGGGUAUAUAUUAUUCUUAAUUUUUUUUCAAUAAUGCCGUAUCAUAAACUACAUAAGAUUAUGUUGUGUGUCCAAACUGAUGACUUUCUAACAUUAUUGAGGAUUUUUGUGUAAUAUUAAUAUUGAAGUUCUAUAUUGGAAAAUUAUUUCAUGGCACUAAGCUAUCUUAUAAUCAAUCAAGGAAUAUUAAAUAAUAUUAAUCAAAUAUAGAUUUACUUUAACAAUUAAAAUAACAAUUGUUUAAUAUUUAAUUGAUGAAUGACCAUAAAAGUUUAUCAUAAGUGCAUUCUAAUAUACCAUUUACUAAACCCGAAAAAUUUGAGGAAGAAAACAAAUUCUAUUCCAUUUGCCAAGAGCGGCAGCUGUAAAAGCUUUCGUUCAAUGUUGAAUAAUAUGAAUAUUGCUCCAUUUUAAACUUUUGAUGUUCUAAAUCUAAAUACUGAACUUGUAAGUUGAAGUUUGGAAUAAACAAAAUAGCCUAAGUAGGAAAAGUUUAAUCCAAAAGGGAUGAUAGAAGUUUAUGUAUAAUGUCCAAGUAAGAUAAAAGGUGAUGAAAAUAAAAAAAAAGGCAUGCUCUCUCUUUGUUGCCAAAUAGUGACAAUGUCUGAGUAAGAUAAACCAAUAUUUUGUUAAAAAAAAUGUCCUCCAAAAAUGAAGUAAAUAUUUAUACCAUAAGGUUUCUUGCUUCUUUUAAAAAAGUUGUAGGAAAAGAGUCAAUUUACUUACUUAAAAAAAAAUCUAUAAAGAUUUUCCAAAUUAUUUAGCACAUGUUAAGGGAAUCAAUUGAGAAAAAUAAAGGGUUGAACAUGUGAAUUGUAAAUGUCCCUAAAUACUUUGCUAAAUUGUCUUUAUGUAAACGUUCCACUAAUUUCUCUUGCCAUUUAACAUUUAUAUUAUCUAGCACUAAUUUUUGUAGUUGCACCUUUCCUUUUAUUAGUAAUAAAUUAUUUUACUAUUGAGCAAACAAAACGUUAGAUUUCCCAAAAGUCAUUUGUGUAAAAUUCAAUUCAAAAUCAAAUUCAGAAGUUCAUUCUAAUAGAAUUCUAUUCCUAAAAUACAAGGUCAAUGUUGGUAUUACAUAAAUAACCUCAAUAGAUAUUGAAUGGGCAUCCAUAAGAAAAAUGUCCCACUAAUUUCUCCAGUCAUUUAGCAUUUAUAUUAUCUAUCACUAAUUUUUGUAGUUGUACAUUUCCCUUUACUACUAAUAAAUUAUUUUACUAUUGUGUAAACAAAAUGCUAAAUUAUCCAAAAGUCAUGUGCCUGCAAUUUCAUUCCAAAUCAAAUUCACAAAUUCACUUUAAUACAGUUCUAUUCCUAAAACAUAAUGACAAAGUCGAUAUUACAUAAAUAACCUCAAAAGAUAUUGAACGGGCAUCCAUAAAAAAAGUACAACAAAGUAAAUAAAAUAUGUAAUAAGGAUAUUAUUGGAAAGAGAAAAAUAAAUCACUGAAUUACCAAAUCAUAUUAGUACUUUUAAUAUAGUAUCCAAUUUCACAAUGACUAUUAAUAGACCCAUUCAUAAGCACUUGUCCAUCAUUGAAUAAAUAUUUUUAUCAAAUUAUAAGUGUGAAAUAUAAAUGUUAUUUUUAUAAUCCAAAACAUGGCCACUUGCCAUUAAUGUAAACCAAAAGCAAUUAUUUAGUAAUAGUACAGUCAUGACAAAAGAAUAAUUCAAAAAAAGAUAUUUAAAAGAAAUAAAGGACUACUCAAAUUGUCUAGAGCUUAACACGGACGGUUGUUCGAAGGGUAACCCUGGCUUAAGUGGAGGAGGUGGGGGGUGCGUGCGGAUGGGGGAGGAUGGUGCUGGCAUUUUCAUGUAGUUUCGGUUUGGCUUCAAGCAUGCAGGCUGAGGCCCGCACCCUAUUGGUUGGGGUCAAAUUGUGUCUCCAGAGGGGCAUCGAUACCUUGGACGUUGAACUGGACUCGUUGGUUUUGGUCCGCAUCUUGAAUCGAUUAGUACGUUGCCCAUGGAGCAUUCACACUGAGGUGCAGCAAUUGAUGGGGGUGGCAUCUCAUUUUCCUCGGAUUCUUCACUGUUACUGUUAGGCGAACCAGGUCACGGAUACAUUGGCAAAUAUUGGUUGUUAGCAGGCCCGUGACGAUAUAUAUUUGGCAGCUUCAGAUUUGCCCCAUUUAGUGCGAGGAGUUUUAUUUCUAGAUAGGCUAGGAGUGCCAUCCCUCCGCCAAGUUGUUAUGAGGGAGGGGUAGUUUUUGAGCAUUGGUGCUUGUAACUUUGGUUUUUCCGAUAAGAUAAUCUAUUGAGAAAAAAAAAAAAAAAAAAAAAAAGGACCACUCAAAUCAAAGUAAGAAACUCUCAAUUCCUUAAUAAAUGACCAAUUUGGGCUCUCCCUAGAUUAGGCUAGAGUAGGAGUAGAGUAGAUAAAUAACGAAUGAAAAAAUAAAAAUAAAAAAAUAAAAGUAUGAAAUAAGCAUUUAAUAGAUUGAAGUUGGUAAGGAUGAUAAGUCUAGCUUAAAUAUGGGUAAAAUAUCUAGCUCUACUUUUUAAACAACAAAGAACCACAAAGAAAAAAAAGCUACAAGAAAGAAUGUAUUAUGAAGAAAUAUCUUUUAAUCUCCAAGAAAUAGUGAUAUACGAAGAAACUAUCUUUUAAUACCCUAACUUAUAAGUUGAUAUAACCUACAGCUUAACAUCUAAAUCUUUAAUGUAUGACUUCUAACAAAAAUAAAGUUCGGUUCUUUUGAUUGUUCAAUUUUAAGAUGCUUGUUAGGAUUAUCGAGCAAAUAUCUAAUUAAAGAUAUAAUUACAUUUGACAUUUUUUUUUGUAACUAGAAAGUUUUGAAACUAGGAUCUCCUACUUAUAAUCCCUCUCACCUUACCACCCAACCCAACCCUUCCCUAAAACAAAUUAAAGACUAAAAUUUAAAACAACAAUUAAACAAGUAGACUAACAUGAGAAUACUAAUUCUUCAACCAAACACCUAUUUUACAGGUUGUUAAAUGCCAAUAAAAUCUUGGUCUUACAAAAUUAUUUCUACUAAUACUCUUCAUCAUUUUUAAUAAGAUGAAAUCAAGGAGAGACAAAAUCCAAUCUAAAACAUACAUAACAUCUAUAACGUAGUCAUAACUUUCUUUUGGUCUUCUGAAGUGUUUCUAUAUGCAAUUCAUGCACAAUACCUGCACACAUGUUUUCUUUAGAAAAUAUAAUUAGUUAAGAAAAGACAAACCAAAUUAACUAAUUAUACACUAAUUGUUCAUUAUUUUUGCCUUUUUCUUGGUUAUAAAUUAAAUGGAAUUUAUGAUUCAACUAUCUCUUUUUGCAUCUCCCGAAAAUUUGUAUGUGCACAAUAAUCUUGCAAAUUAAUAACUGUUAAAUUAUAAACUUAACCCUAAGCAAGAUACUAGGCAACGUGCAAAACACGUUCUCUUAUGCAAAAAACAUGGACCUUGCUCCAUUCAAAAGCCCCCUUGAACAUGGAGUUCCAAACUACUUCAGGACAAAUGAUAGAUUUGAUUAUUACCCUUGAAGAAGAAAAGGAUCUAUGUAAAUAUUCCUUGUCACUGUGACAAGAUGAAUCUGCCAAACUCUUUCGCGUUCAAAUCCCAUAAACUAGUUGCACUUGUUACUUGCAGUUAACUUUCCGCAAAAAGCCACCGAUUAACCUACUGCCAAUUCUUUCUAUUUCUAGGUUUUUGGGGAACCAUCGUUGUACUAGUACAACAUGAAUAUUCUAUAUUCCAUUUGAAAAUGUGGGUUUUCCACAAAGGAAGACUUCUUUCAUCCAACAAUCAGAAUUAGAGCUUUUUAAUAGGAGUUUUCCACUUUGAAUUUAUGAUCUUGGCAUAGAUGAGAAAUGGUUAUGCAUUUUUGUUUUUUUAAUUACAUCCGUGCUCUUUUAUAUUUGUUUUUGAUGCAAUUGUUCAGUAGAAGACUGCUUAUUAUUCUUUCUACCUUCCUAGAAGCUAAUGGAAUAGAGUAAUUGACAUUCAAAAGUAUUUGUCAAUGUGAAUGACAAUCAUUUUGUUUUGAUUACCAAAUAGGUUGCAUGUGCAUUGCUUAUGUCUAGUGAGAAUUUGAAGAACCAUAUAGAUGUAAAGAACAUUCUGAUUGACAUGGUAAUUUACUUUCAAGUUCAAGUAAAUUCUUGUUUGAUUGAUGCAAUCCUGUGCUCUAAGAAUUUUAUGAGUGAUGCAGUUCUAGUGAAACACGUAUUGACAAACUUCUUUUGAAGUUAUCUUUUGGAAAGGAUGGGAAGUAAAGAGGUGAAGGUUUUGUACUCUUUUUGUCUUUUUUGCUCUCUCUUAAUGAUGGGGAAGGGGGCUUUUGAAUACAAAUAAACAUGGACCCUGACCCUGCUCCAUGUUAAACAUCAGACUAGCAAGAUCCAUGUUUUGUCUUUUGUGUAUUAGUAAUGGGAGUGCGUGCAGUGCACGUGUAUUGUGUUUCUCGUGUGUUAUAAUUUUUUUUUAUAAAUUUUUUUUCUAGCAAUUAAUAAGAAAAGAGAGAAAAUUAACAAUUUAAUGUAAUCUUAAGUAUAUUUAGAUGUUAAUAGUUCCAAGUUAUAUACCAUUAUCUCAUUAUGAUAGGUAAAACCCACCUGAUAAGUGUUUAUUUUGAGUGUUUUAAGUGUGUUUUAUUAAUUAGUUUUAGGGUACAUUUGAUUCUACAGAAUUGGAAUUGAAUUAGAAUUGAAAUUCUAUAGAAUUUGAAUUCUAUGAAUUGGAAAUCCAAAUCCUUGCAAUUCUUUCAUUUGGAAAAUGCAUAGAAUUGAUACGAAAUUUGUUUGGAAUUCCAAAUUCUUUGUUUGGAUGAGAGAAGAAUUCAUUAGGAAUUAGAAUUGUUUUCAUGAAACAUUUGCUUACAUAAAAUUUUUGUUUUUUUCUUUUUUUUUUUAUAUAAUACUUUCUUUUUUCUUACAUUUAGCUAAUUUUUACUAAAAAAUUUAAAGGAAAAAACCAAUUUGUACCUUUAAUAAUUUACUUUUCUUGCAUUUAGCUAAUUGUUACUCAAGCUUUAAUGAAAAAUGCAAAUUACUUCCUUUUUUGGCAAAAUAUCAGCCAAAACCCCGAAACUAGCUAAGACAUUCAGGCAAAAUUAUAACCAACAAUGACAAUAUAAAUAGAAAAUAUUGCAACAAUGAUAAUAUAAAUCGACACCUACAUAUCAAGAAUAGAAUACUUGUGCUAAAUUGCUUGCUUAAACAACCAUCAUAGAUAUAGAGGUUAUAUACACUGUAGUGGAAAAGUAGCCCUCAUUUCUGGCUACUUUAACAUUGAAAUGGUUUGUUAGCAAUCGAAACUUUUGGCCUCUGGUAGCAACACCAGUCCUAGUCAUUAGUAGUCUCUUGGCAUCUGAAAAAAGCAAACAUUGAUACAGCCAAAUAUUGAUAUAAUCCAUGACUACUAUAAUGAAAAAAGCAAAUUACUUCCUUUUUUGCAAAAUACCAGCCAAAACCUUGAUAAGCCCUAAGAGCAACAACCAGCUGAGACAUUCAGGCAAAACCACAACCAACCAUGACAACAUAAAUAGAAAAUAUUGCAACACAAAUUCACGAUUCUUUAGAAGAAUGCAUUCUCACUAAAAGUUUAAUAAAUGUAUUCUCGCUAAAAGAAAUAGAAAAAUGUAUUCUUGCUAAAAGUCUAAAACAAGCCAAAGAGAAAGGUAGCCCUUUUGAAUUGUAAUAGUCCUUUCUAGCUUCAAAGGUAAGACAAGAAUUCAACCAAUUGUGGAUUUCAAAAACACAAAACAAAGGAACCAAGCCAUCAACUUCAACAUUGAAACACCAAGGCACCACCACUUUCCUCCUCCUUGCAGACCUACGCAGGCCAUCAGUUCACAAUGUUUCCAUGCCAGGUAAGGGUGACAAUAAAACUGCAUAAGCUCAAUGCUAAAUUAAGACCAUUUUCUUUUGACAAAUAAUACUUGAAUAAGGACACAACGACCAUUUUGCUUUAGCUGUAGAGCAAAUGUACCAUUUUCACAAGAAAUGAAGCACCUGCCACUAGCUUUUCCUCUUGCUUCUUAAUAUCAUUCUCAUCUAAUAUUCAGUGCCUUCCAAGAAAUUUGACGGGGUCACUAAUUUGCUACAACAAGUAUACAAUAAUCUCACCUCCUUUAAAGAACAAGACACUGCACCUGGUGUGAAAAGUUAACAAAAUAAGGAAGUAGAAUUAAUAGGCUUAAUCAUGGGAAAUUGCAGUUAUAUCCAAGGCUUACUUACAGAUGUUACUCUACAAGCAGUUAGUUUAAGUUCUUGUUCAAGUAGACCAGGCUCUGCUUCAUUUAAUUGGAGAAAACCUCUCUCCACUACCCUGUAAUAAAUUCAAUCGUGGGAUUAUUUGUAAAAGUCAUUACCGUUUAUAACAUACCUCGUCACUAAUUUUAUCAUACACCAAGUGCUACACAGCUACUGUUACAGGACUUUUAUCAGAUUUUGCAUGGACAUCCGACUGCAAUAAUGCUUUCUGCACUUUCUGCAGAGUUCCAAGUGCUACACAGGUCACAGACAAAACUUAGUGGAGAAGCGUAAAAAUACAUAAAACUUUGACUGAUGAAGAUGCAUAUAACUGAAAAUUUGAUAAUGCAAAACUCGGCGGUUUCUGCUCAUGUAAGUUUCUGAUGUUGCCGUAUUGAAAUCAGAAGAGGAAAUCAAACACGUAGCCUACUUUCAUAUGUCAUACAAUAUAAUGAGUUACUUUUAAACAGUGAACAGAAUUAUUUUCCUGGUGCAAGUCAGUCUAAGAAAUUAGAAAGGAGAAGUAGAGUUCUCCAACAUACCAGAAAUUAAUUUGCAGAAAAUGCAAUACAUAAUAUAUUAAAUGAGCUAUCUGUGCUAUUUCAUCCCUAAAAAAUGAUAGGAUAAUUAAGAAGUACUACUAGUUAAUAUUGCGAAUCAAGCUAAAAGCAAGAGAUAGAAAAUUAAGAGAUGAAUAUAAUGUGGUAGCAGUAGUAUUAUUAGUUUACUUCUAAUCAAAGUUGAUUUUUCCAAAAGCCUCAGGAUCAAUAAAAAAUGUCCAAUAUUAGUGUAUAUACUUGGUGGCUGGGCUGUAGUCUCGGCUGCAGUUUUGGGUAUCUUGUGUUUAUAGUAUCUAUCUAUAUUUGGUAGUAUUGGUAAUUGCACAUAAUUAGGUAAAUUGGGGCUGAAGUCACGGGAGUCUGAGGUGCACAUUGUACUUGUAUAUAUAGAGCAGAUGGCAAUGAGAAAACUAUGAAAACUUUUCCCAAUUCUUCUGGUUUUUCAUGGUAUCAGAGCAUUCUGGCUCUGAAAACAAUACCGAACCCCUAGACUAUAAAUCCUAGGACGAUGACAGAUCAAAAAGUUUCAAGUUUGAAGACCAAUUCGCCGUUCUUAUUGAGCGCGAAUGACAACCCAGGCAAUUUAAUUACGCAGACGCAAUUCAAAGGACCAAACUAUGAAGAAUGGGCUAAGGCCAUGAGGAUUUCGUUGAGGGCAAAGAAGAAACAAGGUUUCAUUGAUGGCACCAUUAAGGAGCCGAACCAGAACUCUGAUGAAAUUGAUGAUUGGUGGACAGUGAACUCCAUGAUUGUGUCAUGGAUUUUUAACACUAUCGAACCAGGCUUGCGUUCCACGAUUUCAUACAAGGAAACGGCAAAGGAAUUAUGGGAUGAUAUCCAGCAGCGAUUCUCUGUUCGUAAUGGCGCGCGAGUUCAUCAAUUGAAAACGGAGGUUGCAAAUUGCAAACAAAACGGGGAUUCGAUCAUGGCUUAUUAUGGUCGACUCAAGAAACUGUGGGAUGAUUUGAAUGAUUACGAUCCUAUGCCUACUUGUUCUUGUAAUGGAUGCAAGUGUAAUUUCGCUACACGGCUUCAACAGCGUCAAGAGGAAGAGCGGGUGCAUCAAUUCCUCAUGGGGCUUGAUGAAUCAUCUUAUAGUAAUGUUCGUUCCAACAUCAUCGCUUCAGACCCUCUUCCAAACCUUCAUAGGGUUUAUUCUCAAGUUACAGAGCAAGAACAAGUGCAGGUAAUGACGCGAGCAGCUCCCAAUCGGUCUGAUCCGGUGAGCUUUACCAUGAAAACAGUCAGCCUAGGCCCUCGGAAUUCAGGGGGGACCGAAAAGACGAUGGAAUAGUUUGCUCUCACUGCCAAAACGGGACAUAGCAUGGACACAUGUUUUCGUCUUCAUGGCUAUCCCGACUGGUGGCCAUGAAAUUCGACUCAAGGAAAAGGUAAAGGACAUGGUAACCAGGGGCGUGGUCGUGGUGGAGUAGCACGGGCUCAUGUUGCACAAGGGGUAGUACAGGCGGCUGCUAAUGUUUCCAUGGGAGACCACUUGAUGAUUCUGAUAAAGCUGGAUUGGAGAACUUGAGCAAAGCUGAUUGGGAGACUUUGAAGUCUCUCUGGAACACUCACACGAAUAAUACAUCAGUUGCUCAGUCACGGCUUAAUGGUAAGACAUAUUUACAAUGGUUGUUUGACACAGGUGCUUCGCAUCAUAUGACGGGAGAGGAAACUGCAUUUGUAGAGCUUCAAGGAAUACCUCCUUGUCCCGUGAAAAUGCCAAAUGGUGAAUACGUUAUGGCAAUAGGAGAAGGAACAGUUCUUGUAGGAAAAUUAUUUCUCAAGGGUGUUUUAUAUGUUCCUGAAAUGCGAUGCAAUUUGAUAUUUGUUUCAAAAUUAGCCCGUGACAAAGUUUAUAUAUUGAAAUUCACUGAUCGUUUAUGUGUUGUCCAGGACCGCACUUCGAGGAUGCUGAUUGGAUUGGGUGAAGACUUGAGGGGCUGUAUGUCGCACGAGGGGAGCCUUUGGUCAAUGCUCAUGGAGCCGCUACAGUCAAGAAUAUGGAUUUGUGGCAUAAAAGGUUGGGACAUCCCUCUGUGCGAGUCAUAGAAAAGCUCCCUACAAUAGAUGGUAGUAUAGAGAUAAAUAAAGGUGUUCAUGAACCUUGUGACGUUUGUUUCCGGGCAAAACAAACUCGUAUUCCUUUUCCUAUUAGUGACCGUAAAGCUAGUGAUAUCUUUGAAUUAAUUCAUUGUGAUUUGUGGGGAGCUUAUCGAGAGGCUAGUUUUUGUGGUGCUACCUAUUUUUUGACUAUUGUUGAUGAUUGUUCUCGUGGUGUAUGGGUUUAUUUGUUAAAAGGGAAACAUGAGGUCCCAUAUGUUGUUAAGAAUUUUUUGGCUAUGACCGAGAGACAAUUUAAUAAACAAGUCAAAAUUAUACGCAGUGACAAUGGUACAGAGUUUACUUGUUUAGAUGAUUAUUUUAAGGAGUGUGGCAUUAUUCAUCAGACUUCCAUGGUUGGGACACCCCAACAAAAUGGAAGAGUUGAGAGGAAACAUCGACACAUUUUGAAUGUUGGUAGGGCGCUUCAUUUUCAGGCUAACUUACCUAUUCAAUUUUGGGGAGAAUGCAUUCUCACUGCAGGAUAUUUAAUCAAUCGUACUCCAUCGUUGGUUUUGGGUGGAAAAACUCCAUAUGAAAUUUUGUUUGGAAGUCCUCCAUCUAUUUCUCAUCUUAGAGUAUUUGGAUGCCUAUGCUAUGCUAAGAACAUUAAUCGGGAAAAGGAUAAGUUUGCAAGUCGAAGUCAUAAGUGCAUAUUCAUGGGUUAUCCAUAUGGUAAAAAGGGAUGGAGGGUGUAUGAUCUAGAUAGGAAGGUUUGCUUUGAAAGUCGAGAUGUUGAGUUUGUUGAGCACGUGUUUCCUUUUGUCCAUACGGACUCCGCAAGAUCGGCACCUCCAGAUCCUCUGCCUACUGUCAUUGAGCCUACUAUAUUGGAGGACGUGCCUGAGAUUGAGGCACCUCCCCCAGUCUCUGAAUAUGACGGACAGUCCGUGGAAGAGGGUGUGACAGCAGAUGGGACCGUACCAAUACCUGAAGUUGCAGAGAUUACAGGUACAGCAGAGGAUCUUGGUCGCGGCAAACGAGCGCGACAACCUUCAGUUCGUUUGCAUGAUUAUGUGUUGCAUACAGCUACCCUCCGUUCCUCAAGCUCUCCUUCCUCUUCCUUGGCAUCCUCAGGUACGCCCUACCCCAUCACAAAUUAUGUGAAUUGUGCUAAAUUUUCUCUGUCGCAUCGUCGAUUCGCGGCUGCAGUAACUACAGGGAUUGAACCAACCAGUUUUAAAGAGGCAAUGCAGCAUUCAUGUUGGCGUGAGGUAAUGAGAAAGGAGGUUGAGGCUCUAGAGAAUAAUGGGACCUGGACAGUUUCUACUUUGCCUACGGGAAAGAAGGCUCUUGGUAGUAAAUGGGUCUACAAUAUCAAGUAUCAUGCAGAUGGAACAAUCGAGUGAUACAAGGCACGGUUGGUUGUUUUUGGGAAUCAUCAGAUCGAGGGUCUUGAUUAUACUGAGACGUUCGCACCCACUGCGAAGAUAGUCACGGUUCGUACCUUCUUGGCAGUAGCAGCGAUCCGUGGGUGGGAUUGCAUCAGAUGGAUAUGCACAAUGCAUUUUUGCAUGGCGACCUUGAGGAGGAAGUUUAUAUGCUUUUUCCACCAGGUUUUACGGCACCCGGAGCGGAUAAAGUGUGUCGUCUGUGCAAGUCUCUCUACGGGCUGCGACAGGCACCGCGGUGUUGGUUUGCCAAGCUGGCUGCGGCUCUGGUUCAAUAUGGAUUUCAGCAAUCUGGCUCAGACUAUUCUUUGUUCACGUUUCGGCGUGACAAAGUUCAGUUGACCAUUUUGGUCUAUGUGGAUGAUCUGGUGAUAGGUGGGAAUGAUAGUGAUGCCAUUCAUGCGUUUAAAACUUAUUUGAAUGAUUGUUUCCACAUGAAAGACCUUGGUAAAUUGAAGUACUUCCUUGGUCUUGAAGUAGCGCGAAAUUCGACUGGAAUUUUUCUUUGUCAGAGAAAGUAUGCUCUCGAUAUUAUUUCUGAGACCGGUUUGUUAGGUGCUAAACCUGCCGGCACACCAAUGGAGCAAAAUCAUCACCUUGCUUUAGCUAAGGACGAGCCCUUUCCUGACUCUAUGCCUUAUCGGCGUCUUGUUGGUCGUCUUAUCUACCUGACGAUUACUCGCCCUGAAUUGUCUUACAGUGUACAUAUCUUGGCAUAAUUUCUGCAGGAGCCACGGCAUAGUCAUUGGGAGGCGGCUCUUCAAGUUGUUCGUUUCUUAAAACUUCAUCCUGGGCAAGGUCUUUUGCUACGCUCUGAUUCCUCUCUUCAUCUUACGGCUUAUUGUGAUUCGGAUUGGGCGAGUUGCCCCUUGACUCGACGUUCUUUGACGGCAUAUUUUGUCUUUCUUGGGGAUUCUCCAAUUUCCUGGCAAACGAAAAAACAGCAUACCGUCUCUCGAUCUUCGGCUGAGGCAGAGUAUCGAUCUUUGGCCUCUACGACUUGUGAAUUGAAAUGGCUCAAGGGUUUGUUAGCUUCUCUUGGCGUUCCUCACUCAUCUCCUAUGCGGAUUUAUUGUGAUAGCCAGUCCGCUCUUCAUCUUGCUCACAACCCUGUGUUUCAUGAACGCACCAAGCACAUCGAGGUUGAUUGUCACUUUGUUCGUGAUGAGAUUCGUCGUGGUAUCAUUCUUCCCCAAUUUGUAUCCUCGUCUCACCAACUCGCUGAUAUCCUAACCAAGGCUCUUGGCAAACGUUCGUUUGAUGACAUUCUUUGCAAGUUGGGCAUUUCCGAUCUUCAUGCUUCAACUUGAGGGGGGUAUUAGUGUAUAUACUUGGUGGCUGGGCUGUAGUCUCGGCUGCAGUUUUGGGUAUCUUGUGUUUAUAGUAUCUAUCUAUAUUUGGUAGUAUUGGUAAUUGCACAUAAUUAGGUAAAUUGGGGCUGAAAUCACGGGAGUCUGAGGUGCACAUUGUACUUGUAUAUAUAGAGCAGAUGGCAAUGAGAAAACUAUGAAAGCUUUUCCCAAUUCUUCUGGUUUUUCAUCCAAGUUCCUAAUAAGUACCCUCAAAUCCUCAGGCAUUAUCCCGAAUGGGUUCCAAGUCAAACUUUGACUAAUUAACUAAAACUCAAACAAACAAGAAAAAAACCAAAGACCAACUUGUUCUUUUGUUCUCAUAACAUCGUAAAUUAUAAGCUUAAAAUAAUAAUAAUAAUAAUAACCGCAUAGAAUCAAUCACUACCACAAAUUAUCAAAAAAAAUACCUUAAAAAAACAAUGUUAAUAGAAAAAAAAAUUAUUAAGUUACCUUUAUAAACUCUAAUUCUAUCUGAAAAAUCUGGAAUAGUAGAGAGUAAAUUGCACAGGCAUGCCGUAUUGGUUAAAGUAUCCGUCAAUCCUGGAGUAAACCGUACAAGUGCGGUAUUUAUUGUUUGCAACUGGGGUUUCUUGACUUGAUGAAGAUCUGGAACUACAAAGCAAAUGAAUGAAGUUUGGAGGGGCCGAAGACGACUUCUUCUAAUGUAGCUUCACUGGAAGGGAAGGAGGAGAUUGACAAAAAUUAAUUAAAACCCCACAAUUUCAACCUGAGUUAUGCAAUGGGCAGCGAGUGGAGCAUGGAGGGGUGGAGGUGGCAGCAAAAGUGAUGGGUGAAGGCAGCACAAGUGGAGGAGGCGGCGGCAGGAAUGCUCCAACAGAGCAUUAGAUAUGGCAAUUGAUAAUCGAAAGAGAAGAGCGAGGUUUGAGUUUUUUCCAUCAAUUUUAUAGUUGACCCAUUUUUUAGAUUUUACCCGUACAAGACCCGCGUGUUGACCCGAUUGAGGAGUUCGGUCAUGGAAUUGGAAUUGGAAUUCUUUGGUCCAGCCAAAGAAUUGAAACCAUGGAAUUCGAUGGAUUUGGAAUUGCAAUUCAAUUCUAAUUCUACUGAAAAGAUAGUACCCAAACACAAGAAUUGAAAUUGAGGCUCCAAUUCCAAUUCUACACUCCAAUUCCAUGGGAAACCAAACGUACCCUUAGUGUAUUUUAAUUAUUUUUAUAGCUAAUUGAUUAGGUUUCUAGUGAAAGCAUGCAUUUUAUGGUUUAAGUGUUAAAAGUUGCAUUUCUGUGGAUUAAAUGGUGAAAACAUCAUGUUUGUGUAGGAUUCAAGGAUUCAAUCAUCAAAUGGAAUGAAUUGAGAAGAUAAUUGGAUGAUUGUUGAUGAUUUGAAGUGAUAUAAAGAGAAUAUGAAGUGGAAAAUAGUUAAAAGAUGAAAUGCAAUCAAGUAUAAAAAGAGGAGAAUUUUGACAGUUUCGACACAUGUUGGUAUUUUGACUAUAUCUUGAGCUACAAGUAUCAGAUUGAGGUGAUUCUUGAGUUAUUUUGAAGCUAACACAUAGUCUACAUUUCUUGUGAAAAUAUCAAAAUCUAGUUCGUAAUUUUUCACGGUCAAAAUGUCAAAAUAUAAUCAGUCAUUUUUGUUAUUGAAAGCUGAAACAGAGUUUUGACUAGGCAAGGGUAUUUGGUCAUUUCUCAGGUUAUAGAGCUCCAAAUUAGAUGAUUCUUGAAUAAUUGGAAAUCUAACUCAAAGGAAUACAACUUUCAUGCUUUGCACAAGAGUUAGUUUAGCUUCUAUCAUCAAGAAAAGUGUAGUUGAAACUGAAAGUAAAGAGUAAAGAGAAGAUUUGAAACUAAAAGCGGGAACCCGCAAAAGAGGAAAACGUGGGUAAUACGUGAGUUCCAACUCACGUAUUCCAUAGCUCAUAUAUUCUCCCCUAUUUUUUGCAACUUGCACAUCAAAUUAUUCUACAUUCACACAAUUUUUCCCGCUAUUCACUAGCUCAGAAUUUUGGAUGUAGCUGUAAAGAAAAGUGUGGAAACUUGGAGAAAUACCUUUUGAUGAUUUUAAGAGACAAAUUUGCCAACUAGAAACAACUCACUUUGAGCUUGAAUUCUUUAUAAAUAGGGUCUUUGUUGAGAUUAUUUGAUAACUUUGGAAGGCUUGAGACACUACUGAAAAUGUAGUUUUCACUAAUUUUCUUAUUUAAUUAGUAUAGUAUAGUUAGUGUAGUUUAUGCUUCUUGUAUUUAUAGUUAGAUUUGGAUGAAGAAUUAAAGAGCAAGAUGGAGAGUUGGAUCUCAUGUGACAAGGGUGACUUCUCUCCUAUCACUUUCUCUUUUGUAUUUGAGUUCAUGUUUAGCUAUAAUACAAGUAUGGUCUUUUCUUUUAUUCUUUUUAUGUUUUGCUAAAGUUUAUGCUUAGAGUUAUGGAUGAAAUUUCUAGAUUUUGUUUGUGAUAUUUACUUGGUUAUUUGGUGAUAUUAUUUUGAGCAAGUUAUUUAACACUUUUGUUUAACUAAUCAUAAUUAACUGGCCAUUAAUUAUGAUAAUAUUAAGGUGUUAAGUUUACAAUGAGAAUUGGAAUUUGUGACUAGUUUAACAAAGUCUUAAACCUAAAGAGUACACUCACAAGAAUAGAUGUGCACGUUUGUGGGUUUAGUGACAUGUUUCAUGUAAUUUCAUAGAAAAAAUGAGCUCAUAGUUCAUUUGAUAACCACGAGAGUAGGUAUAGCUUAAUUACAAGUAUAGUUGAUUCACUAUGAGAGUAGGUUUUACGUACAUUAGGGAAUUACGUCAUAACUAGCCAAAAUAAUAACAUUCAAUUAAUCGAAAAUUUUCAUUUGCAAGAGUAGUGAGAAAUUUCAUAACCCUAGGAGCUUUUUAUUGUUACUUUUAUUACUUUUAUUUCAUGUUUAUAGUGCAGAUUCAAUUUCUUGCACUUGUGACAGUCUAAAUAAUAAAGGAGUUUAAAAACCAUCGAUAAUUGACAAUCUCGCCUAUGGGUUCGACCUCAAUGCUCUAUACUCAAUCUCGACUUGUAUACUUGCAAAAAAUCGCGUGUGGGGAUUUAAUAAAUGUAAAACUUAACUAUAUAUGGAAUGAACUUAAUUGUUAUAUGCAUACCCUGCACUUGUCACUACCUGCAUGGUUAUAUUCAAUGCCAUACAUAUAUAUGUGGGUAAUUGGAUUGCAUAACAAAUUAAAAAUGUGGUAUGCUUAUUCAUCCAACGGCUAAAUAAUAAGCCACAUAAGUUCAAUAGUCCUCAAUUUAAACUUGUCAGAAUUUUGCCUACGUACAUCUGGAGUAUACACACACACACCAGAGUAUCAAAUUAAAUAAAAGAAAAUACGUAGUAAGAGAAAGUAUAUAUGGUGUAAUAUGCUAGCACAAAAAUCAAGUAGCGGAAGUAAAUAUAUCAAUUUAAAAUAUUAGAUAAUGAAUAAUUGAUAAACCAAAAAAUAACUCACACUACAACAAAAAUGACCUUUAACGGCAUUUAAAGGUGUCAGAUAGAUAAUUUAAGCUGACACUUUACCUUUUCUCACACCUCGAACGAGUGUUGUCCCUUCCAAUGUGGGGAUAGGCUAGUAGCAUUCAAAUGUGUCAGGAAAACUAUGCUAUUAUAGCAUCCCAUCUGCCAACAAAAAUCUUUUUUCUUGACAAUCGAAAGUGUCAGGAUAUUGUCGAUGCUGUUAAGCUAUGUUGAUACUUUUAACUGCCAGGAGUGUUUUUUCUUUUUUUUUUUUUAAAUAAAGAAGAAACCUAGUUGUGCUCCCUACUGUACAUUCCGUCAAUCAAAUACUCUAAGGACUUGUAAAAUUAUCCCAAAGAACAGAAUGCAUGUAGUAAUUUAAAAACAAAAGUUAAUGCUCAAAUAUCCUUCAACAACAAAAGUAACCAAAUGAAAGGGUUCAAAAGAAUUGCAAACUAACAUGAAAAGCAUUGCCAUCUAAUAAACAAAAGAAACUAAAUGAGAGAAUCAACACUAAGUCUAUAAGAACUUGCAGUAAGAGUUGUCCAAGGGAAUUUCUGCUUUUUGCUGGGUCCAAGGGAAUGCUUUUGGGCCCGAAAUUUCAGUAACUAACGAGGAAGAACUCUUGAAUGUUUUAACUUCCUGAAUUCCUUGCUUUGGGUUCUCUGAUCCCAAGGGUGAUGAAGGUGUAACUAGCUGGAAAGUUGUUCCAGAUGCAAUUGAAUUAGGCAUGGUGACACCAGUUUUUUCUUUACCAACAUCCAUAGCAUUGCCAAUUUCCAAGUCACUUCUUUUACCAGAUAUAAGUUCUGGAGAUGUCCUUAUUUCAGGCAAAGCUCUAGCGCUCUCUGGUGCCAGUUUUUCAGCAAAAGAUGAACUUUUAUUUGUAGCAGAUGUUUCUUGAUUUUCUCUCCCUUCACCCAAAGGUUCAAAUGCACAUCUUAAGCUUAUGUCAUCCUCCAACUCCAAGGAAUCCUGCAAGAUACAAUCCCAUAAUCGGGCGCAGAAGAAUAAGAAAUAAAUGCAAAUCUAAUUUUUCAAAGCCAUUUACUUCUUUCCUCUCCUCUUUUGCAGGAGCAAGAACACAAAGUGAAUUGCUCUGGGACCAAUCCUCCAACUUAGAAGAUAUAGCUGCACUUUACUGGUUUUAUGUGGUAUUUUAAGGCAUCGGAAUAUUAAUAAAGUAUAUUUAAAAAAAAUUCUUAUUGGCCAAAAAAUCAGUGAUUUUCCCCCCAAUUUAUGCUUACCCUUCCAAUUUACCUUCUAUGUACUCUAUCUCAUCUCCCAACUAUGCAAUUCUUUUUUUUUCCCAGAAAAAGGAGAGAAUCAAAGAGGGGAAAGCACUAUACAUCUCCCUUCCCAGCUCCUAUUUGCCUUCCUAGCCAAAAAACACGAAGAAAAACUCACACUUUCGCAUCAAUUUUCAGCCAUUUGAUGAGUUUAUUGUUGAGUUUUCUUGCCUUUUUUUUGCAAAAUUGACCUCCUAGCAGAAAUGUUUGCUUUUGUUAUUAUUGAUUGUUUCAUAGGUUUGAAAAAAUCAAGAAGAAGCACAGCAAAGUAAACAUCCAGUGUUUAAGGUGUGUGAUCAUCUCUUACAAUAGUAGCAUGCUUUGUGUUUGAUGAUUUGCUUCUAAAGGUAGCUUUACCACUAGACUGGUUUAGUUUUCUGAAAAUUUACGUGUCCUAUUGUUAUGGAGUAUUAAAUGAUUUGAGAGAUGCUGUUUAGCUUACUGUUUGGUCCUGAACAAAAAUGAUUUUGCUUUUGCCUUUGUGUUUGUAUGCUGAAUGAUCCUUUAAUGUCUUGCAAUGGCUCGAACUAUCUUUAAAUUCCAUUGGAAACAAUACUUUGAUAGACCUAGAAACAUUAAUUUCAUCGAUUGUUUUUGACUUUUACUGCAUUGUCAUGUUAGCGACUAUCAUAGUUAGAACCAAAGACCAGUUAAAGAGUAUUUUCCCAGCUUCUACUUUCUUGGUUCUAAUUUUCCACAUGUUUUGGGGCUCAACAAAUAGAAUCUGCACUGAAUCAUGAUUUGUUUGAUAUAAUUUGGUUUCUGUUUAAAUUUUGGUUGUAGGAACUGGACAUGCACUGAUUAAUUUCUGGCAAAGAUAAGCACUUCUGAGUUCCAUACCUUGGUUCAUUGAAAGAGGAUUGUUCAAUGGACAGAUCCUAACUGGGGGAGGAGGGGACAAAGACUUUUAACAUAUCUCAGUCUUCAAUUAUUUCGCAGCUUCCUUGUUAUAUUAGUUUCUCUGGUUUUGCACAUGGACAUGGACUUUGCUUUAAGUACCCUACUGCUAUAAUGGUUUGCACAUGGACAUGGUUUCUGAACAUGACGACAAUUAAGAUCUUCCGUGUUCUAUUAAUUUUAAAAAUGAGAGUUACAGGGUAAUUUUCAAUAAUUUUUACACAACAAAUUGGGCACAGCCAGAAAAUUUCUAGUAACAAUUACGUUCAAAUAUGUGUUUUACGCAAUUAUAAUAUUGACAAAUGAUCUUGAAGAAUUUUUAAAAUAAGGGAACCAGACCAGUCAGCCCACUCAAUUAUCAAAUCCACUUAACAACCACUAAAAGCCCACUGACCCAAUGCUAAUGCCCGCUCCCCUUCUCAUUCCCUUCGCACUUUCGGCGGCAAUUGUAACUCACUGAGUCAACUCACGUUGAAUCGUUCGAGGGAGAGUGAGUUGACGUGGGCUCUGGAUUCUCCGACUUGCAGGCAAUGAUUCUGGUACUGGCCAGCCUAAUUCCUUCUGACCAAACCUCAGUGCACUAAACAAUGAGUGGAAUUCGUGGAAUACUUUUCCAAACUUGCAAGAAGAAGUUUCACUGUUUGUCCCGAGAUGCUGGUCCCAGUGAAGUUUUGAAGAAAAGAAUUGCUGAAAUGGAGAGGAAGAGAAAGAGGAGAGAUCCCAGAAAGAAUCAACUUUUCAUUGAAGUGCCAGAAUCAAAAUCUUUUCUUGAUACUGCCACCAUGCCGAUGAUCCUCACUGUUGCCGGGACUGCCCUUUUUGCAAAGCUUCUAAUGAUGGUACACACACACACACACACAUUUACUCUGAUUCAGUGGAUAUUAGGCAUUUUCUUCGAAAGUUACAGAUGAUAUUUGCUGCAGUGUUUUUUGGAUUUGUGGGCCUGUCUUGAUUUAUCACAUUAGCAGAAAAUAUGGGUCGUUUGGAUUUUAGCAUUUUCUGUUUUGUUUUUCAUUUGGAGGGCUCCGGCUUGCAAAUUGAAUCGGAAAUUGUUUAUGAAUCUGUGGAUGGUAGCUUGAUGAGUCGAAGUCUCAAGAGAUGAUUGAGCGAAAAAUAAAGAAUGCGCCUCCUGGUCAAGGGAGUGUGAGGAUGCUAACUCGGGAAGAGUGGGAAGAAGUUCGAGAAGUGAGACCAAGGACGCCGUUUGAAUCAAAGCUUGCCCGUCCAAAUGCUCGAAUAAGGACUGGGGAACCAUUGCAUUGGGUAAUUCUCUGAAUUUCGCUUACUUUUAGAUUGAAUUAAUUUCAAUUAACAUAAAUUGCUCUUCGUCAAAAACGUCUGUAGCCUUGGAUAUGCUAUUGCUUUUGGAAUUCAUCGAUUCUGCUUUGUCUGUGAAGCACUUCAAUUGUUUAAAUCCUUGCUAUCUGUGUUGCUUCUUUUCUGCUGGGGCAUUGUACAUUAAUAAUAUGGAUUCUUGAUCUUGCAUAUGUUAGUGAUAUUGGAAUCCAUUGAGGGCCACAUGUUUCUACAAGGUAUAUCUUGGUUAUUCUGAAAUCCAUUGCUGUAGUUAAGUAUUUGUCAGUUUCAUCAGCAUAUUAAUGGCCUUAUGAGCAACUAUCAAGGCAUCCUAAAAUUAACAGUACCAGGUGAGUUGCUAUUGGUGCUGUCAUAAGAGGCCUUCUCUGAUAUCAAUGUGGCUUUGAUAAAUAAGAUUCUUCAUCUCACUUUAGGCUUAAUGUGCCUAACAGUAUGGUUUCAUACCAUAGCUGUUAUGUGCAUAAGGAGUUCUUAUUAACUUGAAGAGUUGUAUCUCCUGUGUUCUUGCAUUUUUGUUUUGUGCUGUAUUCAUGCCUAGUGAAAAUUUGGUAUUUCUACAAUUUACUAUGUAGAGUGAAUGGCCGAAAUGGUUGCUAAACUAUUCAAAAGGCACAGUUUGGUCACCCAACUUUUUUUGUGACCAAAAAGGUCAUUCAACUGGAAAAAAUGCGAUUCAGGUCAUUUUGUCAAUUUCUACCGACAAACCAUCUAAUUGCAUGGACCCCUGAGCUGGACGAAUAUUCUCGCAUGGGCAAAAAAUGUGUCUUAAGUCUCAAGUCUCUAAUCUUUCCCUUAUCUCUAGUCUCUCCUUCUAUCCUUGUACCCAGAAAGACUACAAACACUUUGAAACUCCUCGUUCCACAUCACCAAGACGACACUGUUUUCACCAUCUUCCUGGAUUUUUACACUCACCUCUCUUUUACAGUUCUUCUUAACAGUGCUUCUCCUGAAAGUGUUGAGGGCGAUCUUGGGUUCCUUCCACCUGAUCUCCAUUGUGAAUCCUGAUGGAGCCGCCCCACCACCUUUAUCUGUGGAAGCUGCCUGCACCCACUCAUUAUUGUUUUUGCCGGUCCCCCUCACUGCUAGAGAACCCUCCAAUCUCUAUACUUUCAAUUUGACCUCGCAUUUUCUUGUCUGCAGGGGUGGCCAUGGUUGUCACCUCAUCAUCUUGACCUCUGUUCUGAAAUUCUUUCCUUAAAUGAUAAGACCAAAAGCAAAUAUAGACCUUUUUAUUUUUUAAGGAAUUUGCCUAAAGGGGUAUGAGAUAUGAGGAGACUACAUAGGAAGAUAAAAAUGGAGGCAAUUCAGGAAAAAUGGCUAUUGCAAUUCAAUGUAUUUACUGUGUUUUUGUGAGUGUGUUGAUGGUUGUGAAGGGGAGAGAAAGAGAGAGAAGAAUAUUCUGUUAGUAUUUGUUUGCUGUGUAGAGAGAGAAAAGAAGGGGGGGGGGUCUUAAGGACUUUAUAUAAAUGAGAGGGAGAGACUUGAGAUUAGGUGGCAACAAAAGGAGCCGAAUGGUGUGUCCAACUCAGGGUGAGACGAGGGAGAGACUAGAGAGAGAUAUUUUUGCCCAUGCAAGAAUAUUCGUCCAGCUCAGGGCUCAUGUAAUCGGAUGGUUUAUCGGUAGAAAUUGAUGAAAUGACUUGAAUGGCAUGUUUUGUCCAGUUGAAUGACAUUUUUGGCCACAAAAAAGUUGGGUGAAACCAUACCAUUUUGAAUAGUUUAGUGACCAUUUUGGCCAUUCACUCUACUAUGUUUGAUCUGCUACUCAUCUUCACUAGCCACAAUAGAUCAAAUGGCCACAAGUUUACAUGCCACUGCUAGCUCAUUUCAUUUAUUAACGAAUUAGUGAUGUUAAAUGAUCCUAUGUUUGUUACUUAGAAGUUCAACAAAACUUAACGAACUCAUCUUUCUGUUCCUAUGUGUGUUUGUCAAUGUAUGCAUACUUGAAGGAGAAAAAUUGGUAAUAUGUUUCAUCAAAAUCUAGAAUGCAAACUGGAAAUCGAAUUCAGCAGCUGCUCUCAUAAGUAGAAUGCAGAACAAUUGGUUUUAUGUACAAAAAGAUGGUCUGUUGUCAUUCUUACUUGUACAUAAUUGUAGGGUAUUUUCUUUGUAGUUUCCUCAAAAUUUUCUCUUUACUAUCAUCUAGCCUGAUAAAGUCCUGAACCCAUAGACUUUAAUAGUCUGAUUAGGAUGAUUGUGUUUUAGUUCCAUGCUUUCUUCCUGUCAGAAAGAGAUCUCUUGUUCAGUUAGUAUUUCAUUUGUGCCGCUUGAGCAUGCGUAUUUAUGUCCUUCACCAAAGCUAAUCAGGUGCAUAAAGACCAGGAUGAUCUGAGGAGGUCUGCAAGGGGGCUGUGACAGGAAAACUUUUGGAUUUUACUUCAUCUUUAUAAAUUGAAAUAGUUGGAUAUUUAAGGGUUGAUUUGAACUCAAAUUGCAGAAAAUUUGCAAAAGACAGAGAUCGGUGGGAUAACUAUAUAAUUCUUCUGACUGCCCUUUAGGCGUCAAACUGAAGAAUGUUCACAUCACUAGAGUAGCUUUCUAAAAGUUGAAUUCUGUUAUCUUGAGAAAAACCUAUGAUGCUUUACCUAUUCAAUGGCAUUAUUCUCUUGCAACCACUAUAUAUAUGAACUUUUGAAACAGUCAAAUAUGUUUAUUUCAUUGGGUGACCAGAUGUGAGAAAAAGUAGGGAAGAGCUUAAAUUAGCAGAAACAGCAAAAUAGUAGACUCUAGAACUACUGAGGACCUUCAUAGUACUGAACAUUUGAAUGCAUAAAAAGAAACUCUAUUUCAGCUGAUAUCUUCUCAUACAAGGGUCAUCAACUAAACUCAACUAGAUACGAAGUUGGCUGCACAUAUCUUGAGUGUGCUUACAGCUUUGGAAGAAAAGCUUUUGCAUAUCUUUUUUCUCUUUAUGUUUCAUUGUUCCUGUUCUUGUUAUGGUUAGCAUUUAUAGGUAAAUGUCAGUCUAAAGUUUUGAAAAGUUGGAAGUGUCAAGAUGUGCUAGGUUCUGACUAGCAUCCAUGAUGCUGAUCGAAGGGCAUCAUAUAACUAUAUACAGCUCAUGCAUAUACUCUGACAUUUCUGAUGAAGUUUUAGAAGACAUCAUACUUGAUUGAACAAUCUGACGUGCUGCCUAGAAAGACGUUAACAUUUUUUUUUUUACUUAUCCUUCUUUAAGACAAUCAUUUUAUUGAAUGAAGUGGCUUUUUUUUUGGUUCCUCUGUAAUUUCCUUCUUUGUUCUGUUGAUGGGGUCUAUAUGCGACCCUAAAAGAGGGUCGAAAGUGGACAAGGCGAAUGAAUAGAAAAUGAGUCAGAAUUCUUAAGUAACUCCGUAAAGAGACAACAAUUUUAUUAGUAGUGUAUUAACUAUAUAUCUAAAUGGACUAUAACUGAUUAGAAAGUUCUGGAUUUACAAUUUUUCCGGAUGAAAACACAAUCACAUGAACUAUUUUAGAGAUAAUGAUUGUAUUUAAGAAACAUGAUAUUCUUUAUAGUUCCAUAUUUAGAGGCUUAGUUGAUCAAUAAGAACAAAUAGUUAACUUGUGAUCCUCAGCUCUUAGAAGCUAUCUUUUUUUUUUUUUUUUGGUACUAAAGUUGUCUUUUGGUUUUUACCCGUAUCAGAUGGCACCUAAUUGAAGAACUCAAUGUUUUUAUGGGCUUCUACUCAAUUCUCAUGGAACUGAUCUUAUAGCUUGUGAUAAGCACUACAAGGCAUUUGCUUUCACAAUUGCUAUUAAAAAGUGAUAUUAGGAGAGAGAAAAUAAUAUGAUUUCACCAUUGCUUCUCAUCUACUAAAUUAUUUAAUUAAUCUAAUACUAGCUUAAACAUUAAAGAAAACACUAGAAUUUGUUAUUUAUUAUCAAGGUUUAAAUGGCAUAUGGCUUCAAAAAUAACAUAUCAUUCUAUAUAUUUCACUUAAUGUAAGAUUUAAAUUACUUUUUUCAGUUACGAACCUAUUGUUAAACAUGAUCAAUAACAAAUAAUCAAAAAAAUUUGUAACCAAAAUAUUACAAGGAGCGAACUUUAAUACCAUAAAAAUCUCAAUAACUAACCUCAAUAUGUUGACAAGAAUAUUUAUAAUGUUAAAGCUUGUUUUCUGUAUUAUUUUAGUUGCAAAUUUUUGAUUAUUUGCUGUUGAUCAUGUUUGACAAUGGUAUGUAAUUGAAAAAAGUAAUUUGGAUCUUAUAUUAAGUGAAAAUGAUAAAAUGAUAUAUUAUUUUUUAUGCUAUAUAUGAUUUAAUUCCUAAUGAUAAAUAGAAAAUUUUGGUGUUUUCUUUAAUGUGUGAGUUGGUAUUCAAUUAAUUAAAUAAUAUUUUAGAUGAGGGGCAAUGAUGGAAUCAUGUUAUCUUCUCUCUUCUAAUAUCACUUUUUAAUUAUAGGUUGGACUUAACUAUUACAAGAUAAUUUAUCUCAAGGGAGGUUAGUAUAAUUUUUGAAACCCAGAGGGAAGCCACUGAAAUAGUCAGAAACCUUAGGGGAGGUUUAUGAAAUUAUUCCUUGUUUUAAUUUGUUGUUGUUUUCUAUCACUUGUUUUAGCACUAAUUUUUUGGCGCUCCAAGGGGAAGGGUGUUGCCAUAGAAGAAAGCCAUGAACAAGAGCAAUCUAAAAAGAUGGAUUCUUUUGUUGGUCUUAUGUGCCUUUGCCCACCCCUACCCUCUUCCUCUUGCUUCGUGGAUUUGUAUGCCCUCUUGUUAUAUUUCUGUGGACAGAAAAAGAAAGAAUAGAAUUACAAUUGACACAAUGGAUUAAGCAUAUACUUCAUGAUUCAAAUCAUUUAUCUCACACUUUGUAAUUGUAUUCUUUUCUUUUUUUUUUCCCGUUUCCUUUCCGUUGGGUAUUCUUUCUAUUUUUCAACAUUUUGUUUUUGGUUCUGCUUCCUGGUUUUCUCAUUUGAGUUGUAGUAGGAGAAGUCAACACUAGGAUCUAUUUUUCUAAUUGACACAAUGUCUUGUUGUAUUUUACGACUUUUCCUGAGGUACCUUGUUUCUAGUAUUUUGGCAGAUUUGACAGACUGAUGCUCAUGUUAGUUUCUCUUUAUGCUAUCUGUAGGAAGACGUUAAGGACUGGACAAUUGAUGUGCUCACAGACGGUUUCACUCGCGCUGAAGAAUGUGUUAGACGGCGAUCUAAUUAGCUUCAGAGAAGAAAGUAAACAGAGCAAAGAAUGAAAAACCUUCUAAUUUGCUACAAUUGAUAGUGGCUGUUCCUUGUCAAACGAGUUUGCAAGCUUUUGAGGUUUUUGUUUGUCACGGGUGGAGGUCUUCUGAGCUCUCUUUCCCAAGAAGGAGCUUGCACAAGAAAAAUCACAAGCGUCUCAUCGGUUAUAUCAACAACUUGAAGCUCAUUCUGGUUAUCUCACGACAUAGAUUCCAUAUCUGUGAUUAUCAGUUUAACGAUGGUAGCUCAACUUCGAAGAGCUUUAUUUGCCAGUGGACUUUAAGCUACUAGCAUCAAACUGACUAGGAAAAUUGACAAAUGGUCUAAUGCCUACUUUGUUCGUUGUGCUCCAAAACUUGCCAGUAACAGUGCCAUUCUAGUCUAAAUAGGUUGUUGCCAUGCGGAUAUGGUAACCGUUGUCAAUCAGCUGUCUGUACUGGCUAAUUUAUGUAUGCUGAAAGACAAAAGUUAUAGUAUGCAAGCAAAAGUAAAAAUAUUCAAUCUUGCACAUUUUACACUGGGUUUAAUAUAAAAAAGUGUGCAUCUCAAUUUCUCUUCAGCAGCAAAAUUCUGGAAGUUUUGAUAUGGUUAAAGGUGAAAGGGGCAAUUGUUUUGGCAGCAUAGCAAACUUCAGUUAAAUUAGACACUUUCGGCCAAAGACGUUGUUUAAUUUGUUUCUGAUGCAACUGGAUUGACUAAUAGAGGAAAUAAUUGUUUUAGUUAUCCUGCCUAGCCAAUAAUUCAACUUCAGGGGUCAUUGUAUCUCGGCUGGUAAGUAAGCGGUAAAUGUCAAUGAACAUCUACGGAGGGAAAAUGGGCUACUCUGACAUGGAGGAUAUGGUUCUCAUCCAAGGCCAGCGUGGGGCUUCUGUGCAUUUGUAUGGGUAACUGUCUGUUAUAUGAAUUAAUGCCCUUGCCAUUCAUAUUUACUGAAUGCCAUUAAUAAUAGCAAAGCAGAAAGCCAAAAUUUCAUCAUUUUUUGAAAUUAAAGGAAUAAAAUUAUUAGCCCCUCAAAACUGUGGGGACAAAUAUUCGAGGUAAUUGUCCUUAUUUUUUUUUUAAACUUAAGCAACAAUUUAGGACAUUCAGUCGCGGGCUUCUCCUUGUUUCACAGGCCACAAUGCAAUGCAACUGUCUUUCAAGAAGGGGGUGUGCUUGAUGCUACUAAUAUGCUUGGCCCUUUAAUUUUUUUGUAAACAAAUUCAGAGUGCUGCUAGUGAACUAAUUAUGCAUUUUAUUUGUUAAUAUUUCCCCUUUUAUUUUGUUAGAAUAUGGUGUUAAUUGCUAGAUUCUACUCAUAUAUAUUUUUUGAUGUUGUUAUUAGGAAGUUGUGGUGAAAAGAGAAUAAAAAGUGAGUUAAAAGUGGAAUUUUCAAAAGACUUUACAAAAUGCAGUCACGUCUUAACUUGUUAUGAAGUUCCAACAUUUUGCCAUUUGAAGUGGAUCCCAUUGCACGAAGAAAUCAUUGUUACACCAUCUCAUGUCGUUGCAACUUGAUUGGUCAUGAGUUACCAUUAUUUUAUUAGGAACUGAGGAGUCAUGACUCAUGACUUUAGUUUAUUGGGAGGUAGUUUUAGUAAGUGGACUUCGAUUAGAAAAUUUUUUCCUUUUUCAAGAAGUAAUAAGGAAUAGGAAGGGGAAGUCUGACGUAUUUUUUUCUUGUCUAGCAAUUGAACAAGCUCUCUCCUUAUUCCUUUUAUUCUUUUUCUCUUCAAAAAUAAACCCUAGUUUUUCUUUGGCUAUGAUUCCAUCGUGAGGAGUGGCUGAACUCACUUUCUAGUUAGAGGAUAAUCAAAGUUUUGGUUCAUCGAAUACUGUGAAAUCUAAUUUGAUUUAUUUAUUUCAUUUAUUUAUAAGUCUUUAUAUGGAAAAAUAAUUCAAAACGUCCAUCACAUUUUAUAAAAUGAUUUUUUCAUCUCUCAUUUUUAAAAGUAUAAUUUUAUAUCUCUAACAAAAUCACAUUGGUCAAAUUUGAUGCUUAUCUAUAUUUUUUACUAGUUUUUCCUCACAAUCCACCACGUACCUUGCACUUGAUCAUUUUUUAUGGGUAAAAUUGUCAAAUCACAUUUCACAUAAUCUGAUUUAUAGUCCAUCAUAUUUCACAAGAUGAAUUUUUUUGUCACAAACAUUUUACAAAAUGAAAAUUUUCAUCCCUCAUUGAUUAUGUGUAAAAAUAGUUUUUCUUAUUUUUGAAAAUCUAUGCAUAUGUCUAUUUGAUUUAACUCGAACAGCAUAAAUAACAUACAAUAUAUCUUUAUUUGAUUUCACCCGAACUAACUAAUUGUAAUUGUAGGUGAAUUCAAAGACAAAUAUAUUACAUGCUACUUGUAUUAUUCAGGUGAAAUUAAAUAUAUAUAUAUAUAUGGAUUUAAAAAAAAAAGUUAUUCGUGCACAUGAUUAAUGAAGGAUGAAAAAAUUUAUUUUAUGAAAUGUGAGAAACAAAAAAAAUUCAUUUUAUAAAAUAUGAUAGGCGAAAAAAUUUAUUUUGUGAAAUAUGAGAAAUUAUAGAUUCGGAUUAUGUAAAAUUUGAUUUAACAAUUUUGCCUCUCAAAUAUAAUCACGUGCAAGGCACAUGCAGGAUUCCCAUAAAAAACUAGUCAAAACCUAGAUAGGGGCCAAAUUGGACCAAUAUAAAUUUGUAAGGGACAUAAAAUUAUACUUUUAAAAGUGAGACGAAAAAAGUCAUUUACAAAAUGUGAGGGACAUUUUGAAUGAUUUUUCAUACAUAUAUAUAUAUAUAUUUCCUGUUCAUUCAUGAUUAUGAUUAUUUUAUACGAUUAUAUAACUUGCCACUAUUUAAUUGUUAGAAUAAUCUAUUGUCAUCCAAAAUAUUAAAUCUAUAAUUGUUUGGUAGCUUUAGCUUUUGUGACGAGUGAUAUAAUUUGGUUGUAAUAGAAACUUUUGAAUAUAUGUUACUAAAAUAUAUAAUCUAAUCUAAAUAAACCAAGUUUAUGCAUUUGUCAGUUAGAAUUUGUAGUUUCUCUAAUUAUUAUUGCUAUCAAUAGAUUAAAUCCUAAGAUCUUAUUUAGGGUUGUCUAACCGGCAAGAUAAAUAAUCACAGAGUUUGUUAUGAUUAUCGAAGUAGUAAGGAGAGGUAAGUUGUCAAAAGUUGUUGACAACCAUAACCAAUUUAAUUAUAAAUAAAUGAUUUUAUCUUUGCAUCAAUGAUUAGUUAAAUAAACCAAAGUUGAGAUUAGACCUUUGAAUAGAGAGUUGUCUAUUGUUGAUUUACAUUUAUUUAAUUUUUGAAUUAUUGUUUUAUUUAACUAAAUUACCUAGGUUAAUUUCUAACAAUCCCCAAUUUUAUGUAUUGUCAUUUUAUAAGAAAAUAAAUUACCCAGUCCCUAUGGAUAUAACCAUACUCAUCGCUAUAUUUGAAUUAUAUUUUUAGAGUAGGAAUUUAUUUUUGCUGGUUUGACACCAAACAAAUUUUGGUGCCGUUGCUGGAGACUGGUGCCUUAUUGAUUUAAUUUUAAUUUUAAUUUUCCUCUCAUUAUGUUAUUAGUUUAUGGCUGACAAUAAUCAAUAAUUUAAUGAUAGACAUGAUUUCAUUCACAGGAGGGUUAAUAAGAUAUGUGUAUCUUUUAUUGAUCAACGUUUACAUUUUCUAACAUCUCUUGUAGAAAAGUUGGUUGUAGGGCAAGUGUAGCAAAUUAAAACAUGUGGAAUUUAUUAUGCCUUGAGUCACCCAACUGACAUGUGCUCCACACUCCAAGAUGAUUUGAAUGCUCAUGUGAAUGUUGUUGGAGGUUUUUCAAGCCCUUCCAAAAGGGGUAUAAUCCUUAUUCGAACACAUAUACUAAAGGAUGGAGAGAUAACCUCAACUCUUGUUAUGCAGCAAGGCCACCAAUUCCACAGCAACAAUUAACUUUUAUGCCAAGUGUGCCUCUUGAAGAAAUUGUUAAAUCAUUAGCAACUAACACACAAUAAUUUCAAUAAGAGACAAGAAUGAGUUGAAAUCUAGAGACUCAAAUAAGUUAGCUGGCGUCUGCGGUGAGUCUAUUGAAGUCUCAAGUUUUGGAAAAAUUAUCCUCACAGACCAUUGUCAAUCCCGAGCAAAAUGUGAGUGCAAUUACCUUGAGAAGUGGAAAAGAGUUGCAAGAGCAAAGAAAGGAAGUAUCCAAGUAUGAGAUUGAAGAGAAAGAAAUUGAGAAAGAAGCAAUGUAGCCCCAAACUCAAAUCCCUCCAAUGAAAGAGUCUAGUGAAGAAUCCCCAACUAUGGUGAUUCCUUCGCCAUUCCCAAACCGAUUUGCAUGAUCCAAGAAAGAGGAGGAGGAGCGAGAAAUUCUGGAAAUGUUUCACAAUGUUGAGAAGCUGAAUGGCAAUGAUAAAGUCUAUAAGGGGAAAAUGCGUCAACUAUACUACAACAGAAAUUACCUCCUAAGUGUGGGGAUCUAGAAGGUUUUGAGCUUGAUGGACCAGAUAAGUUAGGAGCUGUAGUGACCAAGCAUCUUGAAUUGAGAAACAAAGUAACUCAUUUGCUUAAGGAUUACUAGCAUAAGGGGGAAAUAAUGAAAAGAGUUAAAAGAUUUUAUUCUCCUUGAACAAACAUGACAUCAUCUAGCCAAAGAUGUUAAAGAAAAGCGUUACUUGGGAGACAACCCAAGAAUUUCAAUUUUACUCAUUUUGUAUUUUUUUUAUUGUUUUUGUGUUAAAGUUAAGCUUAUAUUGUUUCUUUUUGAUAGAAGACUUUUUGUUGUAGGCCAUGGAUGCGUUCCAUGAUGCUUUCAUUUGUUUUAGAAGCAAUUUCUUAGGCAUAAGACCUUUUGUUACAGCAAGUGCCCACAUCUUAUAUCCAAUUUCAGAUUUGAGAUAAAUCAUGCCUACGCUAUGUGCUAAAUGCAAAUUGGUGAUUUGGAGGUUUGGAUGGAUAGAAGACCCUUCCUUACAUAGCCCUCCAAUACCGUGAUCCUAAAUUGAACCUCACUGCAUGCUUUUAUCCGGAUUGGUUUUUAAGCCACCUAUUUCUCCCUAAAUGCUUAGCUCAAAGGAGUCCUCUUCUUCUUCUUUUUGUAGUAAGUUUCAUCCAUUGAGGAUAAUGUAUGAUUUUGCUAUGAAGGAGGGGAUAUUUCAGGUGUACAAAUUUUUCAUGAAAAAUUUAAAAUUUUUAAUUUGGUUAUGGAUUUUCUUGUGUUAUGAAAAUACAGUUAGGAUGUAAAUAUGAGUAAUGCAACGUUAUUAGCAUGAGUGUGUUAUUUUCUUACAAUCAACUUGAAUGAUGGAGGUACAAGAUUUGACAUAUUUUUAACUAAUUUGUGAGCUUUUGAGCCUAUGGAGCAUGUUGAUUAUAUUUGCUCAAUUUUUUUUGUUGACAUGUUAUCACAUGUGGUUUGAUAUUCUAGAACUUGCUUUUGUGGUUUGAUAUUUUAGAACUCGCUUUGUUAUGCAUGUUGAGACUACACUUGAAUUUGAUGCAUUAAAAUGAUAAGGGCAAUUAGGUUUAACCCCUUUUUGACUUUCUAAAGACCAGCCCUAAUUAUAUUUUUCCCUCGUUAACCAUGUUUGAGCCUUGACUUGUUCUCUGUUUAAUAAACAUAAUUAUUACCUUAAUCUUUUUGUUUGCAUCUUCUUAUUUGAACCCUGGGUCAAAGGAAUACUAUAAUAUUCUUACUUGAUGAUUUCAAGAGUUGUUUCGAGACUUGAUUGAAGUUGGCAAGUGUAUUUAUAUUUCAAUGUUAGCAAUAUCUUGUGGAAACCAAAAAAAGGAAAAAGGAAAAAAAUUUAAAAAAAUAAAAGAGUGAAAAAGCUGUGAGGACUUGCAAAUUCCUUAUAUUUUUCUUAAAAAUACCCUUUUAUUUGGAAAUUAUUAUUUUAUAAUAGCCCUACUACUCAAUCACCCCACAAUAAGUGCAAAUGAACCUAGAAAGUAGGGUUUCACUUUUCGUGUUUUAAGUCAGAAUGAAUUAGGAUUUUACGUCUUUUCGCAGUAUGAGUAACCGGUAUGGAAUGUGUACUAAAUUUGGUGAUUAAGGGUAAGUUUUAGAUGAUAUUAAGUGUGUGAAUAGAAGUAAUAACCAUAAGAUAGUGAAUUAUAAGUGAAAAUCCUAGUGCGUGCGAAAUACGAAAAAACGGGUUGAACCGACGGGUACCGUUUGUUACCGAUGGAAUACAUCACUUGACCAUCACUUUAUUACCUUAAUCCCUUUAUGUUUACUUGACUAAUCAGCCCUAAAUUACCACUUAAUCCAGCCAUCUUUGUUGACUAAAGAAAAGGAAGAAAGAAAAAAAAAGUGAGAUGUAAUAUUGUGAUGACACUUGGCAAGCAUCUACCCAUUUUUGACCAACUCAAGUCUAAGCUUCUUAUCCCUUUCUUGGAGCUCAAUUUCUGUUUUCUAAGCUUCAUUGUGCACGAAAUUUAGAGAGGAAAAAGAGAGAAAGAAACCACUUCAUUCAAGCUUGCUUUCUUGCUCAAUCUUACAAACUAACCGAUAGAUUCACCAAAUAAUCCAUAGAAGUUGCUUAGGAGGGUGGAUUAUCAUCUUGGAGUGGAGAGUUUUGGUGGUUGAAGCUUCCUAGGGGCUGUUGUGCUUCUCCAAUUCUAGGUAAGGAUGGUAUUAUUUCAUGGUUGUGCUACUUAUUGGUUUACAAGUGAAAGUUAUGGCUUGUUAGGUAACUUUCAGGGUUUUAGUAUUAGUUUUGGUAAAUUCCAACUCUAUAGUGUAAAAAAUUCAGCUUUAGUUGUUGGAAUGAUGGUUGUUUGGAUGGUAUAUGGUGUAUGUAGGCUUGUAUAGGAGGUAGUAGUAGUGGUUUUAAGCUAGAAAUGUGAAGUUACACAUUAAAUUCUUGACAUUCCAGAAUUGAGAUUUCUUAUGGUUCAGUUCUGUCCGUUUCUGUUUGAGUAUGUUAGAAACUGAAUCAGCCUUAGCACAAAAUAUGAAAGUUGUAGGUAAUGAUGUUUUAUAAUUGUCUACAAAAUUUUAGCUCAAUCGGAGCACUGUAACUCAUGAAAAGACAAAAAUUACCCCUGAGACUGCCCUAGGUAGAGUCCAGCAGACAGUUUUGACAUUUCCUCAUGUUGGCUGCAUUUUUCACCUUGAUCCAUACCAAACCAGUCUUUAGCCAAAACAUGAAACUUUUAGCCCUAUGUUUUAUAUUUCCAACGCCACUGAGAACACCUCAAUCGGAUUUCGGUAGCCUGAGUUAUUGUUGUUUACGUAUAGUGCGGUUAACUAGCCUGAGUGUGAGAUUCUGGUUCUGUAAUUUGACAUUUUGACCUAGCUACACUACGAACUGGACUGAGUGGUCUUCAUCAAAGUUGUAGGUCUUUGUCUUAGCUUCGAAACGGUAUACAUUGUAUUCCAAUCCAAUAAGCGUAGCCUCAUUUAUGCCCAUUACGCAAAACAACAUCAAAUCUGUCUUUUGUUUUCAACUUAAACUUCAUUUCCGCACAUGUUCCUAGCUUGGUUUGGUACUUGUAUGACUUUGAGCCUAUUGAACCAUUAUUGAAAUGAGAUGAUUUUGUGUGUGACUUUGGGACUGAUUGAGGAAAUGAAUGAAGCCAUAAAUGGUUAGAAAAUAGGUAAAUACAAAGGGCGUGCUGUCCAAAUUUACGCUCGAGAACUAGGUAGAUACUUGCGACUUGUAUAAGGCUUGAGAGCGAAUACCACUUGAACCAUCUAGGAUAUUUGCAACCUCUUUUAUCAAGGCACAUAAGUUGGAUUUCGGCUGAACCUUGUACCCUUGGAAAAAAUGAAAUUUACAGCUAAUAGAAAUACGUUUUUUUUGUCACUCCGACUCAAAUGGAGAUUUUAAAGUUUUACGAGUGAGCAUAAAAACCAUAUUUAUAUUUUGUACUAGUACAUAUUCGAAUUUUCUUGGAAUCACUUAAAUCUUUGAUAGUUGAAACAUAAUGUGUUCUUUUGAUUAUAUUAGGGUUCAUCGGUGACUAACGGUAUUAUCCGGCAAGAUAUUUUGGAUAUUAUUUUGCGUAAAUAUGUGAGUGUUCCUUGUUUGUUAUAUUUUCAUUGACUAUAUGGCUUGUUCUUGACUAUAUGGCUUGUGGUGGAUGUAUGAUUGCAUGUUCCAUGUUAUCAAUGACUGUUAAAACGAAUUUUACUAGGCGAGUGUGUUGCAGGCACAAUAUGCAAGCAAAGAUCCAGAUUAUUUGAGUUGCAAGAAAAAGACAUGCCAAAGUACGUGGCUGGGAAGUGCAGAGUUAGCACCUGUGGCUGCCACUUUAUCAUUUCAUGUUAUUAACAUCAGAACAGACAUAAAAUUCGUUUUCUAUGGUGGCGGAUUUGAGACUCCUUGCAUUCUAAAAAUAUCUGAUUCUGCUACCUUUGCCAACCCCCAAAAGCCUUUUAUGGACACCUCUCCAGCACUGAUUCAACUGGAAAAUCUGUAAGUAAAUUACUCUUGCAUUUUAGGCUUUUUUUUGUCCCAUUAAUGCAGAUUCAUUUUGAGGCUUUUAUCCCAUUAUUCUACAAUAUAAACAGUUUUAAUAAAAUAUUUAUUUGAGUUUAUUAUCCCAUUAGUUCAUAGUAGAGGUGUCAAAAUGGGUGACUUGGGCGGGUUUUGGGUUGGGUAAAAUGGGUAAUGGGUAUAAGUGAGUCAACUCAUUUAUACCCAUUUAAUUAGAUGGAUAUAAAUGGGUAAGUCAAAAAAUGAAUUGGUAACCCAAUUACCCAUUUAUAACCCAUUUAUUUUAAAUUUUUGUAAACUCAUUUAAAUUCAUUUUUGCAAACUAAGUUAUCAAUUUAUACCACUCUUUGUACCCAUCAUUAGUUUUAAAUAUUUACUUAUAAUGUUCAAUAAACUUAAUUACCAAUUUUUUUUUCAUAUAUACUCUAUGUCACAAAAUUACCUAUUAUUUAAUAAUUGAAUAUAUAAAAAUUUGAACUAAGUACUAUAAAAAUUAAUAUAAAAACUUAAUCCAAAAAUUUUGAACCCCUAACAUUUUUUUCAUAUAUAAAUUUAAAAUUUCAUUUUAGAAAGAUAAGAAAAUAGGCUAAAAUUUAUCAUAAAUUGGUAAUGUUGAAAAACGAGCAAGUUAACAAACUAAGAGGAAAUAAUAAUAAGAUAAAAUCAACAAAUAAUAAUAAUAAUGAAACAAAAGUAGUUAACAUCAUGACAAAAUGAAAAAUUUGAAAAAAAAAUGGGUGGGGAAAAAGAAGAGACUUGGGGGGAAGAGAAUUCUAAAUAGGUUAAUUGGGUUUGAUGUGUUACCCAAUAAUACUCAUUUAUUAAAUGGGUAUUAUUGGGUAACCCAUUUAUACCCAUAUACAAAAAUUUAAGAUACCCAUAUUUAUCUAUUCAUAGACGGGUAUAUGUAAAUUUAGUUAAGUGGGUUAAUUUGCUACCUCUAGUUCGUAGUAUGAUUAAUUUGAAUCAAAGAUUGUCAUGAACUAGGAUUUAUACAUCAUAAAAGGUAAAGCGUUCAAAAUGAAAGUGUAGUGAUAAAAUCGGUUUGUAAGCCUAAGACUUGCAAUCAUGCCUAGUCGAGAAUAAAAUUCUAAUGGUGCAAACUCACAAUUUGUAAACAAUAUUAAAGGUGUAACACCAACUCCCUUUAAAAAAAAAAAAAAAAAGUUGUUGCAAGCAUCUUUUACCUCAUUAUUUGUCCAAAGGACAAGUAACAUAAUUUUGGGCUUUUCUUUUUCUAAUUAUAGAUGAGAGUAACGUGGGUAAGUGGGGAUAAACAACCACAGAAAGUUCAAUAUGGAGAUGGGCAAUCCCAAACAUCUCAAGUGACUACAUUUACUCAAGACAACAUGUGCAGUAAGUGACAUGUUUCCUAUGCCUUCUUUUACUUCAUUCCGAAUUUAAAGUUGUACCCAAAUAAAAAGAUCUUCAAAUGAAAACUACUAAACAUUUGCAAGAUGAAUCCAUUCAAUAGUUUCAUCAUGAUCACUGUCUUGUAUGGCCAAUUUCAUUUGGAGAUGUGCAAAAAUUCGAACUUUUUAGAAAUUCUUUUCAAUAACAAUACCAGCUUUCAGAGUGUGGAUGAUAUGGUUUCAUGUAUUGACUGCAAUUUUUGUUCAAAAUAGUUUAGCAUAUAAGUUUUUCAAUUUUUUUCUCAACCCUUCGCUGCAAAUUAAACUGAUAUAUAACCUUAAUUGGGACAAGUGAAAAAUUGGAUGAGCACAAUAUCAGAGAUCCCAUAACUAGAACAUAAGAAAUCUCUCCUCAACAUUAAUAUUGGUAUACAUGCAGUUCUUGUAACAUUAAUAUUCCUUGGAAAUAAUUUUAGUAUUGAUUGAAAACGAAAAUAAUGCUAAGAUACAAUCUUUAAUUUUUUUUAAAAAUUUGGUCUAUUUCAUAGGUUGGGCUGUGAAAAGUCCAGCUAGCGAUUUCGGCUGGCAUGACCCAGGCUACAUUCAUUCAGCAGUGAUGACUCGACUUAAACCUUCAACCCAAUUCUCUUACAGAUAUGGCAGGUAAUAAACUAACUGAUUCAACUAGCAAAAUCCUUCAUUUAAGAUGGAUUUUUUCAAAAAGAGUAGAGAAGUUAAAAAAAAAAAUGUCUGAUCUGAUGAAUUUAUUAGCUAAUCCCUCCCCGGAAUUAGAAUAAACCAUUACUCGGAACACAGAUGAUUUAUCUUUACUUAGAGAUGGACUUCACAUAUUUUACACUAACCCUCCUAAAUUAUUUAUUUUAACUCUGUACGUGUGAGAUAGAUUUGGUAGAAAUUGGAUGAAAUAUUAUAAUUUCCUAAAAACUGAUCUUCUAUGCUUGAUUUUUAGCUGCCUUAAUUGUUAUAUGUAUUGAUGCACCAUUAAAACUUUUCUAUCUUGUAGUGAUUCAGCAGGUUGGAGUGAUAAAAUCACAUUCAGAACACCACCUGCUGGUGGAUCAGAUGAGGUUAAGAUUGUUGCAUUUGGAGAUAUGGGCAAGGCCCCUCGUGAUCCUUCAGUCGAACACUAUAUUCAGGUAAAUAAAAAGAUACAUAGCAUUUCAACUGGCUUCAAGAAUCUGACUAGAAUUCAUGACCUUUUUGGUUGAUUGAGGAGUUGGUUUUUGUUACAUAUGCAGCCGGGAUCAAUAUCAGUAAUUGAAGCCAUAGCUAAUGAAGUAUCUAGCGGAAAUAUAGAUUCUAUAUUUCACAUUGGAGACAUAAGUUAUGCCACUGGAUUUCUAGUAGAAUGGGAUUACUUCCUUCACCUUAUUAACCCUGUGGCUUCUACUGUGUCGUACAUGACAGCAAUUGGGAACCAUGAGAGGUAGGUUCACUUUCUUGAAUAGCUAUGUGCUUAAUCUUUCACAUGCAGGAUUUUCUUUUUGAUUAUGGCCUUGUUCUUGUUGCUUUAGAUUUUUGCAAAAUCUAAUUAGGGAAUUUUUUUAUUAUUAAAAAAAUCUAUAAUUUUAAUAAAAAAAGUACAAUAGAAAUUUUUUUAAAAAAAAUAAUUAUCCAGAAUCAGAACUUGCAGUGGGUUAAAAUAAUCAGUCGAGAAUAAACUAAAAUGUAGCUAGCCCAUUAGAAUUUCUUCCAUAUAUAUUAAUAAUAAAUAUUUUCAGGGAUUAUGUGAGCUCAGGAUCAGUCUAUAUUACUCCAGACUCUGGUGGAGAAUGCGGAGUGCCUUAUGAAACUUACUUUCCAAUGCCAACAGCAGCAAAAGACAAGCCUUGGUAUUCUAUAGAACAAGGAAGUAUUCAUUUUACCAUUAUCUCAACCGAACAUGAUUGGACAAAAAAUUCUGAGCAAGUAAAUCUCUUCUUAAGCUGCAUGUGCAAUAUUCGCUUUUUCUUUUAAUAAUAUUCUUUGAUCAUUCUAUCAAAUUCCAACUGAAAUGCAAUAUCUUCUAUAUUAAUAACAGUACAAUUGGAUGAAUAAAGACAUGGCUGCAGUCGAUCGAUCUAAAACUCCUUGGCUAGUCUUUACUGGGUAAGUUUUGUCUUUGCUACUCAGUGAAAGAAUUAUGUGGUUCUCUAAAUUGGUUUAUAAACUAAUAUUUUAAAAUGAUAUAUGGGCUACAAAAUUACAUUUGAAAUAAGUUAAAAAAGGUUUUUCAUUUUAACUUAUUGGUGAAUAUUUUUUUUUUUUUUGCUUAAAAAACUAGAAAAAGAGUAGGUAAAACAUUUAUAGCUUUUAACCCCACUGAAAAUUUUUUCUGGCUCCGCCACUUUUGCUACUCCAUUUUUGUUAAGUUGAACUCAUGUUAUGAAUUUGCAGUGCUAAAAAUUGAUGAUUAAAUACUUCGUCUGCGCUCUUACGUUGCAUCUUGGCCUUUCUAGCAUCAUCAACUUAUGAUUGAUUGUUUACCAUAGUUUAUACUACAACCAAGCAUAUCAAGGAUAAACAUGGCAAAUUAAGCUUUUAUUUUGUAAAACUCGGAAUAGCCUAAUAUACAAUUUUUUUUAUGAAAAACAAUUUUUUUAUAGUAGAAAAAGAGUGAGAUUUAAGUAGAGGUGGCAAUAUGGAUAAAUGGUUCAUAAUUGGUUUUGAUUUAAUGGAUGGUGGAUAAAAUUUAUCCAAUCCAUUUAGAUCCAUUUAAUAAAUGGAUCUAAAUGGAUGGAUCUAAAUGGAUUAAAUAAAAACCAAUUAUCCAUUUAUAAUCCAUUUAAAUAUUUUUGUUACUUUUUUUUUGUAUUACCAUUUCUUGUAAAUUCAAGCCACAAAAUACCACGGAUGUAAAUUCAAGCAAAAUGAACCUUCAUUUCACUAAAAAAACUAUCUGAAAAUAUUAUUAUUAUUAUUUUUUUUAUUUUUAUUAUUAUAUAUGUAUAUAUAUAUAUAUAUAUUACAUAUUACAGAGUAGCCAUAUAUUGCAAACUAGCCCAAACAAUAGAAGUCCUGCAUAGACCGUACGUAGGGUAUCUACAAAUUCGGCAUCCAUGGAAUUUAAUUAUGGCCCAUAUUAUCUUCUACUUUUAGCCUUGACUGCAUUUAAAUUUAUCUCAAAUUCGGCAUUUCCCUCUCAAUUAAUUAAGUCCAAGAACAGAUACCAGUUUUCUGUUGUACUUUAAAAAAUAAGAGAGAUCUUAGAACAAGUAAAAGUUCAUAGAUAUAUGAUUCAAGUGGAUUAAUUAACCGAUUUGUAAACUUAUUAAUGUGUUUGUUACCAAAAAGAAAAUGAUCAAAUUUACCCCUCCUAAUUCAAAAUCCUCUCAUGGUCUGAUGUUGACCCACUUUCUUAGCAAAUGAAUUAGAUUUCACUAAGUGAAGAAUUAAAAUAAACUAGUAACUCACCUUAUUCAAAAAUGCAUUUAAAUGAAUAACUAUAUUUUUCUUGUUCUAGUUACUAGUUCAUGUAAGCAAAAUUUUCACACCCAAUUGCAAUUUUAGGAUGGCUCGCUUUUUAGUCAUUUCCUUUCCUCUCUUUUAUUUGGUUUUUAAGUAAAUAGAUAUAUAUGGUUUUAGUGGAUAAUCCAUAUAAAUCCAUUUAAUUUAAUGGUUUUACUUUGAUCAACCAUUUAAAACCAAUACUAUAAAUGGAUAAUCCAUUAUCCAUUUAAUUAUGGAUUAUAUGGAUGGAUAAAUGGAUUUCAAUCCAAAUUGCGCUUCUAGAUUUAAGAUACGGGCAGAAAAACCAUGGAAAUUUGAAUCAAAGACCUCUAAUAUCUGGUAUCUCAAUCUUACCUUCUAAAUCAAGGCUUCCUUGACACAACAUUAUAAAUAUGUCAAUUAGCAAAAAGUGUUUGUGGAAAGACCAAUACCGUGUACGUGUACUUUAUCUUACCAAGGCCACCUAGAUUAUGUUUAUUUAGCGCAUUUGUUUUUCCGUGUAUUCCAAAUUAGUAAUGAAAUUAAAAUUGCAAAUUGCAGACACAGGCCUAUGUACUCCUCCAAUGGUGGCUCAGUCAUUAUUCCAAGUGUGGAUAAAAAAUUUGUGCAAGCUGUGGAGCCCUUGCUAUUAGCAAACAAGGUAAGUAACUGACGAAAGUUAAACAACCAUUUACUACUUGAUAGUUAUUUACUUCAGACUUUGUACUAAUACCGAUCAAUCAACCUGGAAUGCUCUUUUUCUAGGUCGACCUAGCUCUCUUUGGUCAUGUUCAUAAUUACGAGAGAACAUGUGCAGUAUACCGGAGAGAUUGCAAAGCAAUGCCUAAGAAAGAUAAAAAUGGGAUUGAUAUUUAUGACAAUUCCAAUUACAGUGCACCAGUUCAUGCUGUUAUUGGAAUGGCUGGAUUUACCCUCGACAAAUCUCCAAGUAAUGUAAGCAUAUUGAACCUUUCUCAAUUUUAAAUUCCUCCCCCAUCCCCGUGCUUGACUCGUAAGAAACGCCUAUUUUAAAUGGAUUUGGGACAGGAACAGUUACUCGUAUCAAUUCAGUGUUAGGAUAAUUAGAUUUUAGAACAUCUGUUGUCAAAAAUCAGCAGCGUAUGAAGUUACUUUUUCAACAAUUAAUCUAUAUGAACCUCACAAACUUUUUUUAAUACAAUUAUGAUUUGUACAAAUCCCUAUUCCAAUUGUAUUAAAAACCAGUCCAACCAUUUUGAAUCACAGUUCCAAUCUGUAGACUGUAUGGAAGCCAAAGACAAGCUGUUUUCAAUUUAUACGUGGCUAUGAUAGUCAGAAAUUUUUUGGGAUUUUAAAUGUACUCGAGGUUUUUCCAAACAAUUCUUGUCAAACGUGAUUAUCUAAGCACUGAUGUUGAAGAAUCUCAUUCGAUUAUUACCAUGGAAUUAUAGUUUUGAGUGUCCCUUUACGUUCAAUGGAAUUAAGAUGAAGCAAUUUUAAUACACUUGUCUCGUGAUCAACAGGCGAUAGCUGGAGUUUAGUUCGGGUCUCGGAGUUUGGGUACGUGAGGGUCCAUGCAACAAAGAAAGAACUGAAUUUUGAGGUAAGGUUGCAGAUUUGUUUGGAUAUUGAUCUUAUUUGCAAAAAUUUGUUUACGUGUAUCAUAAACACGUUUUUAACUAUUUUUUUAUGUUUUAAAUCACACUUCUAUUUUAUAUAUAUAUUAUAACAUAAAAGUACUAUAGUGUUAUUUCGAAUAAUUUUUUCAGAAAACCCCUUAUCCAAACAUGGAUGAGAUCCAUAUUGGCUAUAGUGUUAGGAUAAAUAAUUUUCUCCAUAACCCAAAAGGUCAAAACCCAUAACCCAAUUGGAUUUGUUUGGAUAUUAAUCUUAUUUGCAAAAAUAUUUUUAUUUGUAUCAUAAACAAAUUUAUCAACUAUUUUUUUAUAUUCUUAAUCACAUUUUUACUUCAUAUAUAUUACAUCAUAAAAAGUACUACAGUAUUAUUUUGAACGAUUGUUUCAAAUAAUCGCUUGUCCAAACAUCUCCAAUAUAUGAAACACCCUUUACGAAAAACGUGUUUGAGAAGUUUGAUAAAAAGCAACGAUAAGUAGGAUACCAGGGCAGGAACAGCUGUGUAUGAUUGUUGUACUUCGUCUAUAAUUAAUUGAGUAUACAUUUAAAAAUGUGAUUGUAUUUAUGCAUUGAAUUGGCGUGGAUGAAUAAAAUUUAUGAAAAUAAGGCUGUAUAACCGAAAAUCAUGUUAUGUAAAAAGUAUAAACAACCAGAUAAUUGUACAAAAUUUCCAACUGUAUUUGCCCUUGUCCCUGAUAAGUAGUGUUAUUUGAAAGACUAAUAAUUAUUUAAGUUCACACCUGUUAUGUUGCAUUUUCCUUGAGCAUUGAGUACUGCUGUACUAGAAAAAUUAAACUCGUUGAUUAAUGCCCCCAUAAUCCUGAAAAAUAGGGCUCUAUGGUAAUCGUGCACAUUCAAAUAUUUGACUAUUUGUAUUCAUCUAAUUUUCAUUGCUUAAUUAUACAUUUUCACUCCAUAAUUCUCACAGUUAAGUUGGUGCAGGAGACUGUUAGAUGAAGUUGUCUCACUUUUUUUUCCAUUCAAUUUUACAGUUUGUAAAUUCAAGUACGAAAAAGGUUGAAGAUAGCUUCAGAAUCAUCAAAGCAUAAGGAUUACCGAGAAAAUAUAUAUAUGUAUACACAUAGGAAGCACAAGUAUAUCUUUAGCAAAAUUGCAUAUUUUGUCCUUGCUCCUUGAUAGAAAUCCUUUAUGAGGACAAUCCAUAUAAAUAUAUAGGGAGAGAAACAUAUAUGAGCUGCAAAGCAUAGCAAAAUAUUCCCAUAACUUUAUCUCAACCGGAUUGAAAGCAAGUUAUGUAUAGGAAGAUGAUCCAAGUUGAACUUAAUUCAUUAAAUAAAAUGAAGAUUCGCAUUGAUUUAUUGAUUUUUCAUUACCUAAAUUCAUCCUAUACACUAAAUUAUUGAGUCCAAGUUUCAGCACUAACCUUGACAGAAAAGAAAAAGGAAAUUGUCAUAGUGUCAGCCACUAAAAAGUUCUAAUUACUUAUUCCUCAUCAUCAUUGAUCAUUCUGAUAAGAUUGCACUAUCAUCAGUGUUAAAACACUAGCUUCCACUCGAGCAACAAGUUAGACAUGCAAACAUUACCAAUAAUAAUCCUAUUAAAAAUAAAUAAAUGCAACAGUAAAAUUAAAGAAAAUAUCUUAAUGAAAAAACUGAAUUAAGUAGUAUCGAUACAAAGAAGGAAUUCCUGAAUCGAGAGUUAUCGUUCUAUAUCAAACACUGCCAUUAGGACUCGCUCUCGAGUCGCACGAAGGAGCUUGACACACAAACCACAAGACACAGCUACAAUUCAUCACGGAUUUUGUAGGAUCAAUAUUUGUAAUGGAAUUGCUGCACCCAACUAUACACAUAAUAUUGAUUAUACCUUCUUAACUUAUCCUGUAGCUGUGCAAUCGUGGGCGUUUAGUUUCUUAAACUAGAAAAUUCAACUACAAUCGACUGAUCAGAUUACAUCUUGGCUUCCCAACCAGCUUUGCGACUAUCAAGCAAAGAGAUGGAAUUGGUGGGUGUUAUUCUUUGGAAUUUAUGGAAUAAUUGAAAUGGAGCAAUCUUGAUGGGCCCUACAAGAUCCUCUUAGCUUGGUCUCCCUGUCCAUAACAUUCCUAAAUCAAUUCCAUGAAGCAAAUUCCAAAGAUAAGUGCAAUACGCCUACCUCUCUUCAGUCAAGGUUAUCAAUAGGUCAUUGGAUAUGACCCAAAGCAGGUUUUGUUAAGGCAAACUUUGAUGGAGCUGUGUUUAUGGAUGAUAAAUCAUCAGGGUUGGUGUUAUUAUCCAGGAUGAUAAAGGAAGUUUCAUUGCUGGCCUCUCCAAGAAAAUUCUUGGGAUAUUGGAACCAAAUGUGGUUGAAUCAUAUGCGGCCAAACAUGCUACCCAAUUACUACAAUCUUUGAGUUUCAAUAAGAUUGUUUUGGAAGGAGAUUCACAAAAAGUCAUCAAAAUGCUAGAGUGUUUGGAAUCUGACGAUUCAUCAUGUGGCUUAUUGAUUGAUGAUACCAUUGUCUUAUGUCAAGAUUUCAUGUGUUGGGAAGUUUCAUGGAGGCUCACAAAUGACUUGCCUUGAUACUAAUUGAUAUGAUAUAGAAGCGUGAUAAAAUAGAUGGAGGCUCACAAAUGACUUGCUCUAAUACUACCUGAUGUGAUAUAGAAGUGGUGUGUGCGCAUGUGAAACUCGAUUGAAUUCGAUUAAACUCGACAAGUUUUCGAACUUUACAUAUUAAAUUCGAGUUCGACUUGUCAAGUAGGUGGACCUGCUUAAACUCGAGCUCGAACUCACAUUGUUUUGACCGAACAAUCUCGCGAGUUACUCAAUUAAGUUUGACUUGUUUGUCCUAGUGUCAAAUGUAAUAGUUCGCAGUUGGACAAGUUGCUUCAACAGUAGAGUGCUAUAUGAAGCAAGCAACAUGGCGUGAUGUAGCAGUAGCAAGCUUGCAAUGAACAUUACAACAAUUGUGAGAGACAAUGAAGGAAGGAAGGAAGGAAAUGGUGCUCCACAUGGAAAGGCAUUUACUUCAUCCGCUAUUAAUUAUUAAACCAUACAGACAAAAGAAAAUGGUAAGAGAUAGAUGCUUGCUAGUGCAUAACAACCAUUACUAGCUAAUACUACUAUUCCCAGCAUUCCUUAAUAAUCUUGGAUAACAACAUUAUGAAGUAAAACUAACCGUUGAAGUUUCACCUUCUGAUUUUCACUUACAAGCAUCUUAUUAAUAGAAAAGUAAUAUUGCUUUUUCAAUCAAAAGCCAGAAUUAUUAAAAAAAAAAAAAACCUUUCAUAUUGGAUUGGAUCUAUAAGCACAGUGGUAAUCAAGUCCUUGAGCUUGGUGGCAGAAUGUGUAUACCAAUCUUCGUCAUUGUAUAACAGAUUUAUACCAACCUCGUGUCCCGCCAUGUCGUCCAUUAAUCUACAAAUGAUUGAUGCAGCUCUAACGAUUAAUGGUUCGUUUGUUACCCAAUCAAAAGUUUGUGUAGCAAAGAAUCUCCCAUUCCAACCAUGGAAGUUGUUGCUAGCAUCAUGUAUGCUCCUGUGACAAGUGCAACCUUCAUGUGCUCCUCAACUUUUGGGACGUAGCCAUUGUGAAGCCAUAUGGCCUCUUGAAGAUAUCCCUUCACUAACUUUUUCAUCUGGAAGAUGGAACAAUAAUCUAUCGUAUGCCAUACGAUACUCCAAUAAUCAAACGACAAAUUUGUAAUAUACUCUGUGAAUAGACCAUCUAACAAAUAUGUAACUCUCAUAAUGAAUCCCACAUGUGGAAAUUGGAAUACAACUUCACAUGUAUUGAUUGUGAAAUGGUCUACCUUAAUUGGGAUCUCGAUCCAUCAGAAUUUGCAAGUUAGCCCAGAAAAGCGUUAAUCCAAGCAUAUUACCUCUAAUUUGAAUAAUUGACUCUAUCUGGUUUGCCUUCCUUGGCCAAUUUUUCCUCGAAUUCUUUGUAAACAUCCAGCAAGGCACGGUAACAGUGUCUCAUAUAAGAUGGUAAUCGAUCCAAUUCAUUGCUGUGCCACCUGGGUAUCAUUCAUGCAGACCACCAGACCAAAUUAUUGUUACAAAAAUAGCAAGGGACUUAGGACUGUGAAAGGGGAAAAAACAAACAAAAAAGUAAAUUUACCGUUCUAUCGCAUCUGUGAAAAUGAUUAAUUCAUCCAGAGUGGCAUAGACAUCAUAAAUGUCGUCAAUGAUGGAAGUGAUGGAGAUUACUUUUGUUAGCACUUCUCUAGCGAAGCAAUAUUUGGGCUCAAAAUACACUCCCCAUAUCCAAAAGUAGCACUCCACCAAUCGGUCCCUUGCAAAUGGUAAGUUCGUUGCAACAUCUAUGCCUUUCCACCAUCUGAAAUGUAAAGAAUCAGGGUAGAAGUUUCUUUUUACUCACUAGCAAUUGGACAUGUGAUUACUUGGAAAAAUUUUCAGAAUAAUCAUUUAGAAAUUUUUUUUUAAUAAUUAUUGUAGCACCCAUCAGUAUUUUGUGGGAUCGUCAGCCUUGCCCUGGUCCUUUUUUUUUUUUCUUUUUAAGCUAAGUAUUAGGAUAUAUGCAGUCAUUUACUUACUUUGUUAGUCCGCUUAGUUCCUUCUGAUGCAACUUCUGCAAUUUGUUAAAAUCCAAUUUUGCAAAUUUUAGCAACAAUUUAUCAUGUGAUUCAUGUUGUUGGUAGAGAGAUAUGUACUGCCUUGCUCCCAGCCUUGUCAAAGUUUUCUGGAUCGGCAGCUUAAGAGCUUGAACAACUUGUGCAGCAAGAAAAUGCUCAAGUUUGGAACCAAGGAUUCAAGGUUAUCAGAAGUAAAUUUCAGCGCUUCGUCCAAAACCUUCUCCCCGUGCACUCCAAAGUUUGCUGCUUCGUACAAGCUCAACAUUCCUCGCAUAUCGUUCGCCAGAGAUUCCUUAAAAUCUCCUUUCGGGUUCUUGAAUUUGUUGAACACGUCUGUUGAAAAACGUAAUAAAUAAACAAAAAUAAAUUAGUAAUGCCUUCCACUAAAAGUAUAAUAAACGGUGCAUGUCUUUUAUGUUAUCAAGAAAUAUUAGAGAAUGGAGAAAGAAAUAAUAGUCUCUGGUGUAGCACGUCCUGGUCCAUGAAUGCUUAAGUGCAUGGCAAUUUGUGAACCUGAUUUACAUCUAUGUGUGUUUUAAAGGUCGAUUUACUUACCACAAGAGGCAUGAAAACCUUUUUGUCUGAGUAAUCGGAAACGAAGAGCAAUAGUGUAGAGGUCAUUGCCAUCUUUGUGAUUCAACUCAUGGUAGGCAUCGAAAAUCUUUUGCAAUGAUGCCUCGAUUUCACUCUCAAAAUGGUACGACACCCCAAGACGCUGAAUGGUGUCUAUCAUGUCUAGCUUUCCAGGAAACUCGUCAGGAGUUUCAGUUAACAUCUCUCUAACCUCUUCUCUUAGCCGUUGAAGCUCUCCCCCUCCUUCGAAGAAUUUUUCCUUCAAAAAAGGAAAAAAAAAAAAAAAACCAGUUCCAAAAUUAAUUAAGUUUUGUGAUUCGCAAGAUCAAGAAAGUAACUGCCACAAGAAAAGCUGGAAAUCGUAUGCUAAUGCUAUCACCUUAUGCUGAGAAGCAUACGCAAGAAAAUGAUCUCCCCAAACGCUUGGAUGAUAAUUGGCAAAGCGACGGGAACUGGUACUUUUUCAACAACAUCCUCCAUAAUCGAUUUUAAGAAAUGCUUGGAGUUUAUUUAAGUAAACUUCCUGGCAGACUGCAAAGUUCCCGCAAUGCAGCUUUUAUGCACCGCCGCUCUCUCUACUCCGCUAUUUAUGUCCCUGUUAGAUGUGGCUAACUUUGACUAUAGCAAGACGUAAAGGAAUUGGCAACUAUUUCGUUAGUUUUUGUGCAUUCCAUAAAAAAUUAGAAUAAAGCCAGAUGAAUUUUAUAGUUUAACAAUCUAGGACAGUGCUAGGGUGCCUAUAGUUAUCAGAACGAUAUUAGGGACAUCUACUAUUGUACGUCUAUAUUAACUUUAGUAAUAGAUCAAGUUUUUUAGCAUCUUUUUAAAUAUUAUAUUAGAAUAAUUAAUAUUAACAUUAGUAAGUUUUUAAUAAAAUUAGUAAGUAUAUGUCUGAAAUGGUAAGUUUUAGUCAAAAUAGAAAUUUACACUUUGAGUAAUAUAAUUUACUUAUAAUUUGACAAAAGUUAUUUUUGUUUAAAUUAAGCUUACUAAUACUAAAAGUAAAAAAUUGCAUCUUUAAGUAAAAAAAUCACCUGUUCCUAAAAUGCUUGCGGGUUAUCACGUCUCUCUAAAAUCACAUGCCUUCUUCUUAUUCUCUUCUCACGAUAUGAUCUUGGCAAAAUUUUCCUCUUUGCCCCGCAUUUUGUCUUGUCGCAAUUGAACAAAAUAUUUUCUCUAGCAAAAUUUUCCUCUUUAGUCCACACUUUCCCUCUCUCCUUCGUAAUUGAUCGGUUUUAGAUGCUAACAUAUGCAGACCCAACAAAAGAGUUGAGAUUUUUAUUAGGGAUUAGUGGCAGUGGCAGUUGAUGAGAGAGCAGAUAAAAAAUAGUAGCCAAGAGAUUAGACCAUUCUUAAAAAUCAUUUGAUUAUAUUGCUUUAAUUUAUUUAUCUUUCAUUUGAUUUGAUUGUCAAGAUUUUCUUGCAAAAUACAUGGGAAAUGACUUAGACCCUUUAUGUGAAACUUAGUAGUAUGUAGGCAUCUAUGUUAAAUGUGGUUAAUUUGGGAAUACUAAUAGGAUGUUUGGUGAAAUGUCAAAGAAAAAUUUAUCUACUAUGUUUGAUGCUUGUGCGGGAUGAGAACGCACCAGGUAGGGUGUAACAACACCAGUUGAAAAUUUGUAUCAUCUUACACAGUAACACUCAUUUAAGAUUUGAGUACAGUUUAACAAACAAUUUGUUUCAGCAAAAUAACAUACAAUCAGAAGCAAUUAUGCAAAUAAAAGGGUAAAAUUGUGAAAAAAUAAUUAAUAUUAUAUAAGGAUAAUAAAACGACAGAUAAAAAUACAUUAGAGCAAAUUUCUUAAACUUCAAUUAUAAAAAAAGGAGGAGUAAUUGGGAGGCAUGCAGCCACCGGCCAUGCAAGAUAAAUGCAAAACAUGUCUCGGUACUUGGGGUGGGGGUCUGCAUCCACUGUUUAUGGCUUUAUGCCUUCUCCUUUUUACUCAUUAAUUCUCUUCUGCACAUUUUAAUUGUAAAUUGCAUUUCUCACUUCCCCUUUCCCCUCUUCACUUCUUAAAUUUCACUCCUCUGUUGUUAGAGAAAUUUUUUUAAAAAAAAAUUCCUUUUAUUUUUUCCAACGAUUUAACAACUUCGACAUUUUGACAACAUAAGUUUGUCACACAGGAGUGGUAGAAGACCCCCAUAAACCACAAAAUUAACCGAGUAUGAAAGUUUUUAAAAAAUACAAGAAGAAAAAGAAAAAGAAAAACUGUAAUUGGAAAGGGAGUACACAUUUACCAUGAAAUAAGAAGUUUGAAUAAUUUCAGCGUGUCAAUUCAUGUAAUCUUGAUCCAAACACAACUGAAAGAACUUAAAUUAUAUGAAGGUGUGCUUCAUUAUCCAACUCCUGUUUUUGAGUGUGUGUCUGGUGCUAAGUUAAUUGAAAGAUGCUAUCACCAGGUUAAGGGGAAAACAAAACUCAGAAAUUUUCUAAAUUGAUGAACUGAUCCAGACCGAUUACCUGCCCAUCUUCAGCAUAGUUAUAUAACAUGAGUGUGUGUCUAGUGCUAAGUUAAUUGGAAAGAUGCACGAUAAAGGGAGUAUAUAGCUUCUAAAAGGGCCUUCUGAGGAAAGUCCCCACCAUAAUCUAAAACCACUAGCUUCCACUUGAACAACAAGUUAAACAUGCAAACAUUAACGAUAAUAAUCAUAUUAAAAAAUAAAUAAAUACAACACUAAAAUUAUAGAAAAUACCUUAAUUAAGAACCUAAAUUAAGUAAUAUCGAUACAAAUAAGAAAUUCCUGAACCCAAGAGUUAUCGUUCUAUAUUAAACACUCUCAUUAGGACUCUCUCGAAUUCCACGAAGGAACUUGACACACAAACCACAAGAAGACACAGCUACAAUUCAUCCACGGAUUUUGUAGGAUCAAUAUUUGUAGUGGAACUGCUGCACCCAACUAUACACAUAAGAGGUUGUAUACCAUCUUGGGGCAAUUUCGAAACUAACAACUUCAUUGCCUUCCAUUGUCAAAACAUAUUUUAUUGUCCUUCCCCGGUUGAUAAGGAACUCAAUAUGCUUGGCCUUUGCAGGAAAAAUCUCAAUAAGAGAAGAUUUGCCGAAAAUAAAUUCAUUUUUUUUUACGGAAACGAUAGGAAAUAUAUUGAUUUCAAAAACAAGCUAUACAAACUUGAGCAAAGGCCCAUCACGAGCUUUACAAUUGUGUUGCUUGACACAGAGGACUUAGAUAUUCCUCAUCUUGCACUAAAGUAGUAGCAUACUUGCUAAUUCUUUUCCCUAAUCUAUUACACUGGUUUUCAGCCAAGCUGAAUGAGCAGUUCAUAAACAAAGCUUUGAGCAUGUGAAUGUCUUCUAAUUGAGCAAAAAGUCUGAUGUCUUGUGUGUUGUGAGUUCGCAGCAUUCGUAACAACUGAGCGGAUGAAACUGGUAGAUUAACAUCUGGCCAAGGCUUUUGUCUAAUUUUACACAAUGAUAAUUUGAGCGCAGCAGAAUAAUCCAGUAAAAAGUCACCUGUACUUCUGUCUCGCAUGGCCCAUGCAGCGUGGCCGAAAAUAAAUUCAUUACCAGACCAAAAUUCUCGUGAGCCAAAGUAUCAACUGGCUCUAUAGAUUUAACCAGCAACUCAUAUGGUGGUGGUCGAUUUAUUGGCGAGAAAUCCUCAGAAAUUUCAUCAACCAUCAAAUCUUGAAAUUCAUCCAACCCUUCAAAUUUGACGGUUGGAGAAUUUAGAUCCACUUCAGGAUCCAUCGCAGACAAGCAUGGAGGAAAUUCAACUUCUUCAUCUUCAAGAUUGGGAUCAUAGAUAAAUUCCUCCUCCUUGAUCUUAGGCUCACAAAUGACUUGCUCCGAUACUAAUUGAUAUGAUAUAGAAGUGCGAUAAAAUAGAUGGGGGCUCACAAAUGACUUGCCCCAAUACUACCUGAUGUGAUAUAGAAGUGUGUGUAUGUGUAAAACUCAAUUGAACUCGAUUAAACUCGACAAGCUUUCGAGUUUUACAUAUUAGACUCGAGCUCGACUCAUCAAGUAGGUGAACUUGUUUAAACUAGAGCUCGAACUCGUAUUAUUUUGACAGAACUCGUAUUGUUCGCGAGUUACUCAAUUAAACUCGACCCGUUUGCACCUCUAGUAUCAAAUGUAAUUGUUCGCAAUGCUUCAACAGUGGAGUGCUAUAUGAAGCAAGCAACAUGGCGUGAUGUGGCAGUAGCAAGCACGCAAUGAACAUUACAGACAAAUCGAGAUAUGGCCAAUAAUUGUGUGAACAAUGAAGGAAGGAAAUGGUGCUCCACAUGAAAGGCAUUUACUUCACCCACUAUUAAUUAUUAAAUUAUACAGACAAAAGAAAAUGGUAAGAGAUAGAUGCUUGCUAAUGCAUAUCAACCAUUACUAACUAAUACUACUAUUCCCAGCAUUCCUUAAUAAUCUCGGAUAACAAAAUUAUGAAGUAAAACUAACCGUCGAAGUUUCACCGUCUGAUCUUCACUUACAAGCAUCUUAUUAACAGAAAAAUAAUAAUGCUUUUUCAAUCAAUAGCCAGAAUUAUAAAAUAAAUAAAAAAAAUUUUCAUAUUGGGAUUGGAUCUAUAGGCACAGUGGCAAUGAAGUCCUUGAGCUUGGUCGCAGAAUGUGUAUACCAAUCUUUGUCUUUGUAUAACAGAUUUACGACCUUUGCAAGGUCCACAACUCGCUCAAGAACGGCCAUAGGCACUGCAUUUGAAUUGAGGCAUUCCCCAUUUAUAUCUUUCCAAGCAUUGGCUACCUGUUUGUUAAACUCAUCAAAUGCCUCUUGCUUUGUAACCCCAUAUUCAUUCACGUAACACUCAACAGCUGUGGCCAAAUGUCCUCUUUCCUGCUCAAACUGCACCACAUAAGAUAUUGGUAGCAAUAUUCAUGAGACCUGUGUAUAACAGAAAAUUAAUUUACAAUCGUAAAUUAUUUGAUAUAAACCUCGUGUCCAGCCAUGUCGUCCAUUAAUCUACAAAUGACUGAUGUAGCUCUAACGAUUAAUGGUUCGUUUGUUACCCAAUCAAAAGUUUGUGUAGUCAAAGAAUCUCCCAUUCCAACCAUGGAAGUUGUUGCUAGCAUCAUGUAUGCUCCUGUGACAAGUGCAACCUUCAUGUGCUCCUCAACUUUUGGGACGUAGCCAUUGUGAAGCCAUAUGGCCUCUUGAAGAUUAUCCCUUCACUAACUUUUUCAUCUGGAAGAUGGAACAAUAAUCACAUUAAUUUUUGAGUUAAUCUAUCGUAUGCCAUGCGAUACUCCAAUAAUCAAACGACAAAUUUGUAAUAUACUCUGCGAAUAGACCACCUAACAAAUAUAUGACUCUCAUAAUGAAUCCCACAUAUGGAAAUUGGAAUACAACUUCACAUGUAUUGAUUGUGAAAUGGUCCAACUUGGGAUCCCGAUCCAUCAGAGUUUGCAAGUUAGCCAGAAAAGCGUUAAUCCAAGCAUAUUACCACUAAUUUUGAAUAAUUGACUCUAUCUGAUUUGCCUUCCUUGGCCAAGUUUCCUCGAAUUCUUUGUAAGCAUCCAGCAAGGCACGGUAACAGUGUCUCAUAUAAGAUGGUAAUCGAUCCAAUUCAUUGCUGUGCCACCUGGGUAUCAUUCAUGCAGGCCACCAGGCCAAAUUAUUGUUACAAAAAUUGCAAGGGACUUAGGACUGAAGCCUAUACCUGCUUUUAUAUAUAUUGAAAAGUUUAAGAGGAUUUGAAAGGGGAACAAAACAAAAAAAAAUAAUAAAAGUACGUUCUAUCGCAUCUGUGAAAACAAUCAAUUCAUCCGGAAUGGCAUAGACAUCAUAAAUGUCGUCAAUAAUGGAAGUGAUGGAGAUUACUUUUGUUAGCACUUCUCUAGCGAAGCAAUAUUUGGGCUCAAAAUACACUCACCAAAUCCAAAAGUAGCAAAGUACGUUGCAACAUCUAAGCCUUUCCACCAUCUGAAAUCUAAAGAAUCAGGGUAGAAGGUUCUUUUUACUCACUACCAAUUAGACAUGUGAUUACUUGGAAAAAUUUUUAGAAUAAACAUUUAGAAAAUUUUUUAGAAUAUUUAUUGUAGCACCCAUCAUAGGAUAUUAAUCAUUUAGAAUUUUUUUUUAAUAAUUAUUGUAGCACCCAUCAGUAUUUUGUGGGACCGCCAGCCUUGCCCUGGUCCUUUUGUUUUUUCUUUUCUUUUCCUUUUAAGCUAAGUAUUAGGAUAUAUGCAGACCGCUUAGUUCCUUCUGAUGCAACUUCUGCAAUUUGUUAAAAUCCAAUUUUGCAAAUUUUAGCAACAAUUUAUCAUGUCACAUGUGGAUAUUUUAAAUUUUGGAGUAUUAGAAUAUUUUUUUUGAACAUGGAGUAUUAGAAUAUUAGUUAGUUCACAAGAGAAGACUAAAGAGUGUAAUUAGGAAACAAAAAGUGCAACUAUAUGCUUGACGUUUAAUCAUCCAAAGGAACCAACCCAAUGAACCAAAAUUUAUGAGUCAUCCUAAACUGGCAUUCAAGGAGCAAUUAUAAGUGCAUACAACAAUUGUACACAAUACGAAGAUGGUGUUAAUCAUUUUUUUCUGUGCUUUAUAUAAAAAGAUUUACUAGGUUACAGUGAUAUCUUUCCCACUUCAAUACAAUUGGAUCCAGAAAAUGCCUUGAUAUUGGACCCGUAUUUUAGAACCUCAAUCAGAAUAUGCUUUGAUCUUGAACCCUCUUCUCUAAAAUACAUCGGAGCACCAAAUUUGAAUGCAGUAAAAUAAGCAACAAUCUUAUGUAGGAUUGUUUCAAAUGUACGUUGACAAACAAUAUUCCCACUUUACUAGUAUUGGCAUUCAGGGGAACCAAAAUUGUGUGGUGGCAUCAACCCUAUAAUAUCUUAUUCUUGUUAUUAGCAAGGUAAAAUUAACAUUGUGUGUUACACCAUCAUGUCAACUUUCAAGAUUUCAAUAUGGUCCUUUUCGGUUACAGUAGGCAAAAGGCCUAACCAUUUUUUUUAAAUAGAGGUGCUGUAGACACCAAAAGGCCAUUUUGCAAAGGUCAUGGCAGAAAUUAUUGCCAUUUUUGGGCUUCAUUUCCACUCGUUUUUGUUUUUUCCUCUUCCCCAACCCUUUGCUAGCUCAUCCCUUUUAUCUCUAUCAAGAUUUUUCUAGAAGAAAUGCCAUCUAAUGGCUCAAAAUUUGGAGAAAAUACCAGCCUUCAUCCUCACCUUUGAGGUGAGGGUUUUGGGAUUUUUUUCUGGCCUAUAAAAAGGCUCAUAAGGGCGGCCAAGAGGAGGAACAAGUGAGAGAGGCGGCUGAGAACAAGAAGAAAAGAAAAACAGCAGAAACAGAGUGAAAAAAGGUAGAAAAAGCGAAAAAAAGGAAAAUAUUUUUGCAGAAAAUUUGUGGAAAAGGCUGGUUCUUCAGCCACAUUGCGGGGCAUUUCUCUCUCUCAUUAUAGCUUCUCUUGAGGAACUUUGAAUUUAUGCACCAUCUACGUAGCUAGGGGAAGAACUUUUGUUCAGAAAUUUUGUCGAAAAAAUGAUUUUAAAGCCUUCGAAUUUGGCCAUAAAAUCGUUGCAUCAUCAACCCUGGUUCCGCUUAACCUUGCUGAGAACUUUUUCAACCCGCGUUCAUUCGCAUUUUUUGCCUCAAAUCUAUUUCCUUUCCGAAGCUUCAUCAGGUAGUUUUCCAACCUUUCUUAGUUUGAUUUGACAUUUAUGCAACUUAUUGGAAUAAAUUUAUGGAUGUUCACGCUUUAGAAUUUAGAACCCAUGUCUAUUCAUAUUUUUUGGAUUUUGGCCUUUGUUUGAUGUUUACUUAAGCUUUAAAUGCCAUGAAAUACAUAUAUAUGUGAAGAUCCGCUUUUAAAAGUUGGUAAAAAUGGAUUCCGGCGAAGUUCCAGCCAAUAUGACGGAAUUUUUCCUACCUGUCGGAAUCUGCAUCCAGGCAGGUUGAUCAGUCAGAAUCGUCAUGGUGUUCUUGACAAUUUUUUGGGUCUUUUAUUUUCCGAUUUUUUGGCUUGGUUGAUCUUCCUCAAAGUUGUUGGGCUAAUUUUUGGUGUUUCUGGACUGAUGAUUGGGCUAAGAUCUGCUUCUUGAUUUGGGUUUAUUGUCAAAACCCAACUCUUUUGGUUGGGUUUGUUGUGUUAAACAAAUGAGGGCCGGUCCACCUGUUGCCUCCGGGUUUUUGUCGGGCUUACAGAAUUUUGGCCUAAAAAAAAAAAAGCAAAAAUGGCCCAUUGGCCUCUGGCCUAUUAGAAACCAGAAAAUGAAAUUGCAAAUCAGUCUCUAUAUUUUACAUAUUUAUUCUAAAGCCCUAAAAAAUUUAGAUUUCUUUCAAUUAGAUCCUAAUUUAAUUGUAUUUGGCUCUUAAACUAUAUUUUUAUUUUAUUUUAACCCUUAAUUUUUGUAAUAAUUAUAAUUUGACCUCUAAAACUUUCUUAAUUUUGCAAUUAGGUCCCUAACAGUUUUGAUUUCUAAAAUAUAAGUUACUUUUCUUCUUUAAUUGUUAAUUAUGCUUCAUUUAAGUGCUUUAAUUGGUAGAUUUCAUGAUUAUUUUCAUUUCUUUAUAAUUAAUUGUGUGUCUUAAUCAUUUGUUCAUUUUGGAGUAUAAGUAGAGCAAAUUUCACCCCAUUUAAUCACACACUUCAAGGGAGGUAACCUUUUUUAUUAUUUUAAACUCUUUUACGUUCUCCAAUGUGUUUUUAUGUGUAAUUGCAUGUUUUGAAUGAUUUUUUUUAAUUAGUGAUUCUUAUUCAUUUUAAAGUUUCAUUUGUCUUAUUUAAUUUUGAUGAUUAUUUGAGAGGCAUUAAGAUAUCAAGUUGUAAUAGAUAGGCGCUCAAGACAUGUAUUUAGCUAGUUUAUAUAAUAGAUAGGUUUUAGUUUUGUUAAAAAUGUAUUUAGUUAGAUAAAUGUAAUAGUUAGGUUAUUAUUUUUUAGAAUUCCCACCUUACAUUAUAGUUAGAGCCCGAAUGUAAUAGUUAGGCUCUUAUGGGUGUUUAUUUGCUUGUGUGCUUGCAUGCUUAUGUACUUACGUGUUGUACUCGCUUUUUCGGGAGAUUUGCAUCUAAAUAUUAUGUUUACGUGCUAUGUGCUCUAUGUGCUUACGUGUUUACUUGCUUUAAUUAUGUUUAUAUGAUUCCUUAUAUUAUAAUAGAUGCAUGACAUCACCACACUAGUCCAACGCUAGUUGUGGUCUAUUUCCUUGUAAAGGAUCGAAAACAAUCUAAGAGAGGGGUAAAUUAGGUGGUUUAAAAACUAGCCAAGAUAUGUGUCACUUUUUGAGAAUUUUUCCUCUUUUUCUAAAAGACCACACAAUUGAGUAAUUGAUGAGGAAGUACAAGUGCUUAAGAGUAGAAGAGAUAGACAAUUUAUAUUUCAAGACAAUAAAUAAAAGGAUAGAAUAGCAAACCAAGUUUCAAACUCCACUUGAGUUUGAAUACCACUUUAUAUAGCAAGUUUCUUCAAGUUGAUCAACUUACAACCAAUCUCUUGUGUACAAAGGAAGGAUCACUUCCUCCUCGCCCCAAGCCGCACUUGGUCAAGCAAAGAAGUUUUACAAUCAUUCGGAUAACCCUCACAAAACUACACUAUUGAAGAAAUAGAAACACACUUGAAAAGCUUAUUGAAAGUUCCACAACUAAGAGUACAAAUCUUCAUUCUAGAUUAUUCUCACACUUGAAUCACUCAAGAUUUAAUGUAGUCUCAAUGUGUGAAAAUCAUUUGAAGUGGUUGACUUUUUCCUAUUUAUAAGAGACCAAAAAAUUCUUCAAUUAAUGCUACCAACGGAUAGAAGGUAGUUGAAGAGUCAACUAGCCGUUGGUAGUGUCGGACGUCCGGUAGACUAGUUUUCUACAUUCGAACGCAGGCAGUGAGCUCCAGAAGUUUUCUUGAAAUGUUUAGGAUGUCCGCUACCUCCAGAAUAUACGUCCGAAGGUAUGAUGUAAAAUUGGAAAUUCUCCUUCAAUUUGUUCGGACGUCGAUGCCUCCAAUGUUUUGCGUCCGAAGUGUCGCAACGUUUAUCGGACGUCCGGUACUCAGGUGUUAUGCGUCCGAUCGAGGUCAAUUGGCUUAGAGAACUUGGCUUAUCAUCUUCGGACGUCUGAGAGUGGGUUCUUCAUGCGUCCGAAGUUACUCAAUGGUUGUCGGACGGCCGAUGCAGUCUGUAUGUGCGUCCGACAGCUAUACCUGUUCUGCUCCAAUUCUGAACAGAUCUAAUUAGAGAAUAUUAGUAACAUCCAUUUUUUGUACUUAUCAAAAGUUACGGAUUGAGAUAAACAAACUCCUCCUUUUUGAUGAUGACAAAACAAUGGAUGGAAUAAAAAGAUUUUAGGUACAGCUCCCCCUAACUUAAUGCAUUCAAGGAGGAUUCACAACAUCCCUUUAGAAUAAUGUUCACUCGUGAUUAUUCACAACUCCCUCUUACAAUGACUCCCCCUCACAUAUAGAUUACAUAUCCAUUUCUGGAUUUCUCGCUAGUCCAACGCUAAUGAGAACUUAUAGACAUGGAAUAGUCCAAUGUUAGAUCCUUAGAAACUGUCCACGGGUUAUAUUAUGUUUGCGGUGACAAUCACUACAUUUCAUGCAUAUUUUCUACUUUUUAGAAUCUUUACCAUUUUGCAUGACAUUACCUCUAUACUUACAUUCGUUAUUCCUAUGUGCGAAACAUGACAUUUAGACUUGCAUUUCAUUUAAAAAAAACUAAAAAUAGAUUAGUCAAUUUGCUUGAUUAGGUUAGGGAGUACCCUUCAAAUAUGGAAAAUGGAUGAAUAUGGUUUCUUAGCCUUAGCACGCUCGCAUCUCCUCUAUAAAAAAGAAAAUUGAAUCACGAAUCUUAGUCUCCCGUACCCGUUAUGUUGCAUUCCUAUUUUUAGGUCGCGUAUAUUUAUAUAUUAUAAUUUUUUCUUUUUUUCGAGUCUUACUCUUUGCAUAUUCGUGACCUUUUCUAAGAAUUAUUUUGUGCAUCACAAUUAAUGUGAUUUGCACCGAUUAAAUUUUGAAGAGAUAUCUCAACCCUCCCGAUAUCCAUUAGCUCUAGGUUUGCAUCCAUAUAGUAACAUCCAAAUGUGACAAGUUUUAUAAGUUAAAUUAAAAAAAUUUUCAACUAAAUCACGCAACUAGCCUUGGUUAGAUUAAAAGGGUGUCUUGGAUUUUAUCCUUGCCUUCCCUUUCUUCAAUCGUAACUCCCGAGCCCUUUUCUCUUGUUUUUCAAAGACUUGGAGUCGUCUAAAAAGAGUUUUCUCUAUUUUUUUAUUUAAAAAUUCGUUUUUAGGUGACUUGGUACACCUUAAUUCAAUACCAAGUGGUGACUCAUAUUUUUCUCAAAAAUCCUUUUUAGACUAUUAUUUUGGGUCAAAAUCGUCGCACUUUUUAAGUCCCAUUUUAGGCCCUUUUUCUUUAUUUAUUCUCUAAAAAUCAAAAACUCAUUUUCACUCAAAAUUAAUCAAAAUUCAUUUUAUAACUCAUAAUUUGGUCUUCUGUAUCUUGGAGAAGGUUUGUGCCAAUUUUUUCUGGGGAUCUAACUUAGAAGGUAAUAAGUUUCAUUGGGUUAAGUGGUCUACUUUAUGUUAUCCUAUUGAAAAAGAAGGAGCUGGGUCUUUUAUAAUGAUAUGAUUUAACUUGGAGCAAAAAAUGUUGACGUUUGAUGCCAAUGUUCACACUUGAAGAAAGACACAAAGAGCAAAGAUUUCUCUAUAAAUAGAAGUUUAUGUCUUCCAUUUUAAAGAACUUGGAGAGCGAACUGAUAAGUGCAUAGUUUACGUGCUUUUAGUGUGUUUUAUUAGUUUGUUUUGGUGUGUUUUAAUUAGUUUUAUAGCUAAUAAACUAAGAUUCUAGUGAAAAUAUGCAUUUUAUGGUUUAAAGUGUGAAAAUUGUAUUUCUAUGAACUUUUACGGCAAAAACUUUAUGUUUUUGUAGGUUUAAGAAUUCAAUCAUCAAAGGGAGUAAAUUGAGAAGGGAAUUGGAUGAUUGAUGAUGUUUUGAAGUGAUAAAAAGAGAAUAUGAAGUGCAAGAGAUGAAAUGCAAUCAAGUUCUAAAGAAAAGGAGUUUCACAGCUUUGACACCUUGUGGUAUUUUGGCAAUACCUUGAGCGACAAUGAUCGGAUUGAGGUGAUUCUUAUACCAUUUUGAAGCCAAGAGAUAGAUCUACAUUUGGUAUGAAGACAUUGAAGUCCAGUUCGGUGGUUUUCAUAGUCAAAAAGUCGAAAUACUCAAAAGUACAUUUUCUAUGGUCGAAGCUGAAACAAGUUUUUGACCAGUCAAGGGUAAUUUGGUCAUUUCUCAGUCCACGGAGCUCUAAAUUAGGUGAUUCUUGAUGCAUUGGAAAGCUAACACAAAUAGCUACAACUUGAAUGUUUUACACAAGAGCUAGUUCAGCCUCUAACAUCGAGAAAAUAUCAGUUGAAAUGGAUCAAAAACAGAGCAAGAGAUCUGAACCCGAAUCUAGUAUGAUCCGAGCCCUCGUCUGAUCUUUUGGACGAGUGGAUCCGAGACCAGAGGAUCCGAGCUCGGAUCCACUGUUGUAGGCCUCGGAUCCCAAUGAACAGUGAAGGAAAAAAUGAAGAAAAAUGCGAUCCGAGGGGUAUUUUGAUAGAUCCGAGCUCGGAUCUUGCCCUUGGAUCCCCAAUUUCGGCUCUGCAACUUGUGCUCUAUUCACACAAGCUUUUUGACCAAUGUAUCUGCAAGAAAUCCGGCUGGAACUGAGCAAGCAAGUAUAGAGAAUUCAAAAAGCAUCUUUUGAUGAGUCCAAGAAGCAAUUACAUCAACUUUAACAACUCACCAUGAGCUUGAAUUCCUCUAUAAAUAGCAGCCUUGGAGGAACAUUUUCACAACUUUGGAAGGCUAGAGAAAAUCACCAAAAAUGUAGUCUUCACUAGUUUUUCUUAGUUCAUUAGUAUAGUAUAGGUAGUGUAGUUUAUCCAUCUUGUGUUUGUAGCUAGAUUUGGAUGAAGAUUGAGGAGCAAAGAUGGAGAGGUUGAUCUCAUGUGACAAGGGUGAUAUCUCUUCUACUACUUUCUCUCUUGUAUUAGAUUUCAUGUUUAGCUAUAAUACAAGUUUGGAUUUGUAUUUUUAACAUGUUUAGUUAAAGUUUAUGCCUAGAGUUAUGGUUGAACUUACUAUAUCUUGUUUUUGAUGUUUACUUGAUUAUUUGAUGGUAUUAUUUUGAGCAAGUUAUUUAUCAUUUUUGUUUUUCUAAUCAUGAUUAACCGGCCAUUAAUUGUGAUUAUCUAAAGGUGUUAAGAUUGCAAUGAGAAUUGGAAUUUAAAACUAGUUCAAGGAAGUGAUAAACCUAGGGAAUACACUCACGAGAGUAGAGGUGCACCUAUGUGGCUUUAGUGACGUGUUCAUGUAAUUUCAUAGAAGAAAUGAACUUGUAGCUAAUUUCAUAACCACGAGAGUAGGUAUGGUUUAGCUACAAGUAUAGUUGAUUCACUACGAGAGUAGGUUUCACAUACAUUAGGAAAUUACGCCAUAACUAGCCAAGAUAAUAGCAUUCACUUAACCAGUAAUCUCAUUUGCAAGAGUAGUAAGGAAUUCCAUAUCUCUAGGAGCUUUUUAGUGCUAAUUUUGAUUUCUAUUAUGUUUAUGGUAGUCUAGAUAAUAAAGGAGUUCGAAAAAUACCGGUAAUUACAAUCUUCUCUGUGGGAUCGACCCUUAAUACCCUAUACUCGCUCACGAUUCGUAUACUUGCGAUAAAUCGCGUGUGGGGUAUUUAGGAAUCAUAAAUGUAAAACUUGAUUGUGGAUGAGCUAAUUAAUAUAUGUAUACCCCGCUCACAUCAAGUUUUUGGCGCCGUUGCCGGGGAAGAUUUGUCAAUAUCGGUGCUAAGAAUAACUUUAUUAAUUUAGACAUUUUUACUUAUUUUUCUUGUGUUUGUAGUGUCUAGUGUCUUAAUUUUUAUUUUUUAGUGUCUUUGUUGAGUCUUUGUAUAUGUUUUUAUGUGUUUAGAGUCAUCUAUUCUUCUUGACUAAAUUUGUUUUUAAGUUAUUUUGAAAACAUGUUUAGGGGUUCAAGGAGAGUAGAAAAUAUGAGGAAUCAAUGCAUGAGAGAAGGAAGAUCGACAAUGGAUGGUUACUAUAUGCAAAGCUCCUUGAAUCGAGGUAACCAAGAAAUUGCCGAAAGUAUUUCGUUUGAAGAUGGUUUAAGGAGUUUAAAGGUUAAACUUGAUGUUAUAAUGUUACAAGUUCAAAUGGAUACCAUGAUGCAUAAAAUUGAGCAAAGGAGGAAUGUUAAUGCUUUUAAUUAUUAUCAUGUGAUUUGUGACUUGUGUGGAGGUUAUCAUGCUACUAGUACAUGCAUGCAAGCACAAAAUGUGGAUUAUUAUGAUGAAUUAGAGCAUUGCAAUCCUUGUUUUAAUCAAUACAGUGCUAAUUGGAGCAAUUCUCAUGUGUAUGGUUGGGAUAAUCAAUGUGCAUAUAGUGAUUCUCCAAAUUUUUAUGAUUACCAACUUCAAAGUGUCCAAUAUGAAUCAAAACCAUUUUGGGAGUUGGCAAUAGAGAAGUUAGCUAAUGCACCUCUACCUUGGGAAUUAGAAAGUGAACCAUUAGCUAAUUGUUCUUAUGCCUCUUGGGAGCUAACUGUAGAAAAUUCUUAUAAUCAAUUUGAUUUAGCCAUAGAAAAGCUAGCACAUGCAACCUCUGACCGUUUUGAUAGGAUUGAGGAAAGGUUAGAUGAAUUAGCUUCUCACUUUGGUAGAGUACAAGACCAAGUGCAUGAGUUGUGUGAAGUUAUUUCUUCUAAUGAUGUGCAAAUUGACCCUAGCAUGAAUGGUGAGCAUGUUGCAAGUGAAAAUGGAUUGCAUUUUGAUGAAAAUGAUGAAUCUCAAUUGUGUUUUAAUGAGAAAAUAUCCAUUUCACAUGAUAGUACCUUUGGAGCUAACAUUGAACCUCAAGAGGUGAGCUUUAGCGACUCAUUUUUCACCCCUCUUAAGGAAUGUGUUGAAAGAAUAGGUUUUAAAGGUAUUAUUCCCCAAGAAAGCCACGCGGACGUUCCUUUGGUGAGUACUCAAGUGACGUGCAUUCAAGGUAAUAUCUACGAUUCACUUGAGAUUGGUAAGCCACUUCCAUCUCUCUUAUCAUUAGAACAUGUGGCUUUCGCUAUAAAGCCACCUUAUAAUGAUCCACCCCAACCUCUAAUGGUGGAUUAUUCAUUAACUAAACCUCCUUGAGAAAUGAGGUGAUAUAGUCAAGCUAAUGACCAUAAAAAAGCGCUUGUUGGGAGACAACCUAACAAUUUCUAGUUUUUUUUAGUAAGUUUUAGUAAUUUGAUUAGUAUUUUUGUGUGUUUUAUAGGUAGCAAUGACGAGAAAUCAUGCGAAAUCAUUUCAAGUGCAAAGGAGUUUAUAAGGAGUGGAGACCGAUGUGAAAAAGGGAAGCUUAACCUUCAUUUUUGAGUUUACAAUGCUUAAUUUCAUGUUAUGUGGUUAAAUUAGUCAUUUGCAUGAAGUUGAAGUGAAUUCAAGUGUUUAAAUGUGUUCAUGACCUAUUUGCACUCUUUUGACCAUUUGAGCACUACCAUGUGCAUUGGAAGUGUCAAGGGGAACUAUUUGAUCCAAGAACCUCAACCCUCAAUUUACAUUCUACAUGUUUUUGAUUUGUUUUGAGAUGUUGAGAUUCAUGUUUAAGUCACUUUUCAUGUGCGUGAAGUGUUGAAUUGUUAAAAAUUUCAUUGUAGAACACGAAUUGGAGAGUGUGUUUCAAAUUGGGGCCAAACUGAAAAUUGCAGAAACUUCUGCAAUAAGUGCAGAUUCAAUGGAUCCGAGCUCGGAUCCACUUCUGCAAUCAGAAAAAAUUCGAGCUUCUUGAUCCGAGUUCACUUAUCAUGAUCCGACCUCGGAUCCUUUCAAAAACGACCUCGGAUCCUUUCCAAAACAAAGGCUUGGACCACUUUUUUUCAUUCUUCCCUCUUUUUCCUCCUUCAACUCCACUUUUCUUCUUGUUGGUUGCAAGCUUUUAUUCUUAAGAAGUUUUAUUUCUGUCUUUUUCAAGGUGCAUUAAUUGAACUCUCCAUUCUUUCAAGUAAAGUUGAAAAUUCAUCACAUUGCCAUGGAUUCGAAUUGCGCAAGUUCAUUAGGGGAGUAUUACUUUCUCUUACUUUCGUUAUUUUUCCUUUCUCACAUUGAGGACAAUGUGAAGUUUAAGUGUGGGGGAGGAAAAUAUUUGAACUUGCACUUUAAUGCUAUGUGAUGAUAUUUUGUGACUUUAAAUGAUUAGAAAUGAUUGGAAUUGUGCAUAGAAAUCUUGCCAUAUGGAUAAUUUGCUUGAAAUUGGGUAUGUUGUCAAAAUUUUUCUAAAAAUCUUUUCCAAUAUUUCACUAUGGCUCAAAAAAAAUUUUCAAAUUUUUGCAAGUUUAUUUAAAAAUGGCCAAUUUGUUCCAACUUUAAGUGCCUAAUUCUUUCACUUGUUGAAACUUUAUAUGUAUAUUGGAAGAUUUAGUUCUCAUUUGACUUGGAAAUGGUUAUUAUGCAAUUAGGAUUUUUGCAUUUUAGAAAGUAUAUCCGAUAAAGUGAGGAAAAUUAUGCCUAUAAUUUUACAUGUUUAAUGAGAUUUCUUCUCUUUACUUAAUUGUCCAAGUAAGUGAUUGAUAUAGUCAAUAAAUGUUAUACUCCUCCUUUGAUUAUUCUUAUAUAUUUUCUAUAAGGGAAAUUUAUUUAUUGUCUUACAAAAAAAAGAAAAAAAAAAGAGAAAAAAGAGAAAAGAAAAAUAAAAGAGAAUAAGAGUUUUUUUUUCCUACUCCAAUGAUUCUUGUACCAAGUAACCGGGAGUUGGCAUCUACAAAUGUCGACUUUCGCGUAAAAAAGUACUUGAAUUACGAGUAUGCAUAACAAUUUAAAUAAGUGAAAUGUUGAAUAACCGGAGAUCUUCACCUAAAAGUGUCGAUUUUCGCAUAAAAAGACUUCCUCACUAUUUAAGUAAAAGUAGUGCAAAUAAAUCUCUCUUAGUUGUAAAAUUUUGAGAAAAAGAUGAUUAUAGGAAGAGGAAUGCUAUAAAUUGACUACGUGACUUGCUUAUUUGUAAAAUUAGGUUGGGGUAAGAGAUUAAGUUUAACUUGUUGAAUUUAUGGCAUAAUUCUCUUCCCUUUAUUUGAUAUUAUGAGUAUUUAGUGUAAAUUGAACAAGUGCAUAAUGAUUGUUUACCAAGUUAUGAGGAAUUUAAUUCGAAAAAAUGCAUAUAGGGUUUCACCUCUUGAAUCAUUGUUAUUGGAGAUAUGUUGAUUACUUGAGGACAAGCAAUGGUUCAAGUGUGGGGGAGUUUGAUAAGUGCAUAGUUUACGUGCUUUUAGUGUGUUUUAUUAGUUUGUUUUGGUGUGUUUUAAUUAGUUUUAUAGCUAAUAAACUAAGAUUCUAGUGAAAAUAUGCAUUUUAUGGUUUAAAGUGUGAAAAUUGUAUUUCUAUGAACUUUUACGGCAAAAACUUUAUGUUUUUGUAGGUUUAAGAAUUCAAUCAUCAAAGGGAGUAAAUUGAGAAGGGAAUUGGAUGAUUGAUGAUGUUUUGAAGUGAUAAAAAGAGAAUAUGAAGUGCAAGAGAUGAAAUGCAAUCAAGUUCUAAAGAAAAGGAGUUUCACAGCUUUGACACCUUGUGGUAUUUUGGCAAUACCUUGAGCGAAAAUGAUCGGAUUGAGGUGAUUCUUAUACCAUUUUGAAGCCAAGAGAUAGAUCUACAUUUGGUAUGAGACAUUGAAGUCCAGUUCGGUGGUUUUAAUAGUCAAAAAGUCGAAAUACUGAAGUACAUUUUCUAUGGUCGAAUCUGAAACAAGUUUUUGACCAGUCAAGGGUAAUUUGGUCAUUUCUCAGUCCACGGAGCUCUAAAUUAGGUGAUUCUUGAUGCAUUGGAAAGCUAACACAAAUAGCUACAACUUGCAUGUUUUACACAAGAGCUAGUUCAGCCUCUAACAUCGAGAAAAUAUCAGUUGAAAUGGAUCAAAAAUAGAGCAAGAGAUCCGAACCCGGAUCCAAUAUGAUCCGAGCCCUCGUCUGAUCUUCUGGACGAGUGGAUCCGAGCUCAGAUCCACUGUUGUAGGCCUCGGAUCCCAAUGAACAGUGAAGGAAAAAAUGAAGAAAAAUACGAUCCGAUGGGUAUUUUGAUAGAUCCGAGCUCGGAUCUUGCCCUCGGAUCCCCAAUUUCGGCUCUGCAACUUGCUCUGCAACUUGUGCUCUAUUCACACAAGCUUUUUGACCAAUGUAUCUGCAAGAAAUCCGGCUGGAACUGAGCAAGCAAGUAUAGAGAAUUCAAAAAGCAUCUUUUGGUGAGUCCAAGAAGCAAUUACAUCAACUUUAACAACUCACCAUGAGCUUGAAUUCCUCUAUAAAUAGCAGCCUUGGAGGAACAUUUUCACAACUUUGGAAGGCUAGAGAAACUCACCAAAAAUGUAGUCUUCACUAGUUUUUCUUAGUUCAUUAGUAUAGUAUAGGUAGUGUAGUUUAUCCAUCUUGUGUUUGUAGCUAGAUUUGGAUGAAGAUUGAGGAGCAAAGAUGGAGAGGUUGAUCUCAUGUGACAAGGGUGAUAUCUCUUCUACUACUUUCUCUCUUGUAUUAGAUUUCAUGUUUAGCUAUAAUACAAGUUUAGAUUUGUAUUUUUAACAUGUUUAGUUAAAGUUUAUGCCUAGAGUUAUGGUUGAACUUACUAUAUCUUGUUUUUGAUGUUUACUUGAUUAUUUGAUGGUAUUAUUUUGAGCAAGUUAUUUAUCAUUUUUGCUUUUCUAAUCAUGAUUAACCGGCCAUUAAUUGUGAUUAUCUAAAGGUGUUAAGAUUGCAAUGAGAAUUGGAAUUUAACACUAGUUCAAGGAAGUGAUAAACCUAGGGAGUACACUCACGAGAGUAGAGGUGCACCUAUGUGGCUUUAGUGACGUGUUCAUGUAAUUUCAUAGAAGAAAUGAACUUGUAGCUAAUUUCAUAACCACGAGAGUAGGUAUGGUUUAGCUACAAGUAUAGUUGAUUCACUACGAGAGUAGGUUUAACAUACAUUAGGAAAUUACGCCAUAACUAGCCAAGAUAAUAGCAUUCACUUAACCAGUAAUCUCAUUUGCAAGAGUAGUAAGAAAUUCCAUAUCUCUAGGAGCUUUUUAGUGCUAAUUUUGAUUUCUAUUAUGUUUAUGGUAGUGUAGAUAAUAAAGGAGUUCGAAAAACACCGGUAAUUGCAAUCUUCUCUGUGGGAUCGACCCUUAAUAUCCUAUACUUGCUCACGAUUCGUAUACUUGCGAUAAAUCGCGUGUGGGGUAUUUAGGAAUCAUAAAUGUAAAACUUGAUUGUGGAUGAGCUAAUUGAUAUAUGUAUACCCCGCUCACAUCACGAACGGAAUACCACAAAAAUGUAGUUUCUUAGCUCUUUAGUUUAGAUAGUGUAGGAUAGUUUAGUUUUAGCUAAUUCAUCAUUUCUUAUGUAUUAGAUAGAUAGAGAUGCAAUUGGAGGAUGAAAAAGGUAAGGAGGGAACUCAUGUUAUAUGGGUUACUCUACCUUCCCAACUCUUUAUCUUUUGAAAUUGAUUCUAAGUUUAGUUAAUGUAUAAGUUUGGAUUUUAUGUUUAUUAUGUUUUUUUAAAGUUAUGCCUUGGGUUUUGGUUAAAUUUUCUAUGAUUAUAUUGUGUUGAUUUUUUGGCUAUUUGAUGCUAUUUUUUUGAGCCAGUUAUUUAGCACUUUUGCUCCUCUUAUCAUGAUUAACUCGGUACUAUUAAUUGUGAUUAUCUAAAAGUGCUGUUUUUUCAAUAAAAAUUGGGAUUUAACACUAUUUUAAGAAAUGCUGAACCUUGAGUCAAGUAUGUUUCUUAAAUAAAAGUGCUUGGUUUUAAAAUAAGUUGUUUAUUUAGUUAUUGUUUAGUCAAUAAGAAAGGCCAAUGUGUGUUAAGCCUUUGAGUUUAAUGGGCCAAUUAUUGAGUCAAGUUUGUUUGGACAUUAGGGUCCGGUCCAUAGGGUUUAAUCUAGAAGUUAACUCUUUUAAAUAAUGUUGUAUGGAACACGGUUAUUCAAUUGAGUGAUUUUAUGAUAUUGAGCAUAUGAGGUUUUCUACAAGUAAGUGGAGACUCUUGUCUUUCUAAUCUUGAUUCACUUUAAGCAUGAUCUUGAGUGAAUUGACUCUCAUAUCAAUUUGAUAUUCACCCAAAUUGAGGUUAGCCUACCCAAAUUCCAUCUAAAUUUCGUCCAAACCUAUCUCUUUAUGAACCUGUGGGAUUGCGAAUUUCUCUUAUCCUUGGGGAAUUCGUAUAAGUUGGUAUCAGAGUUUUGACUCAAGAUGAUAGGUUAUAUCCUUAUUAAUUUCUUGUUUUCCUUUUCUUCUACUACUAAACCCUAAUCGUUUUAAAAAGAAUUGUGAAUUAGAGUUUAUCUACUUUUAGGGUUUUAAAUCUUCCAUUCGUGUUUUUCUUGUGUGUUUCCUCAUUGUUUCUUGUGUUCUUCAUUGUUGUGAUUGUGUUAAUUUUAUAUCUACCUUCCCUCGUUGAUUAAGAUAAAAGUACUGUAGUGAUUACUAUUCUUGUAUUACUGUUCAUCGUACUGUUCAUCCAGAGUUAAUACUCAUUUGAAAAAAAAUGUUUGUUUGUUGCUUUAUUUCUGUGAAUCCUAAUCCUAGUCAAAUCUUGCAAUUUUGUGACUGCUUUUUUUUUCUUUCCUAAUCCUAAUCAUAUAAAUAUUUCUCUUUUUAAUUGUUUCCAAAUCAAAUUAGGAAACAUAACCUUAUUUUUCCAGCAAUCUUUAGAUGUCUAAUUCCUAAUCUAAUUAGGAAAUUGAAGUCUGAAAUUUCAAGCUUUAAAUCACCUCCUUUUUUAGAAAAUUCCCAUCAUUAGUUCUUGAAAUUUCCUUGUUGUAUUGCUUUUCAAAUUUUCAGCCUUAUUCUUUGAUUUUCUAGGCCAUAAAUGAGGUGUUUCUUGGUUGGUAUAUUCCUCAAAUCCUUGGAGAACCAAAUUUUAAGUGAAUUCAAGACACCAAGGCAUUAAAUGAGUGUGAGACCAUAAAAGUGAGUGCAAACAUGAGUGGCUGAGGGUAUACACAUGAGGUUGAGUGUGUGAAAUAUUAUUUUUGACCUAUCUUGCAGGAAAUCAUGUCUAGCAAGGAAGAUUUAGAUUCUCAUCCUGUUGACUUAAAGUUCAUCAUGAAGGUUGUGAAAUGAGAGAUGAGGUGAUUGAUGUGGACUGAAAUGGAAUCCAUCCAUGAAUGCCUAGAUCGGGUUGAGAUUUCUCAGGAGCAUCUAUCCAAAUGUGAGAGACACACUUCCAAGCAUGAAAAAGCAAGACGUUGGAAUUUAGAGGAGGAAUACUCCACUACUGAAGAAGUAGAUGAAUCUGAAGUUGAGUUUAGGAGACUGCCUAGAAGGUACCAUCGAGUUGAUGAUGCUACGUGAUGGGAGUGAAGUCUAAUAUCCCUUCUUUACAAGGAAAUUUGACCUCAAAACUUUACCUAGAAUGGGAGUGUGGGAUGGAGCUUGUUUUCAACUGUUAUAACUACACUGAAGUGCAAAAAGCUAAGUUGGCCAUGGUGGAGUUUUCAAACUAUGCAAUCACUUGGUGGGACCAACUAUAUCAGUAGAAGAAGGAUGGCUAAGGGAUUUGUUAGCACUUGGCAGAAGUUCAAAGCAUUAAUGAGAAAGUGAUUCAUCCCUAUUUAUUACCACAGAGGCCUCCAUUAGAAGCUGCAAAAUUUGGUGUAGGGUGAUCUAACUGUCAAAGAUUACCAAAAAGAGAUGGAGAAGGCGAUGAUGAGGGCAAAUGUGAUAGAGGAUUUGGAGGCUACAAUGACUAGAUUCUUGAAGGGGUUGAAUCUAGACAUUGCAGAUGUAGUUGAAUUGCAGUAUUACAUGGAGUUGGAGAAGAUGGUGCAAAAAGCUAUCAAAAUUGAGAGACAGUGGAAGAGAAGGGAUGGCUACAAGCCCAACUCAUUUUUUGCACCUUUCACUGCAAAAGGUGUGCCAAGGGAAGAUAGAGUAUCUUCAAAAUCUAAGGUGAAAUUGCCUAAAGUCUCAAGCAACACUCCAGUUUCUAUUAUUCGAAACUAGGAUAUCCAAUAUUAUAAGUACCAGGGACGUGGUCACAAAACUCUCCGGUGCCCAAACAAAUGAGCUAUGGCGAUUAAUGCAAAUGGACAAAUUGAGUUUGCAAAUGAGAAGGAGAUUGAAGAGAAACCUCCUUUGAUUGAGAAUCAGUCUGAUGGGGAAGAACAUACACCUGGAGUGCUUACCUUGGUGACUAAUCGAGCUUUAAAUGCGGAAGUCAAAGUGGAAGUGGACCAGAGACAACGCAUCAAUAUCUUCUACACUAGGUGUUGUGUUAGGGAUAAGGUGUGCAGUUUAAUUGUUGAUGGUGGGAGUUGUAUGAACUUUGUCAGUACAAUCUUGGUGGGUAAGCUUGCACUACCAACAAUUGAUCAUUGGAGCCCAUACACCAUACAUUGGUUUACCACCUAUGUAGGCAGAAAAAUUACAAAACAAGUUCCAGUGGCUUUCUGCAUUAGGAAGUAUGAGAAUGAGUUAUUGUAUGAUGUAGUUUCUAUGCACGCAAGCCAUAUUCUACUUGGAAGACCUUGGCAGUUUGAUAAGAGAGUUUAUUAUAGCAGACUUUCGAAUAGCUAUUCUUCCAAACAUAAGGGUAGGAAGAUUGCACUUACCCCACUUACUCCGCAACAAGUGCAUGACGACCAGUUGUAUUUAAAGUGGCAAUAUGAAGAGGAGUUGUUAAGGAUAAAAUAGGAGAGUGAAGCCAAGCUAAAGGAGAAAGAAAUGAGUGGGCAAAAAAAAUUUAAUCGUUUGUUGAUUGGGCUGCCAUUGGAGGGUUCAAUAUGUCUUACUAACCUAUUAACUUAUCCUUUGUUUCAUUUUUUAUGGGUACUUUAUAGGGAUUUUGAGCAAGGUGGUCACAACUAUUUUGAGCGAGUAAAGGUCAAAGAUUUGAGGAAAAAUCUUCUUGAAGAGAUGGGGAAUGAUAUGGAUGCGAAGUGAGUAAAAUUAGUUGCAAAGUUUGUCCAAGGAGGGGGGCAGAAGACUUUGCACUAUAAGCCACAGGCGUGUCCCGUGCCUGAACACAAAGAAAUUGUGUCAAGAAGACUUGUGUGUAAGAUAAGACGUGGGGCACACCAGAGUAGCCAUUUGCUAGUCCGCCGAUUCCGUGGAUUUGUUUGUGAUUUUUAGGGCUUUUCCUAUUUUAUCCGUUUUAGUAAUUAUUCUUUGAUUUUAAAAUACAUUGUUUAUUUAGUUUUUUUUAGUCAAUAAGAAAGGCCAAUGUGUGUUAAAUCUUUGAGAUUAAUGGGCUAAUUAUUGAGUCAAAUUUGUUUAGUUAUGAGGGUCCGGUCCAUAAGGUUUAGUCUAGAUUUUCUUUUAAAUAACAUUGUAUGGAACAUAGUUAUUUAGUUGAAUGAUUGUAUGGCAUUGAACCUUUGAGGUUUUCUACAAGUUAGAGUGGAUACUCUUGUCUUUCACUUUGAGUGUGUUCUUGAGUGUGAUCUUGAGUGAAUUGAGUGCUAUAUCAAUUUGGUAUUCACACAACUUGUGGCCGACCUACCCAAAUUCCAUCCAAAUUUUGUCCAAACAUGUCUUCUUAUGAACUGGAGUUUUCGUAUGGGAUUGCGGAUUUCUCUCAUCCUAGGAAAAUUCGUAUCACUAAUGGACUCCCAAUCUAUCCAAAUACAGAUAGGGCACUAACAAAUUUUAAAGAGGUUUGGUUUAUUUUUAUCAAUCGUUUAUUAGUUAUAGUAGAUUACUGAUUUAGUGGGUGUCUAAUUUCUAGCAGGUGAUUUAUGAAUAACUAAUCAAAUGUCUAUUAGGGAAAACAUUAGUUCUUUGGCAUUUUAUGCUGUGUAGAUGUUAGUUUGACACAGUUGUUAGAACUCAACCAUUUUACUUUGGAAGGAAAUCAAAGAGUUGAAGAUUUUGAAAUAUGGGCAAAGAAAAGGAUAGAAAAGAAAAAGGGAAUUUUGUAUUGUAGACAUGACUUAACUUUUGGCAUUCUGACAGUCAUCAUUCAAUCAAAAAAUGAAGCUAAAAUAGAUAACCGAUCACAUAACAUGCAAUUUAGACAUCAUAUUUGAUUGAUAGGUUCCCUGCAAAUAGCGCUAAUUCAAAUAUUCAUACUCAAAAAUUAAUUGGAUCCCUAAGCAAAUCUAUAAUAUGAGGCUCCACAACAUUGUGUGGAUUAGUGAAACCAUCCACUCCCUGCUUGUAGAAAACAUUCACAAUUCUUGCUAGGUUAAGAAAUCGCUCGAGAAUUUCCGUUGGAAUAGUUGUACUGAGCUUAAGAAAUUCCUCAUUGAUGUCUUUCCAAGCGUCCUCUGCAAUAUCCGCAAACUUCUUCUUUGCUUCUAGCUCAGACACAUUGUAAUGCUUCAUAUAGCACUCGAUUCCAGUGCCUCUGUAUUGUUUCUCACGCUUGAAAUGCAAAAAGAGCAGUUUUGAGAAGUUAAUCUACAGUACUAUAUACAUAACCAAAUUGGGGGGAAUUUUUUUUUCUUUUAUACAUACGUGAGAGUGCUCAAAUUUCAAAUUUCUCACUUACACUCCCUCCUCCUGAACCAUCCAACUCAUCCCUCCUCCAAAUUAGGGGAAAUUGGUAUUCUCCAGUUCAACAUUUUUUUAAGGGUAAAUUACUUAUUACCUCCCGUGUUACACAAUGCCAGAUGACCUCUCUAAGGUUUUAAAAUAAUGACAUAACCCCUUAUAGUUUUAUGUAAAUUGGAAAGUAGAUGGAAUGCACCAUUGAUUAAGACGUUUAUACCAAAUGAGCUUUAAAAGCACAUAUAAUAAAAUCUUAAUAUCCAUAUAACCUUCUUAUGGUUUGUAUAAAUAUCUACUUUACUCUGUGAUUUUUGUAUUUAUCUAUGUAAUCUCUCUAUACUUUUAUACAAGGUGGUUAAACUAUUGAUUGAUUUAGUAUUUAAAUAAGGGCACCAUUAGUGUUUUAACUAACGACAUUCUAUAAGUUAUUUUCCAUCAAAUUUCUACUUUACAUAAAAUCAUGAGGGUGAAGUGGAUAUUUUGAAAUGUUAGAGGAGUCAUUCGCAAUAGAUGAAACCACAGGGGGUUAUAUGUAAUUUAUCCUUUUUUAACCAUCUUUUUUAUUCUUAUAAUGACGGGUAACAUAGUUCUCACCUUAUUCACAAAAAAAAAAAAAAAGAAAAAAAAUCAUGCCACGUCAAGGAAGAGUUCUUUCAAAGAUGUAAGAAGUGAGAAAGUGAGGUUCUAUGUGAUUAUUGUAUUGUUUACAUGUUCGGCGUGUAUUUAUAUUACCUUUUUACUCAUGGUUGAAUUCAAUUUAUAUACACUGAAUUUUGUAAGAAGUAUAAUAGCACACAUAAAGUAAAUCAACCAGGCACAACUAUACCAAAUCACAACUGCGCUUUUCCUCCAGAAGAUUUUGUAAUUUAAUUUAACAUUAAUUGACUAACAACUUCAGAGGCAGAGCAUAGUCAUACCUCAUAAGACCCGAUGUCAUUGGUCAAUCGGCAUAUUUUUGCUAAAGAAACAAGAAUUUUAGGAUAGUUUGAUAGCCAAUCAUACACGUCCUCGGUGGCACAUUCCAUUGCAAGUAAUGCCGUUGGUAUUAGGAGAUAGCAUAAGCUCGUGACCAAUCCAUUGCUCAAGUAAUCAGGAAAUGCUGGCAAUUCUCUUGGGAUAAACCACAGUGCCUCAAUGUAGCUACUCCUUGCAUAUUGUUUCCACUAGUUGAAACCAAUGUUCCAAGAAUGUAUUAGGUUUAUAUAAUCAACUUGCAGCACGAUUUAGCUAAAUUAUUAUACAGGCGAAACUUAUUAAAGGAUGCAUGAUAUGUGACAAAAGUUACUUUUCAAUAAUAUAUAUACGCACACAUAUAUAGGAUAAAUUUUUAUGCACUAUCACUGUAUGCAUGGGUGGGUAUAAAUGCAUGCUGUGUAAUCUAAUUUUAAUUCUGAAAUUCACUCUUUGUAUGGAUUGCAUGCAUCCAUACCUAUUAGUUAGUGUAAAGAAUCUCUACAUUAACAGUGCGUAAAACUUAAUUCAUAUAAAAUCUCUGGCAUUCUUGAGACAACUGAUACUGAAGUGCUAUUUUGUUUAUAGAAGUUAAGCACUUGAACGGCGCCCUAUAUACCGAUUGAAGAUAAUCGCACGUUUAUAUAGUAGUUCGAUUAAUGGCCAAGAUUUGAUGAGGUAUAAAAUUAUCAUGACUUUCGAACACAGCAGAGCUCAAAGGAAAAACUAAGUCAAAACAGAAACAUAUAAAUGUAUGCCGAACAAAUGUGGUACCGUACUUCAUCUUUAUACUUGUCGGAUGCAUAAGACCUUUGUUGUGCAGUUAACUCAUUAUCAACACCAUCACUGACAUUUAAAAGGGCCAAGUAAGAUGUUCUCAUGCAGAUUGAUAAUCGAUCAAUUUCUUUAGCAUCCCACCUGAAACCAGAAGAAAAUUAAUUUCUGCAAAACUUAUGCCGCAUGUGUUCAAGUUUGGCAGAGGAUUCAAAGUUCAUGGCUUAGUUUAAUCAAUAGGCAUACCUUUCAAUUGCAUCAGUGAAGGUUAUUAGCUCAUCGAGAGUGCCAUAGGAAUCAUACGUGUCAUCGAUCGCUGUAAGCAGGGCAGUAGUCUUUGCUGAGAUGAUUCGGCCGAGAGAAUGUUGAGGCUCAAAAAACAUUCCUAAACCGUAAAAGUAGCUUUCAACAAGUCGUGCUCUUGAAUAAGGAAGUUUUGAUACAAUUUCUGACUCAUUUCCCCACCUGUCACGUGAAUCAAGAAUGCAUAUAUAAAAAUACCUUACUAAAUGUUCAUGAAUCUCCAUGUUCCCUCUAAAAAAGAAUAUGGUGAUGCAAUUAUUUUCUUUUUCGGACUACUGUUGAAAAAAAAUUAUUUUGCAAUAGGCGAUCAAUACGUCUGUAUUAUAAUGACAUAUAAGUCUGUCAUGUUUUGUCUUAGUUAUUAGGUGUAGCAUGAAAGGUAUGAUUGGGUGCUAGGCAAUUUCUUAACAGAUCAUGCACAUGUGCCCAAGUUGGGCUGCACAUUUCAAGUUUCACAAAAACAAUGAAAAAAAAAAUUUCUCAAGAUUUGAGUAUGACAUGUCGGCAAUGAUGGAGCCAAGGGGGGCUGAGGGGGGCCAUGGUUUUGAAAUUUUUAAUUCAUAGUAUGUAAAUAUAUGUAUAAGACAAAGUUGGCCCCUCCUAAUUUUUUACAAUUUUAGUUUAUAUUAUGAGAGUUUAUAUAUAUAUGUGUGUGUGUGUGUGUAUGAAUUAGCCACCUUUGAUAUAAUUUUUUCUUCAAAAAAGUUAUUUAUUUUUUAUUGUGCUAAUUAUUUAACAUUCAAAAAAUUAAAUAUAUAAUUUCAUAAGCCAUAGUAAAUUGACCCAAUUUGAUAUAUUAUAAUAAAAGACUCAAUUCAUAAUUAUGAAUGGGCUAAAAUAAAAAUAAUUACUUUAUUAGUCCAUAUACAAAUAUACAACUUAGCCUAAUUGAUAAAAAAAAUUAAAAUUAGUGAUCUAUCCUCUUGUUGACCCAUAUACAAAUAUACAAAUAAUUACUUGAAGGCUUGGUGAAGACAAGAAAUUGAGUGAUCUAUCAUGUUGUUGAUAGAUUGAUUAUAUUUGUUUUCACUCUUCAUGUAUCAACUACAAUUAUAGAACAGACAUUUUCAAUUAUAAAUAUAAUCAAAACAAAACUGCAAAACAAGAUAAAACAUAAUUUCGUGAAUGAUUGUCUAACAAUAUACAUAAAAAAGGGAAGUUGUUCAAAAAUUUAGUACUGAUUCAAUUAUAGAUGAAUUUAGUUAUAUGAAAUAAUGUAAAGCUCAAUUUACUUUUAAGAAAAGAGGUUGAAAUUUCAAGGUGUGCGAACAUAACUUUUAUCUUUUUUUUAAUUGAAAAUAGUUAUAUUUAUAUUGCAUAGUUAUAUUUUUGUUUUUGCACAAGUGACGUAUUGGAUCAUCUUCUCAUAAUGUACAAUUUGGAUAGUUUGUAAUGUUAUAAGAUAUUUAAUCAAAGGUUAUUUCUUGUUCUAAUUUUUGUUAUGACUAUGCUACAUAUUUAUGAAAUAGACAUACCUUUAUAAUUAAAUUUAAUAUUUGAUAUUUUAAGAUGUCAUAUAUUUAAAUCGAUGAAAAUUAUUUUGAAUAUAAUAUAUUAAGAUAAUUUUGUUCAAAAAAAUUUUGGCCCCCCUCCCAAAGAAAAAAUCCUGGCUUCGUUCUAUAGUCUAUAGAAUGGACAUUUUCAAUUAUGAAGAUAAUCAAAACAAAACUCCAAAACAAGAUAAAAGAUAAUUUCUUGAAUGAUUGUCUAACAAUGUACAUAAAAAAAGGAAGUUGUUCGAAAAUUUACCAUUGAUUCAAUUAUAGAUGAAUUUAGUUCUAUGAAAGAACGUAAAGCUCAAUUUACGUUUAAUAAAAGAGGAUGAAAUUUCAAGACAUGUUAACAUAAUUUUUAUCUCUUUUUAAUUGAAAAUAGUUAUAUUUAUAUUGCAUAGUUAUAUUUUUGUUUUUGCUCAAGCGACAUAUUGGAGCAUCUUCUCAUAAUGUGCAACUUAGGUGAUUUGUGAUGUUAUAAGAUAUUUAAUCAAAGGUUAUUUCUUGUCUUAAUUUUAGUUAUGACUAUGCUACAUAUUUAUGAAAUAGACAUAUCUUUAUAAUUAAAGUUAAUAUUUGAUAUUUUAAGAUGCCAUAUAUUUAAAUAGAUGAAAAUUAUUUUGAACAUAACAUAUUUAAAUAAUUUUGUUCGAAAAAAUUUUGGCCCCCCCAAAGAAAAAAUCCUGGCUCCGUCACUGAUGUCGGUGUAAGUUCAUUUGGAUCAUAAAUUGUGGCAUUUGCCAAGAAACUAGAUCUUGAACAAAUGCAAUGCUUGAUGGGAGAACAUAACAAGGAUUCUCUGAUGGGAUUGAAAGAUGAGCCAAAUAAUUUGAUAUUCGAACCUAGGUGUGGUUUGAUAAGUGCUCGAUUGAGCUUGGUUCUCUAAUUAAUUAAUUCAAAAUUUGAACAUAUUUUGUGUUUAAUAAACUCUCAAACUUGAUUCAAGUUUGGCUCGAUUAGUAUAAAAUUAGAUUAUACAAGUAAAAAAUUCAAACUACUCGAGGUCAAUUGUAGAUCGAUUCAAUGAGAACUCACUUGAGUUUAGCUCAAUAGAUAAACAAGCAAAACAUGGACAAAAUUUCCAGUCCGUUCAAAUAAUUAAAAAAAUUUAUAUAUUAGGGCUUUUGAUUUGAUUAGACUUGUCUACAUCCCUAUAUCUCUCAUCCAUACUGCAAUUAGCAUAAAUACAUAUUUGCAUCCUUGAGUUAUGCAACUAAUUAAGAAAGCACUUUUGUUGGUCUAGUUGUCAGGAGAGGCUUUUAGAGUUCUCCUUAUUGUAGAUUCAAGGAUCGAAUUCUGAGAUUGACAAUUGGGUGUGAAAGGGUUAAAAAAAAGUACUUUGACUGGAAAAACUAAUUAAGAAACUCUCUGUUCGUGCUCUAGCCUCAAGUCCUAGAGAAAAGUACAUACCUUAUGAUCUCUGAAAGUUCUUGUUUGUACAACAUUUGUAACAAGUUAUAGUCCAAUUUGGCGAACUUGAGAAGUAAAUGAUUCCUACAUUCAUCUUCCUCAUAGACAGAGAUAUAAUGGCGAGCCUCUAUUCUUGGGAUGCACUUGUGGAGCGCCUGCUUAAGGGUAUAGUUGACUUGUUUUGCAAGGCUAUGACUUGUAUAUGAGGCCACAUGUUUUAGAUUAGCUUCUGCAAAAGCAAGAGCUUCUUCUAAAAUGAUAUCUUUAUGUGUCCUCACUUGAGCAGCUUCAUACAGGCUCAACAAACCUUUUAUGUCAGUACUUAGUGAUUCCUUGAAUUUCCCAUCAGUUUCCACAAAUUGGUAAAAAAUACCUACUCACAAAUUAUAUGGUAAGAAUCAAAUUUCAAAAAGCUUAAAAAAUUAAAGUUAACUUGUCAUGCAUUAAAAAAAAAAAAAAAGGAACUUACUCUCAGAAAUAUUAAAACCAUGUUGUCUGAACAGUCGAAAAUGAAGUGCAACAGAGAGUAAAUCAUCUGGAUACUCUUUAGUAUUGGCAUAUACUUUGAAUGUCUUCUCUACUAGGUUUGCAAUCUCUGCUCCAUAAUGGUAUGAGAUACCAAGUCGUUGUACGAUGUCUAUCAAACUCAAUUUCUCUGUUAUUGUGUUUUCUGUUGCCAAUAGCAUGUUCCUUACUUCUUCCUUUAACAUUUUAAUUUCUUUGGCAUACAUAUCAUAUACCUGAUAACAUCAUGGACGUCCACCAUCAAGAACUUAAAACCCAAAAACAGGAAAAAAAAAUUUAAAAGUAUCAACACAAUAUGGAAAAACCUGCGUACUUUGCAUGUGGAUUGGGACCGUUACGCCAAUUCAACUCUUCCCCACCCCCCCCCCCUCCCAACCGCCAACAAAAAAAAACAAAAGAGCUUCUGAUUCAAAUUAACUUAAAAGAGAGAAUUUAAGAAAGGAAACUAACCUGUUGAUCCUGAGAGAAGAAAUCAAAAUGAUCACUCCAAAUGUCGUCUGGGAAAUCUGGUAAGGGGCGAAGAAUUUCACUCUGGUUUUGUAAGGGAACAGCAGCUUCGGUGGGGACCAUUGUGUUUGGUUAACCAGUGGAAGACUCAACACAAAAUCUAAAUGUGGUUUAGGAGCUAAUCAAAUUCAAGGCGAGUAUUUAUAGAGCAAAACAAGGCACAUGCUUUGACUGGCAUACCAAUUGGGAUUUUGAAGGCAUUGAAGAAAGCAGCUAGAUCAUUGACUAAAAGACGGUGGGAGUUGUGAAGAAGAAGUCGGCCAGAUUGUCGCAAUAUCUGAUCUUAUCUUAUCUUAUCUACCAACUAGAUAAGAGAACAACUCAAGAUCUCCGUUGAUGUCAAGUGUAUUGAAGUUCAAAGGGCUAAUAGUUCCUCACUAUUUAGGGGCUAAUUGGUAAAAAUAGUUGAAUUAUUUUCAUUUGAUUUUUUUGUUUGGUUUUUAAUUGGUGAGAAAGGUCAAUUGAAUCCUUUUAUGAAAAAUAGCUUUUUAAAUAGUUACUAACUAUUUAGGGUUAUUUUUGUCCAUUUAAAUUAUUCCUUUUAUAUUUCAUUGGUCAAAUGUAAAUAGUUGUAAACUAUUUGGGUGUCCUUUUAUCACAUGGGGUCCUAAUUAAAUAUUCCAAAUAUAAAAACCGUUAGAACUGAUGUGCCAGCCAAAGUCUUCCAAGAUUACUUCUCCCCGUCUUUGUUCCCUGCAUUAUAGAGCUAUGACGAAGCACGUCACUUCAGUCUUUUCUUGUUCCAAACUGUGGGCCAUUUUUGUUGACAGGGUGUCAAACCUGUGCAAUAAUAAAUACCCGUUUAAAUAAAAUAUAAUUUCUGUAGAUAGUGAUAAGUAGGGUCCAAUCCACAGGGACUGGGGAUAAUUUAUUUCUUUUAGAGUCCGAAGUAUGGGGGGUUUUUGAAAAUGAGAGUAACUAAAUUACUUGGAAUAAAUUAAAAUAAAAUAAAAUAAAAUAACUACAACUCAAAUAACUAAUUAUCACAAUAAAAAUAAUAAUAGACGAACUCUAGCCAAGAGACAACUUCGGAGAUGGUUCACUUAAUUCGAUCACAGAUGCAAGGAUUAUUCCAGUUACUAUCUGAUAAAUUAGUUAUAGUUGUCAUACACGCGAUAAACAACCAACUCUUCCUCAAUUUGUCGAUAGCCAAGGUACGACUGUUGACUAUUUCUCUAAUCAGGAAACAACCCUAGGUACGACCAUAGAAGUUCAAUUUCCUAAUUGCAUGAAUAAUUAGAAGAGCCUAAUUCUAACCAAUCAACACGCUACGAGGGUCUCUUUAAGUUAGCCUGUCUAUCUCCCUGACACAAACCCAAUCAUGCCAGUUGCCACCAGUUUAGAAUAAAUAAAUAAUUACGGAUUUAACUACUCUAAUUGGGUUCAGGUUAUUGAAUUAAUCUAGAAUCCGGGCCCUGGAUAAUCGAAUAAUAAAACAACCAUAUGAACAUAAAGCAGAAGAUAGACGAAUACCAGUGAAUAAUGGAAAUAAAUAAAAACUAAUUCGAUCUCACAAAUUUAGUAGAACCAAGGCCUCCGUUGUUCCUCGACUAGAUAUAUUUAGCCACGCCUCAUGAGAAAAUCUCUAAAUAAUUUAACUGAGAUCCAGGCCAUCAAAGAAACCAAGAAAGAAUAAAACUAAACUAUGCUCCAAAAAAAAGAGCUCUCCGUAGCCUUUCUUACAAUUGUCUUUAUAUAGCCAAAAGGAAAUGAAUAAAGCUAUCUAUCCAGUGGUCCCCGCACCAAUUCAAAGUCCAAUUCCAUUUCACAAGCCUUUAUAUGUUUCUUUUCCAAGAGUCCAAAUGACUCAUGUUUCUUAUCCGUGGUCCCCGCACCAAUGAGAGUCAAAGUACAAGAAGAAAGCCCACGCCAAUUCCAUUUUUCUCAUGUCCUCUUCAUAAGAUGACUCUUAGUCGGCGCCGCCUCAUCAGCACAAGGACCGCACCAAUGAGAGUCAAAGUACAAGAAGAAAGCCCAUGCCAAUUCCAUUUUUCUCGUGUCCUCUUCAUAAGAGGACUCUUAGUCGGCGCCGCCUCAUCAGCACAAGGACCGCACCAAUGAGAGUCAAAGUACAAGAAGAAAGCCCAUGCCAAUUCCAUUUUUCUCGUGUCCUCUUCAUAAGAGGACUCUUAGUCGGCGCCGCCUCAUCAGCACAAGGAAAAAGGCGAUCCGUUUCUUCUUAGCAAUGUGGGCCAGGUUUGUGGAGUAUUUAGAAGUCUCAAUUUUCUCCAGAAAAUACCUCCUUUUUUGUAGUUUUUUGUUCCAUUCCCUGAAAUUAAAUCCAGAUACCAAAUAUAAGUAAAUAUUAAUAAUUAAAACAAUAUUUGGCAAGGACAAAGGGGAAAGUAAUAAUAAAAUACUCAACAAUUAACACCCUAUCAAUUCCCCCCACACCUGAAUCAUGUUUGCCCUCAAGCAUGAGAACAGCAUUUGAAUACCAAAAUUUUGACAAUGGCUAUCGCUCCAACUACCGUAUUGCCAAGAUACCCCGAAAAACAUAUAUCAAGCAUUACAGGUUAAGAUCAAAGAAAAACCACAUUACUUAAAUGUAGAAGAGUCAAGUAAGAAGUUUAUACUGGAAAAAUCGUUCAAAAUGUUAUUCACAUUUUGCAAAAUAACUUUUUUCGUUCUUUAUUUUUAAAAGUAUAAGUUUACGUUUCUUACAAAUUUACAUCGAUUAAAUUUAGUCCCUAUCUAGAUUUGUGACUAGUUUUUGGCCGAAAUUCAUCACAUGCCUUACAUAUGAUCAUUUUUUUAAGGGAAUAGUCAUCAAAUUAAAAUUUACAUAAUUCAAUCCAUAGUCCUUUACAUUUUACAAAAUAAUUUUUUUGUCCCUCACAUUUCACAAAAUAAAUUGUUUCAUCCCUCACAUUUUAUAAAAUAAAUGUUUUUAUCCCUCAUUCAUCAUGUGUAUGAAUAGUUUUUUUUAAAUCCAUGUAUAUAUCUUUUUUAUUUCAUCCAAAUAGUAUGAAUAAUAUAUAAUAUAUUUCUAUUUGAUUUUUCAUGAACGUAUAUAUAUAUGGGUUUAAAAAAAAUUGUUAGUUUUUUACUCAUGUUCAUUUUCCUUUGCUCGAAAAUUGAAAACAAAGAAGACAUUUAAUCUUAAACAUUAUUGAGUGUUUAUGUCGAAUUAAAUUUGGACCAAAAAAUAAACAAAAGAAAAGUAUAACAAAAAGAAGUAAGUGAUUAGCACUUUUAAAUUUUAAAACAAUCACAAGGUAAAUAAUUUAACUAUUGAUUUUUCCAUCAAGAGCUCCCUUUCUCUAUUACCCUAAAUUCCAUCAAGAACAGAUUUUUCCAUAUCUGUUAGAAUAUUCCUAGUUUUUAAGAAUACAAUACCCUAUAAGUAUACAAUUUAGGGCAUACCCUUUCAGUGCAUCAGUGAAAAUUUUUACUUCGUCUAUAGUGCCAUAGGAAUCGUACGUGUCAUCAAUUACUGUAACCAAGACUGUUACCUUUGCCAAUUAUAAGUUGAUCCGGCCAAGAGAGUACUGUAGUUUGAAAAACAUGGCUAGAGAAAAAAAGUAGCUCUCAUCAAUUCUUCCUCUAGAACGAGGAAAUUUUGAUUCGAUUUCCAAGUCUUUUCCCCACCUGUCACAUAAAUCAUGUGCAAAUGUAUCUUAUUAACUGGUACGACAAAGAAACCAUCCUAUUCUCUUUACACAGAAAUGAAGUAGAUCGGUCAUCGAGAAGAAAAACAAUAGAUCAUUUAAACAUUUGGUUCAUGCAAGGGAAACAAUACAGUUACACAGUGGAGGUUAUCAUUUGCGCAUUCAUAUAUUAGUAUUAGUUCAUGCAGGGAAAGGCUGAGGAUUAUAACUAUUUUCUCCCUUCUGGGACACUAGAUGAUCAAGUUUAUUGAUUGUGCAAGGAAUUGAUCAAUGGACGUUUUAAUUGAACCGACCAGAGUCGGAUUCUUAUGCAGACUCCAAGGUGUUAUAGUAAUGCUAAAACAUCAAAUCCUGGAAAAGUGAAAAAUAAAAAUUCAAACUUUUACCAAGUUGAUGAGCGGGAGUCUCGUGGGCUAAUGCUCAAAUCUGGGAAAAGCGAAAAUCCUGGCUAAAGAAGAUUAUAGAAACAGAGUUAAUUUUAAGAUUACAAACCAAAUGUAAGAUUUUGAAAAAAAAUAUUUUUUUUGGUAAAAAGAAUUAUUGUAUUUCAAUAUUUAUAUUAAUAGUAGCAAUUACAUCAAAUAUGAUACAGAUACAUAAACUUGUCAAUCAAUUGAUAUAAUAGAUCUAAAAAAAAGGACUAGUUCCACUUUGCACUCUCAAACUUUACCAGUUUUCCACUUUGCACCUUAAACUCAAAAUUUGAACACUCUACAUCUCAAACUCUUAAUUUUGAGCACAUUGCACCCUAAACUCUAAAUUUUUUUUUUUAUUUAAGUCCAGUCAAUGAUAAUUUUAGCAAAAUUAAUUAUAUAGAGAACCUUACAAAUCAAUGAUAAUUUGCAACAAGUGAUAAAAAUGAGCAAAGAUGUUGCAACUAUAGCAAAAUGAUACAUUUUCACUAAUUUACUCUAUUUUUAUAUUGUUAAUUUUGCUAACAAUAUGAGUAAUUCCGAACAUACAAAAUCAAUGACAAUGUGUUGAAAAUAGUAAAAAAGAGUCAAGGGAUCAUAUAUAGAAUAACAUGAUAUAGUCAUUAAUUUGCAUAGUCCUUUAUCUUAUUAAUUUUGCUAAUGUUGUCAUUAAUUGGACUUAAAUGGGACAAACUUAAGAUUUUAGAGUCCAAAGUAUCAAGAAUUAAGAGUUUAAGGUGUAAAAUAUUCAAAAUUGAAGUUUAAGGUGUAAUGUGAGAAAGUGAUACAAUUUGGGAAUACAGAGUGGAGUUAAGCCCCAAAAAAAUUACUUGAUCAUGAUAUUGAAACUCCAAGGGUAUCUUCCGUUAUGAAUAUCUCCCAACAAAUUUAUAGAUAUGUCUUUUAAUAGUUACAUCUAAUAAAAACUCUUUCAAACUCAAAGAAAGAAGUUUGGAUCUAACUUUUAGAAUUGAUUUCUAAAAUUUACCAAAUCUUUAAUCUCAGCCACCGAACAAAAGGACCAAAAAAAGUGAAAAAAAAAAAACCAAUCUCGCAAGGAUAUCCCAGGAGAAUUUUGAAAACUCAAGAAGAAUUGGCAUUUCGAUCAGAAAAUUCUACGGAAGUAUUCAAUCUAGCUCUCAUCAGAUUUUAUCAGCACCGUUUUAGCUUUAUCACAUAGUUCCGUCUUAAAUUGUCAAGAUAAUUUACAGAAAACCCUAGAUUUGUGCUCAUGAAGCAAAUUACCUACAUCAUUAACUGGCAAAGUUCUUGCUUGUGCAACAUUUGCAAUAUAUUUCAAUCCAAUUCGGCGAACCUCAAAAGUAAACUGUUAUUUGAUUCAUCUUCGUUGUAAAUAGAAAUGUAAUGGCGAGCAGCUAUCUUUGAAUGUCCUUGCGAAGCGCUUGUUGGAGGCGUGAUUUGCUUCUUAUGCAAUAGUAGGACUUGCGUGUAGCAGCCUGCAUUUUAAGUGUAAAGUUGCGUUAAAAAAAAAAAAAAAAUUAAAUCAACAUUAAAAAUAAAAGAAUUUCAAAUUUGAACAAAAUUAAAAGCGUUAAUUACAUUAACCUCCCUCGUAGUUUAGCUGAACUACAAACCAACCCUUAAAAUUUGGCCAAAUAACAUCUGACCCCCUAUUACUAACACCAUCAGAACACCAUAGAGGGAAAGCAUAAAAUGACACAUGCCAUCCAGCUGAAAUAGUUGAAUGAAAGUAAUUUCAAAAGUUGCAGAGCAAUUCCAGUGAAGAAUAAAAUAGUAAGUGCAACAAAUGAAAUUUCUCAACUGCCAAGGAUCUCGAAAGAAAACAGCAAGAGAUAAAGGACGAGUUUCCAUUCCUGUCCAAGUUCUCAUAAUAUCAUAUGCCGAUGUGCUGCGGCUGAGGACUGCCACAUUUCUUUCUUCUUUUUCUCAAACCUUGAUUUUAUCUCCCUGUACUAAUUUUUCUACAACUUUUACAAAUCCACUUGAUACGCCGCCAUGUCUAUCGUCUUUUCUCCACCCUUGGCUGUUAUCUCUUCCAGCGAAGUUACACAUGUCAAACCAAAUUCAUGGGUUAGGAAAGGAAAAAAAACCCAUACAGUAUCAAACCCGUCAACAAGCGGGAGUGUUUUUUGGCUUUUAAACCUAAAAGUGAGGCAUAAACAAGUGGUUUAUCCAAAAUAACACAAAUUUAUAUGUUUAUGAUGACAAAAGGGACAUAUCCACCGAUUCCUUCUUGAAAUUCCUAGGCUUCAACAUGCCAUGACUGGAGUCAGUCACUUUGGUGCUUACGAUUUAAUUACGGCAGAGUCAAUAUCAAGAGCUGGCUUUUCUUCUUCUUCUUCUUUUUUUUUUGAUAAAAUGGUUGACUUUUUUUUGUGUUAGAUUUUGCUGCUAUAAGUUUAUUUUGAGAUUCAGUGAAGUGUGUUUAUUCUGAGUUUGUAGGAUGGAUCACAAUUUAAUUUUGUAGAGUCAAUAUCAAGAGCUUGCUUUUCAUUCAACUCGAUAAAAUGAAUGGUUUUUUUUUUUUCUAUUUUUUGUAAGAUUUUGCUGCUAAAAGUUUAUUUUGAAUUUAGUGAAGUGUGUUCUCUCUAAUUUUGUGGGAUGGAGAAAUAAUUUACUGAUGGUUGUAAAUUUGAAUCGAGACACUGGUUGUUGCAUCCAUUUGAGCACUAUUUUAACCAUCUUGUAGUCGUGGGCUAAAAAAAUUUUCUUUUAGCCCAAAAUAGUGUACAGAAUUUUGAUAAAUUUGGAGUUGAAUGUAAUUAGGAAGAUCAUGGUUGCAGACGGUACUCUUACAGUGAUGGUUGGAGGAAUUGUAAAGGGGGAAAAUUAGACUUGCCUUUAGGAAGAGUGGAUGUUUGAGAUGAAUUGAAUGAAAUUGGGAAAGAUCAAAGAUUGAUCAAGAAAUUCAUUGGCUCUAGGCGAUGGCUUCUGACUUACACAUAAUACAUCGAUUGUUCCUUUUUUUUUUUUUUCAAAUAUAAAGUAGAUGAUAUAUAAAUAGAAUUUUAGCCAUUGUUGAAUUACCAUUAAUAUUUGUCAUUUGUUCCUAUUUGUAUAAUGUUUUUCUAACCUUCGCUGUUGUAAAGAAACUAAAAUUUUGUUUGUUUAAGAAUCUUACAUAAGUAAAAUUAAUAUUUUCUAAGGUAAUAUUUGAACUUAUAGUUAUCAUAUUAUAAGAACCUAGAGUUGAUUUAUCGUGACAAACCUUUUAAUUAAAUUAGAGUUAGUCUAAUGUAGGACACUUUUUUAUGAAGAAGUUAAAGAAAAUUAACAACAUAACUAACUAUUAAUAUGUUUCGGUCAAACUGAUAGUGUUUUAGUUUAAAACUAAAACUCUAUUGUAAUUUUUUGGAGAGCUUUGGGGAGCGGCUGCCCCUGCCCAUCCCCCUUGUGUCCGUCAUUGCGUUGAAGCAUUAUCUUUAUUAGUUUCUCAUUUGUUUUUUUUUUUCUUUUGAUUGGUUCACACGGAGAAAUAAAAGAUUGAGGAUUAAUCCGAAGCCUACUUGGUUAUCCGACAAAUCAGCCUAAUACGGACAUUUUUUGGGUCUUCUAGACAUUUGAGGCUGUUUAAGCAAAUACUCCUACUUUAAAGCUCACUCCAGCUUCUCUUGCCGGUCACAGCUUUGCUUAUACUUCAAACCAAAGCAAACAUUUUUUUAGGAAUUGCUUCGUGUUGCAAAUAGCAGCAAGCGCAGUACUAUGAUGUCGAUCUGUAGACAAACAUGAGUCAUGCUUUUCCUCAUAAAAUCUUGGAGCAAAUCAAAUUUUGAGACUUGACUAAGCGUAUCUGUUAAGUCUCACUCAACUCUUCUUCCUUUCGCGCUUGGCCUUUCGAAUUUUUCCACAGAGAAGAAAGAUAUGGAAACUUUCCCUUUUGGCUUCUGGCUAUUGCUAUAAAUGACUUAUCAUCGUCUUUUGAUUUAUCAUUCGUCAACCUCUAAAAUCAAAGAGCUGAAAAAAUGGCUUCUUUCUUCAUUUACACUAUUUCCAUCUCUUACCUUCUAAUUAUGCUUCCAAUGUUUAUCUGUAUCUCCGACCAAGCUUUCUCAGAGGAUAUUUCUGAAGCUAUAGCAAUGAAAAGAAUGAUGAAAACAAGCCACCUGCACUUUUACUUCCAUGACAUUGUUAGUGGUAAAAACCCUUCGGCCAUGAAAGUUAUUGGGACAGAAAUUAUGAGUUUUGGCACAACUUUCAUCAUAGAUGAUGCAUUGACUCAAGGUCAAGAGCCAACAUCGAAAAUUGUAGGCAGAGCUCAGGGGAUGUACGCCGUUGCAGCACAGAAUGACCUUGCAUUGCUAAUGGUGAUUAACUAUUCAUUUACAGAUGGGAAAUUCAAUGGAAGUAGCAUCAGCAUUCUUGGGAGGAAUCAUGUUUUUGAUGAUAUCAGAGAAAUGCCCAUUGUUGGAGGCACGGGACUGUUUCGAUUCGCUCGUGGAUAUGCAUUGGCACAUACAAUUUGGUUUGAUAUCAAGACAGGAGAUGCAACUGUAGAGUAUAAUGUGUUUGUUCAACACUUCUAAUUCUAUAGAAAAUUAAGUAGCAUGAUUGAUCAAGGCACGCAGUUAUCUGUCAAUUUUUGAUAGAUAGAUUUGGUUUAAGCUAUCUUGUUAAGUUAAUGUUUUCCGUCUAUUUUGUUCAUUUUAUUAGUUCUUCUGGACCAAACUGGCUAAUAUUAGGGCAGCAGAGGAAUGGAGUUCUUUCCUUUCUUCUUCUUCGUAGUGCUUGUUAAACAAUAUUUUCUUUUCAAAGUUUGAGGCAAUACAUGUCAAGUAUGUAAUUCUUGAUUUUGCUCAUUUCUUGAAACUAAGACACAGCAAAUUUGAAAAUUCUUCUCAACAAAUCUUCUCUUCAUUAACUGCAUGUAGUUUUAAAUUUUUGGGAACAAAAUUGACUAUAUUUUGAAUGUUGAAACUAAAGGUAUGAAUUAGUCAAUUCAUUUUAUUAGAACAAAGCCUAUGUCAGUACCAAAUACUCCUUCAAAGAAUAAAAUUUAAAUCAUGUUAGUCUGUCUGUUAGAGAAAAGAAGCUAUGUAUUAGCCACCUUGAUCCCCUUGAGACUUCAAUAGGUACUUGCUGUGUGACUCUUGCAUAUGUUAUGAAAAAGUUGACAUGCCUAGCAUGUCAAUGGGUUAAGUUUCUCGUCAAAGUCAAUUCAGAUCGAUCAUUAUUGUUUUUAUGGGUCUGGGUAUUAACUUUCAAACUCAAACUUAGACCUAUAAGAGAAUUAUAGAUUUGAAUAGGUCAAUAAUCCAAACCAGAAUUAGAUCCAUAUCAAGAUCCUAUCCACACCUGCUUAUGCUCAAAUUUGUAAUUACAAUGGCUUUCACCUACCUCUUGAUUAGUCAAACCCCCAGUAAUUAUAUUUUGUUGUAUAAUAAAUCUGGUAUAACAACUUUCCAUAAUGUUUUAUCUAUACAAGAUAUUUUUCUCUAAAGUAGCUCGGUACCACUAAUAUUUUUUUUGAUAAGUGAGAGGUUUUGAAUUCAGAAAUUCCUACUUGUACUUCCUUCAACCUUACCACCCAAUCAAACACUCCCCUUAUUAAUAUUUUAAUUUUGUUUGAAUGGAUAUCAACAAUUAAUUUCAAUAAGCAAAAUUCAAAUUGCAUAAUAAUGUAUACUUACAUUAAUUUAAAGGAAAAUAGAAAAAAUUGGAGGAGGUUCAAACACAUGUAAAAUAACUUGGAUGUUAAAUGCAGCUGAAACUUUUAAGGAAAUUUAAUUGAUAAAAUUUUAUACUCAGUUAUUAUGAAAGCAAAACCUGUGUCAGCAUUAAAUAUUUCUCCAGUGAAUUUUUUUUUUUUUUUAAUAUAGGCGCCAGUGAACAAGUUCUUAAUCAUGUUAGCUCCGCAAACUAAGAGAAGCAAUAUGAUGAAAGCUUUUUAAUUUUAUGUGCCAUCUUGAUCCCUUUCACGCUUCAAUAUGCAACUGACAUAUGGUAAUCGCUUAUUACUUGAUGUAAAAGUUAAAACUAAACAGACGGUAAUUGAUUAUUACUUGAUGUUGAAGUUAAAAUUAGCUUUCACUCCAACAUUCAAGUAACUUUUUUUACUUUCUAACGAUUCGCAAGUUAAACGUUAUCAGGAAGACCAACGUGGCUAUGCCAUGAAGUUAUGGAGUUUCAGGACAAUUUAUUACAAGUGUUCAUGUCGACCAAAGAUCCUCCGGUGGCGUGAAGUAAAAGCCCUCACCCACUAAAGCAAGAAAACUUAGAUUGAGGCACGUGACAAAAACACAUUGAUUGGGCUUAAUAAAAGAUGUGGAUUGGGGCCCCAGGACGUAAGGCCCAUGCUCAUAUACAAAUAGGCUUCUGAAGAUCGCCAACUGUCACAUAUUGCCGAGUGCCAACCAAGACUGGUAAGAUCACGGUUCUAUUUUAGAACAAGAAUCGCCCCUCGUAUAAGCAGUGCCAGUUUUAAUUCUGGAAUUGCUAAUUACGGAUUCAGUUACAAUUUCUGCUUCACUUCCUUCUGAUUACAUUUAAGAUUAUCAAAGUGAUUGUAGAAAGAAAAGACAAUGAAAUUGCGCUUUGUUCCAAUAGUGCAAGAAUUUCGAAGGAAUUUUGUGCGAGUUCCGAGAAUACCCUGCUUCAGUUUCCAUAUAUUGUGUGGCAUCAUAGUUCCACGAACUUGUCCAUGUAACUGUUGAACUGAGUCAGGAGUUCAAAAUGAUCAACCUAAAUUACCAAGUUAACUCACAGGUCUAGCAUUAUACACUAAUCCCUGUGGGAUUGGAGUUCAAAUUCUGAAGAUAGCCCCGUACGUUUGACACCAAAUUCACCAUUCCACUUGACUCCUUCCCCCCCCCCCCCAGCAUGCAGAGACCACGAGAUUUACUCCUUUUGCAUAGUCGAAGCUAAAAUACCAUUGAAUCCCAAACUCAUCCGGUGCAGAAAUCACAUGAGGUUUGGUUUGACACCAUUUGUAGUACCCGAACUCAUGGGUUAGCCCAAACAACUUUUAAGUAAAACCAAGACUUCAAAAUGAUGAACCAUAUUAAUAAGUAAUCCACGGGCUCAACGUUAUGUACUCAUCACAAUAAUGAAGCAGUGACAAGAUAUGUAGGACUCAAGCUUUGGCAUUGUUCCCAAACAGCUUUUGGGAAAGUAUCAUGCACUAGUGUUGUUUGCAUUUAAUGUGAGUAGAGCUUACAAAAAAAGUCUAAUACCUAACAAUCCAUUAAACCCGUCCAUUGAUUUUUGACCGCCCAUUGAUUUUAAAGGAUAGGUUGGAUUAUGAAUUUUGUUGAAUUAGGUAAGAACAAUCCAACUUAUUUAUUGGACGGGUUGGAUUUUUUAUUUGGGCAUCCAAUACCCACCUGCUUUAAAAUAAUUCAAAACAAUAAAUACAACAUUCAGUAUACAUCUGCCCAACCACUUGUAUUUAGACAUGUAUUAACAAUUUAUUGAUCAAUAUGUAUUCAAAAUUCUCAUAUAUAUAUAUAUAUAUAUAUAUAUAUAUAUAUAUAUAUAUAUAUAUAUAUAUAUAUAUGUUUUCAAUCAAUUUUUUUAAUUUUUAUUUAAAAGAAAAAAGAAACUUGAAAUGAACACUCAUGCUUAUUUUACUUUUAUAAUAAUAAUUAAACUUGCUCAACAUCUAUAAUAAUUUAUUAUACCUUUUAAAAGUAUGUUGUGUUCCUCCCUUUUCUUCUUUCUGUUUAUUUAUUGUUGUUCUCCAAUUGCUACUUAUUUCUGUUGUUAAUAUUUUGUAUACCUAGAAUAGAAUUUUGAAUUUGUUCUAAUUGCAUUCUUUUACUUUUCUCUAACUUGUUUUAUUUCAUUGUUAAUAAUUCCUCAUCAAUAUUAUAAUACAAUAAAUUAUAUGUCUCUUAAUUACAUUUUCGAGCAUAAUAUAAUCUAGUAUUUAAUAAUUUAAAUACAGAAAAUAUUACAACUUACAAUAGAGCAUAUAUGAGUAGUAAAAGUGUUAAAUAAGUUGUGACAAAAAUAAAUUUCAAUCAAUUAGUUAUAUUAAAAGUAUAAAGUAAACAAAUUUUUGUAGUUAAUCUACUUAAAUGUACAAUUUAUUAUCUAAGAUUUGCAAUACAAGCAACAUAAAAUAUUAUUCUAUUUAUGAUAUGUUUCCAAGGAGUUUAAGAAGUGAGUGCGAGUUUGUGUGGGGGAAAAUGUGUUAGUGUGUGAAUGUAUGUGAAGAUGGGUUUAUGUAUGUGAAAAAAAUCUUUUUGUGUGUGUAAAUGUAUAAGAGAGAAUAAAUUAAUUAUCAAAAUCAAGUCAAGGAAAUAAUCUUGGCAACGGUUCACUCAAUUGAUCACUGAUACUAAAAAUAACUCAUAUAUUCACAAAUAAAUUGGUUAUAGCAAUUCAACAACCGUUGAACCACCAAUCUCUCCUUAAUUUCUUGGUAGUCAAUAGACACUCAUUAAUUACUUCGCUUGUAAAGUAGAUAAUCCUAAAGAUGCUCAUAGAAUUUAAUCUAUUCACAACCUUAAAUAUUAGAAAGACCUAAUUCUAGUUAACAAAUACACAUGCAGGUUUAUUUAAACUAGAUUAAUUAUUCCUUAGAGUGUCAAACUGACUCAUUAAAAGAAGUAAGAUCGGUAACUCAUGGAGUUAAGAGGUGACGGGCCUCAAAUAUGUGCUCAAGUUUAAAUCUAAAAUACACCUAUUUACUGCAAGUAUAUAUGUUAAAUUUAUAGAGCAGGGCGAAUAGGGUUGAUCCCAUGAGAAGUGCCUAAUCAAGUACGAGGUCCUUCGCUUACUUUAUAAUCUAGACUAAUAUCAAUUAAAAGCAAUAACAAGAAACUAAUUCACUAAUUAAUAUUUCAAACUACUAACUUGUAGAGAAAGACAAAUGAAGAAAGUACACUAAGUACUAAGGUUCUACGGUUUAGAUUCCACUAAUAGUCCAAAAAGGCAAGCGAAUAAAUUUAACCCUUUAAAAUACACCUAUUUAAUAAAUAAUGUAAUACUGAGAAAAGAUCACAAGCUCUUCUUAUGGCAUUUGAAUCCUUUCCAAAGCAGAGGAUACACUUUGCAAGGAGCAGGGGAAGAGGGUUGGGCAGAAAAAAGGACCCUUUACACAUAAAACUGUAUCAAAUUCAAAAGGAAAAGAAAAAUGAAUCCAUCACUUUAAACAUCAACAAUUAAUACCUCUUGAAUCCCCAUGCCGAAACUGAAAAAAGAGGGUAAUCAUGCCAGCAAAUGAUAAAAUAGCCACUUUCUUCCUUGAUCUUAAAGCCAUCAUAGUUGCAACUCUGCAGCACUCUCAUUGCCUGCUUCAUUCCGUUGUAGCUUAAAUUAAUCUUUCCAAAACCUGCAAACUCUAGCCUAGGAAUCCAUUUGUCAAGUUUCUCAUGCCUUGCCUUUCUUUCAAGUCCUUCACAAGCUAUGAUGCUCUUAAUUUCUUCUCCAAAAAGGAACUUUUCAAUCUUUUGUCGUUCAACUGGUGCCCUGGGAAGGGUAUUCUCUAAGCAAUCAAAAAGUGCUGCAUAAAAUUUCAGUGCUUCAUCGACUCUUUCCAUCAAACCAUGGCAGUUGUGGUUUGAUUCAUGUUCAGUUACUACCAUAAGUUUUGGGGAAAGGCCCCACAGGGCGUUCAGAAAGCUUAAUGUUUUUGGAGGUGGUGAUGAUUGAGAAUCAGGACUGGCACCGUACAAACUCAUCACAUCUCGCUCAAGAAAAUCGCCUAAAGUACGAGGAUUCAUAUGCAAAACUCCAGGCAAAUGAACUGAGCUCGAGUUAUUUGGCACAGAUGGUGAGUUCCUUCGCAUUGUAUCAUCAUCAUAUGCCAAAAGAGAAUGCAGCUGAAGCACAGAACUAAUGGCAACAGCUUCUCCAGACUUUACGCGUAAACUUUCAAUAUCAAGAUUCUCUAAUUUGCUGACCAUUGGGCAAAACUGAAAAGGUAUGUCCAGUUUUUCAGCAGCUUCCUGCAGCCGAACAGCCAUUUGAUCUAAUACCUCUUUCUGUUCAUGAAUUCCUGUAAUUCUAAGGUGAGGGGGCCCUUCUUGCCUUGCUUUUAGUUCCUCGAGAAGAUUAAUCCACUGCGCUGGCUCAAAACAAUGAAGAUCAAUGAUAUGCACAACUUUCUCCCCUUCCAUAGUUUCUAGAAUGGCUUGGUUGGUAAUCACAUAAGAAAGCCUCAAAAAGGGACAAUACUCAAAGAAUAAUUUCUGUGCAAGAAUAAUUUCAGCAGCACAUGUUAGUUUGGUUGAAUUCAGGGCCUUGUGUAAUCCAGGCCUCCAGCCUUUCAGCACGCGAUCAGCAAGUGCUUCUGUGAAGUAAGCAACAAUCCUCUGAACUAUGUCACCAUCAGGAGAUGCAAGAAGUGAAAUCUGCUCAAGUCCACUGCUAGCACUAUCAAGGCUGCCGGCUGCAACACAUCUCGCACAGGCUGUGAGAAAGCCGAAUAGCCACAUUCCUCUCUCAUCAGAUUUCAUCUCCCUCAACAAUGUGUAAGGAGAACCUAUACUUGGUGAAAGUGACAUCAAGAAGAAGAAAAGAGGUGAUGAUCCCUCUUCCUGAGCAAUUCCUGCCACUAAAAGCAUAAUUCAUGUAAAAUUGAGUUAGAAAUACUGUUCUAGGUAUGUAAUGAAUCUAUAGAUCAUAGAACAUGGAAAUGCAACUUAAAUUUUACAAAUGACCUGUUUUUGCCCAACUAGAAUGUAAAAAGAUUGCACUUAGACAACAAUCAACAAUUAAUUUAGUCUCGAUGUUAUUAAUUUUAUCUUCCAACCUUUCCAACUUGUGAAAUGAAAGAAAAUUUUCUUUCAUGGUUCCAGCCAUCGUUGGCUAAAUGGUUAACAGACAGGGCAAAUGGAUAUCACCGAAAUGACCAGUGUACUAGUAACAGAUGCAAAUCAAGAAUAUAUUUCAACUGAUCUGAUUGCUAAUAAAUCCAUGAGAUUUAACAAUGAGUACAGACUAUAGAAUUGAAAUGGGGUGACAGUGAACUUACUAGCUUACUAGCAAGUAAUGACCCUUGAAGGCUGAUGAAAUAUUUCUUGAAAGAAGAGAAAAUUCAGGCAGCAAAAUGGUAACUUUAACAAAAGGCCCACAAAAAUGGACCUAUGACGGGCUUUUAGCAGCUUGCUGGUUUUUGGGAACUGUAGAGGGGCUUUUGUUGCACAAAAAUAAGUCAAAAAUGGUGCUAAAACUAAUUGUCCUGAAGGACUUUACCAUGGCAGCAUUGCAUAUGACAAUUCAAAGGGUAGUCUUUGUCCUCGAGUGGAUUGUUGUCCAUAGAUGGCUUCGAAGAGGAAUAAAGGAAUUUGUGAAUCACAGAGCCCUCUCUUCCUGCUCACUAUGAGUUUGUUUUUGUCACCAUUCCUUCUGGAUGGGAAUAAAAGUUGGCCAAAUUUGGUUUUUAUUCCUAGCAAAACGCAAAUCCAAACAUGUAUUAUCAAAAAUACAACUUUUAUUUUUAGUAAACAGAAGAAUAAUCAACUUUUUUUGUUGCUUAGUGGUUAGUUGGGGAUUGCAAGGUAAGUCGUACAAAUUCCUCCAAAACCAUAAUCUUGUUUUCUUUUCACAAAUGUAGACUAUAAAUUUGGUAUUUUCUUCUUGCGUUAAGGUAAAAGGGACAAGAAGUUUCUGGGAAAAGCCAAAAGUAGUCUACUAGUAAAUUGAGAAUGUAACGUUAGACAUGGAAUUUUGGACGUGAGUGCUUGGAGUUUCCCAAAAUCACAUGCUAAAGGCUCUAAUCCAAGAAAGAAGUCUUACACUAUUGUCUGACCAUAUAGCAUCUAAUCCUUCACAAGUUGAGUAGACUUGCUAAAUAAUUGCGAGACUAUUAAGGGGGGCUAUAAACCAACCUCCUCUCUACCUGGUUUUAUGGGGAGCUAAAUUUUCUUGACACUACGUAGUAUUGCUAAAUAAUUGCGAGAGUAUUAACCAAGCUAAAGCCCUAGAAAUUGAAUAACGAGAUUGAGGAUUGUGAGAUAAAAGAGAAGAAAAAUAAUCACGGACUACUUUUUUACCUUAUGUAUUUGCACUUGAUCAUAUGGUCAUAUUUUGUACCCUUAAUCAUUUUUAAUGGGGUUGGGCUAACGUUAAAAUGGAUUUAAGUAUUAAUUUUCUUCUAAAAGUGAGGUUCAUUGGCAAAAGUGUGUCAAUGCAAAAGGAUUAAUAAUUAUUUGAUUGCAUUCAUGUGGUAAAUUUUAUAUAAUUUAUGUGUACUAAUAAGCGGACAGUCUUCUAAAAUAUCUUUUUUCGUAAUAUUAUCAUUUUCAAUUCUGACUCCUAUCAUCUUUGACCGGUUCAUAAUUAUUGAUUCUAUGUGUAAAAUUUAAGAAUAAUGUGUGAAUCGUUCAUAAACAGGGCAACGUUUCUGGUUUUACUUGAACUUUGCAGAGAGAAAACUUACAUAUUUUCUUUAGCUGAUUGAGAGCUCGAAAUUUGAGCUUAGAGACUUCUUGUUUACAAGUGAAUUUCGUCUAUUGUUUUGAUUGAAAAAAUUCUAGAAUCUGUGAACUAUUGUCGGCAAAGCAUAUAUGAGACUCUAUACAAAGCAAAUUCUAAUAAGUGCAUUUUGGCAUGUAAACAUCAUCCAAUCAAAAGCUAUAUCCCUUCAAGAAAGGACAGUCAACAAACUGUUUACAGUCUUAGCAUUUGCUUAGGCAAACUUGAUAGAAAAAUAAUACAGUUUGUCAGCUCGUUAUCAAAAUUGAGUACUUGUCUCGUUUGUCUUAAGCGGUGGUCGGUCCUAACAAUAUUUUGCUUAGUAUGGGCGUCUUCAACAAGUGACAUUUUGUAGCUUUAUGGGUAUAUUUUUGUGAUAUUUCCAAUGUUUCUCAGUAUAUAAAUCUGGCAUCGUAGAGUCUUGUUCCAGAUUUAGCACAUAGUCGAGAUGAAAUGAUGAUUAGUACAACAAAGCUUAAUAAUCGUUAGAAUAGCUGCUUCAUGUUUUAUUCAUGUGGAAGUUAAUGACCAAAUUAAGUAGUUGUCAAAAAACACAAGAUGCAUUAGAAUCAUAUUUCUAAGAUUGGAAUAAAGAUUGAGUUUUGGUCGUUGUAGGUUUGGCUAAGCCAAAUAGACGAGACGUUCAAUACUAAGUCGGAGUCAAUAUUUCACCUUUCAGAUAGAGAUUUGGCAUAAUAAUGUUCUAGUGAGUUUCGUCACAAUUGGAUGUAUUUUGCUGUGACUUGUUGUAUAGUGUAGUCCUUGUAAAGAGAAUAAUGACAUUAAACAAUUUAACCGCAAAUAUCUAUGAAAUUGUUGAAGAAUCUCCAAAUGCCCAUCAAAUUGUAAUUCAUUGUACUCCAAGAAUGAGAACUGCUGUUUGUUUAAACACUACAACUCAAGCAUAUGUUAUUCCAUAGGUUGAGAUUUAAAAAAAAAAAAAGUUUAUUCUCUGCUUAUAUUUAGAAAAGGUGAUUAGAAUGUCAAUACACACAAAAAAAAAAAAGGGGGGGGGGGGGAGUAAAGGAGAAUCACAAUAUUGGUGGACGAGAACAUUAGAUGGACACUUUAACUAGUAUUCUAGUUAGGAAGAAUUAAAACAACAAAAAAAUUAAGGGCAAAUUACACUUUAUCCCCUGUGGUUUAGUAUUUUUUACAUAAUCCCCCUAUGGUUUCAAAAGCUAUACAUAACCCCCUCAUGAUUUGAAUUAAAGUGUCAAAGUGACAAAAAUAAUCAUUUGUAAUGGAGUCACCUAAAAUGUCAAAAAUACCCUUAUGUAAAGUUGAAAAUUAUUUAUUAACUAAGGGAGGUUAUGUGUAUAUUUUAAAAACUAUAAGGGGGUUAUAUGGCAAAGUAUUAAAUUAUAAGGGAGUUAUAUAGUAAAACAUAAAAUCAUACGGAGUUAGUAUGUCAUAUAUUUAUAAGGGUAAUUUUGGUAUUUUUAAAAGUUCCGUUACGAAUGAUCAUUUCCAUUUUUUUGAUACUUUAAUCCAAACCAUGAGAGGGUUAUAUAUAGCUUUUGAAAUCAUAAGAAGAUUAUAUAGAAAAACACUAAAUCACAAGGGAGUAAAGUAUAAUUUACCCAAAAAUUAAUCGUUAGAGUUGGUGAUUUAGGCAUGAAACCCUUGCGAAAUAAAGCUUAUCAAAUAACUUAUAAUUACAAAAAAAAAAAAAAAAAAAACAUAGCCAGGAUUAUUUGAGCAAAUGAUGUCCACAAGGUUGUCGCAAUUGUACUCAUUCUGUGCGGAUUGGGCCUAUCUUAGUGUGACAACCAACUAAUCCUGACUAGAAUGACGUGAGUAACAAUUAUAACUAAUUAAUAUUUUAGAACAGAAAUUCUUAAUAUAAAAAAGAACGAAAUGUAGAAGAGGAAAACAUUAUUUAAAAAAAAAAACAAUUCAGAAGGUUCAGAACUCUAUUAUUGAGUUUGACUUAGCCAACAGUAUUCUUAUGCUUCAUAUAAAUGUACGCAAAAAUAUCCAAAAGGGGAGCUGCGAAACUUUGAAGGGGAAUCGCUUCAACUGGUUUUGCUUAUGCAAUUGUUUGCUUUGUCUUCUAAACUGGAGAAGUUGCCUCUUGGUGUAUUACAUUUUUUUUUCCACAAAUGAUAAUAGCUUUCUAAAUAUUAACACUUGAUACUACAAGGAUUACUUACAAAAGGAACAUUAGCCCUUUCAUCUAAUCUAUUUGCCUCUAUCAACCAACUUGGGAAGUGACUUUCCCAAUCUAUGUCAUUAACUAGCUUUGAUGCAAAAAGAGCUAGCCUAUAUUUCUUGGUUUAUUACAUGUAUGACAACUUUUGCACGUCUUACAGGAUUAUUCCCUUUUCAGCCAAAAGCUGGGCCCCACUCAGUUAACAUUUACCACCAACCAACUUCCUCCAGAAAAAUUGACCAUCACAUGGAUUGUGGAGUGGGUGGUCAAGGGUUCAAAUUUUAUCUUUCAUCAAUGUGCUAUUGUAUAUGAUUUUUUUUAAAUAAAUAUGGAUGCGUGGUCCACCCGUUUGAUCCAAUGAUAGUUCAAUUCCUGUCGAUUCUCUCAAUUCAGUUGGUCCACCCCUUAGAGUAGGCUCAAGUAGGAUUAGGAAUAAGUUAAACUAGCCUAGAUGUAUCGUUACUCAAAAAAUAAAUAUUUAACAUUUACAACCCAAACUUUAGUUUAAGACACGUUCAAUGAUGGAGCCAGGGGGGCAGAGGGGGGCCAUGACCCCCCCUAAGUUUUGAGAAUUUUAAUUCAUAAUAUGUAAAUAUGUGUGUAAAAUAAAAUUGGCCCCCUCUAAAUUUUUACAAUUUUAGUUUAUAUUAUGAGAGUUGGUAUAUAUAUAUAUAUAUAUAUAUAUAUGAAUUAGUCAUCUUUGAAUGGAAUGGCUUGCAAGCUUUAAUUUGCCAUGAAUGUCCAUAUGCCUAUUGCAUUCAUUGUUUGGCUCAUAGGCUUCAACUUGCUUUAGUUGCAGCUUCUAGAGAAGUAGCUUCUGUUCACCAAUUCUUCUCCAAUUUAGUUUUCAUUAUCAACAUUGUUAUUGCAUCUAGCAAACGUAAUGAUGAAUUAAAGAAGGCUCAAGCAAUUGAAGUUGGUACUAAGAUUGCUAAUGUUGAACUUGAAACUGGAAGGGGUUUAAUCAAAUUGGCACUUUAAAACAAGCUGGAGAUACUUGUUGGGGUUCUCAUUUGGAUUCUAUUUCUAGUUUACUAAAAAUAUUCAAUGCUACUUGUGUACGUAGUUUUAAGUAACAUUGCAGUAGAUGGAGGUUUAUACUUUCAACGUGGAGAUGCAAAUUUUGCUUUGAAUCAGUUGUUAUUCUUUAAGUUUGUUUUCACUUUGCCUCUUAUGAAAGACAUUAUGGAAAUUACUCAUCUUCUUUGUAUGGCAUUGCAAUGUAAAUCUCAAGAUAUUUUGAAUGCAAUGCAUCUUGUCUCAAGCAUAACAAAGCUACUAAAGAAUUUUCGAGAUUCGGGAUGGGAUGAUUUCUUGGUGAAAGUUAAAUUAUUUUGUGAGCAACAUCAAAUUGAUAUCCCAUGUAUAAAUGCUCAAUAUAUUGCAAGACGUGGUAAAUUUCGAAGUCAUCAUGAUGAGAUUAGUGUAGAGCAUUAUUAUCGAGUAGAUAUAUUUCUUGCAACAAUUGAUUAUUAAUUGCAAGAGUUACAUAGCAGGUUUAAUGAUCAUACCGUGGAAUUGCUUGUUUUGAGCACUGCUUUAGAUCCUAGAAAUGGAUUUAUGCUAUUCAAGAUUGGUGAUAUUUGUAAACUUGCAGAGAAGUUCUAUCCGAAUGAUUUUAUGGAGCAAGAACUAGUACGUCUAAGAAUAGAACUUCAACAUUUUGAUCUCGACAUUUCAAAUCAUCCUGAAUUGUAAGAAUUAUUUGGUUUUCAUAAGUUAUGUCAAGGUUUGGUGAAGACAAGAAAAUCGGUGAUAUAUCCUCUUAUUGAUAGAUUGAUUAGACUUGUUCUUAAACUUCCUGUCUCAACUACAACUACAAAGCGGCAUUUUCAAUUAUUAAAAUAAUCAAGACAAAGCUCCAAAACAAGAUGGAAGAUAAUUUCUUGAAUGAUUGUCUAACUGUGUAUAUAGAAAAGGGAGUUGCUAAAAAAUUUAGCAAUGAUUCAAUCAUAGAUGAAUAUAAUUCUAUGAAAGAGCGUAGAGCUCAAUUUGCUUCUAAGAAAAGAUGUUGAAAUUUCAAAAUAUGUUAACAUAACUUUUAUCUUUUUUCAAUUGAAAAUAGUUAUAUUUAUAUUUAUAUUACAUGGUUAUAUAUAUAUAUAUAUAUUGCAUAGGUGACAUAUUGGAGAGCAUCUUCUCAUAAUGUGCAAAUUGGAUGGUUUGUGAUGUUAUAAGAUAUUUAAUCAAAGGUUAUCUUUUUUGUUAAUUUUUGUUAUGACUGUACCGUAUAUUUUUGAAUAGACACACCUUUAUAAUUAAAUUUAAUAUUUGAUAUUUUAGAUGUCAUAUAUUUAAAUAGAAGAAAAUUAUUUUGAACAUAAUAUAUUAAAAUAAUUUUAUUAGGAACAAAUUUUGUCACCCCCCCCCCCCAAAAUCCUAGCUCCGUCGCUGGGCAUGUUACACUUUAAAGAAGGAAUGAAUCUAUGUCAUUAUCAUAAUUCAAAAGUUUAGUGUAUUAAGACAAAGAGUAAGUUUUUUAUACACUAUCAGUAUACUUUUUUUUUUUAACACUUGCAGGUUUAGAUCAUUACUACUUAAGAUGAAUUCAAAUUUAAAAUUCAAAUAAUAUACAUAUGACAUAUAUCCAUAACUUCUAGUCUAAAAAAAUCAGUACACUACUAGUGUAUACAAAUAUAAUUCUAAGAGAAAAAUUUAAUAAAAAAAUGAAUUAAUCUUUUCUACAUUAUCAGUGUAUACACCGAUGGAAUUAGAUAAAUAUCACAUAAUAUGAAUUUGAAUUUAAAUAUCAAAUUUUAUAUAUGUGGCAUGUAUCUAGAAUUAGUAGAUAUACUGUCAAUGCAUAAAAGAUUUAACAAAAAAAAAAUACACAAUUAUUCUUGUAAACCGCAAGGGCAAGUGUUAAACAUAUAGAUCAUUUUUAUUUACAAUCAUUAAAAUUUGGGCUUAGCCUUGCAUGGCCCAAGACAAAUCCAUCACCGGCUAUAAUAUUAGGCCCAAGGGUCUGCUCUAAUAUCAGUGAAAUCCACCCCAUUGACAGCCUUACAAUGUGACUGUUAUUCUAUUGCUUCUGCAUUUUUUAAAGAGAAGAACACCUAGAACAAAAUCAAGAUGGAAGCCCAUUAAGAUUCAAAAAAAAAAAAAAAUUUAUGAGUUUUCUAUAAGCUAAUUUUGUGGAAACUAGGAGUAAAAAUAUUCUAUAAAUAAAAAAUAAAAAAUUGAAAGAGAUAUCAAUUAUUGAAUUAAGAGAAGGAUGAGAAAGAGAGAAAUGAGUUUUGGCGUAGUUAGAUGAAUAUUCAGGUUUUUCUUUUUCUCAUCUUAAAAUUUGAGGGUUUGAACACAAGGGUGACUCUGGGCUUUUAACGAUUUUAAAGAGCUAAACGACAAGUCGACGUAACGGAGGGACAAAAGUGGUACAAAGACUAAUAUUAGGAACGAUGCUACAAAAUACAUUUCAGAACUAUUAGUUCUAGUUUAAUAAGUGCCUGCCUGAUUCUAGUUUGAUUUCAGUUUGAGCCUGAAUCGUGACCAUAUCUUAAUAUAUAGAGGGGUUUAAUUCAUUUAGUGCAUUAGAUCAGACCAUUAACAUAUAUAACUCCAUUCAGCAGCAAGUAAAAAUUUAAUAAACUUUGUCAUCAAAAUUGAGAACUUGUCCCGUUGUCGUAAGAGGUGCUGUCGGUCCUAACAAUAUUUUGCUUAGUCUGGGCGUCUUCGACAACUGAUAUUUUGUAGCUUUUUUUUAUAUAUAAAAGUGACAUUUUGUAGCUUUAUGGGUAUAUUUUUGUGAUAUCUCCAAUGUUUCUUUGUAUUUAAAUCUAGCAUAGUGUAGUCUUAUCCUAGAUUUACCACAUCGUAGAGAAAAAAUUAUGAUUAGUGGGACAAAGCUUAAUAACCAUAAGAAUAGCUGCUCCGUGUUUUAUUGAUGUGGAAGUUAAUAACCAAAUUAAGUAGUGGUAAAAAAUACGUGAUAUCGGGGGAUCAUAUUUGACUAAGGGUCCGUUUCGUUGGACUGAAAAUAUUUUCCUAGAUCGAAGUCAUUUUCCUGAAAAAUCACUUCCUUCUCCAUAAUUUUCUAGUGUUUGGUUAUUAAGUGAAAAUAUUUUCCGAAUUCCUUUUUCAUAAUUUUCCGGUGUUUGGUUUGUCAAUGAAAAUAUUUUCUGAUAUGUUUGUUGAUAUAUUGCAAAUAUUUUUCUACUCUCAAAAUAUUCAUUUCAUUACAAGUUAAUUUUAGUUUCUAUCCAUUAUAAUCAUGUUAUCAUUUUUAUAAAAUAUUUAUUCAUAUUACACCAUGAAUUCUUAAAUUUCCCAACUCGAAUACAGGGCGAAAUUAGGAUAGAUCUAGAUCAAACUAAAAAUAUUGGAUAUUUUGAUAUUUGAAAGAAAAUGAAUUCUUUCGUCUCAAAAUUUAAUUAAUAUUCAUUAUUUAAAUUAAAGUGGCUCUUUCGAUCAUUCAUAGAAAAAAAAGACACUUGUAAUCCUAAAAGAACUAAAUUGUCAAAUCCCACCACCACCACCUAACACAAAUGCAAUCUUUCACAUUAGACUUGAUUAUCACAUAAAACAUAUUAGCAAUUGAAUUAGAAUAGUGUAGGACAGUUUGAUAUUCUUGUAGCAUUGUUUACUUGCCUUAAGUUGCUUCUAAUUAGUAGAAAGGAGAAAGGAAAAUGUCUGGGAUAUUUUUGAGAUGAAUGCAAAUCCGACUGGAGCUGUUGAUUUUAUUCUUGUUGUCUAAUCUUCCAUGGGCUCAAGGGAGAAGAGCAGAUAGGUCGUUAUGUGUUAGAGAGGUUUGAUGUCAUAAUUCAGUACUUCUACAGCAAUACUUUAGUUUGCAGGUUGAGUGUAGAUACUUUUUAUUUAUCAAUUCAAAUUGCUCGACAAAUUAUGUGCAACCAAAGUUGUAAAGAAUUCUAGUGGAACACCCACUGAUAUUGUGACUAAUAUGAUUCUGCUGCCGGUGAUUCUCUAGCACUGGGGGCGGGUUAUCUGGUUAUCGGAAAUUAACUUCAGGAAAGUUGCUGUUGACGUUAUUUUCCACCCGGUGGCGUGAAAACAUUUCCAGCUGAAAUAAUUUUCCAACCUCUUUUGCUUCCAAACAUCAGAAAUUUUGGAAAACUUUUUCAGGAAAAUAUUUUCAGUCCAAACAAACAUACACUAAGGGUCCGUUUGUUUCGGAUGAAAAUAUUUUUCAGGAAAAUAUUUUCCUAAUUUCUCGUGUUUGGUUGCACAAAAGUUAUUGAAAAUAUUUUCCUAUGUAAAAUAUUUUCACUCAGCUUAUGGAAAACAACUUCCCUUCCAAACUUACUGAAGUUGUUUUCCAAAAUGCAUGCAUCCCGCCUGUAGUAUGUUUAAAACUUACUGAAAACAUCUUGUAGUAUAUUCUUUUUUUUUUUUCAAUGUAAACAGGAGGACUCGAAUCCAAGACCUCUUCCUUACACUCCCUCCCCCGUACCACCCAACCCAACCUAACCCUCCCCCUAGUAUAUUCAAAAUAAAAAAAAAACCUUAUCCUGCUCAUCCUAUGCUAAUAAUUAAUUAUGUAUAAUAGGGACAUUCUUUUCUAGAAAAACUUUCAGCAGUGAGAGUGCAAGAUAUAUGUCACAAUAAGCAUUGCAUGUGAUUGAUAUUUGACACUAAAUGGCCAGCAAUUUGUUUAUUGCUUAAGGAGAUAUUUUUUAUUCAUAUAUACAUUUUUUCAAGAUUUUUUAAAGUUAAACAAUGAGAUAAAUUUUCUUAUUUUGUAUGGGAAGAAGUAUGUAGUUAUAAUGUGUAGAAAGUAAAGAUAGAGAUAAAAGUGAAAAUAUUUCAAAAGUUAAACAAACACCAGAAAAAUGAAGUAAGAAAAUAUUUUCAAUAAGCUAACCAAACACUUGAAAAUGAUGAAAGGGAAAUGAUUUUCAUGGAAAAUUACUUCCACGGAAAAUAUUUUUCCAAUGAAAACAUUUUACUUCCAACCAAACAGAGACCUGAGACUCAAAUAAAGAUUGAGUUUUGGCUGUCGUAGGUUUGGCUAUGCCAAAUAGAUGAGACUUUGAAUACUAAAUCAGAGUCAACAAUUUCAUCCUUAAGAUAGAGAUUUGGCAUAACAAUUUUCUAGUGAGUUUCGUCACAAUCGAAUGCUAUUUGCUAUCUUUUGUUGUGUACUGUGGUCCUUGUUAAGAGAAUAUUUAGAUUUAAAAAAUUUAAACCCAAUUAUCUAUAAAAUUGUUGAAGAAUCUCUGAAUACCCAUCAAAUCAUCACUGCAAGCAUGAGAAUUGCUAUUUAUUUUAAACACUACAACUCAAGCAUAUGUUAUUCUAAAGGUUGAGAUUUAAAAAAGAAAAAAGUUUUAUUCUCUGCUUAAAUAUAGAAAAGAUGGCUAGAAUGUCAAUUGACACACACAAACAAAGGGCAGGAUAAAGGAAUACUACAAUAAUGCUAGACCACCUCAUUCGAUGGACACUUCAACUAAUAUUCUAGUUAGGAAGAACUAAAUAAAAUAAAAAAAAAACAAACAAUCCUGAGAGUGGCUGGUUAUGCUGGUAACGAAGAAGUGCCAAAUAUGCAUCUAAGCAAAAAUGACUCUGUUAUCUUUAUCCUAAUUAAGGCUGAAAGGCAUGCCAGUUUGCUUGUACUUGUGCUUUUGGAUGCACAUGAAUUGAAAGAUUUUCUUUAAAAAGGUAGUCGUAAAUAUUUUAUUACUUUGAUUGUUUAAAUUUGUUCAUGUUUGUGUUACGAAGUCAAAGGAUGAAUCGUUAGCAUGUUCAAAAAUCUUAUAAAUCACUUCUUGAAAAUCAAUUGGAUAAGAAUAAUUAAAAUAUAGAGAAAUGAUAGGGGAGAUGAAUAUUUUUCGUGUGAGUUAUCUUUAUUUUGUGAAUAAAAUAGAAUUAUACACAAAACAAAGUGCACUAGGCACUUUAUAAUGAAGUGGUUUGGUUGAGAGAAAGAAUAGAAUUUUGGAAAAUAUAGUUAAUUAUGUGUUACAAAGUCCUGAUUGCCAAAAAAUGUAGAGUGAAACUUUUUUAACUUCAUGUUACGUUUAUAACAGAAUUCCUUUAUUUGAAAAAGAAAAACAAAGGUCUCUCCAUAUGAUGUAUAGAAAGUAGGGACGACGGGGUGGGGCGGGGGUGGGGAUGGGGAUGGGGGAAUUUUCCUCCCCCACCCCCAUUUUAACUGGGGUGGGGGGCAGGGGACGAUACCCUUGCCCCAUCCCCCGUCCCGUACCCCACUUCAAUUUAUUAAUAUAAAUAAAUGUAUUAUAUUAUAUAAUCUAAUAAUAAUAAAUUUAUAAUAUUUGGCAACUAAACAUAACAUUUAUCUCAUUUUUAUCCAAAUUCCUGAUUGCUAUUUGGCACAAAUAAGUUACACGUUCUAUGAGUAUUUCCAAAUGUUAUUUAUAUAAUCCAAUUGAGUUUCUUAAUUUUCUUGGUGUUUUAUUUCAACACUUUUCUUGUUUCAUUUUUCUUUUUUCACUUUUUUCAGUUGUGUUUUCUUUUAUUCUUUGAAUUUAGUUUUGAUCUACUGAAUAAAAACUUCUAGAAAAAAAAUCAAAUUAUCACCCAUGGGGAGAAGCGGGGCAGGGGGCGGGGGGAACGGAGGCGGGGAUGUGGAGUUUUUUGGCAAUAGGGCGGGAGAUGAGGGGAGGGAUUCCCUACCCGAAACCCGCCUCGUUGUCAUCCCUAAUAGAAAGGGAGAAAACCAAACCUAAAUUAUCUUAGAGUUUGGAAAUGCACAGCUAGUACAAGGUCCCAGGUAAUAAAAGAACUAAAUUACGACCAAGUGCAUUUAUAGGUUACGAUAAAAAUUUUAAAGCCUAUAGAUUAUUUGACUUUGAUUCUAAUGUGAUUGUAGAGUCAACAAAUGUGCAAUUUUUUAAAUAAGAUUUUCAAAAUUUCAAUACCUACUGCAGAUCGAAAAAUUUUAAAGCCUAUAGAUUGUUUGAUUUUGAUUCUAAUGUGGUUGUAGAGUCAAGAAAUGUGCAACUUUUUAAAUAAGAUCUUCAAAAUUUCAAUAUCUACUGCGGAUCGAAAUAAUGAUCAAGAGCCACUCCAAGAUAUUGGUCCUUCCUAAAAUAAUAAAAGGAAGGUGGAUGACACCCCUAUUGAACCCAGGGUAAGUUAAGGACAAAUAAAUGAAAAGUAUCCUUUUUUAUUUUAGAUUUCAUAUCUUUACAAGCAAUUAUCUUUUUGAUUGAAAGCCAUAACGAAUCUCUAUAUAAUAAGAUACCAAUCUUAUUGAACGUAGAAGAAGAUCCAAAAAUAUUUAAUAAAGUUAUGGCAUUAGGAGAUGCUGGAUCUUGGAGAGAAAUGAUAAUUGAUGAAAUGGACUCAAUAUUAUCUAAGAAUACUUGAGUUUUAAUCGAUUUACUACAAGGUUCAAAACCAAUUAGAUGUAAGUGGGUAUUUAGAAGAAAAAUGCUACAGAUAUAUCAAUUGUGGCCUUUAAAGCUAGAUCAGUGACUAAAGAUUUUAAACAAAAUGAAGGAAUACACUAUUUUGAGACUACACCAAUUGCUAGACUUACACCCUUAAGAGUACUAUUGCCAUUAAUUUCAAUGCAAAAUUUGUUUGUAAAUCAAAUGGACGUAAAAACAACAUUUUUAGGUGGUAUCCAUGAAGAGGUAUAUAUGAAAUGACUAGAAGGUUUUAGUAUGUAUGGAAAUGAAAAGAAAGCAUGCAGAUUGAUUAAAUCAUAUAUAGCUUAAACGAAGCACCUAAUUAAUGGCAUAAGAAUUUUGAAUCCAUAUUACUCUCAAGUGGAUUUAAGUAUAAUUAAUAAUGAUGAUAAGUACAUUUGUUUUAAAUUUACUCAAGGAGUAUGUUAUAAUUAUUUGUCUCUACGAGGAUGACAUGCUCAUUAUUAGAACUAAAAUGAAAGGUGUGAAAGAGACUAAGAAGUGUCUUCCUUCAAAGUUCUAAAUGAAAGGAUUUUGGAGAGAUGGAUACUAUUUUGGGCAUUAAAGUUAGAAAACAUAGUAGGGUUUUUCCUUAUAUUAAUAUCACUAUAUCAACAAAAAAUUGAAUAAGUUUCAACAUUUAAAGGUCAAAGUACUAAGUACCCUCUUUGAUUCUAACUCGAAACUUUAUGAAAAUUCUGGUAGUUUAAUUGCUUAAUUUGGGUAUGCAAGUGCAAUUAAAACCUUGAUAUAUGCCAUGCACCAUACAAGACCAGAUAGACCAAGAAUCUAGGUAUGGGACAUUGGAAUUCCAUUGAGAAAGUUCUUGGUUAUCUUAAUGGACUAAAAUUCUACAACUCUUUUAUAAUAAAUUUUUAGUAGUACUUGAAGAUUACUCUAAUGCUAGUUGCUUUACCAGUGCAAGUGAUAAGUAUUCACUUUGAGUGACAGUGCAAUUUCUUGGACUGUCAGGAAAUAAACUAUAAUUGCUCAUUACAUCAUGGAAGUUGAAUUUGUUGCUUUGGUUGCUGUUAGGGCAGUCAAAAGAGCCCACUAAGCCUAAGCUUAAUUAGAUGAGACGGAGUUUAGACCUUAAUAUUACACCCGAAUUAGAUAAAGCCGUGUUUGGGCCAUGCUAUGCUCAAACUUGAUUAAGGGUAGAGGUGUCAAAAUGGGUGACUUGGGCGGUUUUGGGUUGGGUAAAAUGGGUAAUGGAUAUAAGUGAGCCAACUCAUUUAUACCCAUUUAAUUAGAUGGGUAUAAAUGGGUAAGUCAAAAAAUGAAUUGGGUAACCCAAUUACUCAUUUAUAACCCAUUUAUUUUAAAUUUUUGUAAACUCAUUUAAAUUCAUUUUUGCAAACUAAGUUAUCAAUUUAUACCACUCUUUGUACCCAUCAUUAGUUUUAAAUAUUUACUUAUAAUGAUCAAUAAACUUAAUUACCAAAUUUUUUUCAUUUAUACUCUAUUUCACAAAAUUACCUAUUAUUUAAUAAUUGAAUAAUAAGAAUAUAAAAAUUUGAACUAAGUACUAUAAAAACUUAAUCCAAAAAUUUUGAACCCCUAACAUUUUUGUCAUAUAUAAAUUUAAAAUUUCAUUUUAUAAAGAUAAGAAAAUAGGCUAAAAUUUAUCAUAAAUUGGUAAUGCUAAAAAAUAAGCAAGUUAACAAACUAAGAGAAAAUAAAAUAAUAAGAUAAAACUAACAAAUAAUAAUAAUAAUAAUAAUAAUGAAACAAAAGUAAUUAACAUCAUGACAAAAUGAAAAUUUUGAAAAAAAAAAGGUGGGGGAAAAGAAGAGACUUGGGGGGAAGAGAAUUCUAAAUGGGUUAAUUGAGUUUGAUUGGUUACCUAAUAAUACCCAUUUAUUAAAUGGGUAUUAUUGGGUAACCCAUUUAUACCCAUAUACAAAAAUUUAAGAUACCGAUACCCAUCUAUUCAUGGGCGGGUAUGGGUAAAUUUAGUUAAGUGGGUUGAUUUGCCACCUCUAAUUAAGGGUAAGCCAGUAUAUGAGUGUGUGUGGGAUAUUUGUGUGUGUGUGCGUGCGUGUGUAUAAUUUAUAAUUUAUAAUUUAUGAUUAUACAUAUUAUGACAUAAAAUGAUAAUAAUUUAUAUACAAAUUUAUAGUAAUUUAUAAUUAUAAAAUAUAUAUUAUAUACAAUUAUACAUUUAAUUAUGAGAUUGGUUCGAGUCCAAUUUGAUCCCGAAACUCAUAUAAUAAUAUGUGUUGAACUUGAACCUUUUAAUUAAUUUGAAAUCGAAACUCAAAAAAUCACAUAAUUUAUGAGCCGAAUCUAGGCAUGCCAAAAUCUGUUCAAAAGGCUCAAUUGACACCUCUAGUUGUUGCAUGUAAAGAAGUGAAUUGACUUGAUUUAGGAGUUUAUUACUUGAUAUCAAACUAUGGCCACAACCCAUGCCUAUGGUCUCUUCAUGUUACGAUAGUGAAGCUACUAUGUCUAAAUCCUUGUCAAGAUGUAUAAUUUUAAAUCCAAACAUAUUAGUUUAAGAUACGAGUAUCUUAGAUAAAUGUUAAAAAAUGAUGUCACGACCACUAUAUGUGAAAGAAUAUAUAACAAUUUAGUGGAUGUGUUGAUUAAGUCCUUUACAUGAAACUUAGUGAAUUUGACAUCGUUUGGAAUGAGGUUAAAACCCUUUAUCUAAAAAUCACUAACAAUGAGAACCCCAUCUUUAUUCUAACACUUCUAGCAGAUGAAAAGUUUAAGAGGUAACAUAAUAACUGAUUGUGAGCACCACGACUUGUGUAUACCACUACACCCCACCAGUGCACGUUAUUAUUAAAGGUUGAGUGGAUGCUUAAAUUAUAGGGCAAAUUACAUUUUACCCUCCUAUGAUUUAGUAUUUUUUGUACAUAAUCUUCCUAUGGUUUCAAAAAUUUUAUAUAACCCCCUCAUAAUUUGGACUAAAGUGUCAAAGUGACGAAAAUGAUCAUUCGUAACGGACCCUUUAAAAAUAUCAAAAUUACCCUUGUUUAAAAAUUAAAAUGGUUGAAGUGAUCAAAAUAUAUAAACAUAAUAUACAUAGCACACUAUAUCCGUAUGGUUUUAUGUUUUACCAUAUAGCCUCUUUAUAGUUUAAUGUUUUACCAUAUAACCCCCUUAUAAUUUUCAAAAUAUACAUAUAACCCCCUUGUGGUUAAUAAAUAAUUUUUAACUUUACAUAGGGAUAUUUUUUACAUUUUAGGUGACUUCAUUAUGGAUUACAAAUUCCGUUACUUUGACACUUUAAUUCAAAUUAUAAGGGGGUUAGAUAUAACUUUUGAAACCAUAGGAGAAUUAUGUACAAAACCACUAAACCACAGGAAGGGUGUAAUUUGCCCUAAAUUAUACUCUUAAUGAAAUGUCAAGCCUUUCACGGUUCCAUAUUAUAAAGCUUCAAAUUAGCUUCACCUAGAUGAUCAUAGAAAUGAUACUGCUUCCAGCAAAAGUUUUCAACUUGCUUUCAUACAUGUUCAUAAAUCUAAGAUUGAGUAUAUGGCCAAUAAUACUACUAAAAUUCUUUGUGAAUUAAUCAAAGUUUACCAUGUGUAUGAUACAUCCAGUUUAAUUUAAAAAUUAUAGUUUGAAACUAUAGGCCACCUUGAUUUGGUUAGCUUUAGUGAUAUUUAUACUAAGGGAAAGUUUAAAUUAAAAGAUGCUUUAUUUUAUGCAUCAUAUUGACCGGGUUAGUUUGAUUUUUCAUUUAUUUACUAGGGGAAUAUUAGAUUAGUUUGAAAAUGAAAUGUACAAAUGUGCAAACACACAAAUAUGACUCAAAAUAUACACGUAAAACAUUAAAAGAUUAAUUUUGUAUACACUAAAAGUAUAUACAUUUUUACUUUUGGAUGCGUGACAACAAAUCUAAUUUUCAAUUUAAAAUUUAAAGUUUAUAUAUGUCAUAUAUCUAAUUAUAAUAGUAUAUUUACUAUUAAUAUACACAAGAUUUGCUUAAUAUAUGCAAACGUGAGUUGAUUUGUGAAAUGCAAAACUUGUUUAACUUAGAAAUGGAAAUCCAAUGGACUAACUUCAUCAAAAGGAUCAGACACCAGAUCCUAGCUCCUUCAGCAGGGCCGGAUUGUGUCCAUAAAGUUCCAAAAUCUAGUUUUACAAAUCUGGCCAGGGAACCUCGUGAUUCGACGCAGAAUGCUUGUCGGUCAGAACAAUGAACCGGAUCUAGUCCUAUACCCGAUUCUCAGUGCAUCCGGAUUCGGGGCCGAGCUUCAUCAAGAAAUUUUCUGUUGACUUUUCCCUUUAAACAGUGCUUACUUUGGUAUUAAUAAAUGCUUUUUCAAUGGCUGGCAGGAAGACGACCUUCCAGCAGAAACUGAAUUGUCACAAGUCUCAUUACAAGGAGAAAUCAAGGUUGUUUGGAUUGUUAGUCUUUGGAAAAAAGUGGAAAUAUUCUCUUAAUUCAUCUUUUAACAAAGUUUUUAUAUGAUAAACAUCACAUUCUAAAUUGUGUUAUUAGUGUUUCUAAAUCUCAUCUACGCAAUCCCAACGUUCUUUUAUUGAUGUUCGGCUUGAUAUACAGUUUCAUUGAUCUGCAAUUACGGUUUCGGGGAUGAGUCUAGAUAGACAUAUUAAACAGAAGUCUCAUUGAAAAUAUGUACCCAUGGAUAAAGACACAUGAUGAUUAUAACAGCGCUCUACAAAUCAGAUGGAUCCCCGAUGAUGGUAAGUCACUGGUGUACUUUAACCGGUUUCUGCUUGCUGAUAUUUUAAUUCGAGCGUUCUUCAAAUCAGAUGAUUUGCUGAUUUUGAGUCUGUGUCUGCGAAAUAUAGAAGUAUGGACCAACCACAAGAACCAUUAAACAGGUAAAUUAAGAACAUUCGUUCUAAAUUUAACAAGAGAAAGGAGUUUACAUUAGAUAUGAUCACACUCAAAACAGUGUCUUAGAUAACCAACAGGCAGACAAGCAGAGACAGCACCAGCAAACACACAGGUUACCACCUUUAUACAGAAGAAGAAGAAGACUCCCAGAGAAACCACGGCGGAAUUCCAUGGCCACUUUAUUACAGGGGACUCCCGUGACCCAUCCAUCAUCACACAAGAGUAAAGGAUGGUAGGGAGUGAUGUACUACUAUAACGGCCCCGGACACAGUAAAAAUAUUAAUGGAUGGUGUUUAGUCAUUAUCUCUGCCUGUUUUGUUUAAACAUUUGGGUGGUUCUUAAGGAUCCUUUUUUGGAGUUGAACCCGCAGGUGGCGUUGCAGGCUUUGCAUCAGUCCCAUUUCCUUUGCAAGAUACCAAAAUGUUAAUGGAUCUGUCAUAGCCCACGAUCAAAUAAAAGACGUAUUAAUUCAAUUUCAUGUCCCGAUUUCAAGGUACCAGUACUAGAAACUGGCAAUUAAAUUCAAAUAUUUUGGCAAGACCAGUGACACAUACGUCCUUUUCAGUGGUGGUGCAAUACCAUCCAUGAGAGUUUCAGUGGUGGUGCACAAAGCUGCAGCACCUAGAGCACUGCCACCACUGAAACUCUCAUCGUUGGUGUUGCUAGAUGCACAACCCACGCAGCGACGUACAUCCUGGUUAAUUUAUGAAUGAGUUUGCGAGAAACUUUUCCAAUGGAUCAAACUAAGAUGAAAAUGAAAAUAAUGGAUCGCACACGAGAAAACCGAUCAACACUUUUUGACUCUUUUAAGGUUGAAAUUGAGUUGAGACGAGGAAAAAAAAAAUGAAAUUCAUGCAUGCGUGUCCGAUUGAUUGAAGAAAGAAAACUAACUUACUGGCCACAGCCGCUGCAGCACAUGCAACAAGAACCACAGCCACAGGAUCCUCCACAGUGCGACCCACACGACUGACAUUUUCUAUUUACAGACAACAAGAUUGUAUUAGCUAGAUAAACAUCCCACAUGACGACAUACGUCCUGAUUUACGAGUUCACAAGAAACCCAAAUUCAUGCAUGCGCGUCCGAUUCAUUGAAGAAAAGAAAAGAAACUUGCCCGCCACAGUCAAAGCCACAGUUUCCUCCGCAGCACGACAUUUUCUGUAGAAACAGAUAGGAGUCUGAGAUAAAAGAAGUAAUCAAUGGAAGCUUUGAAUGCAGGACGAGGAACUGGAAUGCACCCAUGACCACAAUUUAUAAGGGAUUAGGUGAUAAAGGGGAUGGACAUGGACCACGAUCUCGUGUGGAAUGGUCAUCCCCUUCGAAUUGGAAGUCCGUCCUCUCCAGCAGCACACCUUUCGACCCCGUAUCUGUCUUUUUCUCUGGUUCCAAUCUGUUCCUAGAAUAUGGGUUUUGGUUUUGUUUCCAAUUUUUGAGUUAAAUUUUGAAGGCGCCUUAAAACAAAUUAGAACUAUUAACAAAGAUGAGAGUAAUUUGUAAUUACAUAAGCAGUAGGGAGGGUGUGUACUUCUGCAGCAAUAACAUAGAGCCUUAAUAAAAAUUAAACCCUUCCUUCAUUGAUCAGUCACUGAUGGUGAUGGAGUAGAAUACAACAGCCCUUUCUCUUUUACAUGGAUUACAACAGUAAAUAAAUGAAUGAGCAAUGAAAUCACUGCCACAAAAUUUUCAAAUAUCGUCGAGCACUCUUGUAUUUGCUUAACAGUAGUGCUGUUAAAUGUCACUCACGAAACAUGUAACAAUUAGAAUUUGGGACAGGUAUGAUUGGCAUUAGGUAAUGUUGAUGGAAUUGUUAUACUUGUCUUCAAGAAUCAGUGUGCUCUUACAGAUGUAUUUGUACUCAAUACAUUAAGUAGAUACACGAACAAAAUUUUUACCCAUAUAAUAAAAUUAUAUUAAUAAAUAUCACAUCAUAAAAAAAGAGUACAAUAAUCACACUAACAAUAUUUAAUGCCAACUACCCAAACCCUAAUAAUUGAACCUAUCUUCUAAGAUGUAAUUUAAAAGUCAUAAUCACUGUUCAUAUAAGUAAGUCGUAGUCUCGACCCUUCUAAAGCUGCUGAUAUGGAUAGAGAAUUAUUUCAAAUAAUUAUUUGAAAUAAUUACUAUAAUACUUUUUAGGAUUAAUUACAUUUACCUCCCCUGAGGUUUGACCAUAUUAUCAAUCAAUCCCUGUAAUUUGUCCAAAUAACGGUCUCACCCUUUGAAUAAUCAAACGUUUAACAAAAACCCCCUUAAUGUCGAAAAUGCCCUUAUUGAGGCCAUGUUGCAUUAAAAAAAGAACAUAUUUUUAUUUUAUUAACCCUGAAACAAUCCAAAAAAAUAGAAAAAAGUUUUUGCUUAUUAUUUUAUAAAAACCAUAUCUUUGCUUUCAUAAAUAGUUUUGAAUCAAUAAUUAUUUUAAAUCUUAAAAAUGAAUAUUAAAAAUUAGAUAAAUUGAAAGAAAAAUUAAAAAAAAAGAAGAAAUUAUUUUAAUUUCUGAAGUAUGGUUCAAAUUGAGGAAAACAUGCCUUAUGCUCUCCGCAACAUGCCUUGAACCACAAAUUCGAACCAUACUUGAGGAUUUAAAAUAAUUGCUUCUUUUUUAUUUUUCUUUCAAUUUAUCUAAUUUUUAAUAUUUAUUUUUAAGAUUUAAAAUAAUUAUUGAUUCAAAACUAUUUAUGGAAGCAAAGAUAUGAUUUUUAUAAAAUAAUAAGCAAAAAUUUUUUUCUAUUUUUUUGGAUUACUUGAAGGUUAAUAAAUAAAAAUAUGUUCUUUUUUUAAUACAAUAUGGCCUCAAAAAGGGCAUUUUCGGUAUUAAGGGGGUUUUUGUUAAACGUUUGAUCAUUCAAAGGGUGAGACCGUUAUUUGGACAAAUUACAGGGAUUGAUUGGUAAUAUAGUCAAACCUCAGGGGAGGUAAAUGUAAUUAACUCUAAUUUUUAUAAUGUGAUGUAUAUCAGAUAAAAAAGUGAUUAAAAAUAUAAAAAAAUAAAUUAAAAAAUAUAUUUAUGAUACAAGAAAAAAAAUUUUUUAAAAAAUUUAUUAUCAAAACAUAAUUUUAAGACCAGUUUGUCCAGCAAGGGAACAUGUAUCUGACGAACUGUACUUCUGUUUUAGUAUAAUGAUGAAUUACCCCUGCAUUUUAGCGAUAGCUUUAACUGUGGCUGGUGGGAGGAUUUCUCUGUUGUUAAAGCUGUUGCAAAUGCAUCAACGCUAGAAACUGUAAUUUUAGUUCCCGCGUGAAUAAAGGCGGAGAAUUUCGACAGCAAAGCAAAUGUAAAUUGUUGGGGGAUGGGAUUUUUUAUUUCUUUUUCUGCGGGCCGGGGAAAGGGGCGGGCUGGAGCUUGGGGGUUGGCAACCGGGGAUCGGAGCCAGGCAUAAUACCAAAUUACCAACGCGGCAAAGGGCAAGACAUGCGGCGGGGUCUGUCAAUCUAAAAAAUUAUCUGUCUAAUUGACAGUGGGGUCUGUCCAAUUUUGAUAGAGUUCACUAAUUCACAUGUUCAUCUUUUGAAAAAGUAAUUUUAAUUAGGGAGAGUAUAUAAAUAUAAAAAAAUAGUUUUAAUUAAGAAAAGCAUAUAAUGUAACAUAAGGUAAUAAUUAUUAAUAUGUGAAUUCAUAUUGUAAAUUAGAUAUAAUCCAAAUGUAUUAGCGAGUACCCAUUGAACACUUGUUAGAAAAACUCUAGAAAGUAUACUGGUUGUUAGUGGUAGGGUUGUAAAGCAAAAAGGAAUUGUAAGGUUGGGCAUGCAUAUGGAAAUAUGGAGAGACGGAUCUAUUUGAAUGGUUUGUUUUUUGGAUGUUCGUCUAGAAUUUUAUUGUAAUUUGCUAUAAAAAUUUUACAAAAACUUUUGUAUAUUUAGAGGUUUAACGACAAAAUGUUGCGUCACGAAGCAUCCAUCUAUCUUUUUAUUUAUUGUAACAGUUAGAAUACAUGAUGUGCCAUGGUAUAAACGUUAUCACCCAAAUUUGAAGUUCAAAGGUAAAGCAAAAAGUACUAGAAAUACAAAUUUUAAUUAUAAGCAAAUAGAAUACAAAUUUUUUUCUUAAUUUCUUACAUUGAAGAAUAGAUGAAAUUCUUACUCUUAAUAUACUUUAAACCAUGUUCAAUUGUAUUAUACAAGGAUAUUGAUUUUGACAAAAUUUUAUAGUAAUCUCAAGAAUAUUUCUUUCCUGGUUUACGGAGUAACUCUAGGAGCUAUUCUUAAAAUAGCAGCUAUUCGUAAAAAAAUUUGAGGAAACUUAGAUUAACAAAGUUGUACCGCAAAUUUACACCCUCAAGGCAGCUUUUCUUUCCUUCUCCCGAGGCAAUCAACUUCUAGUAUCAUUUCUUAAAAUAUUUCAAGCAAUAUUCAAUUCCAGUAUAUGAGAAAAUGCAUUCUUACAAGUUCUAUUUCUAUAUUCAAAACCUCAUAAUGGAAAUUUUAUUCUCAUAAUAGGUUCUAUUUCUAUGUUAAGGCCUCAUUUUCCAAUAUCACAGAAUUAGCUACCAAAACCAUAAGAUUUUCGUUUGUAUAUAUACAUACGUUGUUGUUACCCGAGAGACUGUUACUCUCCAUCUCAAUUUCCCAAAUCCCUGGUAGUACUCAAGGCAAUUAAGAGGUUCGCUUUCUGUUUUUUGGUUCCUCUCGUCCGUCUCAAUACUUCUUCUUGAUGCAUGUAUUAUUCUUUGGUUUCUCGUCCGUCUUCAGAAUUAAAUAUUAUUGCGUGAUGCAUUAUGUUGUUCCGAAACAGGGAAAAGGCAAUUAUCAAACACCAAAAUAUGUACAUGUUACAUGUGUUAAGAAGAAAAAAAUUAUUAUUAUUAUUAUUAUUAUUUUGCUUAUUUUCAAGUAAUUGUUUGCAUAUCAUAUUUUACUGAAUCUUGGAUAAGUAAUCAUGGUGGGUGAUUGGUAUACAAUUAAUUUUUUUUUAUUAACAGUCAAAAGCAUGAUUAGUUUUUUUUUUCUUGUUUCUCUUGGAUCAGUUGGUGAUAUUUUCGUCAGUGGUGCAAUGGAGUCUUAUGCAGAGGCAGUAAGUGGUACCUUUUUUUUUUUUUGGAAAAAAAAAUUCAAAAUGUAAACACCUAUUUGUAGCUAAUUUAUUACAACAAUGGCAUGGCAGUGUUGUAUCUUGAAAGUGAAUGUCAAUUGUGAGGCGUGUAAGAUGAAGGUGGUCCAAGUGCUGAGUUCUGUUAUUGGUAAUCAUCCAUAUUAGUUCCUUUAACCUUUUAUUCUCCUGUUUUUUUUUUACCUGUUACUUUUCUGGGGAGAAAAGAGAAAGACCGGCCAAAAGGAGUCGUGGUCUAAACAGUAAAAUUUUGAUAAAUUUUGUUUAAGUUAUGGUACUUGUCCACUUGAAUUUGCCAUCGAGAUGAUAUAGUUGCGUAAUAAGUUAUGAGAUUGAGUUCUAUUAUUUAAUGUUUUAGCACCAUGCAUUAUAAUUAUUGAACUAUAAUAUUGUAGAAGGAAAUGGGAAAAAAAUAAAAAUGUUUACAUAUGCUAUGAAUUUGAAAGUUACAAAUUACUCUUAUCCACUAGUUUUAUCAAAUUUAUUAGUUAAUUUGCAAUACGUUAAAUACGUACGUCUUAUAUAUGUCUGUCUGUAUACAUACCUGUACUGUAUUUGUGACGGUAGAAGACCAUGGCUUGGCUUCUUGUAGCUUCAACAUUAGCCCUUCUUGCCUUUCUGGCCCGCCUUAUGGCUUUGUUUGGCAGGUAAGUUUUUUGCCAAGUUUGUCUGUUACAAGUUUUUUAAUAAUAUUAACUACAGUAAUUUCAAAAACUUCUCAAAAUUUUUAACUAUACAUUUCAAAAUAUUUAAAAAUUUACAUAUUUCAAAAAAAUUUGCUACAGCUUCUACAGUAAACUAUAAUAAAGUUUUAGAUAAACAUAAAAAAAAUUCACUUGCCAAACGGGGCCUUAUGUUGCUAGGAGAUGGUAACUAAAAGAAAAUUUAGAAGUCUCCCUGACUCUAAAUUGACUAUGAAUUAGUGGAAGAAAACUAAAGAAAUCCCUCCAAUAAAAAUAGGUCGGUUCUCCUUAUAUGCAUGGCAGCAUUGAAAAUUCACGUCCUCUCUCUAUUUUUAACUGAUUGGCAGGUGUGUAUUCAGUAGACGUGGAUGCACAGGAAGGGCUGGCAAAAGUGUACGGGGAGGUGGAUCCAAACAUGCUUCUCAAGGCCUUAGCCAGAACUGGGAAGCAUGCGGAGCUGGCAUGGGUGAAGGUGAAGCAUCCGGAGCUGAACCCGCGCAAUGAUGACUAUCAUAAUUACAGCAACUAUGGCUACGGAAAUUACGAGGAACCCCACAGCUAUAGCAGGUACAGAAGGCCGGGAUGGCAACAGUUCUACCCACCAAGGAGGUCGACAAUGGCAGAUCACCAGAAUCCUUAUAAUUAUUACAAUCACUACCGUCAAGGUUAUGGAUCGUCGUACCGCCCACAUUCGUACCCCUAUGGGGAUUAUACCGCCAAUAACUGCACCAUCAUGUGAUCUAACUUGAUCAUUGUUACCAAAGCUUACUUUUGGUUCCCAAGUAUGAUACUGUGUGGCGAUUAUUUUCUUGAAUUUCUUUAGUUUUGGUUUGAUGACAGACUUGAAAAUACAAUGCUAAUGCUAAAGACCCUAAAGUUUUAUUUGUUAAUGUAUUGCUUGACAUUAUGGGAUCUUAUAAUGUCAUCAAGGUGAUUACACUCAAUCGAUUAUGGGAUCUUUAAUUCUCCAGUGCGUUUCUGAAAUUUAGAAAUUCUCUCUCUCUUUUUUUCUGUCAAAAUUUGUUCUUUCUUCUGUUAUAAUUAAUUAAUUAUACUAUAUAUAUAUAUAUAUAUAGUUUGUUCAACUUUGCAAAUUAGAGAAUGAACAACAUAAAUUUUUUGUUAGAGAAAUUUUAUUUGCUUAAAUUAAAAUUUUUAAAAUACAAAACUAAUUUGGAAUAAAAAAGAAAAGACUAAAAAAGAGAGAAAAUCAGCAUCAUAAAGGGGUAAUUUGUCUCUCCAAGGUUAAAUGAUACAAAUAAAGGUUAUGGGGUAAAGUGAGAAUCAAUAUAUACCUUAAGGGGAUAAAUUAUAAUUAACCCUAAAAAUGUCAUGUAUUUGUUCUAAACUCAAUAUAAAACAUACAACAGCCAAUUUUAUUUUGAUUUACCAUUUGUUAUUCCUGUGGUAAUCAAAAACUUUUCUGAUUUAACUUUAUCAUUUCCUGAGUGCCGCCUGUUAUCAUAUCAAGUUUUUUACUUUGGCCCUGCCUCAUAACAUGAUUUAAAAUUUAAAUUUAAUGGGUUCAAAUCUUAAUAUAUUUAGACGCAUUUGAUAAUAAAAAUAUAACAUUUUAAUUAAUUAAAUGGCACUUAAUUUUCUAAACAAAACUAACUCCAAAAAAUAAGUGAUAACCUAUUCACUUAUUAAUUAAUGUAAAAUAUGCUCAAAUGUGAAGAUUUUAAUGCUUAACAAUUUAGUAAUUUAAUAGAUUUUUAUUUCAUAUUUCAAAUUUCAAAUUUUAGUUUUAUCAAAUGUACAUGAAAUGAAAAGAACCUAUCACUUUUGGCUAUUUAUAAUUAUAAUCUUUAAUCAGACGAUCACUUGUGCGGUCAUAACUAAUACGUGGAAAAUCUCAUUGUAUUUAUAUGUCCUUUAAUUACAAUUGGCCAUCUUUAGUCUAUUUACCCUCUUACUUUGUUUUUGUUACAUCUUAUUGAUAAGUGCAAGUGUCAUAUCUUCAAAGAAACGUGCAAGUGCUAUGAUAGUUAGGGCUGUAAAUAUGUCGUGUCAUUUAGUUUUUGUGUCGUGUCACAAUUAUAUUCAUGUUAAAUGAAUACAAGUUUAUAAAUGGCACAUUAAACUUUUAUAUUAUAUUUGUGUGAUGAUUACUUGGGAUCCUCAAUUACAUUUUUCUAAUGUCAAUCCAAUUUCACCGCUAGAAUUGCGUCAAGUGUCUUGUUAUCAUUAACACUUUAGUUUUUUAAUAACUCAAAUUGGUUCAAGAUUAACACAAGUUUUCUUAUAUAUGAUUUUAUUUUUUAUAUAAUUGUUAAAAUAUCUAAGAGCGUAUAUUCUAGUGACAAAUUACAUAUCUUACCAUUCAAACUCGAAUAAAGCAUGGACUCGAUCUCAAUUUACUUGUCAUUUGACAUAGAGUUCGGUAUCAAAGUCCUUAUAUUUUGCACAAGUCGAGCUCAACUUUCAAAAAUAGAGGUCCAUCAAGCUUGAACUUAGGUAAUGUAUUUCAAACUCAACUCGGAUUAUUACCAGCCCUAAUAGGGAGUUGGAAAAAUGAGAAGGGGUGCAGGGGGAACAUUGAGAGAGAGAGCGAGAAGGGGGGGAGGGAAGGGGAAGAUAGAGAGAGGUUGCAUGAUUGGGUGCACGAGGAGAAAAGUAGAAGGAGAAGGAAGAGAUGCUUUGGAAAAUUUACUCUUCUCCUUCUUCAAUGAUAACAGUGUAUACCAUAGUUAUUAAACCCGGCCGGGGAGGAACCCGGUGAAGGAGGUGGGUCAACGGGUUACUGGUUCAACCGGUGGGUGAGUGGUCCAACCGGUGGGUCACUACAUAUAUUUAAAUAUUAUGUUUUAUAAUUUUUAUGCCAUAAUAAAUAUUCAGUUAGUUUAAUUUAUUAUAGAUUCAUUAAUUUUUAUAAGAAUUAACAACCUAAAUUUAAUUAGUAAUCCACCAAAUUUCAAGUAUAAAAUUUUAUCUAAGUAUAAUUAUCUAGUUUAUUUAUGAAUUUUAAGUGCAAAAGUUUAUUAAGAAUAAUAUUUACCAUUAAAAUGAUUUGUGUAAUAUGUUAUUUUUAAGUCAAUUUCAUAAUUUAUAGAGUUCAGGGAAUAAUAAAAAUGUUAUUAAAAGAUUUCAAAUAAAUUUUGUUUUGGAGAAAUAAAAUAAGAAUAAGAUUGUAAUAUAAAAUAUAAGAACGAAGUAACUAAUAAAUUGUUGGUUGGUCCAACGGUAAUGGUUGUCUUCUUCUUUGCAUGAGGUCGCGUUCAAUUCUCAAUUCCAGCAAUGUUUACAAAUUUUUUUCGACCGGGUUUUUCAUAAAAUCGGCCGGUUCAACCGAGUUAACCGGUUCAACCGCCGGUCCGUUGAAAAGUCAACGGAUUCAAUGCAGAAACGAUCUUGUUAAGAACCCGGCCCGGUUUCAUAGCCGGUUCACCGGGUUGACCGGUUGAACCACCGGGCCGGGCCGGGUUUAAUAACUGUGGUGUAUACACUGUCAAUAUAUAUAUAUAAUUGAUUUUGCAUAUAAAGUCAUUUUUUUAAAAACAACUACAAUGAGGUAGAGUAAAUUUUAAAUGAGCACCUCCUAAACCCACUAUCUAAACAGACACAAGCUCAACAUCAGCACACACAUUUCUGAAGCUUGCAAGUGGGGUUACUUUCUGAGUAAUUUUCACUGGAUUAAUCUUUUCUACACUGACAGUGUAUACACUAUCAGCGUUGGAUGAAUGACAACUAUAUAAAAUUUGAGUUUGAAAUUCAACUUUUGCACACAUGUCAUGAAUCCAACGAUGAUAGUGUAUACACCGUCAGUGUAGGAAAGAUUUACUCAUUUUCAUUUUAUGUAAAACAAGAUAUGGGUUAUAUGAAUAUUUGUAAGCUUUAUGAGAGUGAUGUGAUUAUAUCCAAAUCUUCAAGGAGGUAAAUAACAAUUUUCCCCAUUUUACUGCUUUGCUUUUUCUUUCUUCAAGUAUUCGCACAUCAGGCUUGUAACCAACAGCAAUUGGCAUUAAUGAUGAUGACCCCAAAUUUUCUGCAGAUUUCCCAUUCCAUUCACUUCCACGUUUCUUUUUUGUGUCACUUCGUGAUGACAUUUUGAUUCUAUUUUCUUCUUCUCUUAUCCAGGACAACAUUUUUACAAUAUUUUUGUCCAUGAAUCAAGCUACCAAGCCACGUGUCCGAUUAAUCCUAUCAUCUUUUGACUUUUCACAGCCCAUGUAAUACUGUAAUACAAGAUCAAUGCAUUCUAAGGAGAAGUAAUUAUUUGUAAAAAAUCUGACCAUCAUCAAAUCAUUAAGUGGUUCAACAUUUUCAUUUUAAUUUCUCAAGUAUGAGUGAGACUUUUUAUUAGCAUAUGUAUAAAAGAGUGAAUGGCAUGCCUCAAGAGUGUGUACUGUUGAUGAUGUGGCCAAACAUGAUUGGUUUGAGAGUGUUCGUCCAACUUGUCUUCUCUUCUCUUCUCCAAUUAUAGGUUGUUUUUUUCCCUUCUUCCUUCCGUUGUAUUCUGGUUCGGUUCCCAUUUUGGUUUCUUAUUAUUAUAAUAUAAUAUAAUAUAAGAGAGGACUAUAUAUGACUAUAACUGACACUGGAAGAUUAGUAUAAGAUUGGUGAUGUGAAGAAGAGAGUUCUGAGAGUAGUGGUUAUGGGCCUUAUGGCACAUUAGCAGGUGUGAUAUGUCUUCUUGCACUUGGGAUCAUCGGUGACAUGUUUUCUAUGCCAACUCAAUGCCACCAAUAGUGUUGCGCCAAGUAUCUUGUUAUUAUUUACACUUUAAUUUUCUAAUAAUUCAAUUUGGCUUGUUUAACACAAGUUUAAAUAAUAACAAGACACUUGGCGCAACACUAUUGGUGACAUUGCGUUGGCAUAGAAAACAUGUCACCGAGGAUCCCAAGUGGUCUUCUUGAAUGACAACGGUUAGGUGGUCAUGGAAACUGAAAUGACAAUUUUACCCUGAGUAUUAUGCUAAUAUUGCAGAUUCUGCAUUAGAGGCCCUCUUGCUUUGGAUGGCCUGUUUGUGUAAAAUUGCCUUUCUAAACGCUGUCAAAUGCUGACAAAGAAUGACUUUCUGCUCUUUUCUUCUCUUUUUCCUUUUCACUGUUGCUGAGACUGCUGAACCAAUUCCCGUACAUCCUUCGUCCUCUCAGCGUCAGUUGUCCAUUGGCUUUUGGGAGUCCUGCAUUAUGAUUAGUGUUGUUUGUUUUAGUUUUGCAUGUUGUUCUUCUUCCGUAAACAAUUGGCUAGACUUCUUCCUGUUUGGAAGCUUGCUUGCAUCUCUGCAACUUUCGGCUAACAGCUGGUAGGCAUGGUUUACUGCAUGCUAUGAAUUUUUCAUUGUUCUCUUCCGUUUGCUUUGUUCUAAAUAGAUUCAUGGUUUAUCUCUUUUUUUGCCUUGCUCCUUCUUUUUUACUACGAAUCUAUUCCUUUUUGGAAUCUUUUUCUUUUCCUUACUUACAAGAUCCUCUGCUUUACAUGACUUUUGAAAUAUCUUGUUCUUGUGUAGAUUUUUCUCUGUUCGGAUUCUCCUGUCAGCUCCUCCUUUUUUCAGUACAGGUUUUAGUAUCUUUAUCCUUGUUUUAUUCUUUGACUGCAUUUUCCGAAAUUAUUUGCUCCUCUCCGCUGUACUCUGUCUUAUGUCACAUUUGCUUUUCGCUUGUUUAUCCCUUUUUUUUACAGCAAGAAAUUAUGUCCGCCUUGUUGUUGCUGUUUUAUAUUCGCUGAGGUGUUCCUGCUUCUGUGUUUGGCAGAGGUAGUGUUGCUUCCCUUCUCGUUUUUCUCCCUUGACUUUUUCUUAGCAUGUACCUGCGCUGUUACCUUGUUUACUUUUAGUAUGCGCUGGUGUGUUUUCUUAUAUUAUAUCUUAAUUAAUCAUGUAUCUUUUUUCCCUUUUCCCCGUGUUGCAAGUUUCCCGCUUUGUGGCUUCCUUGGUUAUCCAUGCAGCCUUUAUUAACUCAUUACUGCUGUUUGCUUUCGGUUGCCCAUUCUUUCUCUGACUUUUGCAUUAUUCAGCUGUGUGUUAUUGCGUUAAACGACUUUUAUUGGCUUGUUCCUUGCUGUUAAAUUCCAUCUUGUCAUGCUUACUUAAUACCCUCGGGUUGCUGCUACUCUUUUUAGUAGCUGGAAUUAGAUGGAUAAAAUGCCUUGCGCCGAAAAAAAUACGCAGAAAUGCCGCCUGCCAAGAAAGCAGAAUUUCUGCGCUCUCUAUGUGAAGCUAGAGCUGCGAAGAAAAAACAGAGCCUUUUCCUCUCUCGCGUUCGAAAGAUUCCGCCUACUUCUAUGGAAUCUUCUGUUUGUUUCUCAUAUAGUCACGAUAGACCUUCUGACACUCAUGAUCAAGCUCGUGUGCUUUCUAAUGCACUAGAAAAUGGAGAAUGCUUGGUUCCAGUCGAUAGUGUUAUUACAGAUAACUGGCAGCUGCCCUGCAUUUCUUCUGCUGUACCUAAUUUCUUCGAUGAUCAUGCUUCGUCAUCUUCUUCUUCUAGGAAAAAAACAACUUCCAGUGAUGCUGUAUCCCUUAAUAAAGGUAUUGCUUUUUUAUUAAUUAGUUUAUUGUUCUACUUGGCUUGGCCUUUCCUCCUUCACAUCAUUCCUGCUUCUCUGCCUUCCUAUUUAUUGCUAAGUACUUUGUAUUCCUGUAAAUUAGCUCUCUUUUGUUUGCGCGUUGCUAUACUUCUUUUCAAUAAAUGUCUUCUCCCUAGCCCUUCUCAAAACACUUAGAACCUUCCAAACCUUUCCUGUUCAGAAUCAGACUCUGACCAGUUACAACCUUACUUAAUUAGCAUCUGCGCCUUUUCCUGCCUGUACUUUCCACAAUAGAAAAUUUCAGUUUCAAAAUAUUAACCUGUUGGUGAAAAUAAAACCGUGCAUUACCAAAUGCUUCCAGAUAUUUGGCUUUCCUUUGGUGCAAUCCCUUUCUUAAACGCUCCCUAUUGAGUUCUCUUUAAGCUAUAACUUGCAGGCUAAUUGUUUGCUCCUUCACCUCCUCAACAUUUUUUACUGUGUAUUAACUCUUGGCAUACACAACCCUGCUCAGCUGUGGUGCUCAUCUUGUUGGCUUUUAUUAUCCACAGAACCCUCUUCUUUCCCAAGGAGAGAGUUUAAUCAGCUUGCACCAAAUUAUCCUCGCCAGGCAAGGAAAAAAAAAAGGAACGAUUCCCUUGAUCCAUUGCCUAGCCUUUCUGAGUAUAGCAAGAAGCGUGGUAGUUCUUCCGCCGUGAGAACAGAAAAUGCAGGUUCAGUAUUGUUUCUCAUUUAGCUGUCGCCAUCUUUAGCCUCCGUUAUUGCCUCGUUAUACAGAGCUUUAACUCAACCUGUUUGUCAACCGCAUACAAAAACUUACAGGAAGAAAGCGCAGGCGCGGUCAGCCAAAUCUCUCAAUCAUGAACAAUAUUCCUAAUGUAUCUUUGGUUCUGCCUGAUGCUCCUCCUUGUGACCAUUGUGGAGCCAAGAGAUUCCAUUUGGAACCUCCUACUUUUUGUUGCUCUGGAGGAGAAAUCUCUCUUGUUACUCCUUCUAUGCCUUAUGAUUUGAAGCACUUAUUUAUUGGUCGUGAUGAGGAAAGAUUUCAUUUUAGAAAUAAUGCUCGCACUUACAACAAUAACUUAGGCUUCACAUCAUUUGCUGCUAAAUAUGAUUCUAAAUUAACAAAGAACACAAAAGGUGUUUACACCUUUCACGUUCAAGGUCAGUUUAUCAUUUUCUUAAUGGCCUUCUUCAGUCGGAUGAUAGAGCAUCUGAGAUUCAGCUCUACUUUUUUGACACUGAUGAAGAAUUAGCAAAGAGGAUUGCUGCCUCUGAUAAGUUGCGAGAAAGCACUUUAACACUUCUUAUGCGCAUUCUUAGCGACAAUCCUUAUGCUAAAUUCUUCAAAAAUUUAAGGCAUGUUCCAAACAUUAACAACCUUAGCAUUAUGCUUAAUUGUUAUCCCACACUUGAUCAGCGGGUUUAUAAUUGGCCUUCUGCCUACCAAGUUGCGGCGAUAUGGACUGAAAAUCAAGAUGAAACCGUCAUACGGGAGCUCAUAUUCAAGUUUAUGCGCAUUCAAAUAGCAGCUACAAAAUUAAACAUUACUAUGGCUGCUAUGAUCCAUUACAAUACCCUCUUCUUUUCCCGCGCGGCGAAUGCGGAUGGCACCCUCAUCUAUAUUCCCUUGUUGUAAAGCACAUGAUUCAUGGUCCUUGUGGUGAUCUGGAUAGAACUUGUCCUUGUAUAAAAGAUGGUCGUUGUAAAUAUCACUAUCCUAAGACCUUUUGUGCCCAAACGACUCAUGCUGAAGAUAGUUAUCCGCAAUAUAGAAGAAGAGAUGAUGGUACAAAAAUAAAGGUCCGAAGGCAUACUCUUGAUAACAGAUGGGUUGUCUGUUAUAGUCCCUAUCUGUUAGCUACAUUUGACUGUCACAUUAAUGUAGAAAUUUGCUCGACUGUUAAAUUGGUGAAGUACAUAUAUAAGUAUGUUUUCAAAGGACAUGAUUCAGUCAGUUUUAGGAUUGUUUCGUACCAUGCUCCUGAUGACACUGAUGAGAUAAGAGAAUUUCAGCAAGGUAGAUGGAUUUCGCCCCCUGAGGCAUUUUGGCGUAUCUUUGAAUUUCGCUUGAGCGAAAUAAGUCCAGUAGUCUAUACUCUUCAGAUCCAUCUCCUGGACCAGCAGUUUGUUUCGUUUGACAAAAAUUCAGACCUGUUGCAAUUAUUGAGCAAAGUUGAUUUUUCAAAGACCAUGUUAACUGAAUUUUUUGAUAUGAACAAAACAAAUGUGGUUGCACAUAACCUUAAAUGUCUUUACAGGGAAUUCCCUCAAUACUUCGUUUGGUCUCCUAAAUAUAAGAAAUGGACUGAAAGGAAGUGUCGAAAAGUGAUAGGUAGAAUGGUCACUCUUAGUCCAGCGGAUGGAGAAAGAUACUACGUUAGACUACUUCUGAAUCAUGUUCAUGGCCCGACUUCCUUUGAUCAUAUUUUGACGGUUGCUAAUCAAAAACUGAAUUCUUUUAGAGAAGCUGCUUUAGCAUUAGGACUCUUGCAAUCCGAUACUUACAUAGAGGAUACGUUUCAAGAAGCUAUGACCUUUCAGAUGCCGUCUUCCUUAAGAUUACUAUUUGCUACUUUGCUUGUCCAUUGUUCUCCUGUAAAUCCUCGGCUGCUCUAGGAAAAAUUCCAACAUGAACUAUCUGCAGAUUACCAGCGACAAUGCUCAUUUUCUGUCCUUAGUGCUUUAGAGAUCAGGGCAAGAGUUCUACAGGACAUUAACAGGUCAUUGGAGCAAAUGGGAAAGCGAAUUACUGAUUACCUAUUAGUUUCGCAUGGUUUUGAUUCUUGUCCUCAUGAACGAUUAACAAGGGAAAUUGAAAAUGAAAGAGGUUUACAUGUUACUCCAGACGAUUUGCUAAUGUCUCUCAAGUUAAACUGUGAACAGAAACAUGCUUAUGACCUGAUUCUUGCAGCAUGUUUUUCUGCUGAGGGCCAGGCUUUUUUUAUUGAUGGCCCAGGAGGCAUUGGUAAAACAUUCUUAUACCGAUCGCUACUUGCUGCAUUAAGAUCACAGGGUUACAUUGCCAUUGCUGUUGCCACUUCUGGCAUUGCAGCGUCGAUUCUUCCUGGAGGGAGAACGGCACACUCAAGAUUUAAGAUAUCAUUGGACUUUUCAAAGAAUAAGACCUGUCAACUCAGCAAACAAAGCAGUGUUGCCAAAUUGCUUUUUGAGUGUAAGCUUAUCCUUUGGGAUGAAGCGUCAAUGGCUAAGCGAGAGAUGAUUGAAGCAUAUGACGACUUGCUUAGAGACACAAUGGAUUCUGAUUUGUCUUUUGGAGGGAAGGUUGUCGUUUUUGGUGGAGAUUUUCGCCAAACCUUGCCAGUUAUUGAGCGAGCAACAAAAUAAGUCCUCGUAGAAUCAAGCUUUCCUAAUUCUAUUCUCUGGUCUAAAUUACAUAAGCUGAGACUCACACAGAAUAUGAGAGCCAUGUUAGAUCCUGCUUUCUCUUAGUUCUUACUAAGAAUAGGCGAGGGAAAAGAGCUUGUAGAUGGAAAUGGCGAAAUCACUUUACCGCCUGAUAUAGUUAUUCCUUAUUAUGAUAAGGAACAAUCUUUAAACAGGUCAACAGCUUGCAUACGGUUAUACUUUAUCUAUCUGAUCCCUCUUUUUAUCUCUACCUUUCAUUGAUUAUGGUUAUUUAUAAUUUUAAACAGGUUGCUUGAAAGUGUUUUUCCAGAUUUGCAUCUGUAUUCUAAAGAUUCUUAUACCAUGAUAAAUAGAUGCAUCCUUGCUCCCAAAAAUAGCUCAGUUGAUGAGCUCAACGAGCUAUUAAUAAACAGAUUUCCUGGAAAUCUUCAAGUUUAUAUAAGUUUAGAUCGGACUGUUGAGCAGCGACACCAAGGAGACUAUGAAGAUUUUUUGAAUUCACAGAACCCAAAAGGGCUUCCUCCUCAUAAGUUGCUGCUAAAAGAAAACUGUCCUAUUAUGCUAUUAAGGAAUUUAAAUCCUAGUGAAGGAUUGUGUAAUGGCACAAGAUUAAUAUUUCUGUGGAGAGCUAAGUUUGAAUAUUAUUUCUGCAGAGAUUGUGUUUGGCAGUCAUGCAGGAAAAAGUCUUCAUCCCAAAGAUACCUCUUCAGACAUCUGACAAUGAAAGGAAUGGAAUUCCAUUCAUAAGAACUCAAUUUCCUGCCCGACUUUGUUUUGCGUUAACCAUUAAUAAGUCGCAAGGACAAACUCUGGAUUACAUCGGCCUUUACUUGUGUGAACCCAUUUUCUCACACGGACAGCUGUAUGUCGCACUCUCUAGAGCUAGAACUGCUGCUGAGCUUAAGGUUCUUCUCGUUCCUGGAACGUUUGAUGAGAGAAAGACUGACUGCAAAACUAGGAAUAUUGUCUUUAAUGAGAUUUUUUAUUUAACUCAACAAUAAAGAACCUGUCUACUUUAACUAUACAUUGGAAUGAGGUGCAUAUACAAAUUUUUCUUUCUUUACUCCAAUAUACUAUUACGCUUGCCUUAUUUAUUUGCAUUCAUUUAUCUAUGUUUUUAUCUUGAUGCAGAAUGACUAACUUGCUACCUAUCCAAGACAUUGUCCCUUUCAUGAAGAAUUGGAGUUGCCUCGUCACUGUUCAAGAAAAGCAACAGAUUACUGACUCGAAGGGAACGCCGACAAAAGAACAAAAAUUUAUCUUUUAUGAUGCAGAGGUUAACAGACCUUUGUACUCGCUUUUUUCUAUGCACUUGUUUUACAAGAUAUUUCUGUUUUUUAGCUAAUUGUAAAGCUACCAAUUGUGUGCCUCAGGGAUCAAAAGUUGAAGCAAUAAUCUUCAAUGCUGAUAUUCCUAAAAUGAGUCCACUCUUACGUGUUUAUAAAAUGUACAAGAUCACAAAUGCUGAAGUGAAGCCUAUCCCAGCAAAAUUCCAGACACCUGAGCACUAAAACUGUCAUUGAAGAAAUAAAUGACGUUGAUAAUGAAAUCAUGCCUGUGAAAUUCAACUAUACAAAAUUUACUGAUUUAGUGCAUCACAUGGAUGACAAGAAUAAAUCAGUUGGUACGUCUCUCAGUGAAUUGAUAUUGCUGUGCUUACCAUAUUAUUACCUUCUUUUCCAUUAUGUUGGUUUUGUUUUUACAGAUGUGAUAGGAGUUGUGAUUGCUGCACUGGACAAGAAGACGUUAAACAGAAACUCAAGAGAAUCAAGUGUUCAAAAGUUUGUUCUUCUUGAUGAAGAGUGAGUAUCUUAUUUCUUAUCUUAAUCCUAAAUCUGAAUUAAGUUAUUUCCUGUCUAUUACUUGUAUUAAUAAUGAUUACAGAUCACAGACAGUAUUGCUAUCUUUAUGGGAUGACUUUCUUGCUAAUGAAGGACAACAACUACUGUCUAGCCUUCACAACUAUCCUGUCAUUAUUGCACGGAGAAUUAAAGUGAAUAAUUACAAUGGUACUUUUUCCUUUAAUAUUUUUAUAUUUUUGUUCUGCACACUCUUAUAUAUACCUUUCGCAGAAUCAAGACGCAUGGUAUUAAUGUUUAUUCUUUCUAUAGGAGUUGCAUUAGGUACUUGGUUUGAUUCUGUCAUACUUGUUGAUCCGCCUAUACAGGAAGCAAGAGAGCUAAAGAAUUGGUAUAUUGCACUUCCAAUGCCCUGUUUCUAUCUCACAAAACAGCAACUACAGAUAAUUUUUCGCUUCUUACAUCUUUUCUGCAUUUUUCCCUCGUGCAGGGCGCUUAGAAAUUCUCAAAUAAUUGCAGAUGUUCUUGUUAAAAGAGAUUACAUGAAGUAUAAUCCUACAAUUUCUCUCAGAACUGAUCAAAAAGCUACCUUGAUUUGUAAUGUUAGCCCAUCACAAAAGGUGUUAAAACAAUUUUCCCCAUUUGUUCCCUUGUGCUUGUUUAUAUUGGGGAUAAUUUCAGAAACCUCCCCUGAGGUUUCUGACGCUUUCACUGACAUCCCCUGAGGUUCUCAAAAUUUCACUUACCUCCCUUGAUAAAAAAUUGGGCCCCUUUUCUGACGUCAUCAGGGCCAAAAUUACAGAUAUAUCCCAAGUAGUUGGGGUUAAUUACUACCGUUUAGUUACAUAAUGGCAUCUGAUAUGAUUAAUUAAGCUUAACAACAAUAAUAGAAACUUGAUUCCUGAUACAUGAUUAUUGUAUUAUUUCUUAUGCAAAUAUAACAUUUAAUUAUUUAAAUUUGAUUUUAUUUUUACAAUUUAUAAAAUUUUUAUCACUUAUAUAAUAUUUUUAAAACCCUAAUACAUCUAAAUUUGAUUUUAUUUUUCAAAUUUAUAAGAUUUUUAUUUAAAAAAAUGGGAUACGGAUAAGAUAUCCGGUUGGUUCGAUUUGCAUAGGUGCAUAUGAGAAUAUCCGAAUACUCCUGAAACCCGCAAGCGGGAUUCUGUGUUUUUUCUAUUUCAAGGUUAGCUCGCAUGCGGGUUAAUGUUAUAUUUGAGCGCGAGAAGAAAAAAUUGGUAAUUAGGCUCUUUGGGCAUUAUAAGUAAAUAUUUAAAUUAAUGGCAGUUUUAUUACACCAAUAUUAUUGUAUUAUCAUUAUUAUGAUUAUUGUAUUAUUUCUUAUGCAAAUAUAACAUUUAAUUAUCCAAGCAGUUUGAUUUUAUUUUUACAAUUUAUAAAAUUUUUAUCACUUAUAUAAUAUUUUUAAAACCCUAAUACAUCUAAAUUUGAAUCUAAUUUUCUACAAGUCAUACUUAUAAAUGCGAAAUCUAACAAAAAAGUUAAAUACAAUUUUUGCAGGUCAAAUUUAACAAAUGCGAGCUAUUUUCAAAAUUUUAAAUAUUUGCAACAUUUUUUAAAACAAAAAUUAGAAGCUUUCUGCAAAUAAUUCCCUACCUCUCAAAAAAUACCAAAAUAAAAAAGAUAAGAGCUCGCAUUUGCUUCCUAGAAAUAAUUCCCUAGCUCUUAAAAAAGGAAAAAAAAAAUUGAGAAGAGCUCGCAUUCGUGGAAUGCGAGCUCAAUAACCAGAGCUCGCAUUCCACGAAUUCGAGCUCUUGUAAGCUCGCAUUUGUGAAAUGCGAGCUCAUUGAGCUCGCAUUUCACAAAUGCGAAGACCCCCCUGACGGAAAUUAAACCCAAAAUCACCCCUUUUGUAGAAUUUUUUUAAAAUUCAUCACAAAGUUGGAAAUUUCUCAAUAGAAAUACAACUUGUCUGGAUUCCUUUCACUCUCUGAUAUCAUUACGGUUGCUUUGCGAUUACAGCGGCAAAACCUGUUUUUAAUGGAGAAAGAUGUAGGUGAAUUCCAUGAUUCUCCCCUAUGGCUUGAAGAGGCCAUGGUUGCAGCUAAAACUUUUUACUCAGAGCUCUAAUUGUAGCACAGCAAAUGCACUUGUUAUCACUCCAAAUUAGUAGCAAAGAAUGUUAAUAGCUUGAAACCUCAGAGGUAGUUAAGUUGCUUUGCUUUAUAUGCUAUUGCUACUGAAACAGCAAACCUUCUGGCCGUUGCAAUUUGCAGCUAGCCGUUGCAAAAUCUGCCAAAUAACUGUUGCAUGGCACAUCUGGUGCAUGCAAUUUUUUGUAUUGCACUUACCCCCCCCUCAACUUUACUAAUUAGUCCAAAUCAUUUAUUCUUCUUUGAAUCUUCUACUAAUACAACUUCUGCAAAGGGUAGCUAUGGAAUAAAAAUACCUUCUCACACAUGAAAAUAAUAUUUUAAUCUGAUUUGGACUGGAUUGUUACCACAAAAUCAAAAGCAAGGGAGGUAAGUGAAAUUUUGAGAACCUCAGGGGAUGUCAGUGAAAGUGUCAGAAACCUCAGGGGAGGUUUCUGAAAUUAUCCCUUUAUAUUGCAGAUGACUUGGGUGAGAGCACGUUUCUUCUUUGAGCACAUAUUCCAAAAAUACUGGUAUAUGAGUUGCAAGAAUUGCUAUCGAGCGACAGCAGUAGAUUAUCAGGUUGAAUUUACCUGCAACUCGUGCAAGGAGAAGCAACCAGCUGUACCAAGGUGAUCAUUCAUAAGUCCUUGUUGUGUGAUUCUUUCUGGAUUUUGCAUAACAAUAAUUUUGCCGAUUACUAAUUCCCUCUAUAUUGAUGAUAUUCCAGAUGUCGCUUUGAUGUUGACUUGGUUGAUAGCAGCGGAGCUAUACCAACUUCCAUAUUUGGUGAACUGGCAGAGAAACUUCUAACGUUCAGCUCUCUUCAAGCAAUGCAACAUUUUAAUGAGGUUUUAUUUUGUCCCAUAUCACUUGUUGAUAGGCCUGUUAUAAAGCUACUAAUGUUUUUUUUCCUUCUUAUUAUCAGAAUGUUGAACUCUCUCUUGAGCUUGUUCAUGAACAGCUCAAAGUAAAGAUUUUCCUGAUUCAUAUCAAACCUGUGCAAGCACAACUAGCUGACGCUAGGCAGCGUUAUACAGUGAUAUAUUACUAUGAAGCUCAUGAUCAUACCAGUGUUCAAUUGAGGUAACAAAGGAACCAAAGAAUCAUUUGUCGUUGCUUAAUGACCAGCCUCCAACGCUGCAACUGAUUGAACCAGGUAAAUAGACACAUACUUUGAACUUCUAAUCCACAAACAUGCUUUCCCUGAAAUAAGUUAUAUAAAAUGAAAAAUUUAUUUGUUACAAAAGAAAAUACUUCUUCUCCAAAGAUUCGCAAACGACUUUCUGAAAAGUUUGAUGAAAUAGAGAAGCUGAACGACGACAACUCCCCUGAUGAAGCCAGCAACUCUGCCAAGAAAUCAAAACUAAACUAAUUCAGAGCUAUUCACUUUUUGUCUUCAUAAGAUAGAUGCACCUUACAAGUCAUUUGCACUGCUACAUUUUGUUAAGUUUGUUACAAGAGUCGUUAGUUUCUUCAUGAACACUCUUGUUUUGUCUGUACGUAUUAAUGAACCAGCUUCUUUUGACAUAUCUACUGUCCUCAACAGUCAACUUCAUGUAGUAUUAACUGUAUGUAAGACUAAUUAUUGUGCUGUUAUUUUGUGAUGCUUCCUUUUCUAGUUCAGAUUACAGCUUCUAUUACUUAUGACACCAACUUAUUUACUCACCACUAUUAUCUACUAGGUUGCAGGGAUCGAAAUAUUAAGGUAAACAAAAGCAAUAUGACAUACUGCAUUACAAAAAGUCUUCUUCCAAAGCUUAAAUGAAUUACAGGGGAGAGGACAAACAAGUUUUAAGCAAAAACUUCCAGAAAAAGUAAAGCCACAGGUAUUUAAAAUAUCUCAGACAGUGGCAGUGCAAUUGUACCUACCUUUAUCACAAUAAAGAAAAAAAAUAUCUCAAAACUAAAUAAAUUAUAAAGUUAGGAAAAAAAAUAAAUUAUAAAGACAAUAUAGUACUGUCAAAUUUUAGAAUCAAAUUACAACAAACUCAUCAUUAUUAACCAUGCAACUAGGCUGAUACUGCUAAACAUUACUACUUUGAAAGCAAGUACUCAACAAGUAUCGUUAUUUCUCUGGACAUAUACUUAAUAAUGUUACUCAUUGAGUAUUUGGCUUUAAUCUCCUUAUAAUAUAUAUGCAGCAAAUGCAUGCUAAUUUACUUGUAGUUUUGUUCAAUGUCCUUCGUAAGCUUCUUCUCAAUAAAAAAAAUUCCGCAAUGCUUAAUGCUGUCCUACUCCACUUCAUGUGCUUAUACUGAUAAAAAAAAUCAUGGCAAACGUUAACAAUGCUAAUAAAUAUUUGCUUUUCUUAUCAUUAACUAUAUUUAUCGUCAGUCCUUUAUUCAAUACAUGAUUACCAAAAUUUUAUAGUGCACAGUUAAAAACAAAAAGCUGCAACUUUCUGCAAGCAACCAUUUUUUCUGCUUACUAUUUUUUUUCCAUUUGACAGUUUAACAGCCUUUCUGAUAUAUAUAUUAAUAGCACCAUGCCACAUUUUCCCCCUGUUAUCUUCUUCUUCUUCUAUCCCUUUAAUAGCACAAAAUAUGUUUCCUUCUCCAUCGAGUUCUCAACAGCCAAACACCAGCUUAAACCCUUGCUGUUUUCUCCUUAAAUGUUGCUAUAGAGGCCAGGUACACCUUUUAUUUCCUUAUAAAACAAAGACAUUCAAACUAUCCAUGUCUAAUAUUUUUAUAUUAAUCUGGUUGCUUUCAUUUGAUUCAUCAAAUAAUUUCAGAUUUUGCCUGCUCAGUUUCGCCUGUUACUUGAUCAGCAUCAAAACAACACAAUCAUCCUCAGAUAUGGAAUGCAAAAAUGGCCUCUCACAAUUGCCAAUGGCUGCUUUGAAGAAGGAUGGGAUAAAUAUUGCCAUGACAAUAUCGUUAACACUCAUGAUCUGUUGAUGGUUCGCCAUGCUGGAAAUCUUAUUUUCGAUGUUAUUCAUUUCUCUGAACUGCAGCAACAAGUUUACUUAUCCUGGACAGUUCCGCUACCAAAUAUUUUGGAAAAUAACGCUGACUAUACACAAGGCCUGUAUAUCUUUUAAUUCAUUUUCUGCACUGAUUUCUGUUUUCAUUAUUUCUAAUACAUCAUCUAUUUAAUGACCUUAGAUACCACAUCCUUAUCAGUUAAUCAUCACGUCGUGACUUCAUCGUUAAAACCAGAUUUCUGUCAAAACCUAACUGAUUCGCAUUGUUUUUAUCAAACUUUUCAUUCAGCAACGGCCAAUUCAAUGGUGAGUUACUAUUAUAUCCAUAUUCAUCCAUUUUCUUUAACCUAUUUUUCUAUGUUCAAUUUUUCACUCUAAUUUUUCUUAAUAAUUCCUAGAAAAUCCCAAGAUUCAUUGAUCCCUUCUUGAAUAGCGAAAGAACUCCCACCGUCCUUAUCAAGACUGGCCAUAACAUUACAAGAAUUGGUAUCAAAGGGAAGCAAUUGAAAAGAAAUUGGAGAAACUUCGUUCUUCGGCAUCAAUUACAGCAUAACGAUGUUCUUGUGUUCAUUCCUGAAUCACAGACUACAUUUACUGUUUUAGUAUUUGACUAUAAUAGAGUUGAAAAGCUAUUUCCAUGGUAUUACACUUUCAGCAUUUGUUCAGAUGCUUAAAGCUGUAAUUAAGCUCUGUAAUAUUGUGUGAUCAUGCCUCUGCAGCUUUUUUACUCUUUCCUUUAAAUGCGCUAGAAACUUUUCCCUUCCAAUAAUAUUGUUCACUUUUAUCCCGUUUCAUUACAUAAAUGCAGAGCUAAUUAUCCAGUUUGUUUGCUCCAAAUGCUUUAGUGAUCCUUUUUUAUUUUACUUUAAACACAUAAAAAUUAUUCUAAGUAAUAUGAUACCAAAUUUAAAAUUUAUAAAUACCGAUAUCCAAAGACUCCAAAACAAUAGAUAUCGCAAUCUUUUGAAAGAAAUUACUGCAGACAAAAUCAACAGAGAAUCUCUGAACAUAUUCUUUUUAUGAACAUUUUGUACUCUUCCCUACCUAACAAUGAAUGCACGUUAACCUUUCAGAUUCUGAUCACUAUAUCAGCAAUAACAGUCCUUACUACAGCUCUCCAACUUUACAUUUAGAUAAAAAUGACACCAUGCAUAUCAAUCUUAUUAGAUUGAAUAGUUUUACGUUUUAAACUUAUAUCUAUCCAUCUGUGCUCAAUUCAUAACCAUGUUACCUUUUUAUGCAUUCCACCAAUACGUAUCACAACAAAACAGCAAUAUACAAAACUUUCCUUCCUCUAAUUCUACUUUUAGCAACAACAUCUUUCUUCCCUUCUCCUUCAUUUCCCCUUAUUGCCAUCUUAAAUUUCUUUCCUUACACUUAAACUUACACACUUCCUUGCUGCUCACCCUCAGGUAUGCAUUUACUCACCAUCAGCUUCCUUUUUUCAGUACGCUUUCAAAUCUUUUCCACAUAUAGUGCUAUGCUUCCUUGAAUAAAUUCUCUCCCUCUGCUCUCUGCUAACUGCAAAGUCCGGCUUCAUUUCUUCCAGCAUUUAUCAAUACAGUUGCAUUCAUUUAAACAUAUCCCAUCUUCCAAUCACAUUCUUCUUUUUAACACACUCGAUUUUACCUCACAACAGGUUAUUGCUCUUACUUCUAAUUUUUUUGAUAACUAUUAAACUGAUACCCAUCAAACUGCAUACCCUUGCAGCUCAUCUUCAUGUGUUCCUUAUCUUGCAAUUAUAUCCUUUCUCCGACCCUUUUAGCUCAUGUAGAUUACACUUCACCCAUUUAAUUUUUUCCUUUUCUAUUAUAGACUAUCUUACAAUGGAACCUGCAAUAAUCCCUCUAUCCGCUGUUCAUCCGCAUUCAUCAAACUGGACGGUAGCUCUCCAAGUUAUAGAAGUUGCUCGUAUAAAAAAUAAUUCACACCUCCAGCAAAACUUUCAAACUUUUCUGCUUACCAAUUCAUAGGUAAUGAAUACUUAAUUUCUUUUUGAUCUCAUGACUAUUUACUUAUGUCAUGAUACCUUUUAACAAUUGUUAAUAUCAGGGUGUAACAGUUAAUAUGCAUGUUAUCGGGAACAUGAUUGAUCGACUUGUUGGAUUAUUGCUACCAUUUAAAAAAUACUAUAUUUCUAGAGCUAUUGUUCAUCACCUACACGAUGGUUCUGCUACUACCGAAUAUCCAUUUUACUGGAUUGCUACUGAAGCUACAUCAAUUCGUGAAAUUGACCAACUCGAUUAUCCCUCUCUUCCUUCACAUUUUCAAUUAUAUCCAUUUACUAUGCUAGACGCCAUUGGUGAUACUGAACAGUUAAUAAGUAAGUUAUUCAUUAUGCUCUGCUUAUUUUUCCCCAUAUUUUAAUUGCUGCAUAAUUUUUUAUGACCUUAACACUUUUACUUCUUUCAUUUUCCUAAGCUGUCAUGGGAGUCGUUCUUCAUUCUCUACCUAACAAAAUUAUCCCUGUUGAAGGAGCCCCAUGUGUAGUUCGAGACUAUGUCAUAGCUAAUCAAGAGUAACACAUUUCAUUACUAAUCUAAUUUCUCCUUCCAUUUUUCAAAAUCGUGCGCAUUUCCAGCCAUUCAUUCUGUUACUAUUCAUUACCCAGCAUGAAACCUUUGAUACUAACUUUACAUGGUGAGCUUGAAGAAAAUUAUGGCCCUACUAUUGCAGUAGCAGAAGACCCUUUUCCAGUUAUCAUCGCCAUCAGAGUCAAAGCUACAACAAAUCAUUGUAAUCACGUGCUUCACCUCUAUUAUUUAAAGCAUCUUCUAAUUUUUUAUCAUUCCAAAAAAUUAUUUCCUCUAUCAACUUUAAAAUUUUUACCCUCUUCUUACCAAACAUAUCAGGUUUGAGUCUUUCAACUGAAUCUUCCUCGCUGAUUUUGAUAUCUCCGAUCGCUCAACAAAUGAUGCAUUUAAAAACAUGGUAAAAGUUUUAACCACCUUGUGCAUUAUUAUCGCUGUUAUUAUAUCACAACUUACCUUUUUCAGUUUUAUCAUAGGCAUCAUGCCCAUGCCCAUAUGCUGAGACGAAUGGUUAAUGAGAGCAGUUACACUAACCCACGCAUUCUUCUUCCUCCUGUAAACGAUAAUCGAAUCACUCAUAUUGCUACUGUUCUCCAGCAAGUAAAAUUCCUAAUUCAACAUUUACAUUUACCUACAAUAUUCCUUACAUUUACUUCUCUUUUGCCUUUUCUUUAAUGCUAGCUAUUCGUUUGUACCUUUUCUUUGUCAAAGAAACCAAAGACUGCCUGGAUUCAAGGCAUUGUGGAGCUAGAUUACGUACCUCAAAAGUUAACUUAUAUAGCUUGUCCCCUUUGUUAUUAUCCAAGCAAACUUGCAAGCAAUUUGCCUGUUACAUGUCAACAUUGCCACUCUAAUGUAGAUAUGGUUCCUAGGUAAACAUGAUUAUUUACUCCUCUUGCUUCCUUUCAUCGUCAGCUUUAAUCACUUUCAAUUUCUAACUGCAAAACUACCUACUUCUUCAUUGCAGAGCUCUCAUUGCAAUUUCCCUCAUCGAUGCAACUGGAUCUAUAUGUGCUACUGCUAUAGAUAUUGAAGCAGAGAGACUAAUUCAAUAUUCAACGGUGAGCUAUACUAUUUACAACAAGAAGUAACCGCUACUACUUUUUUAUACUAAAUAUUUUCUCUCUUCUUUUUUAAAUCUGUUACGAUUUUCUUCCAUCUAUUUUUACAACAGAAUGUUGAUCUUACUCAAUACCUUGCGCAUACUUUACAAGGGAAGCUGCUCAUGUGCUACAUUAAGCCCUCUCCUUCCAAAUUCAGACUCAUCAGACGUGCAGCUUAUGAAAUAAUCACAUCCUACUCAGCCCAUCAAGUUUUUAAUGCUGAAAAUAUAAACAUAAGCAAUCGUAACAUCAAUGGUUAACCUUUUACUUAUUUUGCAUACAUUACUGUUGCCUUUAAUGUCUUUUCUACUGUAUGUGUUAAAUCAUAAUUGCCACAAACAAUAACUAUAAUUACUAUUUUAUUGUCUUUAGCUUUAUAUUCCUCCUUCAUUGCAUACUUGUUUAUUUUAAAAUAAAUUUUCAGCUCUACAUUUAAUAUCUGCGAUUAUCCCAAUAUUAAAACAAACAUAAUUGACCCAAACAUUCGGAUAAAAAUAUUUUCCAAUUUCUAAAACAAUUUUUUCUAUGCAAACAUUUUAGCUUAACUGACAUAUCAACAUAUAAUCAAUACAAACGAAAAAUCAAUACGUAUAUAAACAUUUAAGUUUUUCUCAGACAAAAUUCCUUCUAAGCAUUUCAUACUUAUUAUUCUACACAUUUUUGGGCAAUCCUUAAACUUAUACCGUGCAUCGCGCGGUACCACCGACCUAGUCUCUUCUAAUACAUGAAGUACUACAAUUCACGUACACUUUUGGGAUGAAUUGUGACUCAAAUGAUUAGACAUUUAACACAUCAUGCUCCUUCUACUUCUUUCUUUGAAGCAUAUUAGAUUAAACAACAUUUUCAGCACUAACUCUAUUUUACAGCUUUAAAUUUGUAUCAAUUUUUCACUUUGCACCUUAAAUUUUAAUUUUAAACAUUUUACAUUAUAAACUCAUAAUUUUGGACAUUUUAAAAUUUAUGCUCUCAAAUUUAUCGCAUUUAAGUCAAUCAAUGAUAGUGUUAGUAAAAUCAAUAACACAAGGGCCUUAUAAAUCAAUGAAAAUUCACUGAAUGAAGGUGGUGUGUGAGGACCGUGAAUUUUCUUAUUUUCUAGGUUUUAUUUUAUUUAAUUACAUGCCUUUUAUGCAUUUUCUUUAUUAGAAAAAAUUUUCUAAAUAAUUUUUAUGAGUAAAUAGGGUUUUUAAAGUAUUUUUCUAGUAUAAGUUAGUUCAUGAGGUUUUAAGAGUGUAUACCGGAUGUGGGACCCACUAGUGCGGUAAGUUCGAUAAAAUUCGGCCGAUUAGAUUAAGUUUAGCAUUCAGGGAUUAAUUUACUAGAUGUUAAGAGAUAAUUAGAGGUUACCCAAUAGAUGAGAGUUGGAGAGACAAAAGGAUAGCUUUGCAUUAAAGAGGGGGGGGGACAAGUGUCACUUUCCUAUUUCUUCUUGGACUUUGACCAAAUUACCAACUUUACUAAAUAAUCCAAAAAUUGACCAAAAUUCAUCAUCUUACAACCUUCUCUUGGCCGACUCCUCUCAAGCAGAAAAGAAAAGAAAACUCAACUUUCUUGCUCUUAAUCUUGCUCAAUCUCCCAAUCCAACCGAUUAAAUUGGAAAUUCCUCCAUAAAAACCCUUAGUUUAGUGGUAGUGAGGUUGGUUGUGAAGUGGUUUGGAAGAAAGUGGUGCUAAGUUGGGUCUUUUCUUGGGUUUGCAAGGUAAGUGACUAAGGAACCUUUCCUUUGAUCUUAAUAAUGUUCAAUUAGUGGCUUGUGUGAGUUAAAGAGAUGGUUUUAGAUGAUAUUUCAUGACUUUUGGUAGAGAUUGGUGAAUUUUAUAUUUACUCAUGAUUUUUCUGUUUUUAUAUGUUUAAUAUUGGUUGGCCAUGGAUGAUGCUUGGAAUGGUCUAGAAUGAAGCUAUAGUGCGUAAAUUGUAGCUAUUUGCAGAAAAUUUCCGCUUUGUACGGAGAAUUCCAGCUUUAGCGUUUCUUUGUUGAGCUACCACUUGGUUGUUUUUGAAGCGUAUUGUGACUCUAAUUAAAGGUGUUUGGUAGCUUGUGAUGUGUGGGUGUAAUUGUAGUGGAGUUGAGAAGUGAUUGGGUGUUGAGGUUUGGUUGGAAAAGUAAAGAAAGACAAGGGGUAGUGCUGUCAAAAUUUUCGUGGGAGCUUCUGUGCAGUGUCGGAAAAUUUGCUAUAUCUUGAUGUAGAAAUGUCAGAAUUGAGUUCUGUUUGUUGCGUUUAAAACUAGAUUCAUAGAACCACAAACCAUAAAAAUUUCAGACCCUGUUUCUAUCUGUACGAUUUAUGGUGAUUUUUCAAAGUUAACUGAAAACUGCAUACCUGUUCUGUCUUGUGAUGGUUGAAGCAGCAAAUUGAGGCUCGAAUUUGACUGACUUGUGUUUUGAAUCCUAUAAUGGUGUCUUCUGGAAAGUUGUAGCUCUUUGAAUAUAUUUUCCAACGGUGUAAAUUGUAUCAAUUUUGGAUUUAAGAAGCUUGAGAUAUGAUUUUUCAUUUAGGGUUACGUAAAACUGAAAAAAAUCCUGUUUGCCUAGAAUUGUUCUUACUCUCAUUUUUCAUUUCAUAUCUGGAGUUGGUAAAGCAUUGUGAGUAUGGUUUUUGGGUAGAGGUGAAGGGGUUUGAGGUCAUUCAUGCCUUUAAGACUAAUUGUUAUAUUUUCACUUCAAAGCUACAUCUUUGUGUUGUAUUAAUGGUUCAUGUGGUUAGGCAUAUGACUCGCAAACGAGUCUCACCUGCAAAUUCCACUUACUAGGCAUCGGAGUCGAGUCUUAAGUGUUUUUCCUUGACUGUUUUAGGAAGUGCCGGCGAUAAAAGCCAUACUUGGGAAUGAAACUUUUGAAGUUAUCCUUGCUUGAAUUGGUGAGUGUACCACUCUCCUGAUUUAUUGCUAAACUGGUUAUCUGUACUUGCAAAUUGCUAUUUGAAUGUCUUUCUUGACUGUUUACUUUGUAGAGACGAGUGUGUACUUUAUCACACUCGCUCUCUGGCUUGUGUGACUUGUUUCCUGUAUAUACUUGAAUCUGUUACCUGCGCCUGUUAUAAUGUCGUUUGGAAGUGCAUCCAACGACCUUCCUGUUAAAUCUGAGCUCAACCUCAUGGGGAGUUAAUUGAAUCGAUCCACCAAGGGUUUGGUCGAGGAAAUUGACAAUCCAUGGGUGCCUGUUCCUUGGGAAUCAAUAGGUAUUGGAGACUCUGAAUUUUCGGUAUACUCGAGUAUUACCAUUCCUGUUCCUGUUUGGCGUUUGAGCCCGGUAAGGGGUAUGUUUGGUGAAUGGAAUUUUGGCGUUAAAGUGGUGUUCUUCUGGACUAGUUUCUUUAUUUGAACAUUGACGGAGGGUCAACGAGGCUGGAUCAAGUAUUGCAACGGGGAUUUGGCUCCUGAGAGCCACCUGUAUCCUUUACAUUGUGGUGUUUAUUCAUUUCUCGUAUUUGACGUGCAUAUGUGCCUUAAAAGAAAUUUCUUAUGAGUUCUACUGUUUCUACUAUUUAUACUUUUGGUACCUCACUGAGCUUCUAGCUCACCCCGUUCUGUUAUUCUUGUUUUCCUUACAGGGAACCAUCUUUUGCACCAAUGAUCAUUUUGAAGAAUGUAUAAACCCGAGGAGUUGGGGCCAGUGGUAAGCGGUUGGUAAUGCGAGCAGGACGACCAAGGUUCUAUCCUCGCUGCGCUCCUGCGAUAACUCCAGGGCCAGGCCUUCACCCUCGAGUAAGAGUCAAACUCUGCGGGCGCUCUCCGGGCCGAAUCCGGAUUAGUCCGAAAGGGAUAUCGGGUGGUUAGACCCAAAAAAAAAAAAACCCUUUUGUAUAGCUCCUUGGAAGUUGGAAAACCCUAAAUGUACCUUGAUCCAAAUAUUUCCCUUUUGAUUUGUAAAUUUCAAAAGUAUGUGUAUAAAACUGUUUAACCAUGUACAUGUAUCCGAUUUGGUUUGGAAAUGUUUUUCUCCUGAGUUAUAUAACAUUAUCUAUAUUCGGUUGGAGUCUGGCUGGAUGGUGACGUGGCGGUCACUCUUCAUUUACGGUUCCGAUUUUUUUCGUUUUGAAAUUUUGAAUCGUGUAAGCGCGCUAUUUUACUUCGGUGCGUCUUAGAUUGUGUAUAACUGUCUUCGUAGUCCUGGCGAGAGUUGGGCAGGCAGUCUGCUGACUCCUUUGGUACGCCUUAGGGGAAGGCGGGGCUAUCACAUGGUGAAAAGGAGCCAAGGUAUCUCAAGUACAAUAAAAUAAUAUAUUGUCAUUAAUUUAUACCAUCUUUCUAAUAUUAUUAGUGAUUGUAAGUAUAUAAAUCAAUGACAAUGUGCUGACAACGAUCAGAAAGAAUUAAGAGAUUGCAAUUGGAACAAAAUUAUACAUUGUCAUUAAUUUGUACCGUUUUUUAUCUCAUUAAUUUUGCUAAUGUUGUCAAUGGCUAAUUUAAAUGGGACAAAUUUGAAAAUUUAGGGAGCAAUAUGUUCAACAAAAUAUCUAAAAUUAAAAGUUUGGGAUUACAUUUUUAUUCCACACAAGAAUUGUAAUAUCAAUUUCGUGUUGUUGGACUGGUGGGUAUUAGGGAAAGAGGACUAUGCAAGGGUACUAAUUAGUGGGGCCAAUGGCCAUUACUAUGUGCAUCUAAUCUACUCCUACUACUAUUCCUACUCUUAUACUGAGAAAGGAGUCUAUUCUAGGGGGUGGGACUGAACCACCAUCUAAUUAGACGGGCAUUUCAAAAUUAAUGUGGUGGCCAACUUCUCUAAAGGGAUUGAUUAUAUAGGGAUAUUAUUUAAUGGUGAAUACUCAUGUGGCGAUUAGUAAGCCAUAACUGAUUUUUUAUAUUAUUUAAUUUGAAAUUAUAGUAGGACAUAUUAUUUAAUGGUGAGUGCUCAAGUGGCGAAUUGUGAGUCGUAACCGAUCUUUUUGCAUUAUUUAUUUUGAAAUUAUAGUAGGACACAUUCUCCACUAUUUUACUGUUGAGUGAUGUUAGGUUCCUCACUUGGAUUACAUCAUCGAAUGCGUCAGCAUCUAAUGAUGGUGACGGGAAAUUAAGCGUUAUUUCAGUACGCGCUACUUGUCCAUCCAUUACCUCGUGAAUCAUGCAAGUAUUUAUUGAGGGAAAGCAAUUGUUGUGACUGAUAAGAGUAUAUUUUACGUGUUUUUGGUGUAUUUUAUUGAUUAGUUUUGGUGUGUUUUAUUUAGUUUUAUAGCUAAUGAAUUAGGAUUCUAGUGAAAAUAUGCAUUUUAUGGUUUAAAGUGCGAAAAUUGUAUUUCUAUGGAUUUUAAUGGCGAAAACUUCAUGUUUUUGUAGGUUUAAUGAUUCAAUUAUCAAAGAGAGUGAAUUGAGAAGAGAAUUGAAUGGUUAUUGAUGAUUUGAAGUGGUUUAGAGAAGAUAUGAAGUGCAAAACAUUCAAAAGAAAAAAUGCAAGUGAACGCAGCUUUGACACCUUGUGGUAUUUUGAUAAUAUAUUGAGCUACACAGAUCAGAUUGAAGUGAUUCUUGAACCAUUUUGAAUCUAAGAGAUAGAUCUAUAUUUGUUAUAAGACAUAGAAAUCCAGUUCAGUCAUCUUCAUAGUCAAAAAUUCAAAAUACAGAAGUACAACUCUGUUUAUUGAAAGCUGAAACAAAGCUCUGAUCAGUUGAUGGUAUUUUGGUCAUAUCUCAGUCCAUAGAGCUCCAGCUUAGAUGAUUCUUAAGGCAUUGGAAAGUUAACUCAAAGCGCUACAACUUUCAUGUUUUGCACAAGAGUAUUUCGGCCUCCAUCAUUGAGAAAAUAGUAGUUGAAGUGGUGUCAAAUGCAUAGAAGUGAAAAUGUGACUUCAUGAAUACAUGGCUUGAAGCCGCGUAUUCUCUUCUGUUUUUUGCAACUGACUCAUCAACUUGCCCUGCUUUCAUAUAACUUUUCCAUCUCAAUUCUAGCUAUCAGUCUCGGCAGUAUCUCAUCAAGAAAAGGUUGAAAAGUUGGAAAGACAACUCAUGGAAGUUUCAAGAGUCAAAAAUGACAACUAAAAACAACUUAUUUGGCUCUUGAAUCCUCUAUAAAUAGAGGCCUUUGGAGAACAUUUGCACAACUUUGGAAGGCUAGAGAAACACACCAAAAAUGUAGACUUUCACUAGAGUUUCCUUAGUUCAUUAGUUAGGGUACAUUAGUAUAGUUAGUGUAGUUUAUCAGUCUUGUAUUUGUAGUUAGAUUUCGAUGAAGAUUUGAAGCGCAAAGAUGGAGAGUUACAGCUCAUGUGACAAGGGUGACAUCUCUUCUAUCACUUUCUCAUUUAUAUUUGAUUUCAUGUUUAGCUAUAAUAUAAGUUUGGAUUUGUUUUUCUUCAUGUUUAGUUAAAGUUUAUGCCUAGAGUAUGGAUGAACUUUCUAUAUCUUGUUAGUGAUGUUUAUUUGGUUAUGUGAUGAUAUUAUUUUGAGCAAGUUAUUUAUUACUUUUGCUUUUCUAAUCAUGAUUAACCGGCCAUUAAUUGUGAUAAUCUUAAGGUGUUAAGUUGGCAAUGAGAAUUGGAGUUUAACACUAGUUCAAGGAAGUGAUAAGUGUAGGGAGUAUACUUACGAGUGUAGAGGUGCACCUUUGUGGCUUUAGUGACUUGUUUCAUGUAAUUUUAUAGAAGAAAUGAAUUUGUAGUUAAUUUCAUAACCACGAGAGUAGAUAUGGUUUAGCUACAAGUAUAGUUGAUUCACUACGAGAGUAGGUUUCACAUACAUUAGGAAAUUACGCCAUUACUAGCCAAGAUAAUAGUAUUCACUUAACCGGUAAUCUCAUUUGCAAGAGUAGUAAUGAAUUCCAUAUCUCUAGGAGCUUUCUAGUGUUAUUUUCAUUACUUUUAUGUUUAUAAUAGUCUAGAUAAUAAAGGAGUUCGAAAAACAUCAAUAGUUGCAAUCUUCCCUGUGAGAUCGACCCUUAAUACUGUAUAUUCGCUCUCGACUCGUAUACUUGCGAUAAAUCGUGUAUGAGAUAUUUAGAAUUUAUAAAUGUAAAAUUUGAUUGCGAAUGAGUCAAUUGUUAUAUGUAUGCCCCGCAUACGUCAAUGACAAAGUGUCAUCUAUUGUCCUUUGAUAAUGUAAGAAAAAUUAUACUUGAUGCAUGGAGAAGGGAAUCAAUUUGAAUCUUAAUGUAUGACAUCAAUCCAAGCAGACCAUAUAUCAAAUUUAACUAAAUACUAUAAGAAAAAUUUUGAAAGCGUUCUUUUUGAUACCCAAUUUGCACCAAAAGCCAAAUAAUGGAGUACUUUAAUGUGUAAAAAUCAAUACUUUCUAAGGAUAAAUUGAUAUUAUUUAAUGAUGAGUGUUGACAUGAUGAGUACUGAUUAGUUUUUCUCAUUACUGUACUGAAUUUGAAAUUGUAGUCAGACAUAUUCUACAUCAUCAAAUGCGUUCAGUACGCGCUACUUGUCCAUCCAUUACCUCAUGAAUCAUGCAAGUAUUUAUUGAGGGAAAGCAAUUGUUCUGACAAAGUGUCAUCUAUUUUCCCUCGAUAAAGUAAGAAAAAUUAUACUUGAUGCAUGGAGAAGGAACUCAAUGUGAAUCUUAAUGUAUGACAUCAAUCCAAGCAGACCAUAUAUCGAAUUUAGCUAAAUAUUAUAAGAAAAAUUUUGAAAGGGUUCUUUUUUAUACCAAAUUUGUACCGAAAGCCAAAUAAUGGAGUACUUUAAUGUGCAAAAAUCAAUACUAUCUAAGGAUAAAUCGAUAUCAUUUAAUGAUGAGCACUCACAAGACGAGUACUAAUUAUUUUUUCUCAUUACUGUACUGAAUUUUAAAUUAAAGUUUGGGAUACAAAUUAAGAAAUCAAUACAAGUUUGGAGACGUAAAGUGAAAUUUAUUUACAUUUUUGCUCCGCACAAGACUUGUAAUAUCAAUUUUGUGUAGUUGGACUGGGGGGUAUUAGGGAAGGAGAACAACUAUGCAAGGGUAGCAAUUAGGGGGGCCAAUGGCCAUAACUGUGUGCUCCUGUGGCGAUAUUAUUUAAUGGUGAGUACUCAUGUGGUGAUCAGUGAGUCAUAAUCGAUUUUUUGCAUUAUUUAAUUUGAAAUUAUAGUAGGACGUAUUAUUCAAUGGUGAGUGCUCAUGUGGCGAGUAGUGAGUCGUAAAUGAUCUUUUUGCAUUAUUUAUUUUGAAAUUAUAGUAAGAUACAUUGUCCACAAUUUUACUAUUGAGUGAUGUUUAGGUUCCUCACUUGGAUUACAUCAUCGAAUGCGUCUGCAUCUAAUGAUGGUGACAGGAAUUAAGCAUUAUUUCAGUAUGCGCUACUUGUCCAUCCAUUACCUUAUGAAUCAUGCAAGUAUUUAUUGCGGGAAAACAAUUGUUGUGACAAAGCGUCAUCUAUUGUCCUUUGAUAAAGUAAGAAAAAUUGUACUUGAUGCAUGGAGAAGGAAAUCAAUGUGAAUCUUAAUGUAUGACAUCAAUCCAAGCCGACCAUAUAUCGAAUUGAACCAAAUAUUAUAAGAAAAAUUUUGAAGGGUUCUUUUUUAUACCCAAUUUGUACCGAAAGCCAAAUAAUGGAGUACUUUAAUGUGUAAAAAUCAAUACUUUCUAUGGAUAAAUUGACAUUAUUUAAUGAUGAGUGCUCACUUGACGAGUACUGAUUAGUUUUCUCAUUGCUGUACUGAAUUUGAAAUUAAUGUUUGGAAUACAAAUUAAGAAAUUGAUACAAGUUUAGAGAUGUAAAGUGAAAUUUAUUUACAUUUUUGUUCCGCACAAGAAUUGUAAUAUCAAUUUCGUGAGUUGGACUGGUGGGUAUUUGGGAAGGAGAACAACUACGCAAGGGUACCAAUUAGUGGGGCCAAUGGCCAUUACUGUGAGCUCAUGUGGCGAUAUAUUAUUUAAUGGUGGGUACUCGUGCGGGAUUAGUGAGUCAUUACUGAUUUUUUGCCUUAUUUAAUUUGAAAUUAUUGUAGGAUGUAUUAUUUAAUGGUCAGUGCUCAUGUGGCGAGUAGUGAGUCGUAACUGAUCUUUUUUCAUUAUUUAUUUUGAAAUUAUAGUAGGACACAUUCUCCAUUAUUUUACUGUUGAGUGAUGGCAGGUUCCUCACUUGGAUUAUGUCAUCGAAUGUGUCAGCAUCUAAUGAUGGUGACGGGAAAUUAAGCGUUAUUUAUUGAGGGAACUCAAUGUGAGGAGAAGGAACUCAAUGCAAGUAUUUGGUGAAUCAUGCAAGUAUUUAUUGAGGGAAAGCAAUUGUUGUGACAAAGUGUCAUCUAUUGUCCUUUGAUGCAUGGAGAAGGAAAUCAAUGUGAAUCUUAAUGUAUGACAUCAAUCCAAGCAGACCAUAUAUCGAAUUUAACUAAAUAUUAUAAGAAAAAUUUUCAAAGGGUUCUUUUUGAUACCCAAUUUGUACCAAAAGCCAAAUAAUGGAGUACUCUAAUGUGUAAAAAUCAAUACUUUCUAAGGAUAAAUCAAUAUUAAUUCAUGAUGAGUGCUCACAAGACAAGUACUGAUUAGUUUUUCUGAUUACUAUACUGAAUUUGAAAUUGUAGUCAGACACGUUCUACAUCAUCGAAUGUGUUAGCAUCUAAUGAUGGUGACGGGAAAUUAAUCGUUAUUUCAGUACGCGCUACUUGUCCAUCCAUUAGCUCAUGAAUCAUGCAAGUAUUUAUUGAGGGAAAGCAAUUGUUGUGACAAAGUGUCAUCUAUUGUCCUUUGAUAAAAUACGAAAAAUUAUACUUGAUGCGUGGAGAAGGAAAUCAAUGUGAAUCUUAAUGUAUGACAUCAAUCCAAGCAGGCCAUAUAUCGAAUUUAACUAAAUAUUAUAAGAAAAAUUUUCAAAGGGUACUUUUUGAUACCCAAUUUGUACCGAAAGCCAAAUAAUGGUGUACUUAAUGUGUAAAAAUCAAUAUGUCUUAAGCAUAAAUCGAUAUUAUUUAAUGAUGAGUGCUCACAUGAUGAGUACUGAUUAGUUUUUCUCAUUAAUGUUCUAAAUUUCAAUUGUUGUGAUAAAGUAAGAAAAGUUAUACAUGAUGCAUGGAGAAGGAAAUCAAUGUGAAUCUUAAUGUAUGACAUCAACCCAAGCAAGUCAUAUAUCGAAUUUUACUAAAUAUUACAAGCAAAAUUUUGAAAGGGUUCUUUUUGAUACCCAAUUUGUACCGAAAGCCAACUAAUGGAGUACUUUAAUGUGUAAAAAUCAAUGCUUUCUAAGGAUAUAUCGAUAUUAUUUAAUGAUGAGUGCUCCCAUGACGAGUACUAAUUAGUUUUUCUCAUUACUGUACUGAAUUUGAAAUUGUAGUCAGACACGUUUUGACUACUGAUGAGUGCUCACAUGACGAGUACUGAUUAGUUUUUCUCAUUAUUGUACUGAAUUUGAAAUUGUAGUCAGACACGUCAGACACGUUCUGAAAUUGUAGUCAGACACGUUCUGCAUAAUUGUACUUUUAGGUGAUGUGAUGAUUCAUCACUUGGAUUACAUCAUUGAAUUUGUCAUCAUCUAAUGAUAGUGAUGCGAAAUUAGGUAAUAUUAGUAUUUUAACUCAUGCUUUGCACUGGGUUCUAUUUUAUAUAUUUAUAUAUUGUGGUACAAAAUAAUAUAUAUAUACUAAAAAUUUUAAAGAAGUAUAUGCUUAACAUAUUGAAAAAAAUUAAUUUAUAAUGAUUUAUACGAUAGAGGAAUUGUUAACGCAUUUAAGAAGAGGGUUAGGUUGGGUGGUUAGUUGACACUCUUUAAACAAUUUGUAAUUUUAUAUGAACUGCUCAUAAAACUUUCUAGCAGGUACAUAAUUAUUAUACGUAGGACUCAUAUGAAUAUUACACUUCUAUUGCAAAGUGGUAAAGUAGUUAAGAAGGAAUUACAACUUUUUUAAACAGUGAUACACCAUUCAAGAAUGAUUGAACACAUAAUGGCAUUUGCCAAUUAGUCUAACAUCGUGAAUCAUGCAAGCAUUUAUUAAGGUAAAUCAACUCUAGCAGUAGUUAAGAAGGAAUUACAAGUUGUUUAGUUGGUGUUACACCAUUCAAGAAUGACUGAACUGACAACGACAGUUGCCAUUAGUCUAACAUCGUGAAUCAUGUAUUUAUUGAGGUAAAGCAAUUGCGGUGACAAAGUGCCAUCUAUUGUUAUUUCAUGAAAUGACACUUCAAAAAUUGUUGUUUGAAGAAAUGACACUUCUAAAAGUAGUUAAAUUCAGUGUUUUGAUACUCGAGUUGAAUCGGUCAGUUCGAUCAAUUGUACUGCAAGCCGAUCAUGACUCUAACCUGGUUUAUACUUUGGAUUGAUUGGACUUAAGAAUCAGUUGAAUAUUGGACUCAAGUUACUUUUAUCUUUUUGUCUAUAUAGUGUAAGUGGAAGGGUUUGAACCUGUGAACUCUCACUUAUACUCCUUCCUUUCAAAACACCUAUCCUGUCACUCUCUCGGACUCAAUUACUUAUGAAAACAAUGAAACGGUGAAUUGAGAUCUAAUUAAUUUUUCUGGUACAGAAAUAUUUAAAUAAUCCACUAUGACACUUUUGUUAUCGAUUAUUGGUUUGUUAAAAUCAACCAAAGAUACAUUAAAACACCUUCUAAGACCAUAGCUAAAUAAAUUUGGUAAAUAAUUGACUAUAUAUAUAUAUAUAUAUAUAUAUAACUUAGUGGGAGACUCGAACCUUAUAAGGGAGAAAAGAAGAGGGCUUAAGACUUGAAAAAGGGACCUUCGGUUCACUUAGCUAGUAUCUCUACCUGUUAAACUAGGUCUUCAUGACAUUGACGAUAUAUUUCUAAUAAUUAUAAUUGGCUAAUUGAAACUUGUAUUGAAGAAAGACACUUUCUUAAACGAGCAAACAAUAGUUCAGGCGUGAUUAAAUAUUUCGGAAACUUUCUACGAAGAAAAAGAAUUGAAAACAACCCAAAAAAAUAGAAAACUCAUCACUGAGUGAAAAAGAGAAAGGAAAUAUUAAAAACCAAUUUGAGCUCCUUAAAGCAGCAAGAUGUCUCUCACACUGCUGCAAGAUCACCACUUGAGGCGCCAAAAGGUCUUGUUACCUUAACAACGAUUAGCUUCUACAAAUUAACCAAUUUGAAUGUCGUGAUUGCACAAAAAAGAUAAACAAUAAAAAGGAGCAGAGACUAAAUUUGCACCUCUUCAUUAAUAAUUCUACAUAUUGUACACAAUUUAAUACUAAUAAUACAAAUCAUUAAUGCAUCAAAGAUGUGUGAAUUUAGGAUGAAAAGUGUGGAUUUAGUAUGUCCCAAAAAAGAUGUGCAUGGCAACGGACCAAUGGUGGGUACACUGUACAUCAAUGUGUUAUUUAUAGUUUAUAUGUUUAGUAUACAAAAGGAAAACCGAAAGAAACCAUAUAAAAGUUCCCCAACAUGAACAUAUCAAAAUACUCGAAUCCUGUGCUUGGAGGUGAAAAGAGGGUGGAAGGAUUAAAAAAAAAUAUCAAAAUGCAGCACAAUAACACUUUUUUUUUUUGUCCUGAGUGCCCCGAGGGGGUGUGUGGGAAUUGAUCUUGAAGCUAACACGAGAACAAAAGUCAGAAUUUCAGGAUUGAGAAAAAAAAACAUAGCUCAAGAUCCUGUUAAACAAUGAAAUACAGGUAAGAGGUUGCAUCUGAACUGUAAAGUAACAAUCCUAUCAAUAUCCCAGAAUUAUCAAAUGAAAUGAAUUUGGAUCCCAAAUUGAACAGGUAAGAAUCAAUUACUAUUCUUUUUUUGCUUGAGGCGGGGGAGGGACUCAAAAGGAAAGAGAAGAAAGAAAUAAUUUCAAUAACGGUCGAAUACCCAUUCUUGCUCUCCAUGAUGCCUGUUCAACUUUCACCUUGUACCUAUUUUUGUAACUGCAGCACUAGCUACUGCACCUUGUACGUAUUUGUUGGAAAAAAUUAGGAUGUGCAAACAAGAAGCGAAAAUGGUUACUAUUUAAGAUAAACAUUGGAAACUGAACCAAAAUUUUCUACAUAGUAGACAUAAAUUUCUAAAUUUGUUAACUGCGAGCAUUUGUUGCACAAAUUUAACUUGGUCACAUAGCUUUAAUAUGUCCUCACCCCGCGGUGCGCAAGGACAUAAAUUACUGUUUGGAUUGAAUAGAGUAUCAUUUCAAAUAAUUACUGUAAUAUUUUUUGUGAUGUGAUGUAUGUGAGAUAAAAAGGUGAUUGAGAAUGUAAAAAGGUGGAUUGAAAAAUGUAUUUAUAAUACAAACAAAAAUUUUUUUGAAAAAAUUUGCUAUCCAAACAUAGCAACUUCCCUAAAUAAAAAUGUCAAUGGACAAAAAGAGAUGAUCAAGUAGUUACAUCAGAAGGGACUACAGGCACAUGUAGUUAAAAUGGUACAAUUGAACUGUUAUUGUACUUUUUAUACAAAAUAGUGUACUUUUAUAUAAUUUUACUGUAUUCAUAAAUUUUAUUCUAUUCGUAUACAUCAAUUCAAUACCUAAAUACAACCGCGUUUAUAAGUAUACACCAAGUUAUGAAUAAAGUAUAAUAACCGUACACAAUUGCACCUAAUUCAUCCAUAACUGCUCCAAUUCCCAUCAAUGGAAAACAAACUAGAGGCGAAAACUGCAGUUCUCCCGCAUCUACAAGUAUAAAUACUCAUUACCACAUGUUCGGAAGCAGCGUAUUUCUGGAACUAAAAGACCUACCAUUGUCUAUUCUGUUAACAGUCAUGCUACCAAAAUUGUUCAGACAAGCAAAACGCCAUUACCACUACCUGAAAGGGCAGUACGGCUCUGGCAUAUGCUUGCAGCAACAUGAAACUAACAAAUCUUUCCUACUCACUUUGAACCAAGCCAGCUAUGGCAAUGUUUUAAACCCGGAACUCAUUCAGACUAUCCGGGAAUGUCUUGAUGUGGUUAAGUCCGAGGCCACCAAGGAAUCUGUCCUCAUCACCACUGGUGAGGGUGAAGUAUUCUGCAAAGGAUUUGAUGACAGGUAUGUUACUGGCAAAUUAAACAUGACUUGUUAAAGAUAAUAUCUCUUUGCAAAUUGAAGAGCAUCGUCCAAGAGAAGUUCAUCUUAAGAGCACAAACCGACAGCAAGGUUUUAUAUGCCAGAAAUCACAAAUUUUCCGAAGUUUAAGAAAGAAAUAUUGAUCACAGAGACUGACUAAUUUCCAAAGCAAAUUUCAAGUAAUUCCUAUGAUUAUGAGAAGAGAAGUUAAGUAAUUUAAUUACUGCUCUUUUUCUACCAUUUUGGCAGAUACCACAGAAAAAUGGAGUUACAAACCUUGCGUUCUGUCGUUUACCCUGACAAUUUUUCUCUGGGCUGAAAAUAUUAGGAAGAAAUUGUAUGGACAAUACUCAGAGUACAAAUUUAGCCUAAAAGUAAGACUGUAUAACCUCUUCUACGAUUCCACCAUUGAUUGAGCUGAAAAGAUCAUAAGAUCGAAUUGUAGGCUAAGAAAAAGAUGUGAAACCAUAAUUUGCCAUAUUCGUUUCUGGCCUUAGAGCCAAGAUUCGGUUCCUAAACCUUCCCAUUGUACCUUAAAACUUAAAAAGUAAAAAUAAAAUAAAUUACUAAACAAAUAAUUAAUGGAAAUAAAAGCAGGUUUUAGAUCUUUUGUAACUCUUUGGUGUUACUUUCUUUACACUAUGUGUUUGGAUGACAUGUACCUUCCGUAGAAUCUAAAACCCUUCGAGCGGCUUCUUGUAAUCUGUUCAAAUCUGACGUUGUUACCCUUUUCCCCUUAUCAGAUAUGCCAGGGAGCAAGCAAAAGGGUCAAAUGAAAGUUACAAACGCCACUACGAAAUGAUGAUUGACGACUUCAAGCAUGUAGUAUCAGAUCUCAUCUCCCUUCCCAUGCCCACAAUUGCGGCCAUCAAUGGCUACACGCAAGAAGCAGGGGUGAUGCUCGGUCUCAGCCAUGACUAUCUCACCAUGAAGAAAGGUACCCGUUGCCUACAACUAAGUUUGUCGGCCAAACAGAUGGCUUUACCAGCCUACUUCGCGGCUCUGAUUAGGUCAAAGGUUGCCUACCCUCUGGCUUACCGUAACUUUGUCUUGUGCGACUCACACUACGAUACAAAAGCAGCAGCAAAAAUCCAUAUUUUAGAGACGAAGCCUGAGCCUGGAGACAAUGCGCUGGAAGUUGCAGAGGAAAAAGCAAACCAUCUGGCUGGUGAACAGCAGAAGUUAGAUAAGUGGAACGGGGAGGUCUAUGCUGAGUUAAGGAAGGCUUUGUAUCCGGAGCUGUGCAAGGAAUUGGGAUUAACCUGUUCCACAAUACUCCCUGAUUUGAAUUCUUGACUUCGAAAUCAGAGGUCUUCCAGAGAACGAGUAAUAAACUAAUAACAAGAUAAAUUAUUGUUUUAAUUUCGUUUUGAAGGAAUGUUAAAUCUCAAAUAUUUUCCAUUUUGAACAAAUAAAUUUGGAGAAAACUUUUUCCCAUGGAAAAUGCUAACGAGUAUCUCCUAGAGAAUCGUCUGGUUUGAGUGACAAUAUUGAAAGUCACCAAACAUUACAUGUUUUUCAGAUUUUGAAUUUCUCAAGUUUGUUAACAUAGGAAUGGAAACAACAAUCAUGCUAGUAAUACUGCUUACGCAAAAAGAAACAACCAUAAUAGUAAGAUGACAAUUGACAAGUAUUAAUGGUGAAUCAUAAAGCAGUGACUCAUUUGUUUACCAUUUUAAAGUUAUGAGUUGAAAAUCAUAACUAGCAUUCAUUAUAGCACUUCGAUUGCUUUAGGGUCCCCGGAAGGGGUCAAAGAUCGAGACUGGAAUUUAGUGUCCGUUCGCUGAUUUGGCCGUUCACAGUAUUAUGCCCCCAAGGGAUGUUAUCAGGCUUUUCAUCAGAUUUCUUAACGCCAAUAUGGCACAUUAUGACUAUUUUUUCGUCAAGAAGGUCCCCUUUUAUGAUUUCAGAUUUCUUCGACAACUCCACUUCUUUCUUGCAUUUUAUGAUCACACAUAUAGUACCCAGAUAAUCCCUUUGUGUUUUGGGCAUAUUUUGACUGGAUGUUAUAUGAUAAAAGUAGUCGAUGUUAACAAAUGGCAUUGAUUUCUAUUGGGUGGUAGCAUGUGAUCCACAUGGUUAAGAAAUCGUAUUAGUAUAAUGAAAAAUUAGGCAUUGGUCCCCGCGGGGUUGCGGGGUGCCCAUAUUAUACGUUUUUUUGUGUGUUUUGGGGUACUAUAGGUUUUAUUAUUAUUAUUAUUUUUUUAUAAGUGGAAGAUUUUAGGUUCAAAAUUUAUUACUUAUCAUUCCUUUCAUCUGACCAUCCAAUCCAACCCUCCUUUGUUUGUUUAUUAAUUAUAUGUACAUGUAUUUUAUAUUGAAACAUGUGUAAAGAUUUGUAACAAAUUUUUACAAUGUAGUAUGAAUUUGUCAUAUUUUGAAUGAUUAUGAUUUUGAUAUGCUUUUAUAUUGGUAGAGUGGUUAAUUGUUUUGCAUUUUUAAUUUUUUGGUGUUUUUAGUGUUUACUGUAUAUUUGUGAUUUGUCUAAUUGUGAUUUAAUUAUUGGCUCUGAUUAAUUUUAUGCUAGUGAAAGUUGUGAGAGUGGAUUAAUUGAAGGAUUUUUUAGUGUGUAUGAUAGUAUAAUUUAAGUUGUAUUAUUCUAGGUUGUGUUGAUUUUUCUAAUAUUUAGUAUUGAUUAGUAAUGUGUAAAUUGUAUCAAAUUUUUAAUUGUUUGUUGUUGGUACUAUUUAACUUGUGAAGAAUAAUUUGGCAGCUAAAGUUUUUUUUUGGCGUAUCAUAUGCUUUUAGCUAUAUAUGGAUGGAUAUAGUGGUAUUUUUCUUAUGUCUGAAACCCAACCAUAGUGGGCUAGCAUAAGGCGGCAGACCCAACAAAAUUUUGCAAAACACGUGAGAGGCCCGAAGAAAUUUGGGUAGACAUAUGAAGCAGGUAGCGACCUAACCACUAAAAGUACUAUUUGCAAUAAAAGGACCAAAAAGCCCAAAAUCUAUAGAGGAACAACAGCGAAACCAGCGUGGAAGGGUAAAAUUGGACUAGAGCCACCAAAAUUCAGAAUUUGUGGGCGACAAACAUGAAGCAGAGAUAACCCCACAAUGAGUUCCAUCACACCGAAAAAGAUAAAUGAGGAUAAAAUCAACACUCAAAUUACAAAGAAACCAAAGGAAAUCACUAUUCCCAACCCUUCCGCGCCUUAUGUGAUUAGAGACUAGUAAGUGUUGGCUGUGCGUAGAGACUAGUAAGUGUUGGCAGUGCCCACCUUGAAACGUUAAUGGUUAGCAAAAUUUGAUAGAAUGUUUGUCAGUAGAGUGUCAUGUGUGAAAGUAUACAUAAAGUAUGUAUAUUAUUGAAAUGAAGAGAAAUUGGAUUAUCAGUAUUUAAAUUUGAACAAAUGAAUUUUUUCAUUUUUUUUGUCAAUUUUCUUUUGAGUCAUUAAUACAUUAAUAUUUAGUUAAAAUAUGAGUCAUUAAUGCUAACUGAAAUUACCACCAAGUAUAGCAUGCAAAUUUGAUGAGAAAAAUAUACAUGUCUUUAUUACAUUUCAUUAAGAUGCUUUUUUUCCCCUCUUUGAAUGAUAGCUUUCAAAUAUACAUUUUUUUGUCAUUGUCACUGGAUUUAUUAUUGUCUACAUUUUUCAUUUAACAAAUUUAAUUCAAGUACAAAUUAAUAAUAUACUUAUAUACUUUUUGUUUUAAAAUUAUAUGCAUAAUUUGUUCAGCAAAUAUACGCAGAGAAAUUGAAAAACAAUAGGAUUAAUAAUGGUUAGCAUUUUUGCAGAAGUUAUUCGUGUUUGAUAGAGGGACAUCUAUAUAUGAAUUGGAUUUAUAGCUUAUCAAUAAAUUUGCUUUUCAAGGUAAAAGAGAUUAAAUUGAAGUACAUUAACAUAGAGGAUAGACAAAUACAAGAUAAUAGAAUUAAAACAUACGUAGGUAGCAAGUCAAAAUAGCUAAGUCGAAUUAACACAAAUGAUAAAUAGAUAUAAGAUAAUUGAAUUAAAACACAAGUAGUUCAGUUCUGAAGCACAUAAGCAUUACAUUGUUGGAAACUAAUUUUAUGCAUAAUCAUUGUGAAGGUUCAUUUAAGUCUGCUGGCUAGCCGGGACUUGUUCAACUUCACAGCUUGUGAUAAUGGUAAAAGCUGUUCCUUUAAUUGCUUUUUCUCUUGGAGUUGCUUUCUUAAGAAAGCAUAGGAGUCUCUUUCCUUGGAAUAUAUUAAGUGGCAAUGUUAGUUCAAUUGUAUAACUUUUAAUGUACCAUUUUCUGUGUAUCAUGAUCUCUUGAAUUUUGGAUUAAAAAUUAAUAGAUGAUAAUAUAGUUCAUAAAUACAUUUUUCAUUUAGGUAAAAGUCUAGAAUUGUAUUUCAAUUUUGUAGUUUCAAAGAUAUUGACAUAAUUUAUAUCCUACUUAAAAUCUCAACAAUAAUUUUUUCAAGAAUCCAAAGCCAAAAAGGAAAAAAAAAAUGCUAUAAUGAUUGGUUCCAUUAUAUAUGCUAAAAACUAAUGGAGCUGAGAGCUGCAAUCAUCCAAACCUGUAAGAAGAAAAUUGUUUAAAGAAAGUUAGAAGAUUAAUAAAAGGGAGAAAGAAGAAUUAAGCAUACAAAUUCAUCAUUUGAGUAAAAUAAUAGAGUUUAGAAACUGAGCACUAGUUCAAUAUUAACAUCUUUUCUACUUUCCCACUGCCAAGUAAUUCAAUAGCCUGUCAUAAACUUUUUAGUAGUGCUAUAUCCUAGACAACUAUAAAUUGAAAUACUGACCGCCCACUAAUUAGAUUGCUAACUUGCGUUUACUCCAUCAAGUUCUUUAUGAGAACGCCAUCAUAAAGGAUCUUGAGCAUUGAUAUGAAAUUUGGGAACAUCUUUUGUGAUCUUCAUUUGGGAUUGCUAUUGAAAUUUGACCUCCAACCUCAGUAGUGUAUGCUUUGAUAGUGUUGUUCUUCGCUGACCUUUUGUCCUUGGAUUUUCUAGAUCAAAAGCAUGGAUGAAAAAACCAUUGUAACCCCCUCAACAUGAGAGGCUAGUUUAGCAAAUAUGUAGCAUCCUUAAUUUCAUUAGUGAACUUUGUUCGAAAUAUUUGUUUAAAAUAUUUAAUCAACAAUUACAUGUGUGACUAUGCAAAUUCCAACUGCGAAGCAAUAUAGCUUUUUACAAUAAAAAACUAAGGUAGCAUUCUAAAAUUUUAACAGAUAAGCAGAUACAUUAGAUACAAAUAACUUAUUAAAGCAUACAGAGUCAUUUUUUUUAUGGCAGCCUCAUUCAAAAACCAAAUAGUAGAAAUUUAUAAGUCACUUAUGCCUACGCCAUAACUAAGACAGCUUAUCUUUUUCAAUUAUUUCCAACUGACCAAAAGAAUGCUCUUAUAAGGCUUUAGGAUAUCUCAAGAGUCAAGACCAAAAGUUAUACAUGAAUUUGUAAGGGUAAACUUAUGAUAAAAUGUCAUACAAAAGAAUUAAUCCAAUAAGAAAAACUUAAAGCUAUAAAAUGGAUCAAAUAAGUUGAACAAAGCCUCAUUAAUUCUUUAAGGAAAAAUACGACUUUUUAGUAUAAUAUUUCAAUCCUUUCCUACAAUUGUUCUUCUAAGAGCAUUUAAGCGCAUUUAUCAAGUUGCACUCAUCAUUAUGCAAUAACUCAUCAAGUUAUAGCUCAUGGAGUUGAACU